Molecule: long non-coding RNA, 242104 nt
Filed under: Phaseolus vulgaris (common bean)
Lineage: Eukaryota; Viridiplantae; Streptophyta; Magnoliopsida; Fabales; Fabaceae
Description: long non-coding RNA (PVUL_LNC000512)
Rfam family: Plant small nucleolar RNA R71 (bases 13093-13198)
Source: RNAcentral
GGUGUGUUAACGCGCUUCAUCCAAUAUUAAAUGAGUACUUUAAAUGAGUUUGUAUCUCUACAAAUCAUUUCUUUCACUCUUUUGCAUUAAUGCUUUCUAUUCUAAACAUUUCAUCUACUCAUCAAUUCCUUCCAUGGAAUUGGCCUCUUCAUCAUCAAAUCUGCCACCGAUGUAUGAUGUGGUCAUAAACUUUAAUGGAGAAGACAUCCAAAGGAAAUUUGUUUCUCAUCUCGAUUCUGCCCUCUCUGCUGUUGGCCUCACCACCUUCCUUCAUCACCAGAAUGCAGACAACCCAAUUCACAUCCAACAACCUAGUCUCAAUCUCUCUCGUGUAGCAAUUGUUGUUUUCACAAAAUCCUAUUCUCAAUCGGCUUGGUGUCUUCACCAGCUUCAACAAAUCAUUAGAUGGCAAGAAACUUAUUGCCGACAUCUUCUGCCCGUUUAUUACGAAAUUGAGCCAUCUGAUGUACGUCUUCAGAAGGGUGAUUUUGGAAAAGCCUUCAAAGCAACUGCACACCAAACGUUUUCAGGACGAAAACUGGAGCAUGGUAUGUCUAGGUGGAGCCACGCACUCACCAAAGCUGCAAAUUUCUUUGGAUGGGAUGAGAGCAAUUACAGGUAAAUCACUCACUCACUAAGCUUGUACUUCAAUUUUGGUAAUACAUGACUUGUUCUAUAAUAUUGUUAUUGACUUUGAAGGAGUGAUGCUGAACUAGUGGACAAAAUUGUUAAGAGCGUUCUUAAUUUACAAGUCUUGACUGCUACUAAAUUUCCAGUUGGAUUACAAUCCCGUGUGGAAGAUGUGAUUCGAACCAUCAAAAAUAAAUCCUCGCAAGUUUGUACCAUAGCGAUAUAUGGAAUGGAUGGUUCUGGUAAAACCACCCUUGCCAAAGCCAUCUACCGUCAAAUUCAUGGUUCAUUCACGGAGAAAAGUUUCAUGGAAGAUAUUGCACAAGUUAGUCGAACGAGAGGGGGUGUCCAAUUAAAAGAACAACUUCUUUCAGAUGUCCUAAAAACAAAGGUAGAGAUAGAUAGCGUUGAGAUGGGAACAAGUAUGAUUCGGAAAAGACUUUCUGGGAAAAGGGUGCUCAUUGUACUUGACGAAGUGGAUCUCUAUUGUCCAUUAUUAAUAGACCUAUGGGAAAGUCGAGCAUGGUUCGGUGAAGGAACUGUAAUAAUCAUUACAACCAGAGAUGAAGGCUUACUGAAGAUACAUCAAGUUGAUUCUGUUUUUCGAAUAAAGCUGAACGAAAACGAGUCCCUUGAGCUUCUUAGUUGGCACGCAUUUAGAGAAGCAAGACUAAAAGAAGAAUACUAUUUCGUCCUUGCAAGAAUAGUAGUUGCUUACUGUAGAGGACUACCUCUUGUUCUUGAAGUCAUUGGAACUUAUUUAUAUGAAAGGACGAAAGAAGAAUGGAACAGAAUAUUGUUAAGAUUAGAAAGUAUUGCCCUGAAUGAAGUUCCACAGAUAUUGAAAAUAAGCUUCCACGGUUUACAUAGUGAAAUGGAACAAGAUUUAUUCCUUGAUGUAUGUUCUUUCUUUGUUGGUAAAGGCAGAGCCUAUGUUACCAAUAUCCUAAAUGGCUGUGGGGUAGACGCUGAUAGUGGAAUAAGAGUUCUCAUAAAACGUAGCCUCAUAAAAGUUAAAAGGAACAACAAAAUUGGAAUGCAUCCUUUGAUACAAGAAAUGGGAAGAGAAAUUAUUCGUAACAUUUCAGAGAUGGAGAGGCAAGUGCGGUUUGUCGAUGGAGAAUAUGUAUUGACAGAUAAUUCAGUAAGAUUAUUCUUUAUAUGUGGUUUUCAAAACUUCUCUUUGAAGUGUUUCCUUUCUCAUUUUUAGUACAUUUGUUUUUCUUUGCUCUUUUCACAGGGGACAGACUCUUGGGCAGUGCCUGUGAAACUGCGUUCAGCCAGAAGAGAACCAUCAAGACUGCUGAAACUCGAUGGAAAUUCUGAGUACACUUCUAAUAAACUGAGAUGGAUCAGUUUGCAAGGGUCUUUUUUAGAAUACCCAUAUAUCAAUUUUCCUCUGCAUGAUGCAAUAGCGAUUGACAUAAAACACAGUCUUCUUCGACUCGUCUGGAAAGAACCCCAGGUUUUUAUUACUUGCCAUUUUCUAAUAAAACACAAAGCUAAACUAAAACUAAAACAAAAACAGUAACCUGUUUCAUUUUUUUAUUUAUUAACAAUAAACAAUAUAUUAAAAGGAGAUACUUUAUGGUGUCCCAAUCUUAUACAAGAACCAACAUUCACAAGACAUAGACAACCCAAACAGCAAUUUACAGGCAUAACAACAAAAAAGUUUGAGUUGCUAUAAAAAGAGCAUAACCAUAAACCUGCAUAAAUCCCUCAAACCCAUGUGAUAUGCAUACUGCUGUUUCAUUUUGAUUUUCUUCUCUGAUACUUGUGAAAAAAACUCUCACGGUGUAGGUUUUGAGGUGGCUGAAAGUCCUUAAUCUUAGUCACUCCAUGUAUUUAAUGGAAACCCCUGACUUUUCCGGACUACCAAGUCUUGAACAGCUCAUUCUCAAAAAUUGUCCAGGAUUGCGCCAAGUACACCAAUCUAUUGGAUGUCUCUCCAAUCUUACACUGCUAAAUUUGAAGGACUGCACAAGUCUAAGCAAUCUGCCGAGAAAGAUAUAUAAGUUGAAAUCCUUAAAAACUCUCAUUCUCUCUGCUUGUUCGAAGAUUCAUCCAUUGGAAAAAGAUAUAGUGCAAAUGGAAUCCCUCAUAACUCUAAUUACAGAAAAUACAACUGUGGAACAAGUGCCUUUUUCAAUUAUAAGUUCAAAAGGCAUUGGAUACAUAUCCCUACGUGGAUUUGAGAGAUUGCCACCUAAUCUUUUUCCUUCUAUCAUUCGGUCUUGGAUGUCUCCAAAAAUGAAUCCCAUAUCUUAUAAUCAUUCGUUUUGCAUGGAUAUGGAGCAUAAUAGUUGGGAUGAUAUUGCUCCAUUGCUUAGUAGCCUGGCAAUUCUUCGAAGUGUUCUGGUGGAAUGUGAAACUGAGUUUCAACUAUCUGAGCAAGUGAAAAAUAUUCUGGUCCAAUAUUUUGCAUAUAUUAUAGAAUCAGGAAGUUCAAAGCAUCACUUCAAGUCUUCUUUGAUUGGUUUUGGAGCGUACCAAGAAUUCUUAAGUGCUGCCAGCGAUAACAUAUCUAAGGUUCUUCUCUAUCUUUUCCUUUGUUUAUAACCUUCACUUUAGCUGUUAGUUAAGCCAACAUAAAAAUAAUCUAAAAAAAGUGUAGAAACUACAAUUCUAAACUUUUAGCACCCUUACCUUCUACUGCCACACAACUUCAUACAAAAGUAUCUUAUUUUAUUAAUCAACUGACGAAGUGAUUAUUUUCUCUUUCUUGCUUUACUAGCUUUCUGAUUGUUUUUAUUCCAAAUGAUGGCAGAAAUAUAAACUGAAAGAGACGACAACAGAAAUGCAUUCUGAAUCCCUUUGGUGACAUAACACAACAAAACUACUAACCAGAUUUAUUGUUUGCAGAAGACAAUUUGAAUAGGAAAAUUAGAUAAAUGACUAAGCUUUUUAGCGCAUGGUACAGGUAUUGGCAAGCAGUGAGACAUGUGAUGUUUCUCUCCCAGGUGAUAAUCAUCCUCAUUGGUUGGCCCAUAUGGACGAGGGACAUUCUGUUUCUUUCAGUGUGCCUCCAGAUCGUGACAUGAAGGGAAUGGUUUUGUGUGUCGGUUAUUUAUCAACCCAUGAAAUCGUGGCAACUGAAUGUUUUAGAAGUGUCUUAAUUGUUAAUUACACAAAGUGCACAUUGCACAUACACAACCAUGGGACAGUAAUUUCCUUUAAUGAUGUAGAUUGGCAAGGUAUAAUGUCAAAUUUAGGAUCAGGAGACAAGGUGGAGAUUUUUGUAAGUUUUGGUAAUGGAUUGGUAGUCAAGAACACAGCUGUUUAUCUGAUAUGUAGUGAAUCAAAUGACUUAGAAAUAGAAAAGGAGCCUGCGUCAAAGAAAAAUUCUCUUAUUAGAUUUAUAAAGAAAAUUAGUAAUGUGACUUCUCUGGUAAGUCAUUUAUCUACCUCUUUGUGAACAGCAGGAUCCCUUUAGUUAUGGAAUUAAUACUUGUGUCCUUCAUUGCAAUCUAUUUAUUUCCCAUCCUUUCCUUGUUUCUCUUUGGAGUAUAACUUAUAGUUAAGAAAUUAAUGUUUAUUUACACUGUUCUCAGUCCUCACAUUGUGCUUCUUGGCAUUACUUUACCUGUUUAUUGUAUUUGUUUUCUUGUGGUUAGUUUUGUCGAUUCUUUUCCCUUUCAGCAUAUAAUAUUUCUUUAAGAAAUCAUCUUUAAAGAAAGACAUUCAUUAUGAUAUAGAUAGCUGCUAUUUUAUAUUAUUAUGUUUUUUUAUCAACAAUAAAUAAAGAAUCAAUAAAUAAGCAGAAAUAAGUUUUUUUAAACAAAUGGUUCGAUAUUUCUUUUAAGAUCGUGACCAUAUUUGGAAAAACCUAGUUGAAAACUUGAAAAUUACAUAUAAUGGAAACCUAAACUGAAAACUAUAAUGAAAGCUAUAAAUGAAAAUUGCAAAAGAAAUUGAUAAUUAAAAUUCGUUGCAUUUAGUCUUAAAUAAAAGGAAUGAGGCUACGGUGCUUAGUAUGUUGAAACAGAGGCUACCUAGCAGAUAGCAAAACUAAACACAACAAAAUAUCGAACAACAGCUGUGUUUAUUUCAUAAUGCAAUGUCUCUUUCCAAGAGACUUUCUUAAUGAAAAGAAUUGCCAAAGUAACAACGAGAAACAAAUCCAAUAAAGAGAUAAAGUAAAGCCCAGGAAGCACAGUGAAGAGUUAGAAACAGGGAAAAACAGAGAAAGAAAGGGAUUAAUUCGAUAACUAAAGGGAUCCUGCUGUUUCAAAGAAGAUAUAUGACUUACCAAAAUUCACAUUACAAUUUUCUUUUUCAAUCUAAUGGAGUAAUUUUUCUUUGGCGGGCUCUCUUUCAAAGUCAUUUGAUUCUCCAUAUAUCAAAUAGAGAGUUGUGUUCUUGACCACCAAUCCAUGACCAAAACUCACAAAAAUCUCCACCUUGUCUCCAUAUCCUAAAUUUGACAUUAUGCCAUGCCAAUCUUCAUCAUUAAAGGAAACUACUGUCCCUCGGUUGUGUAUCUGGCAUGUGCACUUUGUGUAAUUAACAAUCAAGACACUAGCAAGACAUUCAGGUUCAAUGAUUUCAGAAUUUGAUAAAUAAGCAACCCACAAAGCCAUUCCCUUCAUGUCACGAUCUUGAGCUACAGUGAAAGAAACAGAAUGCCCCUCACUCUUAUGGCUCAACCAAUAAGGAUCAUUGUCACCCGGGAGUGCAACAUCACUAGAGUCACUCCUUCCCAAUGUCUGUACCAUGGAAUAAAAAAAAAAUAAUUAUUUAUCUAAUUUUUGCUUUUCCAAUUGUCUUCUGCAAUCAUUAUUUUAUCACUGAAAAUUACAAAACGGGCAUUUUUAAUCUAAGCAAAUCUGGUUAAUAGUUUUGUUGUCUGUAAAUCACCAUCAUAUGCAUCUCAGUUUUCAUCUCUUUCAGUUUAUAUUUCUACGAUCACUGGCAAUAAACAAUCAUGAAGCAAGUAAAACAAGAAAGUGGAAAGCAAUUGUUUAGUACUAAGUAUAAGCAUAAUGACUUGGUUAGCUGAUUGUUAAAAUCAGAAACUUUUAGAUGAAGUUGUGAGGCAAUAGAAGAGAAGGGUGUUAAAAGUUUAGUACUGACUUUCUGUCAGAUACUUCUAUAGGAUUAUUUUAUGUUCCUUUAAUUAAUAGUUAAAUGAUGGUGAAGACAAUAAAUAAAGGGAAAGCUAGAAAAGAACCUCAGAUAUGUUAUUGCUGAUAGUAUUGAAGAAUUCAUUGUAUGUUCCAACACCAAUCAAAGAAGACCUGAAGUUAUGCUUCAAAAUUCCUGGUUCUGUAGUAUUUAGAUCAUAUUCGACCAGAAUAGUUUCUACUUGCUUAUAUAGUUGAAUCUGGAAGUCACAUUGCACCAAAACACUUCGAAGAUUUGGAAGGGUGCUAAGCAAUGGCGCAAUAUAACCCCAGUUAUUAUCCUCCAUAUCCGUGUAAAAUGAAUGAAUAUAAGAUAAGGGAUUCAUUGUUGGUGACAUCCAAGACCGAAUGAUAGAAGGAAAAAGAUUACGAGAUAAUCCCUUAAAUCCACGUAGGGAAAUAUAUCCAACGCUUUUUGAGCUUACAACUGAAAAAGGCACUUGUUUCACAGCUGUGUUUUCAGCAAUUAGUGUUAUCAAGGUUUCCAUUUGCAUUAUAUCUUCUUCCAAUAGGUCAAUUUUCAAACAGCCAGAGAGAAUGAGAGUAUUUAAAGAUUCUAACUUAUAUAUCUCUCUUGGGAGAUUGCUUAGACUUGUACAGUUCUUCAAAUUUAGCAAUGUAAGAUAGGAGAGACAUCCAAUAGAUGGGUGUACUUCCACCAAUGCUGGACAAUCUUUGAGGAUGAGCUGUUCAAGACUUGGUAGUGUGGAAAAGUCAGGGGUUUCUGUCAAGUACACAGAGUGACUAAGAUUAAGAACUUUUAGCCACCUCAAAACCUGCAUUGAGAUAGUUUUUGUGAAAAAUAUUAAAUACCAAAAUAAAAUGAAACAGCAGUAGCAGGUUAUUAUUUUUGUUUCAGUUAUUAAGCUUUGUAUUUUAACAGAAAAUGGCACGUAAUAAAAACCUUGGGUUCUUUCCAGACGAAUCGAAGAAGACUGUGUUUUAAAUCGAUCGCUAUUGCAUCAUGCGGAUAAAAGUCGUUAGGUAGGUAUUCUGAAUGAAACCCGUGCAAACUCAUCCAUCUCAGAUUCUUAGAACGAUACUCAUAAUGCCCAGGGAGUUGUAUUUGAUCUGGUUGCACCAGUGUUGAUCCGUCUCUUAUCUCUAAAGGAUAAGCUUCGGAGUAAUCUCUUCUGGAUGAACGCAGUUUCACAAACAAUCCGUCUAUGGCUUCUGUCCCCUGUGAUGAAAGGAGCAAAAUAAACCAAAUGAAUGUAUUGCACAUGAGGAAGCAAACACUCCAAAAGAACUUUCAAAACCAUAUAUAGAGAAUGUUCUUACUGUAUUAUCUGUCAAUACAUAUUCCCCAUUCUCAUCAGAUUCCUUUCUUGAUAUUUCAAUAAUUUCUCUUCCCAAUUCUCGUAGCAAAGGAUGUAUUCCCAAUUUGUUGCUCUUUUUAACUUGUAUGAAGCUACGCUCUAUCAGAACUCUUAUUCCACUAUCAGCGUCUACUCCACGGUCAUUUAGGAUAUUGGUAACAUAGUCUCUGUCUUUGCCAACAAAGAAACAACAUACAUCAAGGAAUAAAUCUUUUUCCAUUUGUCUAUCUAAACCGUCGAAGCUUAUUUUCAACAUCAGUCUAAAUUCAUAGCGGGGAAUUUUCUCUAAUCUUGACAAUACUAUGUUCCAUUCUUUUUCCGUCCUUUCAUAUAAAUAAGUUCCAAUGACUUCAAGAGCAAGAGGUAGUUCUCCACAAUAAGCAACUACUCUUCUUGCAAGGAAAUUGUAUUCUUCUUUUGGUUUUGGUUCUCUAAAUGCGUGCCAACUAAGAAGCUCAAGGGACUCGUUCUCGUUCAGCUUUAUACGAACAACAGAAUCAACUUGAUGUAUCUUCAGUAGGCCUUCAUCUCUGGUUGUAAUGAUUAUUACAGUUCCUUCACCGAACCAUGCUCGACUUUCCCAUAGGUCUAAUAAUAAUGGACAAUAGAGAUCCACUUCGUCAAGUACAAUGAGCACCCUUUUCCCAGAAAGUCUUUCCAAAAUCAUACUUCUUCCCAUCUCAACGCUAUCUAUCUCGACCUUUGUUUUCAGGACAUCUGAAAGAAGUUGUCCUUGUAAAUGGACUUCCCCUCUCGUUCGACUAACUUGUGCAAUAUCUUCGACGAAACUUUUCUCCGUGAAUAAACCAUGAAUUUGACGGUAGAUGGCUUUGGCAAGGGUGGUUUUACCAGAUCCAUCCAUUCCACAUAUCCCUAUGGUACAAACUUGCGUGGAUUUGUUUUUUAUGGUUAGAAUCACAUCUUCCACACGGGAUUGUAAUCCAACUGGAAAUUUAGUAGCAGACAAGACUGGUAAAUUAAGAACGCUCUUAACAAUUUUGUCCACUAGUUCUGCAUCACUCCUUCAAGUUCAAUAACAAUUAUAGAACAAGUUGCCAAAAUUGAAGGACAAGCUUAAAAUAUGCUUAUUGAGUAAGUGAUUUACCUGUAAUUGCUCUCAUUCCAUCCAAAGAAAUUUGCAGCUUUGGUGAGUGCGUGGCUCCACCUAGACAUGCCAUGCUCCAGUUCUCGUCCUGAAAACGUUUGGUGUGCAGUUGCUUGCAAGGCUUUUCCGAAAUCACCCUUCUGAAGACGUACAUCAGAUGGCUCAAUUUCGUAAUAAACAGGCAGAACAUGUCGGCAGUAAGUUUGGUGCCAUUUAAGGAUUUGUUGGAGUUGAUGAAGACACCAAGCAGAUUGAGAAUAGGUUUUGGUGAAAACAACAAUUGCUACUCGACAGAGAUUGAGAAUAGGUUGUUGGAUGUGAAUUGGGUUGAGUGCAUUGGGGUGGUGAAGGAAAGUGGUGAAGCCAACAGCAGAGAGGGCAGAAUCGAGAUGAGAAACAAAUUUCCUUUGGAUGUCUUCUCCAUUAAAGUGGAUGAGCACAUCGUACAUCCGUGGGAGUUUGGGCGAUGAAGAUUCCAAUUCCAUGGAAGGAAUUGGUGAGUGGAUGAAGUGUUUAGAAGAGAAGCAAUAAUGCAACACAGUCAAAAGGGUGAUCUGUUCAGACACAACCAUUCAAAGUAGGCGGAACAUUAAUGUUCUUUAUAGUCGUGCGCACGUGAAGAUAAGAAAAAAAUAUUACAUUAGCAAAAAGUCUAAACAAUUCUUGAUUUUUACUAAUUUAAUCAUAACUUGGUGUAAACAAUUAUUUACAGUGAGGCCAAAGCAAUUACUGAAAAUUUUAUAAUACAUUUCAGAUGCAUCUUGCACUCGUAACCAUUGCGCUUGUCACCUCUAUAUUAAAACCCUAUUUACGGUUAAAUAUUUUUUCCCCUAACUUUUUUUAUUUAUACUUUUAUGCAUGUAGUUUAUUCUUAUUUUUCAUCGUAUAAUUUUAAAAAUAUUUUAGUUUUCGUUGUUAUUCUUUGUUACAAACCUGUUGAAGUGACAAACCAUGAUAACAUCAAAGUAAUGUGAUUAGAUUUAAAAUCAAACUUGACAUUUGCUAGCACUAAAAAAAUAUGAAUAUACUUUCAUCCCACCUUACCUCUUUUUUCUUAAAUUUUCUUAUUCGUCCUGACAAUGACAAGAGGAAAAUCUUGUAUGGAAAUUGGGAGAUUAUAUGAGAAUUGUUCUCGUCUGCUGACUUUGGUCGGACCUCGGUAGUAGACUCCAAGUUCAAUCAAUUUUGCUUGAUGUUGUUGAACCUAGACCCUGGUGCUUUGUGACGAGGGAAGCUCCACUUCUUGAUCACACUUUGAAAAUCAAGUCAGUGAGAGCAUUCAAACUAUGAUAUCUCAAUGAAAAAUUUGUAUUAGUGUAAAAUCCUCAGAAAAACAUACCUUUGCUCAGGGUCUCAUACCCUUUUUAUAGACUUUCCUUCAACAAUUUCAUCAACAAGAAUAUUCUGUUAAGAUUUGGCUUCAUUUUACGAGUGCAUGCAACUUUUAUUUUUAUCAGCUUUUAUUUACAUUGAAAAUAUAUACGCCUAACUAAUUUAGUUAAGCCAUUUUACUAUAAUUAUAUUUUAACAUGGACUGCCAACUGUUUGGGUUGACCUCAUAAGACAUUAUGAGGCUUAUAUUUUAUCCCAGAUCAAGCUAGGUAUUUUCCAAAUGGGUCCGACCAACCGAGUUAUCACACUGAAGUAUUCGGGAUCGAGGUCCCGAGCACGUCAGACUAGUACACUGGCCCCACGUUCAAGCCGAGCUUGAGGAGGCGAAGAGGCUUACUUGUAUUGGUGGUUGACACGACGCUUUUGUUAAAGGGUAGCUGGGACACAGAUUCUUAAGCGUCUUUCAGAAAGACAUCCCACCAUACUUAAUGUGGUGUGUACACGUGGAACAUAAAUCAACGGUGAGGCAAUCCUUUCGUUUUGAGUUCAUUUCCUCCAUACAUAACCCUUUUCUUCUUUGAACCUAACACUCUUUGCUUCUUUCUCUAUGCCAACAAGCACUUCCCUCCCUUCGUCGCACCACUUCACACCGCCAUCUUCCACUGGUAAAACAAGUAUGUUUCAUUCGUUUAACUUUAUCUGGUGACUAUAAUCUUUCCAUUGAUUUCAAUAAUGCACCUUGGUAUACGUUGAUUCGACUCAUUCUGUAUGUGCUUUCCCCUGAACUUCGUUUGCAUUCUAUCUCUGUUUAUGUCUUUGUUGUCUUUGAAGAUGGAUUAUAGUUUUGCUUAUCCUUGGGCUAAAAAGGAACUGCUUAGAGAAACCUCCGUCUUUACUACCCGUUUAAAAAUUAGAAAGCUAAGAAAAUCGGGGGGUUUAAGCAAAAAGUAUGAGAGUUUAGUGAAAGUAGUAGAGUGUAGGGAAGGGGAGCCUAUAUGUAGUAACGAGUCCUCGGACCCUAACAGACCAUUUUGCUUUUUCUACGCCACAUUUUUCACCAAGGUCCUACUUCGCCUUCCCUUGUCAAUCUUAGAAAAAGAGCUAUUAACCGAGUUGAACGUGGCACCCGCCCAGCCACAUCCGAAUAGCUGGUCAUUCAUCCGAGGUUUCAUAAUUUUGUGUUCCCAGCUCGACAUUUCGCCAACUGUGGAACUAUUUCUUCGAACUCAAACAUUCUAGUCGCCAGUUUUGGGUUUCUCUAAAUGGUACCCCUAGGAAAGGUCUGCUUACCCUCUUCUAGUCAUUCAAUAAAAAUUUCAAAAAUCCAUUUAUCAACGUUUGUGCCUCGGCAGGAGAUUCGUCCCUAGUGGACGACUUUCCUUUAUACUGGACACCCAAACUCCGAUUUUAGUGUGCUUGGCGCCUGAAAGACCUGUCCCCAAGGGAACAAGGUAUUUGUGAAUUCCUGGAAGGUCUCAAGGUCGUCUUCGACAUGCCAACCCUCUUGAAUAAAGAAUACCUCCCUGGUGCUCUUAAAGCCUACAUCGGUAUAUCUCCUUUCUCAUCCUUGAAAGGAGAACAUAAUCCAUGACUUCUGAGUAUUUGUUUGUUUUUGCAGAUAACAUGCUUUCUAACAUUAGCAAAACUGAGUUGUCCGAGCGUGCCAGGAAAAUGAGGGUGGCUGCGAGCAUGAACAAUGACUCUUUGUUACAAAAGAGGAAAACUCCAACUGAUGCCGCUCAAGUCCAAUCCGAUCAAGACGAGCAUACCACCUUGGAACCUGUCUUUAAGAGGAAGAGAUCAGUGGCAGCUCCUCCUAUCAAGCACUCACACUCGAAUGGUCGAGCUCUUAACUAAGAGGUCAUAACUAUUCAGGAAUGCGAGGCAGAAAGUUCUCAAAGGAAAAGCUUAUGGAAUCCUGAUUUGACAUUCCAGCACAUGGCGAGUCAUGCUACUUGCUUGACGAAGAUAAGACCAGAUUGAUGGCUCAUGAUGAAGAUCACCUCCGUCACAACACCGAGAAACUUCUUGGCCAAGCAUUUUCCCUGGUUUUCCUAGUCAACGUCAAGGCAAAGGAUCGGAAAAGAGCUGAAGACCAAAGGUUUAAAGAGAAUAUAGAACUCCAUCAAGAAGUCGAACGCCUCCGACCUGAAGUUAACCAUUUGGGCGUGGCAUUGGCCAACAAGACCCAAGAGAGACUUGUCUUGGCCGAAGAGAAAAGCAAACUCUCAAUUGAGAUUGAAGACUUAAAGAAAGAAAUGACGCGCAAUGAAGAACGCCACCCAAUCCUACCUUGUUGGGUUUGAAGCUGUAUUGGAACAGGCAACUGUUGUCCACCCUAUUGUUGACUUCUCAGAGCUAGAUCCAAGCAAAAACGUGAUUGAUGGAAAGCUAGUGAGGAUCCUUAGUUCAAAAUUUUUAUGGACUGUAUUUACUAUUUACUUUUAAUUGUUGAACCUAUUUAACGUUUAAACUCCUCAUCGACAUUUAUUAAGAAUUUUGAACCCUAAGAUGUUCAUUAUUUUGAAAUCAAAAGUUCUUUACUUAUAGUAUACGAAUGUACGAACAUUCUAGCGAAUCGAACUUUGCCAAUCGAACUGACCCAAUUUUACACCCUUAAUAUACUAAUGCCAGAUUAACGUAAUAUGACCUUGCUAAUAGGGGUGGGAUGAAAUAUAUAAACGAAAUUAGUUCUUAACUAAUUGGCUAACCUUUUGACGAUCGAUACCUUUCUGGUUGGCUGAGUUGUAUACCACUUCGACCUAACCAAUCCAUCGUUUGUUUGGACAUUUUCAACACUGUUCAUUCCACGAGUCAUCCAAAGGGUAUGACAUCAUAAACUUUGUUCGGGUAAUUCACACUCCGGCUUGGCCAGAUGAUGAACUUCGACAGUAUUCACCCCCGAGCUGGGAAGUCAUACCGCGUGACUAUAACAUUUGCUCCAAGUUAACCUACCUCACAAGGCGCCUCCUCGGACAGUUGUAUCUACUCUGAGCUAGGUCAUCUUACCAUGUGCUAGUUCGGAUAACUACACCUGUUUUCAAGUCAAAUAAUUCCAUAGUGCGCCCAUACUCGGGUAACUAUAUUCGUUCUGAGUUAGGUCGUCUUACCACGUGCCACCUCAGGUUGCUACACAUGUUCUAAGUUAACUUGUCUCAUAGGGCGCCUAUACUCGAGUAGCUACACAUGCUCCAACUUAGAUCGUCUUACCAUGUGCCAUCUCGGACAACCUCACCUACACAAAAUCACACCUGAUAGGUAUAUUCUGACUUUGGGAUGAGUGAACCACAUGCAACUUUGGGGUAGUUUGGCCAUUUGUGCGGUCAGUUGCUCAAUCUGCUGUGUCAGAAUCUUAUUUUGAGCCAGCAAUGCAUCUAUAGUGUUCAAUUCUAAUAAUCCCCUCUUUUGAUGACCUAGUCUAUCAUGUUGGGCUUCAUAAUCAGUUGUGGCCAAAGCAUCAAUAAUUCUCGUUGCUUGUUCUACAUCAACGGCCAUCAUCGUGCCACCAACUGCGGCAUCUAGGAGCAUCUUCGUAUCAGAUCUGAGACCAUUAAUGAAUAUGCUAAGUUGAGAAAUUUUUGCAAACCCAUGAUUAGGGCAUCUUCUUAGCAUCAUCUUGAAUCUCUCCCAUGUCUCAUAGAAAGAUUACUUUGCUCUUUGUCUGAACAUAGAAAUUUCAGACUUAGCUUUAAUAUAAUGAGAAAUUGGAAAAAAUCUCUGUAGAAAUUUUUCCUCCACAUCCUUCCAUCUAGUUAAGCUCUUAUUAGAAUGUGAUUUAAGCCACUCCUUUGCUUUCCUUUCCAAAGAAAAGGGAAACAAACGCAUAUACACAUUGUUAAUAUUACAUGAUUGAAAACCCAUAGUUCCCACCAAUUUUUAAAAUGUAGCCAAGUGUGUGGGGAUCCUCAUGGUCCAUUGUUGUGAGUUGAUUGGUACUAAUGAGGGUGAUGAAUUUUGGCUUCAUCUCCAAGGCCCUAUUAGUAGCAGGUAUUGCAAUGCUAGAAAAGUGUCUAGGCCCUUGAUGUAUGGCAUAGUCUCCGAAAGUCCUCCUAGGAGGUGGUGUUUCCUCCUCCGCCAUGUUGUUAUCCUCCUGAAAAAGAUGAAUGAAAAAAGGACAAGUUGUUGAAGAGUCCUCUCUAGUGUCCUCUUGCUUCUCUUUUGCCUUUGAUUUCUGGUUCCUUCUAGCUACCUUCUCAAUUUUCGCUUCAAAUAACAAUUGAUCUUUGGAAUACGACCUUUCAAUAUCAUAUAAAAGCAGCUAAUGCAAGGGUUAGAAAGAAAAAUUCACAAGUAGUCCGAAAAAAAAAAUUAUUUUAUAGUUUGUUUGUUUUUUCAAAAAUUUUAAAAAUAAACCAAAAUUUAAAUAAUAAAAUAAAUAAAAGAAAAAAGUUAAAACAAAAUAACAGAAAAUUAAAUUGUAACAAUAAAAGAGAAUCCAAAGUAAAUCAGAAAAUAAAUAGACAAAUCCAGCAAAUAAAAUAAUUAAGAAAGUAAUAAAAAUAGAGUAACAAUCUAAAAAUAAAAUAAACACAUUAAAAACAAAGCAAAACAAUAAAAAUAUUCACAAUACUUAGAAAGUUAUACUCAAUAAAUCAAACCUGGUCUCUGGCAAAGGCGUAAAAAACUUGGCGACUUUCUACGACAAGUGCACCGCAUUGUCAGAAGUAAUAAUUUGUCCCUAAGGACGGAUAUCGAUCCCACAAGGAACAAUGAAUUAUCAAGUACAAUGUUUGCUAAAUAUAAACAAAACAAUUAAAAGAGUGUUGAUGGUGAUUGUGUUGGCAGUGAUCAAUAAGAAAACAAACAAAGAAUUGGUUGCUUCAAGUUGGUAAAAUAGGGAUUAGGUUUCAUCAUCCUCACUCCUAUGUAUUUUGAUUAACAUGUCAAUAUUAAGUUCUUUGAUUGAAAUUGAUGCCCGUAGAAAAUUCAUUUAUAUCGAUCUCUCGCAUGUAAAAUUUUUAAAAAUGUUUCCUAAAUAUUGAUCUCUCGCAUACUUAUAAAAACAACUUAGAAGCACACUCAGACGUUAAUGGAAAUUAACAUUUCAAGUCUAUCUCUAGCACUCAAAUAUGUUAAGUAUUGUUGUUUACGUCACAACCCUAAAAAUACCUCUCAGUUAGAUUUAAGAUUCUUAAUUUGUCACAGAAAUUUAGAAAUAAAACAACAAUACCAAUAAUCAAUCAAGAACAUAAUAUUAUAUCAUAUUAAAUAUCACUUUAAUACAUAAGAGUUCGAGCAGAUCACUCCCAAUCCUAAAAGGUAAAAUUAGUCACGCAUACUUCUAGCACCUUUCAUUCUCCCAAUUGGGUUACAUUUCACUCAAUGUUUGUGCCUCUAGCACCCUAUUUAACCUAAUUUACUAGGGUUAGGUGACUUCCUGCGUCGUGCUAAUUGGUCUUGAUAAAACAGAAAAAUAACCCAAUUUGUCUGACGCGUUUUCGCUUGAGCGAGAAUAUCUCAAUGAAGCGAGAAAGGCGGUGAUUUCCAAAAAUGUUAUUGGAGCAUUCUCGCUUGAGCGAGAAUCCUUGUUGCAAAGUUGGCUUUUUCAGCGUUUUUAUGCAUUUUGAGACCAUCAAGCUACCUCUUCUUAGCUCAAAUCAUUCCUCUUUAAUCCAAAUCUCCAUUAUUCCCUAAAAACCUGCAAUUAACACUAAUUUUUGUAAUAAAAUACUCUUAUUCAAAUAAAGAUCAUAAAAAAUGUGAAAAAGUAUAAAUUCAUAAAUUAGGGAUUAUUAUAUAUGUAAAUUAGCAAUUAAUACUCAUAAAUGUUUAUAUUUUAAUAUGAAAUAUUACUGAAAUUAGACAUUUAUCAGGCUCCUUUUGAUUCUGAGACGUAGUGGUUGGGCGGGCAUAUUACAUAGAAUUGUUGUCAGACAAAUUUGUAUGGAGGACGUUGAAUGUCACGCACCUCAAAUUUUAUUACAGAUGAAUAAAUAAAUUUAUGCAUUCUUUCCUCACCCGACCGCUUUAUCCCUAAGGAGGGUUUUCGGUCAGGAAGGUUUUAACGAGGCAAUUUUUAAAUUGUUCAUUUAAAUACAAGUUAAAGCUUAAACGCACAAUGCUUAAAUCUCAAGACUUAGCUCUGCUAAGGGUGCUUACCUAAAUACGUUAUCCCUCCCAAGACCCAAAGACUCAACUCGACUAAGUACCCUUACCUUAACCGGCAAUCCCUCAGAGACCCAAAGACUAAACUCGGAUAAGGAGGCUUACCUUAACCGAUAAUCCUUCCCGAGACCCAAAGAUUCGGCUCGACUAAGAACGCUUACCAUAACCGGUAAUCCCUCUCAAGACCCGAAGAUUCAGCUCGACCAAGGACGUUUACCUUAACUAGUAAUCCCUCCUGAGACCCACAGACGUAGAGCAACUAAGUAAAAAAUUCGCAGUUAUAACCGACCAAAGACUGGUAUUAUACUCUCGACGUAUCUUCUUUAUCAUUACUUGUUCAUUUUUAUUAAAACAGGAAUGUAGAAAAUUGAAUGAUUCAUUGAUAAAAAAAAAAGGGGAGGCCACACCCUGGCCUCGAGGGAACAAAAAACAUUAAAAUGUAAAACCUAAUCGUCUUCCUCUUCAAUGGCAUACAAGUAAGCCCUUGGUGUUGAGUUCCGAAGAGCCACAACCUUGUCAAAGGCCACUAUGAGGCCCUCGUACACGUCUUUAUUGACGUCGAAGUCACCUUCAACGGAUGGCCCAUUGUAGAGUAGGUGUGGUUUCCGAACGGCCUGGUUGAAGCUUUCACCACACAUCACCAAGACAUUGUCUUGGAGUUGGUCAAGCUCGAAUCCAACCGAAGUCUUCUUCGCCUCCAAGGCCUUGUGUUCUUCCCUUCAACUCCCCAAUCUCCUUCAUCUGCUUCUCCAUCCAACCCUCUUUCUCGGCCACCUUUUUCCUCUCCCCUACCUCGAGCUCGGCGCGUCACAUGUUGCUCAACUUGAGCUCAGCAUUAGCUUUGGCCAUUCAAGACUCAAAAGUCGACACCACUUCCAGCGAUGACUUUAGAGAGCUAGAAGCCUCGCCCAGCUCAUGCUUGAGUCGGGAAAUUUCUUUGGCCAAUUGUUGGUUGCCCUCAUCGGCAGCAAGCCUGGUCAAUACCAGGGCUCGAGCCUGCAUUUCGACCGCAGCCGAUAACAAAUCAUGGCAAGGGAUGGUCGUCAACAUGUUUUCCUUACUCAACGUCAGAAAGACCUGCACGCCUUUGGAAAAUUGGGCGUUUCCCCCAAUAAGUGAUAGAAGGGCACUGGUAGUACCGACCAUAGAUGGUGUUUCGAGCAGUCGUCUUCCUCUUUUUCUUUUUGCUCCAUUCAGCAGAAGCAAGCCCUGUUAGAAUGGAUGGCUUUAAACUAGAGGGGGGGUGAAUUGUUUAAAGAGGAUUUUCACAAACUUUUAAGCCAAGAAUGAAAUUUCUUCAAGAAACAAAUGAUAAGAAAUUCAGUUUGCCAAAACACAAAGCAAAAACAACAGCACCAGAAAAACAAUCGGUUGUUUCGUAGAAACAAUCGGCUGUUUAUACCAGUUUACAAAUAUUAAAACUGAAUUUAAAGAGAUUAAGGAGAGAGAGAAUGCACACAGAAGUUUAUACUAGUUCACUCUAAACCCAGAGCUACAUCCAGUAUUCUCAGAAACCACUGAGGAAUUCCACUAAGCAAUCAAACCUAGAUCACUUACAACACAACCAAGAUAGUGACCUUAAUCCCCUCAAGACACACACUUCUCUUGGUCAACACACCAACACUAAGAAUGCUGAUCUUGAUCCCCUCAAGAACACACAACACUUCUCAGCAAACACACAAAGGUUUCUUUCAACAUAUACAAGGAUUACACUUGUUACAGAAGCAAAUCUGAAAUCAAUACAAGAGAAAAUUCUAGCUCACACUCUUUUAUCAAUCUCAAUCUCUAAGCAAUCUCAACUCUUUCAAAACUCAAAAUCAAUGAAAAACUCAAAUCUGUUUUUCUGUAUAUAUUAAAGUUGUUGUUUGUUAUCAAAUCUUAACAAACUAUUCAUUGCUUUUAAAGAUUGGUCAAAGCAUUAAAAACUGGAGCGUAAACAGUUAGAAAAUCAUUUAAUGCUCAGUCAAAGCACAAACCAUUUUUCUGUUAUGGUACCAAAACAAACAAUCGGUUGUUUCCUCGAAUCAAUCGGUUGUUUUGGUUUUAACAGCUCAACCAUUUGAAAAACAGUUUUCAACCUUUUCUAAAAACUCCUAAGUAUAAAACAAUCAGUUGUUUUGGCAAAACAAUCGGUUGUUUUUCACUUAGUUUGAAAAACACUUUUCUUUUUAAAAAGAUUGAGAAUGCCUAUGCUUUGGAUUCAAUCAAUGAGUGGAUUACAAAACUCAAUCUACCCCAGAUCCUAUCUAAGACAGCUCAGCAACAGCAAGCACAGCUUAGCCUUCAACAUCCUUCAAAGGGUUUGGAUUCUUCAAAGCUUGAACACCACUUGGUUCAACAAUCUCCCCCUAUUUGAUGAAGACAAAUCCCUGAUGCUUGUGUUGUACCUGAUUGAAUCUGAAGCAGUUCCUGCAAAGCACAGUUUUAAGCAAAACAUAGAACUUCUGAUAUUUGGUUAGCACAGAAACAAAUAUAGAACUUCAGAACAUAAUAUCAGAGCAAACAACAAACAAAUAUUCGAGCAAAAACCUAUGAGGUUUCACUCAUAUAAACUGUUUUGCAGAAAAUAAAAACUAAAACCAAACACAACAUACAUACAUCUCCCCCUAUUUGUCUACAUAAAUAGACAAAGAGAAGAUAUUAAAAAGAUAAAUGUUCUUAAUACAUCAGAUUUAAAACAACAAAAGCAGAAAAAUAGAAAAACUGAUACAACCACAAAAAACAAUCGGUUGUUUCGAUACAUCAACCGGUUGUUUUUGUCUUCAUUCAUCAUCAUCGGCAUAUCGAAGAUCAAAGAUUUGGUUAUGUAUUGCCUCAAUCUGUUCAUCUAGAGUCAUGAAAUGUGCAUCCAUGCUGUCAAACCUGUUAUCAAUCUUCUGGAAAUUGCUGACACAAAGAUUAUGGAGAUUUCUUUGAUUCUCCGCAAAGCUAUCAAGCCUAUUAACCAUGAGUCUCUCAAAAGGAGACAUGGUUUGCAUUCCUUCUUCUUGAUUUCCAGCACCAACACUAGGUCCAACAUCUUGAUGUACUUCAGGUAGAUCUUCAUGUUGAAAAUCCAUAUCUGCAGCAGGUUCAUCUUGUUCAUGAUCAACAAUAGCACUAGAUAAGGCUCCAAAGUCACCAUCUUUGCUAAUCCAUUUCCCACCUACUUUGGUGAAACCCAUUUUGCUGAGAGAUCCAUUGUUCAACUCUUGAGUUGACUUGACCAACUCAGAUGUUUCAUCCUCUAGGUUCACUUCAAAAUAGAGUAGAAAUUUAGAAACCAAAACAGCAUAUGGAUAGUGAUAGUCACUUAACCUCAUUGCCUUUUGCAUGUGCUCUUUGAUGAUGUGGAUCCAAUUAAUUCUGAUCUUCUUCAUAAUGCAGAAGAUGUACACUAGAUCCUCCUCUGUAAGAACAGAAUGAUUGCUCCCCCUUGGAGUUAGAAUCUAAGUCACAAUGAGGGCUAGCAACCUUUCAUCAAGCUUUAAGCCACCAACCGAGCAAGUCCUAACUUGUGCAUUUUGGUUCUUCAAGCAGCUCUUGUAGUAUUGAACUUUGUUGAAGUCCUCCACUACUCCAAGGUUCCCCUUGUUAAUUCUGAGGCCUGAGUACUUUAGACCAGCUACAACAGCCCACACUGCAUGUGUAAUCUCCAUAUCUACACCUUUUACAUGAGAAACAAGGUUGUUUCCCUAAAACUUGAGAUUUGUGUAGAAACUAUUAUCAAAUCUGGAUAGAUAUUCCCUUUCAUCUCCAAGAACUUUCUAAGGGAAUGAUCUUUGAGGAGCCUUUUGACAUUGUCCAGCUUUUGGCUUUUCAGCCAAUCAAAGCAAACAACUUUAGGGUUGUUUAUCACUUUGGUGCUAGUCUCAAAUUUAUAUCUCUCAAUAAGAUCAUUAUCACCAGAAAACCAUCCUUCAAGCCUUCCUCCAGACCUUACUGCUCUGGAUUUGACUCUUCUUGAGGUGGGAGGAGUUGAGUCCAUGAUGGCAGAGAAGAAAAUAGAGAAAAGCUCACUCACAGAUUUUGCAAGAGAUGUUGCAAUUGGUUGUUCUUGUGGAAGAGAUCAGCUGCAACAGAUUUUAUAGCAUAAACAGAACCAUAAAGCAUUCUAUGACAUGAGUGGGUAUCAGAUUUUCAGAGAGAGAGGACUUGACCAUGUCCUGCACUGAAAAUGUCAGAAAAAGCAGAAAAUCACAUGGUCUUCACAUGUGAUCUUUGACUAGUCAUUAAAAGCUCUUGAAUUUCCAAGAUUGUGGAAUAUAUUCCUUUAUGACUGUUGUAACUUCCUUUUGAGCAUGAUCAGCUUUCAACACAAAUUCAUUGACCAAGGAUUCUCUCUUUAAUUUGAUCUGCAACGAAUAGAAAUUCAAAAUAGAAAUUAAAUUGAUUUCUUCACGGUGCUGUCAGACUCAAAACAAUCGGUUGUUUUUCUACAGCAGUUAAAAACUGAUUUUGAAUUUUAACCAUGAGCAGAAAGGGUUCAAAGCAGAUGAAGAUAAACAUUUUAAAGAGGAUAUUUAACCAUGAAAAUGAACUUAAAAACAUGAAUUAAGAACAGAGAUAAGGAAAGUCUUAUCCUUUGUGUUGUUCUUUCAAUGAGCCAUGUGCUUUGUGAUCAAGAAGCCUUAUUUUAACUGUUGAGGGCUUUUGGACAGAUGCAGAACAUUGAUUCAGCUUCAGUGUUAGUCUUUUUCUUCCAAAAACUUGAUCAGAUGACUCAGUCCUUCAUACUUCUUUAGAUUUCCUACAUAAACAUGAGUUCAAGCAACAAGAUUUGGCCCUUUCACAAAUGUGGGUCCAAUUGAUUUCUUUUUCUUAUUUGGAACCUCACAUCCUUUAGGAAUCCAUUUCAUGUAGCCCCUGGGAACAAAAAACUUUCUUAUUUUACAGAAUCUAACUGAAUGACCCUUUUUCAUGCAAUAAAAGCAUGUAACAACCGGUUGUUUCGACUUAACAAUCGGUUGUUUUACUGGCUUUCUUAAUUUUUUUUUUGAAAAAUUAUCUUGUUUGUUUUGUGGAUUAAAGCCUAAACCAGCCUUUCCAAAAACACAACUUUGAGAUGCCAAGACAUUCUCAAAGUUAGAUUUUCCUUUUGAAAGCUUGUCCACAGUGUUAACAAGAUAAUGCACAUUUUUCUCAAGAUUUUCACAAUUUUCGCAAAUGAGAGUGUCACACUUGCAAGAAGAAUUUUUGAAAUUAUUUUUAGAUUUUUCAAUCUCAUCUUCAAGUGAUUUCACUCUCUUUUCCAGCCAGCUGUUAAGUUCUUUUAAUCGGUUGUUUGAAAGCACCAAUCGAUUAGCUUCAUCGUGAGUUUCUUGAAAAGCUCCAAGCAAUUCACUAUAAUUUUGUUCAUUUAAAGAAGCACAAGAACUUACUUCACUUGAGCUGCAAGAUUCAUCAUCAUCUUCUGCAAUCAAACAGAUGUUUGCUUUCUCAUCUUCACUUGAUGAAGAGCUUGAUGAUGAUACUUCAUUUUCAUCCCAAGCUAUGUAGGCUCUCUUUGUCUUGUUCUUCUUUUCCUUGUUGCUAGACUUCUUCUCCUUGCUUUUGUUUGGGCAAUCUGCCUUUAUGUGACCUUGCUCACCACAACCAAAACAAGUAUAGUUAUUUGAAUUAAAAUCAUUAGAUUUCUUGUUUCCAUACCUAUCUUUGUUGUUGUCCUUGUUGCGGUUCCUCUUCAAGAAUUUGCUAAACUUUCUUGACAGCAAGCUAAGGUUUUCCUCAUCACUCAUCGUUGGAUUCUUGUUUGCCUUUGUGCUUGGAAGCUUUUAAGGCUAUGCUCCUUAUGUGCUUGUCUUCGCUUUCUUGAACAUUGAGUCGAUUCAUCCCUAACUCAUGUUCCUUAAGCUUGCCAAACAAAGAAGCCAUACUCAAGGAUGUUAGGUCUUUAGAUUCGGAUAUAGCAGUUACCUUAGGUUGCCAUACUCUAUCAAGACAUUUUUAAAUCUUGAUGUUUAGCUCUUCCUUUUCAAAGGUCUUGUCAAGGCUCAUGAGAUGAUUGAUGAAGUGUGUGAAUCUUUUCUGCACUUCAGCAAUUGUUUCACCUUUGAGCAUUCUGAACAUCUCAUACUCUUGGAUUAGUAUGCUUCCUAGCUCUUUUUACCUCAUUUUUACCUUCAUGAGUUACCUUCAAGGUAUCCCACAUUUCUUUUGCAGAUUUGCAUUGAGAGACCCUGAAAAACUCAUCUGAAUUCAAAGCAGAGGUUAUUAUGUUUUUAGCAACGCAAUCAAAUUUAGCCUUCUUUCUUUCUGAAUCAAUCCAUUGAGACCAAGGCUUUUCAAUGGAAGAUCCAUCUUUUUCAAACUUUGGGACAAAAGGACCAUUUUCAAUUGCAUCCCAAAUUCCUUUGUCAAGUGAUUCUACAAAGAUUUUCAUUCUCACUUUCCAAAAUUGGUAGUUCAAACCACAAAACAGAGGUGGUCUGUUGAUUGAAGCACUUUCCCCAAAAGGUAGUCUAUCAGCCAUUAAAAAAAUUUUAGGAUCACACUUGAAUAAAUUUCAAGAACCAAGCUCUUGAUGUCAAUUGUUAGAAUGGAUGGCUUUAAACUAGAGGGGGGGGGGUGAAUUGUUUAAAGAGGGUUUUCGUAAACUUUUAAGCCAAGAAUGCACACAGAAGUUUAUACUGGUUCACUCUAAAGCCAGAGCUACAUCCAGUAUUCUCAGAAACCACUGAGGAAUUCCACUAAGCAAUCAAACCUAGAUCACUUACAACACAACCAAGAUAGUGACCUUAAUCCCCUCAAGACACACACUUCUCUUGGUCAACACACCAACACUAAGAAUGUUGAUCUUGAUCCCCUUAAGAACACACAACACUUCUCAGCAAACACACAAAGGUUUCUUUCAACAGAUACAAGGAUUACACUUGUUACAGAAGCAAAUCUGAAAUCAAUACAAGAGAAAAUCCUAGCUCACACUCUUUUAUCAAUCUCAAUCUUUAAGCAAUCUCAACUCUUUCAAAACUCAAAAUCUGUUUUUCUGUAUAUAUCAAAUUUGUUUUUUCUUAUCAAAUCUUAACAAACUAUUCAUUGCCUUUAAAGAUUGGUCAAAGCAUUAAAAACUGGAGCGUAAACAGUUAGAAAAUCAUUUAAUGCUCAGUCAAAGCACAAACCAUUUUUCCGUUAUGGUACCAAAACAAACAAUCGGUUGUUUCUUCGAAUCAAUCGGUUGUUUUGGUUUUAACAGCUCAACCAUUUGAAAAACAGUUUUCAACCUUUUCUAAAAUCUCCUAAGUAUAAAACAAUCGGUUGUUUUUCACUUAGUUUGAAAAACACUUUUCUUUGUUAAAAGAUUGAGAAUGCCUAUGCUUUGGAUUCAAUCAAUGAGUGGAUUACAAAACUCAAUCUACCCCAGAUCCUAUCUAAGACAGCUUAGCAACAGCAAGCACAGCCUAGCCUUCAACAUCCUUCAAAGGGUUUGGAUUCUUCAAAGCUUGAACACCACUUGGUUCAACAAGCCCAGGAUCAGGUGCCCCGAUGACAGAGGGUUUUCCCGCGACAACCAUUUCGAAGUUGCCCCUUGCCCUUAGGAAGGGCCUUGGCACGAAAUGCAACCUGAAUGUCACUAGAUUGGGGAGCUGCUUGAGUCAUUAUACCUAUACCAAAUAAAAACAAGUUAAUCAGAAAGUAUAGGCCCACUGAGAUAAAGAACAAAGCAGACAUACCAUGAAAAUCACUCAAUUGAUGGGACAAUUUAUAUACGUUUAAAAGCUUUCAGGUAGGGAGCCUUCUGAGUAGGUUAUCAAAAACAGCAUAUACCUAUAACUCCUCGACGUUCGAGGCCGAACGAGGCCACUAUUUAAAUCGAUGGGGAUCUUAGUCCAAUACAGAGAAAAUUUGGACCAACCAUUUCCAUCAUUGAAGAACUCCAUACCCUCAGACUCGAUGAAAAUCUUAAAAUAUUUUCCCUUGAUGUUUUUGUACGAGGUGGUAUAACGGCGAAAAUGACGUUACCCGAUCGAGUAAUGAGUGAUAGCCAACUCACAUGGUUGGCCACGUGUGACAUGUAGUAAUGAAGAAAAGUUGUAGGGGAUGGUGAAAGACGAAACAUAUCACACACAAGUCGAAAGGCUUGGAGAGAGGCCCAUGUAUUACGAUGAAGCUGGGAAAUGGAUACAUUGAGCGGCCGAAGGAUGCCAAUGGUGAAAUCAUCGAAAGGAAGGGCUAUCUGCAAAUCAGAAAAGAAGCAAGAGUAGGCAAAGAAAAAGGGUCUCGGAAGGAGCCUGACUAAUACAUAUGGUAUCGGCAGGGUGACACGAGUGGAUGGCUAGAAUACCAUCGGCGACAUCAGGUUUCAAAAGGCUAAACUUAUCUAUAAAAUAGGAUAUAGAAGCAAAAUCUAUAAACAAAGAAGUGUACCUGGCUACUUUAGGGUCAACCUAGUCAAAUCCCACACGGUGGGAUGACUCCUCGGCAGGGUUUGAUCGGUCGACAACUGUGGCCGGAUCAUUACCCAUAACCGAGUUGGAUAUGGGAGAAACCACCUCAUGAGUCAUGGGGGAAAGGUUUGAAGCGCCCCGACCGAAAAAGUCUUGGUCGAGGACGAGCUAGAAGAAGAGGAAGAAGAGGGAGACGAAGUAGAAGUGGAAGAGCUAGAAGAAGACAUAACUAACCUCUUCGAAUAAAUGGAAAACACCUUGCCAGGAUGAUAAGGUUUCGGAAGUCAGUGCAAGCAAGAGGCAGGGGGAACCACUAUUUAUAGCCUUCGAGGAGAGAGGAAUAAUGAACGUUCCUUGAUCAAACGGUCCCCAUCGAUUGGCGCCAAAAAACCUAAGUAAUGAUUACGCACAUCACGUCAAGCAUUCGGCUCCGCCAACGUCACAUCUCGCAUCGGAAAGCAUAACCGUCACAAAUAGACUCUUCGGGUUCAAACCCCUCGAGCCUUGAGGGCAAGUGUAUCGGUCGGAAGGUUAACAAGACCAAACAAUGAUUAAGUAAUAGGUAAUACACUCUUAAUUAUGAUCCAAAACCCUAAUCUGACAAUAAAAAAUGGCUCAUGAUAAUCAUAUAAAUAGUCACAGAUUUCAAGAAAAGGGUACGUCAUCAUCACGCAUUAAUUGCACCGAACACCGAAUACCGAGAUCUUACUUGAGCGUCGAAGUGUCUUUUGCAGGUACCAUCCGAACCAUGAGUUUGCAAGGGAGAGGAGGAUAAAGGAAAGAAAGAAGGCGUUCGGUAAAGGGAAGAGGUAUAAGUAGACCGACCAACCGAGGAGGAAGGUAAUCGUUCUCUCAGUUCCAACCCAUUCAAAAACAAUUUCAUUUAGUCUAAAUCAAGGGAUGAGGCUACGGGCUUAUUAUGUUGAAACAAAAACAGACACUACCAAACAGAUAGCAAAACUAAACACAACAUAAUAUCGAACAAUCGAACAACUUUGUUUAUUUCAUAAUGCAAUGUCUAAUUUGAAGAGGUUUUCUUAAUGAAAUAUUAUAUGCUAAACAACGAAACAAAUACAAUAAACAGAUCAUUUAAAGUCAGGAAGCACAAUGACGAGUGAGAAACAGGGUAAUUCCAUAAACAUUAAUUUUUUUGACUAUGAGUUGCUCUAAAGGAAAAACAUAGAAAGGAAAGGAUUAAUUCCAUAACUAAAGGGAUCCUACUCUCAGAAAGAACAUAAAUGACUUAUCAAAAAAGUCACAUUACAAUUUUCUUUUUGAAUCUAAUGAGGGAAUUUUUCUUUGGUGGGCUCUCUUUCAAAGUCAUUUGAUUCACCGUAUAUCAAAUAGACAGCUGUGUUCUUCACCACCGAUCCAUAACCAAAAGUCACAAAAAUCUCUACCUUGUCUCCAUAUCCUAAAUUUGACAUUAUCCCAUGCCAAUCUUCAUCAUUAAAGGAAAUUACGGUCCAUCGAUUGUGUAUCAGGCAUGUGCACUUUGUGUAAUUAACAAUUAAGACACUAUCAAGACAUUCAGGUUCAAUGAUUUCAUGAUUUGAGAAAUAAACAACCCACAAAGCCAUUCCCUUCAUUUCACGAUCUCCAGCUACAGUGAAAGAAACAGAAUGUCCCUCACCUUUAUGGCUCAACCAAUAAGGAUCGUUGUCACCCGGGAGAGAAACUUCACUAGAAUCACUGCUUCUCGAAGCCUGUAGUACCAUGGGAUAAAAAUUUAAAUAAGAACAAUGUAAUACAAAUUAAAAUAUACCAAUGGUAAUUAAUCUAAACAAAUCUGGUUAAUAGUUUUUUUGUGUGUAUAAAUCACCAUCAUAUGCAUUUCAGUUUUCAUCUCUUUCAGUAUAUUUCUACGAUGACUCGCAAUAAAACAAUCAUGAAGCAAGUAAAGCAAGUGGAAAUCAAUAUUUUAGUACUUAGUAUAAGCAUAAGCACUUGGUUAGUUGAUUGUUCUUUUUAUUAAUAAUAUUUUGUCCCAAGAGGUAAGACUCAAAUGCAGGUCUCAUGAGUACGCAUCGAAUUUUUUAACCACUGCAUCAACAAAAAGAUUAGUUAAUUGUUAAAAUAAGAAACUUUUAGAUGAAGUUGUGUAGCAAUAGAAGCGAAGGGUGUUGAAAGUUUAAUACUGUAGUUUCCGAAAGAUACUUCUUUAGGAAUAUUUAUGUGUUCUCUUAAUUAACAGUUAAAUGAUGGAAAAGGUAAUAAACAAAGGGAAAGCUAGAGAAAAACCUCUGAUAUGCUAUUGCUGGCAGUAUUGAAGAAUUCAUUGUAUCUUCCAAGACCAAUCACAGAAGAUCUUAAGUGCUCCUUUGAAAUUCCUGAUUCUGUAGUACUUAGACCAUAAUCGAUCAGAAUAGUUUCUACUUGCUUAGAUAGUUGAAACUGAGAGUCACAUAGCACCAAAACACUUCGAAGAUUUGCAAGGCUGCUAAGCAAUGGCGCAAUAUCAUCCCAACUAUUAUCUUCCAUAUCCGUGCAAAAAUGAAUAUAAGAUAGGGGAUUAAUAGUUGGUGACAUCCAAGACCGAAUGAUAGAAGAGAAAAUAUUAUGUGACAAUCCCUCAAAUUCACGUGGAGAUAUAUAUCCAAUGCAUUUUGAGCUUACAAUUGAAAAAGGCACUUGUUUAACAGUUAUAUUUUCAGAAAUUAGUGUUAUCAAGGAUUCCAUUUGCACUAUAUCUUUUUCUAAUAUUUCAAUCUUGGAACAACCAGAGAGAAUGAGAGUAUUUAAAGAUUUCAACUUAUAUAUCUCUCUGGGGAGAGUGUUUAGACUUGUACAGUCCUUCAAAUUUAGCAGUAUAAGAUUGCAGAGACAUCCAAUAGAUUGGUGUACUUCGCGCAAUCUUGGACAAUCUUUCAGAAUGAUCUGUUCAAGACUUGGUAAUCCAGAAAAGUCGGGGGUUUCAGUCAAGUACACGGAGUGACUAAGAUUAAGGACUUUUAGCCACCUCAAAACCUGCAUCGAGAUAGUAUUUUUGAUAAAUAUUAAAUAAGAAAAUAAAAUGAAACAGUAGUAGUAGGUUACUAUUUUCAUUUUAGUUAAGCUUUGUAUUUUAAUAGAAAACGGCAUGUAAUAAAAACCUUGGCUUCUUUCCAGACGAAUUGAAGAAGACUGUGUUUUAAAUCAAUGGCUACUGCAUCAUGCAGAUAAAAGUGGUUAGGUAGGUAUUCUGAAGAAAACCCGUGCAAACUGAUCCAUCUCAGAUUCUUAUAACGAUGAACAUAAUUUCCAGCAAGUUGUAUUUGAUCUUGUCGCAGCAGUCUUGAUUUGGAAGAACGCAGUUUCACAAACAAUCCGUCAAUGGCUUCUGUACCCUGUGAUGAAAGGAGCAUAGUAAACCAAAUUUAUUGCAGACCAGGAAGCAAACACUUCCAAAAAGAAGUUUCAAAACCAUAUAUAGAGAAUGUUCUUACUGUGGUAUCUGUCAAUACAUAUCCCGCAUCCUCAUCAAUCCAGCGUCGACUGUUCUUCCCAGAAUCCUGUCUUGAAAUUUCACGAAUAAUUUCUCUUCCCAUUUCUCGUAGCAAAGAAUGCAUUCCUAAUUUGUUGUUGUUUUUAACUUGUAUGAGGCUACGCUCUAUGAGAAGUCUUAUUCCACUAUCAGCGUCUGCUCCACACCUACUUAAGAUCUUGGUAACAUAAGCUCUGCCUUUACCAACAAAGAAACAACAUACAUCAAGGAAUAAAUCUUUUACAAUUUCAUUGCGUAAACCGUCGAAGCUUAUUUUCAAUUUCCGUUGAAGAUCGUGCUGGGAAAUAUUGUCUAAUCGUAACAAUACUGUAGUCCAUUCUUUUUUCGUCCUUUCAUGUAAAUAAGUUCCAAUGACUUCAAGAGCUAGAGAUAGUCCUCCACAAUAAGUAACAACUCUUUCUGCAAGGAAAUGAUAUUCUUCUUUUGGUUUUGCUUCUCUAAAUGCGUGCCAACUAAGAAGCUCAAGGGACUCGUUUGCGUUCAUUAGCUUUAUACGAAUAACAGAAUCAACUUGAUGUAUCCUGAGUAGGUCUUCAUCUAUGGUUGUAAUGAUUAUUACAGUUCCUUCACCGAACCAUGCACGACUUUCCCAUAGGUCUAAUAAUAAGGGACAAUAGAGAUUCACAUCGUCAAGUACAAUGAGCACUCUUUUCCCAGCAAGUCUUUCCCUAAUCAUACUUGUUCCCAUCUCAACGCUAUCUAUCUCCACCUUUGUUUUUAAGAAAUCUGAAAGAAGUUGUCCUUGUAAAUGAACAUCCCCUCUCGUUCGACUAACUUGUGCAAUAUCUUCGAUGAAACUUUUCUCCUGGAAUGAACCAUGAAUUUGAUGGUAGAUGGCUUUGGCAAUGGUGGUUUUACCAGAUCCUUCCAUUCCACAUAUCGCUAUCGUAAAAACUUGCGUGGAUUUAUUUUUGAUGGUUCGAAUCACAUCUUCCACACGGGAUUGUAAACCAACUGGAAAUUUAGUAGCAGACAAGAGUGGUAAAUUAAGAAUGGUCUUAACAAUUUUGUCCACUAGUUCAGCAUCACUCCUUCAAGGUCAAUAACAAUUAUAGAAGCUUAGGCUUUGAGCAGAUGUUAUAAACAGGGAUUUCACUGGAUAAUGUAAUAGGUUUUUUUAUGUGCUUCUAGCCCACUUUAUGCAGGGUUUGUAUAAGGGUUGAGACACCCCUAAAGUGUCCCUUAAUUUAAUUUUAUUAAUUCUUUGCUAAAAAAAAACCAAAUUUGAAGUACAAGCUUAGUAAGUGAGUGAUUUACCUGUAAUUGCUCUCAUCCCAUCCAAAUAAAUUUGCAGCUUUGGUGAGUGCGUAGCUCCACCUCCACAUGCCAUGCUCCAGUUGUUGUCCUGAGAAUGUUUGCUGAGCAGUUGCUUUGAAGGCUUCACCAAAAUCACCCAUCUGAAGACGAACAUCAGAUGGCUGGAUUUCGUAAUAAACGGGCAGAACAUGCCGGCAAUAAGUUUGGUGCCAUUUGAUGAUUUGUUGAAGCUGAUGAAGACACCAAGCAGAUUGAGAAUAGGAUUUGGUGAAAACAACCAUGGCUACACGAGAGAGAUUGAGAAUAGGUUGUUGGAAGUGAAUUGGGUUGAGAGCAUUGGGGUGGUGAAGGAAAGUGGUGAAGCCAACAGCAGAGAGGGCAGAAUCGAGAUGAGAAACAAAUUUCCUUUGAAUGUCUUCUCCAUUAAAGUUUAUGACCACAUCGUACAUCCGUGGGAGUUUGGAUGAUGAAGACUUCAAUUCCAUGGAAGGAAUCGAUGAGUUGAUCAAGUGUUUAGAAGAGAAAGCAAUAAUGUAACAUAGUCAAAGAGAUAAUCUGUACAGACACAAAACCAUUCAAGUAGGUGGAACAUUGAUGUUUCUUAAUAGUCGUGCGCGUUAAGAUAAGAAACAAAUAUUACAUGAACAACAAUAUCUAAUUCUAAAAGUCCAAACAAUUCUUUAUUUUUACUGAUUUAAUCAUAACUUGGUGUAAACAAUUAUUUACGAUGAGAUCAAAGCAAUUACUGAAAAUUUUAUGAUACAUUUCGGAUGCAUCUUGCACUCGUAACCAUUGCGCUUGUCAACUCUAUAUUAUACUCAAUGUUGUUUUUAGUUUUUGUUGUUAUUCUUUAUUACAAACCUGUUUUUUUUUUUUCAGCAAAGAAUAAAUAAAAUAAAAUGAGUCACUUCAGGGGUGUCUCAACCCUUAUACAAAACUCCAAAAAACAGGUUUCCUAGAACCCUACCAACUAAAGAUCCAACAAACAUUGUACUACAGAUCAAGCUAAAAUCCCAGACAAAGGUAAAGAAACCCAACAAAUACAGUUAAAUCACCCCACCAGAGAUGUCACACCCUCAAACAAGGACAUACAUCCAACAACUAAACAAGGUCUUUGCCAUCAAGUUGGAGGACCUUACCCAAGAGUCAAACUCAACAAAGCAAUACAAGACACACCAUCCAACAACUAAGUCAUAACUUUGAACCGACUAAGUUGUACCAAAAAACAAUUGCUAACAAUGACAAACCAAUUCUUAUACGAAGGAUACGUAAGCCAAAAAAAAAACCUUACAAAAAACACAUAUCAUCCUCCCGAACUGGCCACAAUAGUAACCAAAACACGCCAGAUAACCUUUUGCCACAUUUCAAACACUGUAAAAUAUCCAGCACCAAACCAAUAAGCAUACAAAAACACUUCCUUUACUGCAGCACAGAGCAAAGUCAUCAAUCUGACCCUGCCAAAAAAGAAUGACCAAGACACCUGCAUAACCACACAAAACCUUCCAAGCCUCAGUCCAACCUUGCCAGAUAGGAGUUACCGAAGACACCUGCACAAACCUCACCACGACUACCAAGACUGGGAAAAAACAUUAGUUAAAAACACAAAAAAUCAGACUUUCAAAUACCUCAUACAACAAAAAGGUUCCAGACACCAGUCUGAGUAAGAGAAAAUAGUCGAUUUUUCUUUUAUUGUGACCCAAGACCAAGUCUUCCUUUGUACCACGGUAAAAACCUCCACAAGAUCCACCCGUCCAUUCUCAAACACAACCCUAUUCUUGUGAUUCCAAAUUUCACUCACAAUACCUACCCAAAUACCCCCCCAGCACCUGGUAACUGCGUGGUUCAAACCAAUAGGUUUGAACAUCCUAAAAUGCUUUUGUGCGUCUCAAUGAAGCACCAAAGGGAGCCCCAGCCAAGUUAGACACAAACCCCAAAUUCUCCUAGAUAUCUUACAUUCAAAAAAAUAAGUGUCUUACCGACUCUUCUUCGACACCACACAGGGGGCACAGAUCACUCGUCAAAGGAAUGCCACGUCUCAAAAGAUUGUCCUUAGUAGGAAUGGCAUUACGUAACACCCUCCAAGUCAUAAAAUGUGCCGAAGGUAAGGUCUUUAGAGCCCAAAAAUUUGCAAACAAAUCCUCCCCCACUACAAGCUCCUCCCCCUUGAGACACUUAUAAGCUGCCUUCACAGAGAAGGGAGAGUCGUUGAGGAUGUUCAUGGAAGGCUUUGAUACAUUGGUGGAAAAGUUUGGUGCUCAGUUCGCAACCAGUCGUCCUCAUCAUCUAACCUCGAUUGCCUUGGUAAACAUAAGGCAAGAGAAGGGAGAGUCGUUGAGGAUGUUCAUGGAAUGCUUUGGAAGAGUUGCCCUGGGAAUUCAAAAUCUCAGCCCAGAGGUUACCAUGCAUCAUAUGAUAACAGCGUUGAAACCGGGACCAUUUGCUGACAGUCUUUGCAAGAAACCCGCGACCAAUUUGGAUGAGUUAAGACAGCGAGCAUCGAAAUUCAUGCAAAUGGAAGAGCUGAGAGAGUUUCGAAAUCAGGUAAGGGUUGAUGGAGGUGAAAAGAAGGCGAUAGAAAGAGAAAGUGGACCUAUGGCUAGAAGAGCUAGAGAAGAAUUUAGAAGCCGAAAGUUCCAGCAAUACACACCCUUAAAUACAAACAGAACAAGAGUCCUGUAGGAAGCCAUGGCGGCAGAGAUAAUACCACCACCUAGAAAAGCAAGAACACCGGACAGGGCAGACCACACUAAACAUUGUGAAUAUCAUAAAAAUCAUGGUCAUCAUACAGAAGAAUGUAUUGGGUUGAAAGAUAGGAUAGAGGAAUUAAUUCAAGCUGGGCAGUUGAAACGUUUUGUUCGAGGAGGAAAUACAAGACUGAGGUUAAGUCCGGAGAGAGGUUUGAGAGGGGGUGAGAUAGGAGAGAGAAGGGUGGAGAGAUUUGAAAGAAGAGAAAAUAAAAGAGUAGAAAAGAGAGAUGAUAGAAGGGGUGGAAGGCCGGAAGGAAGAAAUGAUAGAACUUAUCAAAACACGCAGUCAGUAAGGCGGAGUAGGGAGCGAAGUUUGGGAAGGCCUGUCAAGGGGUUUAUAAACACAAUUUCAGGUGGUUUCUCUGGAAAGGAAUCCUCAUCAGCAAGGAAACAACAUUGGAGAAGUAUCAGAACCAUUAAUCAUAUUUUCAAAAGAAGAACUUUGCCACCAAUGCUUUUUACAGAUGAAGAUUUUCAAGAAAUUGAUCCUGAUCACGAAGACCCUAUGGUAAUAACGAUAGAAAUAGCCGAAUAUGCCGUCAUGAAAACCUUGGUUGAUCAGGGGAGUUCAGUUGAUAUUCUGUUUUGGGAUACUUUUAAAGGUUGCAUUUAAGAGAAGAAGAUAUUGUACCUUUCCGAGAACAAAUCAUUGGCUUCUCGAGGGAGAGAGUUAGCACGAAAGGAUACGUUGAUUUGAUGACAACAUUUGGAAGAGGCAGUAAAACUAAAAAGAUCAAAAUCAGAUACUUGGUGGUGGAUGCUUCUACAUCAUACAAUGUGUUGUUGGGGCGAUCUUCUUUGAACAAGUUGGGAGCAAUAGUCUCAACACCACACUUAGCCAUGAAAUUUCCAAUAGAGAAGGGGGAGAUAGCAACGGUCUAUGUCAAUCAAAAAGAUGCUCGAGAGUGUUAUGCAGCGGGUUUGAAGAUGAAUUUGAAAGCAAACAAAGAUACUGAAAGAAUGGUGGCAAUGGCAGAUUUGGACCCAAGAUUAAAUGACAAAAGGUUAGAACCAAAAGAAGAGACCACAACUGUGGUAUUGGGCCAGGACAAGAAGCAAUGCACUUAUAUAAGUGGAAGUUUGCCCGAAGAAUUGUUGAACAAACUUAUCACAGUGUUACGUAACAACAAAGACUUAUUUGCUUGGAAACCAUCUAAUAUACCUGGAAUUGAUCCGGAGGUAAUUCGUCACAAAUUGUCUGUGUGUCGAGAAGCGAGACCGGUAUCUCAAAAACGAAGAAAGUUGGGAGAAGAAAGUCGAAAGGCAGCAAUUGAAGAAACCGAGAAGUUGAUGCAAGCUGGUUUCAUUAAAGAGGCUCAGUACACGACAUGGUUAUCCAAUGUGGUACUUGUUAAGAAACCGAAUGGAAAAUGGAGAAUGUGUACAGACUAUACAUACCUGAAUAAAGCUUGCCCGAAAGAUACAUAUCCAUUACCCAACAUAGACCAAUUGGUGGAUGGGGCGUCUGGACAAGAGAUGAUGAGCUUUCUCGAUGCCUAUUCAGGGUAUAAUCAAAUACAAAUGUAUGAACCGGAUAUUCCAAAAACAACUUUCACCACAGAUACUGCAAAUUAUUGUUAUAAAGUCAUGCCUUUCGGUUUGAAGAAUGCUGGAGCAACAUAUCAAAGAUUGAUGGACAAGGUGUUCAAAGAUCAAAUUGGAAAGAACAUGGAAGUGUAUGUUGAUGAUAUGGUUGUGAAAUCAGGAGAGGUAGAGAAACAUUUGGGAGACCUUGAGGAAGUGUUUGCACGCAUAAGAGAGUACAAUAUACGUCUCAAUCCAGAAAAGUGCGUUUUCGGCGUCAAAGGUGGAAAAUUUUUGGGCUUCAUGCUAACCAACAGGGGAAUUGAGGCAAAUCCUGAUAAAUGCGAAGCAAUAAUGAAGAUGGGAAGUCCAAAAAACUUGAAGGAAGUGCAAAGACUAGUGGGAAAGCUAAACUCAUUGUCAAGAUUUUUACCAUUAUUGGCUGAAAAAACUAAACCGAUAGUAAACUUGUUAAAAAAAUCCGAAACCUUUGAGUGGAGUGAGAGGUGUGAGCAAGCCUUUUCUCAAAUCAAAAGUAUGGUAGCUGAACCACCAAUCUUAGUUAAACCUGUGUGAACCCAACCCGUCAUAGUGUACUUAGCAACUUCAAAUGAAGCCAUAGGAGCAGCAUUGAUCCAAGAGAACCCGGAGCAAAAACCGAUAUAUUUUGUAAGUAGAUCCCUCCAAAAUGCCGAAACCAAAUACCCCAAGGUUGAAAAAGUUGCCUUAACACUGGUGUAAACCGCGAGACGUCUUCGGCCAUAUUUUCAGAAUCAUCAGAUAAUUGUGUGGACAGAUUAUCCAAUAUCUAAAAUUUUGAGAAAACCAGAACUUGCAGGUAGAAUGGUGACAUGGUCAAUGGAGCUUUCAGAAUAUGGAAUCAAAUAUGAACCAAGAGGACCAAUCAAAGCCCAAUCCCUUGCGGAUUUCAUCAUCCAGAUGCCGACAACAACGUAGCAGGAACAGUGAAUAUUAUAUGUAGAUGGCACGUCAAGCAAAAAAGGAAGCGGAGCAAGGAUAGUACUUGAAGGACCAGACAACUUCCAAAUAGAGAUGGCAUUGAGAUUCGAGUUCAGAACAUCCAACAACCAAGCCGAAUACGAAGCUCUUGUUGCAGGAUUAUUAUUGGCUAGAGACAUGGGAGUCGAAAAUGUCAUUUGCAAAAGUGACUCUCAACUCUCAGUGGGACAGGUACGAGGAGAUUAUCAGGUAAAAGAUCCAUUAUUAAUACAAUAUUAUCAUAAGGUAUUAAAUAUUAUGCAAUGAUUCAAUAAGGCCGAAAUAAAAUAUAUUCCGAGAGAAUUGAAUAUGAAAGCAGAUUCAUUAUCCAAAUUAGCAAGUCAACAACGACAACUACAACAUAACUCAGUCAUACAACAAACCCUCAGUCAUCCGACAGUUGGUUUAGAGGAAUGCUUCAAUAUUGCAACAUCAAAAUAUGAAUGGAUAAAAACAUAUAUAGAAGUGAUAAAGAACCAAGAGCAAGGUGUUGAACUGGAUACAAAAAUGACAAAGAAAGUAGCUAGUUUUCUCUUAAUUGGAGAUGAACUCUACAAAAGAGGACAUUCAAUGCCUUUGUUAAAAUGUCUCUCAAAAGAGCAAGCUCAGUGUGUAGUGAAAGAACUUCAUGAAGGAAUUUGUGGAUUACACUGUGGAGCUCGGACAAUGGCAACAAAAGUUUGCAGAGCCGGAUAUUACUGGCCAACACUCCGAGAAGAUUGCGAAAUCUAUGUUAAAACAUGCAAGAAAUGUCAAGAGUUUGGAAGUUUAAAUCAUAUACCAGCACAAGAGUUGCAAGGAAUUGUUUCUCCAUGGCCAUUUGCAAAGUGGGGAAUCGAUAUACUUGGUCCAUUUCCACUUGGAGGAGGACAAACUAAGUUCAUGAUAGUAUCUGUAAACUACUUUACAAAAUGGAUAGAAGCAGAAGCAUUGACUAAGAUAACAGCUCAGCAAGUUCAAACGUUUGUAUGGAAAAAUAUAAUAUGUCGAUUUGGAAUCCCACACACCAUUAUAACUGACAAUGGCCGACAAUUCAUUGACAAAAUCUUAUGGAAUUUUAUGCAGAUUUGGGAAUCAAGUCAACAAACACUUCAGUUGAACAUCCGCAAACGAAUGGACAAGCAGAAGCUGCAAACAAAGUUAUUCUCAGACAGUUAAAGAAGAGGUUAGGAAGCGCUAAAGGUUUAUGGGCAGAGAAGUUGCCAGAGAUAUUAUGGGCAUAUAGGUGCACACCACAAACUUCAACUGGUGAAACACCAUUCAACCUCACGUACGAAACAGAUGCAAUGCUACCCGUAGAAGUAAAUGAACCAACACUACGAAGGCAAAUAGAAGACUGGAAUAUUAACAAUGAAUGUCUGAGGACCGACCUUGAUCUUAUUGAAGAACUUAGAGAGCAAGCAAAAAUAAAAGAGGCAACAGUAAAGAGAAGAGCGAUGAAGAGGUUCAAUGCGAAAGUAAAAUUAAGAGACUUUAAAGAGGGGGAUUUGGUAUGGAGAAUGCGAACUGAUGCACGAAAAGAUCCGCGACAUGGAAAGCUGGCAUCUAACUUGGAAGGUUCGUUCAGGGUACUAGAAAAUUUGCAAAAUGGAGCUUAUAGAUUAGAAACUUUGGAAGAAAAAGUGAUACCAAGAACAUGGAAUGCAAGUCAUUUAAAGUUUUAUUUUAGUUAAAGUAGAAGAUAUAAAAAGAAGACUUUUUGUGUACAUACUUAUCAAUUAAUGAAGAAGAAGCAUUAUCAAGUGAUAAUUUAUCUCGUUCACUUUCAUUUAUUCGGUCUUGGAUGAUUUCACUCCAAGUGAAAACCCACCCGAAAAAGCAUCUACUUAUAAUACCUUCGGUCUUGGAUGAUUUCACUCCAGGUGAAAACCCACCCGAAAAAACAUCUACUUAUAAUACCUUCGAUCUUGGAUGAUUUCAUUCUAGGUGAAAACCCACCCGAAGAACACAUAUACUUAUAUUACUUUCGGUCUUGGAUGCUUUCACUUCAAGUGAAAUCGCUCCCGAAAGAAUAUUCCUUAAUAAAACUAUCGGUCCUAAAUGUUUACAAUUCAAGAGAAAUUCCUCCCCAGCAAAAUUUUUUUCAUAUAAUUCUUUCGGUUUCAAAUGCUUUCACUUUAGGUAAAAUCAUUUCAUGUAAAUACUUUUGCCAUAAACUAUUAUCUCGUGACUUAAAAUAAUUGUCGAAUAGUGAUGCUGAAAAAACAAAUAGCGAAUGUUUGCUACAUCGAAUAAAUUAGACUAAGAUAUACUUCACAGCAUAAUAAGCCGAAUAUUAAAGUCGAAAACGUGAGAUAAAAGUAUCUUCGAUUGAAAGAAUAAAUCAAAAUCUAAAUCACAAGGAAGUUGUUUUAUUUCGGUUAAACUAAAAAUCGAUACUAAAACCGAAAGGUGAAAUUUGACAUUAAUUGUAUUAGGUUGUCUAAACUGCAUCUUUCAUUCAUAUUUAUUCCUGUUAAAAUUAUCAACUAGUAAACCAUUAGGUUACAUUAAAAUAUUCUAUAUAACUUGAUAUUAUAUAUUCACAAUUCGACCAAAAGAAUUCUUUGGUCUUCUAAGAAUUCUUUUUAAUGAUUGCAUUUCGGGCGGAAAAUCCACCAUUUUGAACACUUUAAAAUAAAAACCGAAAGGUUGUCUCAGUGCUUUGAAGUUAUAAAAACCGAAAGGUAGUCUUAUUUUAAGGUUAUAGAAACUGAGAAGUAUAGUUAAGCACUCAUAACCAAAAUAUGGCAUUUAAAACAUUUUCAAUUAAAUGACUGAAAGAUUAAGCAUCCAGAGGUUAAAACCGAAAGGUUUAUCGUGACAUUUAAUUGUAACCGAAAAACAAAAUUAAUCAUGCAACCGAGAUGUCACGGUCGCGAGUUCAAUGAUAGCCGGAAAAUGAGAAACAUAAAGUAAUAUCCAAUAAAUAACAAACAAAAUAACACAAAUUAAAAAGAAACCGAUAAACUUUAUACGUGCUAAGGUUUCAAAAAAGGGAUUACAUUAAGAAUGCAAAUAUCUAUACAUAGAUCAGCAUUCCAAAACAAAUUCACUCUCGUUAACUAAACCGAGAGCUAUAAACAAAAAUAAGAGCAUAUAUCCAUCUAGCUCUCAGCAUCAACAUCAUUAGCAUCAUCCUCUGGAAUUUCAUUAACAGGUACUAAGUUACCAUUAUAGAAAUCUUUAAUGACAUCAAAAUUGCCUUCAUCUAUGGGAAUCUUGUAGAAAUAUUUUGCCUGUGCCAAAGCCUUUGCAAAGCCUAGCUUAUGCUGCGCCAAAAUAAAGUUUUCAGCUUCAAAAACAUCCACCUUCAACUGCUCAAUUUCAUCUUCCAUACCUUUAAUAGUGUUGGUAUUACAAUCCUUCACCGAAGAUAACUCCGAAACUUUCUUCUCAAGAAGUUGAUUAUUAUUACGAAGAUCAUUGAUUUCUUCACCAAUUUUCGAACUCGCGGCCUCCAAAUCAGAAACUUGUUUCUCAAGAUUUUCUUUUUCUAUCCCUUGUUGCUUGCUCUGCAAACUCAUCUCUUCCAAUUGCAAACUUAGUGCAGCAUUAUUCUCAUUACUCUCGGAAAAAUCAUUCUUUAAUUUUUCAAAUUCAGCAAGAGUCACACAAUUGCCAUUCUUUACUUUCAGCAUUUUACCAAUCAAAAACGUCCUACUCGAAAGCUCGACGAUAGAAUCAGCUAAAGAAGCAGAAUCCUCAGCUUUCAACAGGUUAUAUGACGACUUAGUAAACGAAGUUUGAACAAACUUGGCAUACUUCAUAGAAGCACCAAAAAUGGAUUCGGGAAGAGGCUCAGUUGAAACAUCCUCACAAUGACGAUGACGUCGAGAAGAAGAAUGUGAUUUUUUGCUACUUCUACCACGUUUCUUGGACUUUUUCGAAGGACCAGCAACAUGGUCAUCCUUCGCAGUUUCAAGGGCUUCAGUACGAGAAAGAGGUUCCACAAUUUCCACCUCCAAUACCGGAUUGACCACAUUUUUACGCCGCGGAGUAACAUCGCCAGUUCUGUUAAGAAGUUUUGUAAAAGAUGAACGACCUUUCGGAUUGAUGGCCGCCAUUAAUGCUGAAAAUCAAUGAAAAAUUUAGCAAAGUUAAAAAUCUCAAGCUAUAAAACAAGAAAAAAGCGAAACAAUCACAUACCAAUGAAAUCCUCUUGCGGACUCUUCGAAGUAUACAACUGUAGUAAAGCGCGAGUGGGAAUCCGAUACGAGAAAUGACCAAAAACUUCAAUAACACGACGAUCAGCAACAUUCAUCGAGUGGCAAGACCACGAAUUGAACUUUAAUGGAUCUUGCGUCCAAUACAAGGGAAAUUUUGGAGUGUCCCCAUCAAAAAAAUACUCUCUUCCUUCGGGCUCUAUUAGGAUCUUGAAAAACUUUCCUUUAAAAUCAUUAUAUGACGACGUAAAGGGCUUAAGAAAGCAAAUAGCAGACUUGUUGAACCAAGUGAUGUUCAAGCUUUGAAGAAUCCAAAUCCUUUGAAGGAUGUUGAAGCCUCUACUAUGCAUGUUGUUGAUGUGCUGGUUUAGUCUAGUUCUGGGGUAGUUUAUAUGUUGUAAUCCACCCUUUGAUUAAAUCUAAAAAUUAGCAUUCUCAAUCUUUGUGAAAGUAAAAUGUUUUCAAACUAAGUUAAAACAACCGAUUAUUUUCUCGAAACAACCGAUUGUUUGUACUUAGGUGUUUUGAGAAAAAGAUUGAAAACUCUUUUUAAAAUGGUUGAACUGUUAAGUACCAAAACAACCAAUUGAUUCGAGGAAACAACCGAUUGUUUGUUUUGGGACCAUAACAGAAAAACUGUUUUAGCUUUGACUGAGCUUUAAAUGUUUUAACUGCUUAAGCUCCAGUCAUUAAAUGCUUUGACCAAUCUUUAAAUCCAUAUUAAGAGUUUGUUAGGAUUUGAUAACAAACUACAUCUUUGAAUAAAUUUAGAAAAACAGAUUUAACAAUUAAGAAUCUUUGACAAGUUUUUGCUAAGAGUUUUUUUUUUAGUUUUUCAAAGAGCUGAGAUUGCUAAGAGUUUGUGAUUGAUCAAAGUGUUGGAAUAGGAUUCUGCUUGUAUUGAUUUCAGAUUAUCUUCUGUAACAAGUGUAAUCCUUGUACUCUGUUGAACAAGUUUUGUUUCUGUGUUUGCUGAAAUUGGUUGUGUGUUCUUGAGGGGUUCAAGAUCAGCAAUCUUAGUGUUGGCAAAUGAGAGUGUGUUUCUUGAGGUGUUCAAGGUCAUUCUCUUGGUUGUUAAGUAAGUGAUCAAGUGGUGAUUGCUUAGUGGAUUUCCUCAGGGUUUCUGAGAAGACUGGAUGUAGCUCUGGGUUUGGAGUGAACCAGUAUAAACAAUUGUGUACAAUCUCUCUAUCUCUAACUCUUUAAAUUCAGUUUAUUUGUUGUUUGCUGGUAUAAACAACCGAUUGUUUCUGCGAAACAACCGAUUGUUAUUGCGAAACAACCGAUUGUUAUUUUGGUACUACAACUUUUGCUUGCUGUUUUGGCGAACUGAAUUUCUGAAUCAAUUGUUUUCUGAGAUAAAUUCAUUCUUGUUUUAAAAGUUUGCGAAAACCCUCUUUAAAGAAUUCACCCCCCCCCCUCUAGUUUAAAGCCAUCUUUUCUAACAAUUGGCAUCAAGAGCUUGGUUCUUGAAAGUUAUUCAAGUUGAUCCUAAAAAUCUUUUUUUAAUGGCUGAUAGACUACCUUUUGGAAAAGGUGCUUCAAUUAACAGACCACCUUUGUUUUGUGGUUUGAACUACCAGUUUUGGAAAGUAAGAAUGAAAAUAUUUAUGGAAUCUCUUGACAAAGGAAUUUGGGAUGCAAUUGAAAAUGGUCCUUUUGUAUCAAAGUUUGAAAAGGAUGGAUCUGUCAUUGAGAAACCAUGGUCUCAAUGAACUAAUGUAGAAAGCAAAAAGGCCAAAUUCGAUUGCAUUGCCAAAAAUAUUAUAACAUCUGCUUUAAAUUCUGAUGAGUUUUUCGGGGUCUCGCAAUGCAAAUCAUCAAAAGAAAUGUGGGACACUUUGGAAGUCACUCAUGAAGGAACAAAUGAGGUGAAAAGAGCUAGAAAGCAUGUUCUUAUUCAAGAGUAUGAGAUGUUUAGAAUGCUUAAAGGAGAAACAAUUGCUGAGGUGCAGAAAAGAUUUGCGCACAUCAUCAAUCACCUAAUGAGCCUUGACAAGACCUUUGAUAAAGAAGAGCUGAACAUCAAGAUCUUGAAAUGUCUUGAUAGAGCAUGUCAACCAAAGGUAACUGCUAUUUUCGAAUCUAAAGAUCUAACAUCAUUAAGUGUUGCUUCUUUGUUUGGAAAGCUUUAGGGAACAUGAGCUAGAGAUGAAUAGGCUCAAUGUUCAAGAGAGUGAAGAUAAGCACACAAGGAGUAUAGCCUUGAAAGCAUCCAAGCACAAGGGAAAGCAAGAUUCCAGUGAUGAUAGUGAUGAGGAAAACCUUAGCUUGCUGUCAAGAAAAUUCAGAAAAUUCCUAAAGAGAAACCGCAACAAAGACAACAACAAGGAUAGGUAUGGAAACAAGAAACCCAAUGAUUUCAAUUCAAAUAACUAUACUUGUUUUGGUUAUGGUGAGCAAGGUCAUAUAAAGGCAGAUUGUCCAAACAAGAACAAAGAGAAAAAGACUAGCAACAAGUAGAAGAAAGGCAAGACAAAAAGAGCCUACAUAGCUUGGGAUCAAAAUGAGGUGUACAUCAAGUUCUUCAUCAAGUGAAGAUGAAAAGGCAAACAUAUGUUUGGUAGCUGAAAAUGAUGAUGAAUCUUGCAGCUCAAGUGAGGUAAGUUCAUGUGCUUCCUUAAAUGAACAAAAUUACAGUGAAUUACUUGAAGCUUUUCAAGAAACACAUGAUGAAACUAAUAGAUUGGUUCUUUCAAACAACCGAUUGAAAGAUCUUAACAGUUGGCUUGAAAAGAGAGUUAAAUCACUUGAAGAGGAUCUGGAAAAAUUAAAAAGUGAUUUUGAAAAAUUGGAAAAUCAUUUCAAAAAUGCCUCUUGCAAGUGUGAUACUCUCAUUUGCAAAAAUUGUGAAAAUCUUGAGGAAAAGGUUCACUAUCUUGUUGAAACUGUGGACAAGCUUUCAAAGGGGAAAUCAAACUUUGAGAAUCUCUUGGCAUCUCAAAGUUGUGUUUUUGAAAAGGCUGGUUUAGGCUUUAAUCCACAGAACAAGCAAGAUAAGUUUUCAAAAAGUUUUUCAAGAAAAUCAGAAAAACAACCGAUUGUUAAGACGAAACAACCGGUUGUUACAUGCUUUUACUGCAUGAAGAAAGGCCACUCUGUUAAAAUAAGAAAAUAUUCUGUUCCAAUAGGUUUUAUGAAAUGGAUUCCUAAGGGAUGUGAAGUUUCUAACUGCAAAGAAAAGUCAAACGGACCAAAAUUUGUAAGGGGACCAAAUCUUGCUGCUUGAAAUCUUUUAUGCAGGAAAAUUAAAGAAAAAGGAAGGACUGAGUCAUCUGAUCAAGCUGUUGAAGAAAAAGGCAGUCAUUGAAGCUGAAUCAAUGCUAUGCAAAAGACCUCAACAGUGAAAAGAGGCUUUUUGAUCAUAAAGCACAUGGCUCAUUGAAGAAUUAACAUAAGGAUAAGACUUUCCUUUAUUUGUUCUCAAUUUCUGUUUCAAAGUUCUUUCUUAUGGUUAAACAAUCUUUUUAUAAUCAAUGUCAUCUGCUUUGAACUCCUUCUGCUCAUGGUUAAAAUUCAAAAACAAGUUUUUAACUGCUGCAGAAAAACAACUGAUUGUUUCUUCGAAACAACCGAUUGUUUUGGGUCUGACACCACUAUGAAGAAAUUGUUUUAAUUGCUAUUUUAAAUUUCUAUCCGUUGCAGAUCAAUUCAAAGAGAGAAUCUUGGUGAAAGAAUCUGUGUUGAAAGUUGAUUAUGUUCAGUGAGAAGUUACAACAGUUAUAAAGGAAAAUAUUCCAAAAUCUUGGAAAUUUCAAGAGCCUUCAUGACUAGUUAAAGAUCACAUGUGUAGACCAUGUGAUUCUCAGCUUUUUCUGACAUUUUAUGUGCAGAGCAGAGUCAAGUCCUCUCUCUUUGAAAAUCAGGUACCCAUUGAAUAAAAUUAAAUGCAAAUUGAUUCUUUUACUGCUAUAAAAUCUGGUGCAGAUUUCUUCCACAAGAACAACCAAUUGCAACAUCUCUUGCAAUAUCUCUUGCAACAUCUCUUGCAAAAAUCUGUGAAGUGAGUUCUUCUCUGUUUUCUUCUCUGCCAAGCAUGGAAUCAACUCCUCCCACCUCAAAGAGAGUCAAAAACAGGGCUGUAAGGUUUGAAGGAAGGCUAGAAGGUUGGUUUUCUGGAGACAAUGAUCUUAUUGAGAAGUAUAGGUAUGAAACAAGUAUCAAGAAGAUAAACAACCCCAAGGUUGUAUGCUUUAAUUGGCUGAAAAGUAAAAAGCUUGAUAAUGUGAGAAGGCUGCUCAAGGAUCAAUCUCUCAGAAAGUUCCUGGAGAUGAAGGGAAACAUAUAUCCAGAUUUGGUGAGGGUGUUCUACACAAACCUAAAGUUUGAGGGAAACAAUCUAGUUUCUCAUGUGAAGGGUGUAGAAAUGGAGAUAACUCAUGAAGUAUGGACUGUUGUUGUUGGUCUCAAGUUCUCUGGUCUUAGAAUCAACAAGGGAAACCUUGGAGUGGUGGAGGAUUUUAACAAAAUCCAAUUCUACAAGAGUUGCUUGAAGAAUCAACAUGCUCAAGUAAGUACAUGCUCGGUUGGAGGUUUGAAGCUUGAUGAGAGAUUGCUUGCUCUCAUUGUAACUUGGAUUCUAACUCCAAGGGGGAUUAAUCAUUCUGUGCUAACUAAAGAAGAUCUGGUUUAUAUCUUCUGCAUCACCAAGAAAAUCAAGAUCAAUUGGAUCCACAUCAUCAAAGAGCACAUGCAAAAAGCCACGAGGUUAGGUGAUUAUCAUUAUCCAUAUGCUGUUUUAGUAUCUAAAUUUCUACUCUAUUUUGAAGUUAACCUUGAAGAUGAAACAUCUGAGUUGGUCAAGUCAACUUAAGAGUUGAACAAUGGAUCACUCAGCAAAAUGGGUUUUACAAAAGUAGGUGGAAAAUGGAUAAGCAAGGAUGGUGAUCAUGGUGCCUCAUCUAGUGGUGCUGCUAAUCUUGAACAAGAUGAACCUGCUGAUAUGGAUGUUCAACAUGAAGAUCCACCUGAAGAUUAUCAAGAUGCUGGACCAAGUGUUGGUGUUGGAAAUCAAGGAGAAAGGAUGCAAACCAUGUUUCCUUUUGAAAGACUCAUGGUGAAUAGGCUUGGUAGCUUUGCUGAAAAUCAAAGGAGCCUCCAUGAUCUCUGUGUUAGUAAUUUCCAAAGGAUUGACACCAGGUUUGACAACAUGGAUACAAGGUUUAUGACUCUAGAUGAACAGAUUGAAGUUGUCCAAUCAAAUCUUUGAUCUUCAGUUUGCUGAUGAAGAAGAAUGAAGGAAAAACAACCGAUUGGUUAUCGAAACAAUCGAUUGUUUUUGGCUGUUAUUUCUGGUUUUUAAAAUUUCUUUCUUUCUGUUGUUGCUGCUUUAAUUCUGAUGUAAUCAAAACAAUAUCUUGUUUUAUCUCUUAUAUUUGUCUAUUUGUGAAGACAAAUAGGGGGAGAUAUAUGUUGUGUUUAAGUUUCUGUUUUUAUUUGUUAAAACAGUUUGGGAUAUGUAAUAUUUUUCUGAUAUUUAGCUCUGAAGUUUAUUACUGUUUAUCUGUGCGCUAACAAAAUAUCAGAAGUUCUAUGUUUUGUUCAAAGUUCUAUUGCAAGAACUGCUUCAGAUUUAAUCAGGUACAACACAAGCAUAAGGGAUUUGUCUUCAUCAAAUAGGGGGAGAUUGUUGAACCAAGUGGUGUUCAAGCUUUGAAGAAUCCAAAUCCUUUGAAGGAUGUUGAAGCCUCUGCUAGUCUAGUUCUGGGGUAGUUUAUAUGUUGUAUGUAAUCCACCCUUUGAUUAAAUCUAAAGCAUUAGCAUUCUCAAUCUUUGUGAAAGUAAAAUGUUUUCAAACUAAGUUAAAACAACCGAUUGUUUUCUCGAAACAACCGAUUGUUUGUACUUAGGUGUUUUGAGAAAAAGAUUGAAAACUGUUUUUAAAAUGGUUGAACUAUUAAGUACCAAAACAACCAAUUGAUUCGAGGAAACAACCGAUUGUUUGUUUUGGGACCAUAACAGAAAAACUGUUUUAGCUUUGACUGAGCUUUAAAUGUUUUAACUGCUUACGCUCCAGUCAUUAAAUGUUUUGACCAAUCUUUAAAUGCAUUUUAAGAGUUUGUUAAGAUUUGAUAACAAACUACAUCUUUGAAUAAAUUCAGAAAAACAGAUUUAACAAUUAAGAAUCUUUGACAAUUUUUUGCUAAGAGUUUUUUUUUUUUUUUAAAAGAGCUGAGAUUGCUAAGAGUUUGUGAUUGAUCAAAGUGUUGGAAUAGGAUUCUGCUUGUAUUGAUUUCAGAGUAUCUUUUGUAACAAGUGUAAUCCUUGUACUCUGUUGAACAAGUUUCGUUUUUGUGUUUGCUAAGAUUGGCUGUGUGUUCUUGAGGGGUUCAAGAUCAGCAAUCUUAGUGUUGGCCAAGGAGAGUGUGUUUCUUAAGGUGUUCAAGGUCAUUCUCUAGGUUGUUAUGUAAGUGAUCAAGUGGUGAUUGCUUAGUGGAUUUCCUCGGGGUUUCUGAGAAGACUGGAUGUAGCUCUGGGUUUGGAGUGAACCAGUAUAAACAAUUGUGUACAAUCUCUCUAUCUCUAACUCUUUAAAUUCAGUUUAUUUGUUGUUUGCUGGUAUAAACAACCGAUUGUUUCUGCGAAACAACCGAUUGUUUUUCUGGUACUACAACUUUUGCUUGUUGUUUUGGCGAACUAAAUUUCUGAAUCAAUUGUUUCCUGAGAUAAAUUUAUUCUUGUUUUAAAAGUUUCCGAAAAUCCUCUUUAAACAAUUCACCCCCCUCUAGUUUAAAGCCAUCUUUUCUAACAGGACUUACUAAUCAAAGACAACCAACUCGGUCGUUUACCUGGCCGAGAGCUAUAAUAAUACAAAAAAGAUCUAGGACUUACAAUUUACACAAAAUGCUAAAAGCUUGCAUUGAUGCCCAACCAUUAGGAUGAAGCUGGGUGGGAGCAAUAUUAAGAAUGUUAAGAACGCCCAUUUGAAAAUCAUUCAAGGGAAAUCGAAUAUGGAGGUCCCUAAAAAAGCAAGCAUAAAAAUAAAAAAAUUCGUUGCUAUCGCCCUCUCGACCAUGAUAGACAUUAUCAACAUCACCCACACACCGAAAGGAAAUUAUAUCAUUCUCAAAAUCAGAAUAAUAAAUCUGAGAAUUAGAAACAAAAUCACGAAGCUCAUUAGCAGAGCGAUACUGAGAGAAGAAGUCUCGGACCUUAGGAUUAACCCAGUUGUAACCUGGACGAAGUGUCUUCCUUGGAGAAAUCAUUCUAACUCUUUCGGCAACAGUUGCGAUAACGGCAUCAUUUGAGUCUUUCAUACAAGAAAGGGUAGCAAAAGAAGACUUCGAUUCAAGAUCUUGUUCUCCUCGUACCUCUCGACCGGUGGAUUCACCACCCGUGCUUGACAAAUCACUCAGAUCAUCUGAACUAGAAGAAGAUUUCGGAUUAGACAUUGUUACCUUUGAAGGAAGAAGACUUCAAACGUCCUAGCUCUCCGCAAACAAUACAAACCGUAGAAAAUGAUAACAGCUUGAAUACAUUGCCUAUUUAUGAGCAAAACAAACCCUAGAUACUGAAAAGUCACAACCCUUCAAAGCCGUUCAAAAAAUCAAUCAUCUAAGGGUUCAAAGAGUCUUAAUGUCAAAUCAUUCAGUCUGAGAAAGCAAAACACAGUAAACGAGGCAUUUAAUUCAAAUCAAAUCAUAUCUCAAAACCAUAAUUUUAGACAUAAAAUUUUUUAUUUUAUUUCUUAAAAACUUUAAAUUAAAUUCUUUAUGCCUAAGGGGCCAGUGUACUGGUAGGCUAAAACCGAGAGGUUAAGCCGAAAGCUAAAUACUAAACAUAACCGAGAGGUUAUACACAAGUGUUGUGCUGAUAGGCUUUAGCCGAAAGCUAGAUACUACACAUAACCGAGAGGUUAUACAAUAAAAGAAUAAAACAAAAUAUAAAUAUUAUUAUAAUAAGGCCCAAAUAAGAUAGAAACCUGCAUUAGGGGGUGCGUAAAUAAUAAAAUGGUGUGGAAAGAAAGUCCAAAAGUAAAGUGGAAAGGCCAUUAAAGAUAUCCUAUAAAUAGGAGGUUAACGUAAGAAAAAGGUAAGAGUGGUUUUUAUCUGAAAAACGUUAAACUAUUUCUGACUUUGGCAUCGGAGCGACUUGCAGGUACACCCCCCCCCCCCCCAUCUGUGUGAAGGAGAAGCCGAGAGUACCCGCCGUAAGGAGAAGCCGAGAGCAGCCAACGUGAGAAGAAGCCGAGAGCAGCCAACGUGAGAAGAAGCCGAGAGCAGCCAACGUGAGGAGAAGCCGAGAGCAUCUGCCUUGAGGAGAAGCCCAGAGUAUCCAUCCCAAGAGGAAACCGAGAGAGUCUAGCCCAAGAUUGGAAGAUUUGUAUAAGAGUUAAUCUUGUCAACCUGAUUCUAGUGUUCUCGGUCCCUGUUGUAAGAACAUAUAUAUAUAUAUAUAUAUAUAUAUAUAUAUUCAAUAACAAAAAUAAUAAAUAUGAAUUAUUUUAGAGAUUUCAAUUCUUUCCCUACAAAAUUAUGAUUCCAAAAACAUUAGUUGAGUACCUUACAUCUAACCAAAACCAGUACCUAAUUCCAGAACAAAUUAACAAACUAAUCGCCUAGACCCUAUCGAAAUGCCUUGACUGUCUACACAAAAUACAAGUGUUUGCACUAAUAUAGAAACACCCCAAACUAGUUAAUGAAAUGAGAAGCCAACAUUCCUAUUUAUACCGUCAAUACAGUGAUUCCAUAUUGUUCUUACAAAGAUUAGAGAAGUAAUUAUUAGAUAUAUUGUUCUUGUCAAAUUAUACACCAUUAUAUGCAAUUAUACGCAAUUAAUUUGAUAAUGAUAGAAUCCCAUGAAUAGUGGUGGAUCACCGCUCCUUAAGAGUGGAACAUUGUCAAAAGGCCAAGAGCUUAUGUCUUCUUAAUUCUUAAACUUGUAUUUCUUUUUCACUUGAGUUAAUAUUUGGCUCCAUUUGAUGUCUUUUAAUGUGAAAACUCUCAUCUAUGCAAAGUUUAUGAGAUUAUCCUUAUUCUGUUUCUUUCUUGUCAUUAUUUCUUGAAGUGUGAAACAUUAUAAAUGUUGUGACAGAAAAAAUAACCGAUUGUUUUUACGAAACAACCGAUUGUUUCACCUUUGACAGCAUUGAUUGAAGGCUGGUUUAAUUCUCUGUGCAUUGGUUCUGUUGUUGAUUCCUUCCAAAGGUUGUUAUAAGUCUAAAUUGCAUUUAUUAUGACUUUGAAUCCGCUUUGGAAGGAAGUUAUGUUGGUCAUAAAUGGAAUAUAUUUCAUAUCUUUGUGGAAAAAUAAUUGAUACAAUAAACAUAAAAUAAUCCCUAAUUUAUGAAUUUAUACAUUUUUACAUAUUUUUAAAGAGACACUGACAUGUCACUGUACAUAUACAUGUCAGAUUUGUUAGAAUUUGUAGUUGGAGAUCAGGAGCUUAAUAUAAAUAUAAUUCAUUUUUUUAUAAUGUAAGUAUCUUUACCUAUGUUUUAGUUUACUUUAUGUUAAAUUAUUAUUGAUUAUGCUUUAACUAAUAACUUGUAGGUAUUUUUCUGAAGUUUCUAUCAAUGAAGGGAAUCAAGAUGUCUAUGGAUUCUUGGAUCCCUAUUAUAUUAAUCCAAUUGGAGCAAAGAAAUAUGAAACUCAGUCAUACAUCACUAACACUUUGGGAAAAGAGGGAAAACAAAUUUAACUUUGUCCUUAUAUUAAUGAGUAAGUUCAAUUAUAAGUCGUUAAUUAUUACUAUUUCAUGUUUUAAAUACUUACUAACUCUUUUCAUGGAUGAUAUAGGGAUCAUUGACAGUUACUUGUCUUGUCCAUAGUUGAUAAAACUGGUGUGUGGUUUUGUUCCUUGCACAAGAAGUCAUCCACACAUCUAAAGCAUAUAAUUGAUGUGUAAUUACACUAUAAACUUAAUUGCGUAUGUUACUUAAACAUCUACUAAUACAGUUUUUUGUAUUAAUCAGUUCAUGGCAUGGAUAUAACAUCCUCAAAGGUCGAUCCAAUUCAAAUUAUCAAAAUAUGACAUGGUUGAUACUAAAGGUUUGUAAUUUUUGUCUUUCUCUUUUCAUUGUUUAUCAAUAGUAACUUUUAAUUUUUAUUGAAUUAUAGUGUAAUACACAACCGAGAGGAUACGAGUGUGGCUAUUAUAUUGUGCAAUGGAUGAUUACCAUUGUAAGAGCAGAUAUUACAAGGGAUUAGGAGUAAGUAAUAAUAUUUAAAUUAUACUUUAUAAUUCUUUAACAUAUAUGUAUCUUAACACUAGUUAAAGUGAACCUUAUUUUGUAAUGUAGUUCUUUAUGGAAGAGAGUCCACUACCUUUGGCUGCCAUAGAAUAAGUGAGACAUGCUUGGACCACAUAUUUUCGUAAUUUCUAUAACUUUAGGAUAACUAAUCAAUAGUGUAGAAAUUAGAAAGAUAGAUAAAUAGGAAUAUGUUAUUAGUGUUUGUAAUACAUUUUUAUCAAUAUAUAUAAUUUGAUUCUCUGAAUUUAUGUAUUUGAAUGGCUGGAUUUUAAUUGAACAAAUCAAUUUAGAUGGGAAUUAACAUUAAACAAAAUGAACUAAAAAAAAAUUCCCAUAAAAACAGCAGUUAUGACCAAAACCGUCGUUUUAUACCUCUCGAGAGGGUAUAAAACGACGAUUAUGGUAAUAACCUCCAUUUUAGUGCAUCGUCUGUGCUGAGGUUGGGGAGGGUAUAAAACAGUGAUUUUUACCAGAACCUUCAUUUAAUAACUCAUGCAUGUAUUGUAUACAAGUUAUGAAAAGGUGUAAAACGGUGGUUAUGGUCAUAACCGUCAUUUUAGUGUGACAUUAACACAGAGUCAAAUAGUCAUCAUCUUUGUCUGAAGAGAAUAUACUACCUGCUAAAACACAGCGAUCCGAGAGCCGUUGUUUUGAUGCUAAAAUAAGUAUCAUUUUUCACCUUUUUUUUGCAGUAGUGAUUUAUACUCUAUUUAUUAAAUAUAUUAAUAAUAACUUAUUGAAAUUUAGAUAUAUUUGUGGAUUUUCAAUGAGGGGAAACAAGAUACGUAUCAGUUUUUAGACCCUCAACUCAUUCAAUCACUGGCUAACAAAAAGUCAUAAACACAAAUAUACAUCACCAUUGCCUUAAAGAAUAGAGGAAAAAAAAUUAUAUUGUUUUGUAUACCCAUGAGUAAGUCCAUAUUCAUUAAAUACGUUAUACUAAAUUAUGGAAAUAAGAUCGAAUAACUAAAUUUUUAUGUAGGCGUCAUUGGCAACUACUGAUUAUAUAUGUUCAAGAUUAUACCGCUGCAUGGUUUUGCAGACAAUUUCAUUUAACAUGUAUUAUUACUUAUACAUUACAUAAUGUUAUGUGUUAUAACAUGAAAUCUUAUUAUUUUCAGUGCUUAUUCUAGAUAUAACAUGUUGAGUAGGAGGGGAAGUGCAAACUCAAAAUAACUUACUUGGUUGCACCUUAAGGUAUUUAAAGUAUAUUUGUUCACUCACUUCAAUGUGUGUCAUCGAUUCAUUUAAUAACCUUUAUUUUGAUGUGUAGUGCAAUAAGCAAUCUAAAAAUUAUGAGUGUGGUUACUAUAUGAUGCAGUGAAUGUCAACUAUUGUGCGAGCUGAAAUAUAUAUAGACUGAGAUCAGGUAAUACAUCAAUACACAAAGACAUUAAAAUUUGGUGUUUAUUAUAUAUGAAAUAAUUCAAACAAAUUUCAAAUGUCACGGUUUUUCAAUGACCCACAUCCGCUAGAAUUGGAAGUAUUAGAGUAUGUUAAGACAACAUGGUCAAAAUAUUUUGUAACCAUGUAUAACACCUUAUGAUAGAUGAAUGAUUAGAAUGACAUUAUAAUUUUAUUUUAUUUUGAAUUUUUUCAUAUACAAUUACUUAUGUUAAAUUAUGAUAUUAUAUGUACUUAUUUAUAUGAAGUAUUUUAUAUUUAAAUUAUGAUAUUAUAUGUAGCUAGAAUUUUGAUGCAAUGCAUAAUUUUGUCCAGAAAUUUAUUACAUUAUGCAAAACGAAAACAUGUACAGCAGUAUUCAAAAAUUCAUAAAAGAAAAUGGUUAUAGAGAAAAACCAUUCUAAAAAAGUCAUUUCUAACAACAAUUUCUGAUAACAAUCAUCAUUAAAAUCCUUUCAAAUGACUUUUAACGAUGGUUCUUGAUUAAAAUCGUCAUUAGAAAUAUUAUCAUUCAACUUAGUAUUUUAAUUUUUGUUUUCUAACAACGAUUAAAAUCAUCGUUAAAAGUUAUUGCUGAUAUCUACAUCAACGACGGUUAUAAAAGUGUCUUUAAAUAUUAUUUUUAAUCGUAAUCAAAGACUAUUUCUAUACUAGUACACUUUAAUAAUGUUGGAUAAAUCUACGAUGCUUUUGUCCAUUUUAAAAAAUUUGAUUCACUUUUUUACAAUAGUCCAUUAAAAUGGUAAUAAAAUGUAAUUUUUCAUAAAGACAUUUUUAUAUGUAAUUUAGUUUAUGUUGGUUUAUUUGUUACUCAUUUCAUGCUAUAUUCCUUAAAAAAGGUAUAGUAGUCAACCAAUUUAUUUUAACAGUUGUAUAAUAUCAUAGAUUGUCUUGUAAUAUAUAUAUAUAUAUAUAUAUAUAUAUAUAUAUAUAUAUAUAUUCCCUUUAUUUCGAUAGCACGUACAGAAAACAACUGAAUUUACUAAUUGAUAACAAUGGAGCCCUAAAACCCUUAAUCUACUUCAAACAUCCACAUACUCUCACUUUGUUUGUCAUUUUUGCAAAUAUAUUUUUCUUCGGCUUCUUUGAGGGCUCCAUUUCCACACCAGUGGAUGGUUGUGCACUUAAUUCAGGCCACAGAGUCACACUCAGCUCAUGUAAUGAUUGUGCACUCAGUCCAAGUGACUCCAUUCUCAUUGUAAUUGAGUGACCAUAUAUCAGAUACACAGCUGUUUUCUUAGCAGUGAUUCCAUGACCAACUCCUACAAAAAUCUCCACGUUGUCUCCGGGUCCUAGAUUUGAUAUUACACCCUGCCAAUCUUCAUCAGUAAAAAACAUUGUUGUUUCUUGCUUAUAUAUCUGAAUGGUGCACUUUGUGUAAUUAAAGAUGAAGACACUAGUAAGACUUUGAGUUGCCAUGUUUUCAGGGGUUGAUGAAUAAACAACACACAACAACAUUCCCUUCAUGCGACAAUCACUAUCUUCAGGAACUUGAAAAGGUACUGAAUAACCUUCUCCUGUAUAGGCUAACCAAUAAGGAUAAUUGUCCCCUGGAAGCACAAAAUCAGUGGAACUAUUGGUUCUCAAUACCUGUAUCAUGCAGCAAAGCUUAGUUAUUUAUUUAAUAUGAAACCCCAUGUUAUGCUCGGUUAACAAAUACAUAUUUUUCAGGAAAAAAUAUUUCAUGCUCUGUAAAGUGAAUAGGUAAUGUAAGGUAGACACAGAAAAAGAGAGAGAGAGAAGAACCUUUAAUAUGCUAUUGCUAAGCAUAUCGAAGACUUGGUGGUAGCUUCCCAUUCCAAUCAAAAACGAUGCCAUAGAAUUUUCUGAAUUUUGUGAUAGAUAUGCAUUUUCAGAUUCAGAAAGGUUUACAUUGCAUAACUCAUGCAGAACUAUUCUUAGUUCUUGAGUUAUCUGAAAAUCUGAGUCGCAUUGUACAGAAAUACUUCGAAGUUUUGAAAGGUCACUCAGCUUCGAUAAUAGAUUAACCAAAUUAGUAUCCUGUAUAUCCAUGGAGACUAUAGAUGUUGGCAUGAUCCCAAAUGGUUGAAUACAGGCUGAAAGUCCUCCUGUAUGUGACAUCCAAGACCAUAUGAGAUAAGGAAAUACAUUUCGUGCCAAUCCUUCAUAUCCACAAAGGGAUAUAUAUCCAAUCUUUUCGGAUCUUACUAUGGAAAAAGGUACUUGUUUUAGACUAGUAUUGUCUGCAAUUAGAGUUGUUAAGGAUUCCAUCUGCCCUAUGGCUUCUUCUAACUUGUCAAUAUUUGAACAACCAGAAAGGAUGAGUGUUUGUAAUGACGUUAACUUAUAGAUAACCAUCGGAAGAUUGCCAAGGCAUGUACAAUCCUUCAAGUUUAAUAGAAGGAGGUUAUUUAGAUCUCCAAUUGAAUGGUGUACUUCAUACAAGCUUGGACAAUCUUUGAGAAUGAGCUUCUCAAGAUUUGGUAGUUUUGAAAAAUCUGGGGUCUUUGAUAAGUACUUGGAAUGACUAAGAUUGAGAAAUUUUAGCCUCUCCAGAAACUGCAAGAAAAUUUAAAACUGAAAGAUUAGCAAAGUAUAUGGCAGAAAAAAUUAAUAAGACAACUUACUGUAUUAUAGAUACAUUUGGUGUUGUUCUUCAAUCAAAUUUGCAUGUAAUUUAUUUAGUAAAAAGCAAAUUACCAAAGUAAAACUUCAAAUUUAAUUGGAGAACAACACCGAUUGUUAUAGAGUAUGUGAGUUUUUGUCCAAAUUAAUAUUGUCAUCAUAGAAAAUAUCAGGUAAUAUGUAUACCUGGGGCACCUUCCAUACUAGUUUAAGAUAACUGUAUUUUAAGUCAAUAGCAACUAUGUUUUCCUGAUAAAAGUUUUCAGGAAUGUGUGUUAAUGAAAAUGCUUUCCAAUGAAGCCAUCUCAGUUGUUUGGGAAGAUGCCCAUAAUCUCCCGCUAAUUGUACAUGAUCAAGUUGCAAAAGUCUCAGUCUCUUCAUUUUCUCAAAUGUUUCAGUACUGAAACAAACUCCGCUGGUUCUUUGCAUCUUCAAAGCCAAUCCCUCAAUCACUCCUGUUCCCUAUGAAAAACAAAUGAAAAAGAAAUUAAAUAUUGGCUGUUUUCACAUGAGAAAGUUGAUAAGUAAUACACAUCUAGAAGCUAAAUACUUUGAAAAGGUAAAUGGUUUUAAACCGAAACUUGAAAGUUAUGAUUCAGAAAACAAAAAUAUAAACUUUUCUUAUGGUGCUCAUGGUAUAUUGAGGAUGAUUGAUAGUUCAAAAAAUAGUAAGAGAAGGUUCUUACAGUAUUUUCUGUCAAUAUACCAAGUACAUCAUCAUGAACCCACAAUCGACUGCGCUUCUGUGGUUCUAGUGGUGAACUUUGACGAACAAUUUCUCUUCCCAUGUCUCGUAGCAAAUCAUGAAUUCCAAGUUUGUUAUUCUUUUCAACUUUUAUGAGGCUCCUUUCUACCAGGACUGUUAUUCCAAUUUCAGCAUGAAGUCCACAACCAUUGAGUAUCUCUGUGACAUAGGCUCUGUCCUUACCGAUAAAGAAGCAGCAUAUGUCAAGGAAUAUGUCCUUCUCCAUAUCAUCGGUUAAACCAUCAUAGCUUAUUUUCAAUUUCUCUUGUAUCUUAUCAUUUGGUAUUUCUUUAAGUUUUGAUAAUACACUUUCCCACUCUUUUCUUCUUCUCUUGUAUAGAUAAGAUCCAAGAACUUCAAGAGCUAGAGGUAGUGAUCCACAGUAAGUGACUACUUGCUUUGAGUGUUCAAGGAAAUCUUCUGGUGGAUUUGCUUCCUUAAAAGCAUGCCAACUGAAAAGCUCAAGGGACUCAAUCUCAUUCAUUUCCUCCACUUCAUAUACAUGGUCAACAUCAAGCACAUUGAGUAGACGUACAUCUCUUGUUGUAAUGAUUAUUACGCUUCCUUCAACAAUCCCAUUACCAUUUCCACAUAGUUCAUCUAAUUGUCCAAAUGUGUUCACAUCAUCGAGCACAACUAGUACUCUUUUUGUGGCAAGCGUUUCCCUUAUCAUAGCUUUUCCCCAAUCAAUGCUAUAAACCUUGAUCUUUUCUGUUUUAAGGAUAUCUGAAAGAAGUCGUUCUUGUAAAUCAAUCUUCCCUUGAUCUCUUUGCCAAACUUCUCUAAUAUUUGCUAGGAAACUUCUAUGUUUAAAUUCAUAUCGAAUUUCAUUGUAGAUGGCUUUGGCUAUGGUUGUUUUACCAAUCCCUCCCAUUCCCCAAAUCCCUAAUAUAUAAGCUCCUCUUGUUUGCUUUCUAAGAAAGCCAAUACAGUGUUCCACACGAAGUUCCAAUCCAACUGGAAACUCUGUAAUAGACAUGUAUGUUCUAUCUAAUUUUUCCAAAACUUCACUAACAAUUUCCUUCACAACCAAGUUUUCAUUUCUGCAAACAAAAAAGAAAACAUAACCCGAAAUGUUAAUAGGUACAAAUUAUAGGAGAUUCUAAAAAAAGCCUUUGCACUGUUGAUCUCCUGUCUUUCUGCCGUAGUGUUCUUAGCAGAAACUUUUACUAAACCUUUUACAAGUAUAUCAGAGAAGCCAUAAAGAUACUAUUUAAUUUAAGUAUUAGAAGAAAAUGAUAAGGAAGUUCAUAACUCACGCACCCUACUCAAGGAAGUGAGUUAGAUUCCUUUACAAGAAAGAAUAAUAGAUGGAUAGACAAAAAGAAAUCUGAUAAAUAAAAGGGAACCAAAAAGCAUAAGCAUAUACCUAUAACGUGAAACAUCCCAACCUGCAAAACUUGCUGCUUCACUCAGUGCAUUCUUCCAUUGUUUCACGAGGUGGAGGUCACUAUCUUUUUCAAAAAUGACUUCGAAAGAAACAUCCUGCAGUCUACGUAGAAACCAAGGGAAAACGUCGUAAAAUACGGGCAAAACUACUUGACCUCUAGAAGAAUGGCAUUCCAUGAUUUUGACGAGUUCGUCGAGACACCAUGUAGAGUAAAUGUAGUUUUUGGAGAAAACAACAACGGAAAUUUGAGACCCUUCUAUUGCAUGCCACAGUUCUGUUUUCAGCUGUUGUCCCUUGGCAAGCUUCUCGUCGUCCAGAAAAGUGUUGACACCGGCAUUUGCAAGAGCAGAAUAGAGAUGAGAAACGAAGUUCUUACGAGUGUCUUCGCCCCGGAAACUGAUGAACACAUCGUAUAUCCAUCGGGGUUUAGAUUUUGAGGAUGAUGAAGCGUAAGGCAUUGGUUCAUUUCUAUGAAACACGACCGAGUCAGUAAAAGCAAGAAAGCAAGUUGAUUCAAUUUGGUGUCCAUACGGCUUGUGGGAGUAAGUGAAUGCAUCGUAACUAUGGUUAAUAACGAAACUUCAACGACAUUAUCGAAGCACACAACGACAAGUUCGAUGUGUUUUUCUUCCUUUCGUUCUCUACGAGGAAGUAAAACAACAAUCACAGCAGUAAGUGGAAAUAGUAACUAUUAUAACUAUAAAAGAAUUUGCACUUAAGCUUUGCAAAAGAUAAAUUUGUGCUCUCUUUUAAACAUCAACGAAUUGUGAGCUUUUCCUUUUACAACUACAUAAGGCAAUGGACUUUCAUCUCCGAAACUGCAUGGCUGAGUUUUAUGUGUGCAAUUUUGCAAUGGAUUCUUAUUUUUGUGACAAAUGAGGUAAAAUAAAUUCUUACUAUAAUAUUUUUAUCUUUCAUAACUUUAGCUACUAGAAGUGGUGGAUAUUGAUUAUCAUAUCAUAGCAGAUAUGAAAAGUUAGGCAUGAUCACUUUGUAUUUUAAAAGUGUAAGUUUAUUAAAUAUGUAACAGUGGUACAUACAUAUAUUGAUUUCCUUUCCUUCCUAUCUCUAAUAUAAAUCCAAUAUUGAUCUACAUUAUGUAGAAAUUAAAAAUCUAAAUGCAUACUAUUUAAUAAAACUAAUUUAAAUUUUUAUAAAUUCAUAUCUAGAUAAUUAGAUAUUUUAAAUUUAAAUUCAUAUUUCCAAAAAAAGUAGUUUGAAUAUUUCUAAAUUAUUUUGAUACCGAUUUUAAAAAUAGUUUUAAAUAUAAAUUAAAAAAUUAUAAUAAAAAUUUCUUUAUUAGCAACUAAUUAUUAUUUUCAAACAACAAAUUAGAUAUUGAAAUUUGGUAUGUUUUGCAUAAAGUUAGGGUACAAUGCUAUGCUUUCUAAAUUUAAGUUAACUGCAUCUCACUUUUUAUUAAUAGCAAAUGAUGUAUCUUUUAAGAGUUUAGUGUUGAGAGGUGAGUACCACAUGGAUUAGAUCUUAAAAACAAAUCUAAAUCUAAUUCCAUAUAAAUAAAUACAUUGAAAUUAAAUUCAAAAUCAUUUUCUUUAAAUUAGUUUGAAAUUUUGUAAAACGAAAAUCUGAAAAAAAAUAGAUUAGGUUUUAAAGUUUGUUCCUACCGAAAAUGAACUCGAGGAGUGCAACUUGAAGAGGACUGCAUGUUCCUCGGGGAACGAGCUUUCAGUUGGUCUCUGAUCAAAGAGGGUACUUGCAAAAGACACUCCGAUCAUAAGAGCACAAAGAUGAUGAUGAAUCCUUAACAAAGAGCUAAAAGUAAGAGUAUAGAAUAAAAUUUAGUGUGGGAGAGAGUCAUCACCUAUUUAUAGGUCUUGUUUGACUCAGAUCAUUAAGAAAAGCAUUGAAUGGUCAUCAUGUGAUACAAAUGGAUUUUAUAACAAUAACCUAUAACCGCUAGUACUUUAUAACCAGUUUAUGGUUGAUUUAUGCGUCUUAAAUAUAAUAUUAAACGGGCAGUUAUUGUCUGAUUUAUGUGUCUUGAUUAUUAUAUUAAAUGAGCGAUUAUUGGUCUGAAUGUACCAGUCGUAAUUGAGAGUAUGUACAUAAACCCCUAGCUCGAAAUCUUUGAGGAUGUACAGGUGGAUUCUUUUUUAUCAAAAAAAAUAAAAAUGAAUUAAAGGGAUAUUAAGGAGUAUCCCAACCCGUAUACAAAAAUCUGUCACCUUUCGGCUUAGGACAAAACUGGACAUAAAUCUGCAGCUAUCAAGACCAGCAAAAGAACGGUUACAAAACUUUAAGACCACUAUUGCAUGGAGCCAACACCUGCAAAAUUGGCCACUGCCUAAGCCUAAAACUGUACACCGUAACAGCAUCUUCAUCAAAAGCCCCAUACAUGACACCAUGAAAGAUUGGUGUGCUUCCAUUCAAAAGUUCCAAAAAUACAACACCGAGACUGUAAACAUCACUUUUGUCAGUCAAAUUACGUGUUAAGAAGUACUCUGAAUCAAGGCAACCCGGGGUCCCUCUACCACAUAGUGGAAACAUGAGUAGGUACAUUUACUUCAAUAUCUGGAACUGAUGGGGAAAAUCAUGAAAGUCCAAAAUCAGCAGCACCUAAGAUUAUUCCAACUUGUUUAUCCCUGAACUUGAAUAGGGAGUAAUCGCUGGUGUUUGACAUUCAGUGUUGGGCUUGUUGCCGAAUGCGCAAGUCGAACACGAAAAGAUGAUGAAAGAGGUCUGAAUCAUCAAUUCCUUCCCCAAAGCAGCACCUGCCAAAUGAUGAUCUCUCCCGGCCUCAAGAACCUACACAAGACCAGCACCUACAGUUUGGGAGGUCCACCUGCAAAAGAUUCUUCUUCGAUACUUAAGUCAGUAGGAGCAUAAAUAUGAUGAUGAAUCUUUUAACAAAGAGCUAAGGGUAAGAGUGUAGAAUAGAGUUUAGUGUGUCCCUUUAUUGAGAGAAUAAUCACCUAUUUAUAGUUCUUGUUGGACUCAGACCAUUAAAAAAAGCAUUGAAUGAUCAUCAUGUGAUAUAACACUAGUACAAAAUAUCUCAUUAACGACAAUCUUUAAAGACGGUUUUGAAAGAACCAUCGUAAUAAAUGAGGCGGUGGCAACUUCGUAAAUUUUUUGAAAUUUUUUUACACUUUUAACGAUGGUUGCCGCCUAAACCGUCGUUAAAAGCGGAGCGUGUAGGAAUUGACGACGGUUCUCCCUGGAACCGUCGUUAAAAGUAGAUAUUCCACGACGGUUCACACUGAACCGUCGUUAAAAGUGGGUCCCCUUUUCAAAAUUCCAACGCUGAACUUUGCUUCUUCACUCUUCUUCUUUCACACAGCUAUUCCUUUCUUCCCUCUUACCAAAUCUGCUGCCGCAACUUUGCCCUGCACCGCGACCACCACGACCGACGCCGCGCGACCUCCAGUACCGCACGACCUCCACCACCGUGCGACCUCCACCACCGCACGACCUCCACCACAGUGAGACCUCCACCACCGCACAACCUCCAUCACCGUGCGACCUCCGCCACCGUUUGACCUCCGCCACUGCUCCGUGCGACCUCCGCGACCCACACCCCACUGCACGACCGUGCGCAACCGCCCCCGACCGUCGUCCCGCUCGCAUUGACCUUCGAUAGGCGCGACCGCCCAACCCCUGCUUCCAGUGACCGCUGACCCACGCCCUGCGACCGCCGAGGCGCAAUCCGUGACCUCUAAGGCGUGCCACCGUUCCCACCGUGCCCUCCAAGCCGCGACAUUGUGACCUUCGACCGCGACCGCCACCCAUUUUGAGGUUAGUAUAUUUUUAUUUAUUUUUUACUAUAUUUUAGAAGUGUUUGUUUGGAGUUAUUGAUUCUAUAUAUUGAACAAACUGAUUCUGAGUCCAAAGGUGUCUGACCUUCGGCAGUUUUGAUUUAAUUUUCAAUGAUUAUAUAGUGUUUUGAGAUAUUGAACGCAUUGGUUCUGAGUCCGGAGGUAUUUGACCUUCGGCAAAUUUGAUUUAUUUUUUAAUGGUUCUAUAUUGUUUUAACAUAUUGAACGCCCUGGUUCUGAGUCCGGAGNNNNNNNNNNNNNNNNNNNNNNNNNNNNNNNNNNNNNNNNNNNNNNNNNNNNNNNNNNNNNNNNNNNNNNNNNNNNNNNNNNNNNNNNNNNNNNNNNNNNCAACAUAAUAACAUAAUUUGCAUGCAUAUACAUAAAGUAGAAAACAACAUAAAUUUCAGAAACUUUAUUUAUCAAUGAGCUCAAAGUGUCAAAUAAGCAUUAAUAACAACAUUCAUAAUUCACUAGUAACAUAAUGCCCAUAUUUACAACAUGACCAGUAAAUGUUUUGGGCGGUAACCCUUUUGUUAAAGGGUCAGCAAUCAUAAGAUCAGUGUUAAUACGUUCUAUUGACACUUUAUGUUUCUGAACUUCUUCUUUAACAGUAAAGUAUUUCAAUUCCAUAUGUUUUAGCACCUUUGGAAUACUUGUCAUUUUUAGAAAAGAAGACUGCUGCGGAGUUAUCAUAAUAAAUUUUCAGCGGCUUGGCAAUACUGUCAACAAUUCCAAGUCCUGAAAUAAAAUUCUGCAACCAAUUAGCCUGAACUGUGGCCUCAAAGCAUGCCACAAAUUCAGCUUCCAUAGUGGACGCAGUAAUGACUGACUGCUUCGCACUUUUCCAUGAAAUCGCUCCUCUGGCUAAAAGAUACACAUAACCAAAAGUAGACUUUCGUGUAUCCACACAGCCAGCAAAAUCUGAAUCUGUAUAUCCAAUCACGUCAAGAUGAUUAGAUCUUUUAUAAGUAAGCAUGUGAUCCUUCGUUCCUUGCAAGUAUCUUAAAACUUUCUUUGCAGCUUUCCAAUGAUCCAAUCCUGGAUUACCCUGGUAUCUUCCAAGCAUAUCAACUGCAAAACUAAUAUCUGGUCGUGUACAAGUUUGAGCAUACAUUAAACUCUCAUCAAUAGAUGCAUAAGGUAUAUUCUCCAUUUCUUUCCAUUCCAAGUCAUUCUUUGGACAUUGCAUGAGACUAAAUUUGUUUCCUUUCUGUAUUGGAACAGAAGAUGUCGAACAUUUAUCCAUUCAGAAUCUCUCUAAAACUUUAUUAAUAUAUGAUUUCUGAGACAAACCUAACAAUCCUUGUGAUCUGUCACGGAAUAUUUCAAUUCCUAUCACAUAGUAUGCCUCACCCAUAUCUUUCAUCUCAAAUUUAUUAGAGAGAAACUUCUUAGUCUCACUUAAUAGACCAAGAUCAUUAGUUGCCAUGAGAGUCACAUAUAGUCUUAAAGACCCAUUUACACCCGACUCUCUUGCAUCCUUCUGGCAAUUCUAUAAGGCCCCAUAUAUCAUUCUAUGUCAUUGAUUUAAGCUCAUAUUUCAUAGCAUCUAACCACUUAUCAUAAUUAUCAUCAUUGAUGGCGUCUGAAAAUGAAACUGGAUCAUUAUCAAUACUUAAGUCAUUUUCUGACUCUUGUAGAUAAACCACAUAAUCAUUCGAAACAACAGACUUUCUUUCUCUUUGAGAUCUUCUUAAUAUUAUUUCUUGUGGUUGUUCUACUACAGGUUCAUUGUUUUCUUCAUGAUCAUUAAUUUGUUGUUCUUCUUCAUUGUUGAGUGACUCAACUACAUUAGGAACAACAAUACUUGAAGUAAAGGUACUUGUACUCUAACUUCCUUAAUCUCCACAUUUUGCAAAGUAUUACUCCCACUGGUUUCACCAUUUUCAAUGAACCGUGCAUUUCCAGAUUCAACAAUUCUUGUGUUAUGGGUAGGACAGUAAAACAUAUACCCUUUUGACUUUGCUGGAUAACCAAUGAAAUAUCCACUGAUUGUUCUUGCAUCCAAUUUCUUCUCUUGCGGAUUGUAUAUUCUGACUUCUGCCUGACAUCCCCAAACAUGCAAGUGUCUCAAACUAGGUUUCCUUCCUGUCCAUAAUUCAAAAGGUGUCUUUUGAACUGCCUUACUAGGAACCCUGUUCAACAGAUGCUUGACAGUUUUUAAAGCAUACAUCCACAAUGAAACGGGUGUCCCAAAAGUUUGUGCCACAAGAAAGCAGAACAAUAAUUCACUAAACUACAUUUAGUGUCAACAUUAUGAUGCAAGGUCAUAAGAGUUUUAGCAUAUAGAUUAUCGAGAUUCAAUUUAUAUAAUUCAUCAUAAAGAGUACCAAACCCUAUCAAACAGGUACGUUGAUAUAAACUGAAACAUUCCCAAAUAUAAAAGAGUAUCCGGCAUCAUUAAGUUUAGACAAUAAAACUAAAUUCCUAGAUAUCCUAGGUACAUAAAAAAGCAUCCAUCAAGUCUAAAUAAAAUCCAAUGUCGAGGAUUAAACGAUAAGUCCCGACUGCUUCCAUUGGAACCUUCUCUCUUUUCCCCAUGAAGACAAACUUUUCAUUUGGCUUUAUGGUUCGGGUUAAAAGGAAUCCUUGCAUCAUGUUAGAAACAUGAGUUGUGCAUCCAGAAUCAAUCCACCAAGAAUUAUGUCAAACUUCAGUUAAGUUUGAUUCAAAACAUACAUAAUAAGCAUUAUGCUUACCCUUCUUUUCGAACCAAGCCUUACGUUUCAGACAAUCCUUUUGGAAAUGUCCAGAUUUCUUGCAUAAAUGACAUUUGCCAUUCUUCUUCUGGAGCUUAGUAGAGGACUCAUUUAUCUUCAGUGGUCCUUUACCCUUUCCAUGUUUCUUGAAGACCUUCUUUCCAGCUCCCUGAUUGUUCACAUAAUNNNNNNNNNNNNNNNNNNNNNNNNNNNNNNNNNNNNNNNNNNNNNNNNNNNNNNNNNNNNNNNNNNNNNNNNNNNNNNNNNNNNNNNNNNNNNNNNNNNNNNNNNNNNNNNNNNNNNNNNNNNNNNNNNNNNNNNNNNNNNNNNNNNNNNNNNNNNNNNNNNNNNNNNNNNNNNNNNNNNNNNNNNNNNNNNNNNNNNNNNNNNNNNNNNNNNNNNNNNNNNNNNNNNNNNNNNNNNNNNNNNNNNNNNNNNNNNNNNNNNNNNNNNNNNNNNNNNNNNNNNNNNNNNNNNNNNNNNNNNNNNNNNNNNNNNNNNNNNNNNNNNNNNNNNNNNNNNNNNNNNNNNNNNNNNNNNNNNNNNNNNNNNNNNNNNNNNNNNNNAAAACAUUAUAUGUAUACUAAUGUUCUCCUUUGGGAGAUUCAUUAAUACACAAAACAUAAUGAUGCUAAUAGUAUUAACUUUAUUUGGUAAGAUAUAUGCAUUAACUAGAAACACUUGUUAUCUUUGGAUAUACAAGCAAAACUAAUAACACAUACUCACUACCAACAAUCAUAUCCAUUAAUUAUAAGGACAACUAAUCAACCUUUGGGUGAUCCAUAAUGCCCUAUAAUAAUGAAUUUCCAUUUACCCAUAUAUAUAAAUAAUUUAGCAUCCAUUGUAUAGGUAAUUGGAAUAAAAUUUAUCAGUAAUCUGGAAUUAAAUAAAACUUAAAGAUUUGAUCACUUUGGUGAUUAACAAAUCUAUCAUACAAAUAAUUCCAGAAAUUAUAUCAUUAAUUGAAAUAAAAUUCAUCCAUAAUUUGGAAUUAAAUAAAACUUAAAGAUUUGAUCACUUAGGUGAUUACAAAUCUAUCAUACAAAUAAUUCCAUAAAUAAUAUCAUUAUAUGAAAUAAAAUUUCAUCCAUAAUUUGAAAUUAAAUAAAACUUAAAGAUUUGAUCACUUUGGUGAUUACAAAUCCAUCAUACAAGUAAUUCCAAAAUUUCAAUUUAAAAUUAAAUACAUAAAGCGGAAAUAUAAUUUUUCAUUCCUCACUUUCAAUCAAUUAAUUAAACUUUAAUUUAAUGUAAAUUAAAUUACAUUAUGACAUAAUAAAAUUUCAUUAAAACUUUAAUUAAACUUUAAUUUAAUGCAAAUAAAAUUACAUUAAAACAUAAUAAAAUUUCAUUAAAUUUUAAUUUAAUGCAAAUAAAAUUACAUUAAAACAUAAUAAAAUUUCAUUAAAACUUUAAUUAAGCAUUAAUUUAAUUCAAAUAAAAGUACAUUGUAACAUAACAAAAUUUCUUUAAAAUUACAUUACAAAUAUAAUAAAAUAAAAUAAAAAUAAAAAAUUCAUACAUGAUACUAUUUUAUUUUCCCGUAACACAAAUGCAACCAAAUUAGUUGAUACUAUUCACAAUAAUAGGUGCAUCCAAAAGGAUAGGUGCAUCCAAAAGGGACGUAAGGUGCAGGGAAGAAUAUAACAAACACUUAAAAUAAAUUUUGAUGAAUAAUGGGUCAUUCCAUACGGGUCAACUAUUAUUGUGAAUUCAAUAGGUGCAGGAACGAAUUCACAUGUGCAGUUUCAUCCCUUACCUAGGCACCAAACGGUAGUUGAUGUAAACCUUAAUACAUAAACCCUAAUUUUAAAAUUAGGGUUUUUCAAUUGGGAUUAUUUUAAAAUUAGGGCUCUUUGAUUUUGAUGGUUUAGGACAAUUAGGGAUCUAUUAUAGAGGAAUGAAAACCUUAAUCUAUAAAUCCUAAUUUUAAAAUUAGAGUUCUUAAAUUGAGAAUAUUUUAAAAUUAGGGUUCUUUGAUUUUAGAGAAGCAUUAAUGGAGAAUCACAACAUGAGCAACGAGGCUCUGAUACCACAUGUAAGUUUAAACAUGAACACAUUCAAUUAUGUUCACAAAUAGAUCUUAUCAUAUCAUGAUUCUCACACAAUCAUACAAUCAAGAAGGAAUAGACACUUACCUUGAUCCAUGAGUGAUCCUAAUUGAGCAAUUACUUUAUCUCUUUUAUCUCAAUCUAUCUCUUAGCAAUUCCGUACUUGUCACACACUUUCGUGAUGGUUAACACUGAGACAACUAUUAUUUGCAGAGACAGAACCCUAUAGCCUUUAGUUCCCAAUCUCCAUCAGAUGUAGGUUUUCAUUAGGUAUAUCAUCAUAUAUAUAUUUCUCAUGUUAACCAAUGGGCUCUUUAUUCUAUUAUUAUUAUUAAAUCAUAUUUGGACCCAAAGCAACUCUAAGUCAUGUGAGUCACUUUAUAGAAAUUAAUUUACAUAAUUUCUUACAUUAAUAUCUCUAAAAUAGUCUCUAAAAUUGAAAUCACUCCAGCAACAACAACCCAUCAACCAAUAACUAACCAACAAACUAAAUCGAAUAUAGACAUACUAAAGGAUCAAGACACCAAUCUGAAAACAAGAAGCAAGCUAAUGGAACUUUAGAAGUGACCCAAGACCAAGUCUUCAGUUGAGACAAAAAGAAAAUUUAAGAGUGAUCCACCACACCGCCUUUGAAGAUGACCUUAUUCUUAUGGCACCAAAUCUCCCUCACCACCACCAUCCACACACUUUCCAAAACUAAAUUAACAGAUUCAGAUGCAUUAUAAAUAUUGAACUAUAGGAGAUGUGAGUAAAAACUUGGGGAGCAACCGACACCAACCUUAACCAUGCAAAGCAAAGAUUCCAAACAAGCCAAGAAAAUCUACACCCAAAAAACAAGUGGUUAGUAGACUCCUCUUUUAUCCCAAAAAAAAACAACAAAAAAUACUAUCAACCACAAUUCCGCGUCUAGCCAAAUUAACUUUAGAAGCAAUCUUGUUUUCCAACACCCUCCAAGCUAUAACGUGGGUCGAGGGUAAAGCCUUAAUCCUCCAAAAGAAUUUGAACCUACGUGAUCUUUCCUCUUCCAUCUCUCCCCUAGUUUGAUUUGUUCUCGAGGGUGCCUGUGUCCCCUUGGCCAACUUCCUUUUUAUUUCUUCAUUCUCUUGUAUAAGAGCUUGGUUUUCUUCUUUGUUCCACGAUUUCAUCUCUGUCAUCUCCCUCUAAAGGGCCAAAAAUAGGGUCACGCAAUCAUUCUCAACUACUAUUGAAUUUGUUAUUCUUUGCUCGCUAGUCAUGUGUCUUGUAGUUACCAUAAAGUCUUCUACGCCCUUCUCAGUCCCAGGAUAUGCGUCAAUCGUUCUUGUAUGGACCGGAAAGGUCUCAUCUCAGGGAUCAUGUUCACCUACGUCUUCUCGAUCUCUUCUUUGAACAGGUUUCGAUAGUCAACACGCAUGGGAGAUACCUACAAAAGAUCAUCAAACACUCAAAUCAGUAUUUAAUAUGCAGUGAUUGUAAAAAAUAAAUGUUAUUAAAUACGUUCUUGACUUGAAUAUGUUGAACUUAUUUAUAGAAUCAAAUCAAUGAGAUGUGAAAUCUAAUUAACACAAAUAUCCCAACAAAAUCUUGUAUUAAUCUAACAUAAAUACUUGAUUAAAUAUGUUAAACUGAUAAUUAGAUAAAAAUAUUUUUAAGAAACCGUGAUAUACUCGAUCACAUAAUCCUCGAGUGACACAUCUCUGACAUGUAAUUCUUUUAUUUUUUGUUAACACUUUCAAUCCUUUAUAUUAUUCGAUUAUUCAUUACAUUUAAUCGUUUUUAAACUUAAAUUCAGUUUACUUUUAUGUUUAUUUAUUUUUUUAAAAUUUUGUUUUCAUUAAUUCACCUGUAAUUAUAUAUCGUAAUCCUUGUACAUUUACUUUUAAUAUCUUCUACAUUGCUCUAAAUAUAUGUGGUUUACAAUUAUUAUUUUUCAAUUAAUCUUUACUAUUUCUAACCAUUCUUCCUGUUUUUUCGGCUGAAUUUUCAUUUUCGAAUUCUAACAUUUUUUAUCAUAAAAUUUUAAAAUAAAAAAAUAGUUAAAUUUUACUUACAUCUUUUUAAAUCCAAAUGCUGAAUUUCUAAUAAUCUUAAAUAUAAAUUUUGACUCGUAUACUAAUGAAUUAAUUACUUCCUUUAAAUUUAUAAAAAAAAAUUAACUACAAAUCAAUUUUUUUUUAAAAAAAAUUGUAAUAUAUUAUAAGCCUAAAAAUGAAUCGUUGAUUUUUGGUUAAAAUAUAUUAUAACCGAAAACAGUAACUAAGAAUUUUCCAUUUUCUUCCGGGAAUUUCAUUUUUUAUGUAAAUUAAUUCUACACAGUAUUGUCUCAAAAAGUUGAAAUUAAAAGUUAAAGUGCUUGAACCUUUUAGCUUCAAGUUAAAUAGCACAUAAUAAAGAUUAAAAAAGUGGUUUUCAUAGCACGUUUUAUGUUCUUUAAUAUUUUUAUUCAAUAGAAUAAAAAAGUAACAAGGAUUUAGAAAGACAGGUGGCUAGGAUCUUUGUGAUUUGUGAGUUGGCCCAAAUUUCUUAUUCUUAUAAACCUGCAUUUUCCUACUAGCUUUAUAUCCAAACUUAAAAACAACCAUAAACAUACUCAUCCAUCAUCAUCCACAUGCUAUAUUCAUUCCCAAAAAAGAUAACCCUACUUCUCAAAUCCUUCCUUGUGUUCAACAUUUAUCCAUAAAAUACAUAUAACUUUACCUUGCAAAUUUCAUAAUUUAUAAAAAUAAAUACAUUCAAAUAUCUUACUUUAAAUUAUUUUAACUUUUAAAUAUUUAUUUUGGAUGAUAUAAUUUUAAAUAAAAUAUUUAAUCAUUAAAAUAUUAUUUAUAUAUUAGAUAUUAAUAAUUAAAAAAUAUUAAUAUUAAUGACAUUAAUAUUGACAAAAUAAUUUUAAUUAAUUUUUGUCAAAAUUAUCUUUAGUUAAAUUUGAUUAUAACUAUUUAAUUAAUUGGAGUUAUUUUUAUGGUAUUGUUGGUUGAGGUGUUCUUACGCUGAAUUUAUAACCAUUGCCAAAAUAAUAUUGAUGUAAAUGGUAAAAAGAUAAUUGUAAUCGACAUGCAAAAGGUCAGGAUUAACGUAAAAAAAAAGUAAUUAUUAUAAACAUGACACACAAGAAAAAUACUAACUUUUAUAAAGAAGUAAUUCCAACUGAAAUCAAACUGACUAAAGAAUACCAAAAAAAAACAUUAAUUUAAAAAUGUACAAAAAAAUCAUUUUUUAUGAAAUAUAAAAUUAUCUAAUUUUAUGUAAUAUCACUAUUUAGAAUUAUAAAAAAAUUGAAAAUCCCUUUCUUAAACAAAAUAUUUAUCAUAAACAUUUUAAAUUCUCUAUAAAAUUAAAUUAUUUUAUUAAAUUUUUUUUAUUGAAACUCAUUAUUAAUUAAACUGAAAUUUUAAAUGAAGGAUUAACACAACAAAAAAUACACACAAAAUGUUAAUAUUUUUAUUUAAUAUCAUCAUUUAUAUAUUUAUUAUGAGUAUAUGAGCAUUUAACAUAAUUCUUUUAAUCAAUAACUUUUUAUUUUUAUCUUUAUCUUAUAUUCUCUUUGUUUUUAAUUAUAAAUAUUUAAAACAAAUUUAUAGUCAGACUAUUUUAAUUGCUUUUGGAAUCACUGAUUUUUUUUUCAAAAAGCUCUUCAUCACUUCAGUUAAUAGUUAAUAAAUUUUCAAUUUUUUUGCUGUAUGAAGAUUUUAUUAAAAUAAGUUAUGAAUAAUCAAAUAAUCCUACAUUAAUUAUACUAGUCAUUAUAAAUAUAAAAUAUAAUUUAUAUACAUAAAUAUGUAUUUUAUUUUAAAAUAUAAUUAAUUUAUAUAUUAAAAAUAUAUUAAUUACAAAUAAUAAUUAUACACAAAUAAAUACUAUCAAUAAGGUAGAGAUACAGCAAAUGUUACUUCAACUAAUAGUUAUAUUACAGAUGAUAUUUAUUAGUUUCAUAUUAAUUAUAAUAAUUUUUUUAGAAAAAAUAAUAUAUUUAAAUUUUGUGUUAAGAAUAUUAAUGAUUAAUAAUAAACAUAAUGAAAAGAAGUCCACAAGUUGUGUCUGAUGACCUUCCGGUUCACUAAACGGCAACCCUAUCCCCUCAAACGACCCCACCCUUCCUUCCCGUUACUACCUUAUCCAACUACUGUCUCAAUCAACUCACCACGUGCCACGCUCAUGCAAGCUCACCUAUAACUCGUGCACACAUGGUGGAAUCACGCUCUCACACGUCACGGGUGCAAGACUUGACCCGAAUAUAAGUGGAUAUGCCAAGCAUCUCACAACAACCCCACAUUCCCGUCAUUCGGAUCCUACCCGCAUAUCCCCAUUUUAACUUCGCCAAACUUCAAAUGAGUCAAAUCACACACAACAUUGAAUCAAGAUCACAGCAAUCAUUUUAAAUCUGAAACUGUUUUCCACGAAUAUUCUCCAGAAAAUUCCAGCGUUUUGUUCGUCUUUAUAAGUAACUUCCACAGACACAAACCAUUCUCAACCCAAUCCAUCACCAAAUCUAGCAAUUCAUUAUUAAUUGAUCCAAAAAAUUUCAGAAAAAUACGAAUCAAUGGUGGUUUUAGCAAGAAAGAAACGAGUUACUGACCCGUUCAACGACGAAGCCAAAGCUCGUCUCGUCGGAGGCGACCGCCGGCUACUAAGCUACAUCAGCAGCGGGAGCGAACAUUCCGGUGACGGCGACUCGCCGUGCCUCUCCGAACUCGUGCAUGAUUUCCUCGAGGACAAUGACAACUCGGACGAUAGCUCAGCGAAGAACGAUAUUGACUCGGACCGAGUCGACUCGGUCGCCGAUUGCAUCGACUCGGUGGAUGAACUUCUAAUGCUAAGCGAAUCCAACGCUUCCGACUCAUACAAAAACUUGCUUCUCGCGCACGCUUCGGAGGCCGCGGAGAAAUUCGCGCUUUUGAAGGAACAAAACAUUUCGACGUAUCUGCGAAACGCGAUGUCGUUUUUGCGGCAGAACGGACACAAUGCCGCGAUCUGCAAAACGCGGUGGGACUCUUCCGGUGGCAGCACAGCGGGUAGCUAUGACUUUAUCGACGUGGUGCGAUCGGAACAGUCCACGUGGCAUAAGAGGUACUUCGUGGACCUUGAUUUCGUCGGCCAGUUCGAGAUCGCACGGCCAACGAGUGAGUACCUAGAGUUUCUGACCUACGUUCCGAGAAUAUUCGUUGGAACCGCAGAGGAGUUGAAACGCACCGUUCGGAUCUUGUGCGGUGUUGCUAAGCGUUGUUUUAGGAAACGAGGGUUAACUGUGCCUCCGUGGAGAAAAAACCGGUACAUGCAGAACAAGUGGUUUGCUCCGUAUCGGAGAACAACGAACCCUGUUCAGGGAAAUCCGGUUCCCACCGUCGUCUCUGCGUUGAGUGGUGCAAAAUGUAGGUUUGUGGGCUUCGACGACUCCGUUUCGGAGGCCAGACGCGGCAGUGUGGUUGUCCUUACGAGAUGAUUAAUGAUUUUUUUAAGUUUUUUUUUUUUUUUUAGUUUAGUUUAGUGUUGCAUGUAAGAUUUUGUAAAAAAGAAAUAAUAGUUUAAAUUCACUGAAAAUUAUGGUUGUUGAGAUAUAUUAUUGCGUCUACUUUUUUUAUAUUAUUGCGCAUAAAUACAUUGAAUUUAUAUGCGGCAAAUGAACGUUGUUGUUUAUUCUAAGCGGCGAAUAGGAUGUUAUUUUAGAGGCGCAUCUGACCAUCCAGAGUGUAAAGAAACUUUUGUAUAAUUGAAAAAAAAACAAUGUUUUGGAUAAUGAAUUCGGAAGGGGACAAACACGUGAAUGUUUUGGAUUUUUAAAAGUCAGAUUCCUAGGGGAAAAAACCUUCGUUGGAAUAAUAAUAAAAUAAUGAGCAAAAUACAUUUUAAAAUUAAUAAAUUAAAUUAGAGAUAAGUACAUUUUGUUCAUGAUAUUAAUAAAUUGAACAAAAGAUUGAAUUAUUUGGUCCAUGAAAUUAAUAUAAUGUUGACUCAAAUCUUUCCUUUUUAAAGCGCAGAUAAUGUGGUCCUGCGUUUAGACAAUGGUAGACAUCGAAUUGAUUGCUGGUGUGAUAGGUGUGAGCAUAUGGUGUUUCUUGCUAUAAUAAAGGGACAGUUGGCUUGAGAGAACAGGUUGUCGUGGAAUCAAAUAUUUUUAGUUAUUUGUUUUUCUAUGGUGAAAAAUUAGGAUAGCGGGUCAUCUCAUUACUAGUUCAUGAUAGAAAGGUCACGUGAUAACAUGUGACUGAUCUAUACAUGAUGAGUUAUGGGUUGACCAAGUCAGCAAGAUUAACUCAUAAUUAAGAGUUGUUUAGCGUAAUCUUAAACACAAACAAACAUCCUAAUCUGGCCCACCAACAAAGGUCCAUUAAGGUAAUAUAAAUAGCGCAGAUUCUAAGAAUCAAGUACAUUAUCUACAAUACUCUGACAAUCGAGUGUCGACAUCCUUACUGACUUGAUCGUCGGAGUGCCUUCUGCAGGUACCAUCCGAGCCUGGGUCACCAGACGAUCAAGAGGAGGAAGGCGAAGCAAGAAGCUGAGUGUAGAAGCGAGCGACCGAGUGGAGGAGCAAAGCAAUCGUUCUCUAGGCCCCAACACCCGUUCGAGAACAAUUUGUAAAAUGUAGGUUGAGUUGGUCCAUUUCGCGUAAUGAACACAGGUUGUACUCUUUGUCCCGUCCUACAUAAGGGUUAGCCCAUGGGUUUGUGGGCUAGUUCGCAUUCGUUUUUUUUAAAAAAAAAAUCAAUAAAAAUAUUUUUUACUUUUUGCUCUUAAAAAAUUGUCAAAUUGAACCUAUAUUUGAUAGUAUCAAACAUCAAUAUUUUUUCUUCCAUUUCAAACAUAGUCAAACAUCAAUAAUUCAAUUAAAAUAAAAAUCAAAUAUUAAUAUUCUUCCAUUUCAAAAACAUUAAAAAUAGUUAAUUCAAAAACAUUAAACAUAAACAUCAUUACAAUAAACAUAGUUGCAGCGUUGGAAUGAAGGAAUAUGAAUGGAAAAGGAAAACUUAUUUUUUUCAGUUCAAUUUGCCUUGUCAUUGCUAAGUCAACACACAAACUUUUCUUUUUAUGCUACCCAACAGGCCAGUCUGCCCUGCCCUGUAGUUGGCCCGCGCGGGAUAUGGAUUAUGUGGAGCGAGCUAAAGCGGGUCGAUGAGUUGAAAAACUGAGUUUGUCCCGCAUCUUUUACUAGUGAGACGCGGGAUGGCCCGUAUGACCUGUCCGGCUUUAUCAUCCUUGUGUAAAAGGAAGUGUGAAAUGGAAGAAAAAGAAUAAAUAAAAAAUGACAUUAUUUGUUAUACAAAGGGAUGAGAGAAUCUUUUCCUAAUUGAACAAUUACUUUUCAUCGAACUUUGUUUUCUAUCUUUAUUUUUUAUUUUCAAUAUUGGGAGAACACUUGCUAAGGAUGCUAUGAUACUUGAAUAAAUGUUUAAUAUUUCAUACAAAAUAUACCUAAUAAUGACAUAUUUUUGUUUUUGUUGUUGCACUUAUUUAUAUGACUCUAAUGAUGAGUUAUGUUAUUGUGUUGAGUUGAGAUUCACAUGCAAAUCAUGAUUAAAAAUAUAUUAUCUAAUUUUUUUUAUGAUUUAAUUUUAUUAAUUAUUUUUUUUUUUAUUUUAAUACAUUUAAAUAUAUCGAUCUAUACCAGAUAUUGAAUAAUCAUCCACUCCAACUAGUACACGGUUAAAAUAAGUAGAAUAGAAAAGAAAAUAUUACAAACUUUGAAUGAACUUGCUUGAUUCUUUGAUUAUAAAAAAGAAAAUGAGAAUUAUUAUGGAAUUACUAUUAUAUUUUAAGUGACUUAUUUUUAAUUUUAAAAUCAAUUAAUAAUUGACUUUUCUAAAAUUAUCUUUGUAUAAUCAUUAUAGCAUGUUUAUAUUUGAUUAUUUAUAUUUCUUCGUGUAAAAUGUAUAUUACAACACCUAUAUAGUUAUCAUGAUUUAUGUAUAAUUAAUUAUGUUUUUGUAUAUAAUUAAUUAUGCAGGUCUUUAGAUUAAUGUGGUUUUAGAUUACUUGCAUAAUCAAUUACGUGGGUAUCUUACAUCUUAAAAUCAACAUUUUAUAAUCAUUUAAGUAGCUCAUUCAAGAUUAAAGGGCAAUUAAUUAUAUAUAACCUUUAAAAUUAAAAAGUGACGGAAUAAAGGUAUAUAGUUUGUUUUUUUUAUGAACUUUUUAUGUGUAGUGGAGUAGAAUACUUCAAUAAUUAUUAAUAAUUAUUAAGAAGUUUAAGUCUAAUUUAAUUUUAUACUAUUGAUGUAUAAGAUGAGGUUUACAUUCUGAUAGUGUUCGAUAGUCGGUGUAAUAAUAGGUUCAAUAAAUUCUCUUUAUGAUAAGUUCUAAAUGAAACCGAUAUCGAAUCGUUCAUAAACAUAGUCAAAUACACAAAUUGACAGUUUCGACAUGAUGGGAUGUGAUGAAAAUCUCAUAUCAACUAAAAAUAAAAACAUUUUAUAAUAUAUAAAUAUGUACAAACCUAAUUUAUAAGGUUGAGUUAACUUAAAAUUCAUUUCAUAAUAAUAAGUUAAUAAAUACAUAUAUUAAAACAAAAUCCAUAAGAAUAAAAAUUUUGUUGCCCCGGAUUGAUUGACGUAACACUGAAGAAUUUUGCAACCUAUGCGAUUAGGAAAAAUUACUAGUCAACACAUAAAUAUGACUUAUUUUUUAAUUUUUUUAUCAUAUGUAUAAAUAUAUCUGUUUAUUAAUUUUUUUGAAUUUAUAGUAUUUUAAUAAAUAUUCAUUUUAAUUUUGAAUAAUUUAUUUUGGAGAUGAAAUUUAAAUUUUUAUAUAAGUUAAUUAAAUAUAAUUAAAAUAAUUUAAUAAUUUAGUUAGUUAAAGAGCUAAAAGUGAAUUAAUAUUAAAACCUUUUAAAGAAAAUAUUUUGAAAAGGUCAAGAAAGAAAUAAAAAAAUAGAAAAAUAAUAAUUGAGCAAAGAAAGUAAUAUGUAUUUAAAAGUAAGUAUAAAUGAAUGAGGAAAGAAAAUUUGACAAAAUUUAUAUGUCAUUAAAUUAAAAUGAAAUACAAUUUUUUUUGGGUAAGUAUACAAUUGAAAGAGAAAAUUAUAACUCUGCAAAUGUUAUAUAAAAUAUAAAAUAUUAUACAUAUUUUAGAGAUAUAAAUUUGACCUAAACUAUUUAAUGUAAAAUUUAAUGGAUGUAUUUAAAAAUAAGAAAAUAAUUAUUGUGGUAAGAUGUGAAUGCAAACUUAAGAAAAGAAAAAUGCAAGCUAAAACCUUGUUUCGGUAACUUUAACAAAAUAUUGAUCUCAUAAUAUCUCUAGUCUAUUGAUCUCAUAAUAUCUCUAGUCUAUAAUGGAACAACUUAUUUUGAACCAAGAUUUCCCUCUGAUGUGCAUGGUGGUUCAAAAAGAGGUGACUUCUUAGAAAUGAAACACAAGUCCAUUUUAAAUAUUUAUCUACAAAGUAUAUAAUACAAGCAUUAAUAGUGAGUGUAAGUCCAUAGUUUAUUCUUAAUUACCCAAGUGUCCUAAGCUUCACCACAUGUUCUAUACAUGCAAAUUGAAUAUAUAGCAGAAUAAUUCUUUAAUUAUGGGGCCUCUUUUUAUUCUCUUAUACAGGAACAUGUGACUAAUUCAAGAACAAGUGUGUUUUACCAGUCACCAUGUUAUACAUAACAUGCAAUAAUUGAAAAUUUUCUCCUUUAUAUUAAUAGUAAUAAAAGAAAUAAACAAAAAGAAAACAUGAAUUCUUAUACUCAUUGAAUCUUACCUCCAAAUGAAUCACAAAAUAGUUUAGUAAGUUUUGAGUCACGAAAUGGCACAUGUGCAUUAUUUCCUACAAGUACGUUAAUCCAUUUCCCUAAUGCAUUCAAGGACAAAUUGAUAUAUUUAGCUUCUUUUAAUGUAUGUCCUUCACUUCCUAUUAAGUCAACAAAAAAUGAAACGAUCUUAUUAAGCAACAUAGAUGGUAUAGCACGUAAAAUAUUCCUGAUUGCAUGAAUAAUAGGUCUUUGCCAUCUGGUGAUUUUAUCAAGCCUACCUCUUAAAUAUGCUAUUGUUUUUAUUUUGACUACUUAGAAUAUUUUUCUCCAAAUUCUAAGAAGAAACAUAAUUGCAUAUCUUUUCAUCUUGUGUAAUCAACAUUUACCUUGAGUGUGAAUUACAUCAAUCAACACUUAGAUUUCAUAUUUUUUUCAAAGUAUUUAUAUAUCAAGAUAUAAAAUUUAAAGGAAAAAAAGGGAAGACAAAUAUGGAUUGUUUCAUUAAGUAAAGUCUUUGAUAAUUUGAAGUCACUAAAAAUAAAUGGAUAUAAAGAGAUCACAAAAUCACUUUAUUAAAUGUACAAACCUCACUUGUUAAUUUGCUCUGAACCAACAAGAUUAACCAGAAUCAACUUGCCUUCCGAACAAGAAUAAAUAUAGUGUCUUAAAUAUAAAUUUAAUAAUUUUGGUUCCCAAUUUUUCUCUCACUAUUUUCAUUUAUGAUAUAUUUGUAAUUAUUUGUAACUUUAAAUUGUGAAAUAAAUUAUGCUAAAUAUUUUUUUUUUUAUAUAAAAGUUUUCAUGUUAGACAUCACUAUGCAACUUGACAUCUCAGCUAGGCUGACAUCUCAGUUAACAACAAUCAUCUGCCAUCACAUGAAAAAAGAUACAUAGGUAGACCAAAACCCACAUGUUAACAAAAACAAUACAUAGGUAGACUAUACCUAUUCAUAAAGAAUUCUAAGAACAGACUAGAUGAAAGUCUAUUAUACCAAUGAAAUGAUUCUCUAUGAAUGAACCCUAAAUUAGCCAACUUAUCAGCACAUGCAUUCCCCUCACGAAAAAUAUGAGUAACCCUAAACCUGAUUGUCCCACAAAAAUUAAGACAAGUAUUCCAUCGAUUACGAAGCAUCCACGGAACAUUAGUCCUAACAGUAAACACAACACAAACCAAGGCAGAAUCACAUUUAAGCCUAACAUUAGUAAGUCUCAUCUUUUGAGCUUCCUCCAUAGCAUGUAUAAUUCCAUAAAACUCAGCAACCAAAGCAGUCUAAACUUCAAGAAACACUGAAAAAGCACCAAUAAAUUCUCUCAUACUCCCACGAAAAAUACCUCCACAAGUAGCAAGACCAGGAUACCCCCUAGCAGCCCCAUCAAUAUUAAUUUUAACCCAGCCUGGUGAAGGAAAUUCCCAUCUAACAGGAAGAGGACGAAGAACUUUCCCACUACGAGUCUUAAUACAAAAAAAACUUAAUCACGUUUAAAUCCAACAUAUCAUUCUUCAUCGAAGCUUUAGACGAAUUUCCCACUAGACAAGUUAAAUCUUUAAUUACCGAAAUAGCCUUAGAAACCUCAAUCUUAUCCUGAAAUCUAGCAUAAUUCCUCAUACGCCAUAUCAUCCAUAUAGAAAAGGUUGUCACAGCAAGCUUAAUCAAUUUAACCAAAUGACUACCAUCACUCUUAAUAAAAGAAAGAAGAUCAUCCUUAUUAGAGAAAUGAGAAGUAAGAAAAAUCUGUCGAACUUAACUCCAAAUAUGUAAUGCAUUAGAACAUUCAAAAAAUAGAUGUUGAAUAGAUUCUUCAUGCUUUUCACAAAGCGUACACAUAAAACAUAUAUGCAAACCCUUAUUCUGAAUAUGCUGAUCUGUAGGAAGUCGCCCAUGAAAAAUUUUCCAGAGUACUAGAGUUUUGGAAGGCAGAAUAGAUGAAGACCAAAUGAGCUUACCCCAACCACAUGGAACUCUUGGUUCCAAGAAAAAGUCCUAGCCGAUUUAAGAGUGAAACAACCAGACUCAUCUAGAAUCUAAUUAGGAAUAUUUUGUUCCUCUCUAACCAUGAUAUGAUUAAAAAAAUGUGGCAUCUGCUGUAAAGAUAAGGGAAUAUUCCAAUCAUAGCCUAACAAAAAUUGAGAGACUGUAUCUGGAAUGUUAGCCCCACCAGAUAACCCUACAAUAUUUGCUAAAGAAGUAGUAGAGCACCAUUUAUCAUUCCAGAAAUUAAUAAAAGAACCUGUACCAACAGUUCAAGAAGUAUAAUCAAGUAUGAUAGAAUAAAAUUGCUUAAUUCCAAGCCAAAGAGAGGAUGAUCUAUAAAUCAUUCUAAACUCGUAUUUUGAUUUAAGAAAUCUAGCUUUCAAGAGUAAAGACCAAGGUUUGUUGCUAUAAGCAAAGUUCCAAGUAAGCUUAAGAAGAUAUGCAUUGUAUUUUCAUGAUGAAGAUUAAUAAUAUUCAAGCUUCCAUCCUCAAGAGGUGAACAAAUUUUCGCCCAAUUAACGAUAGCGAUACCUUUUUCAUAAUAUCACCAAUCCAAAUUCCGGCACCACUGUUCAACUUGCUUAAUAAGUGAAACAGGCCAUUUAUACAUAUUAAAACUAUAAGCUAGAAAUCCAGUAAUCACUGUAUUGACCAUCUGGAUCCGACCCAUCAUGCUAAGAGAUUUACUUUUCCAAGAUGCUAGCUUCAAUUUGACUUUAUCAGCCAAAAGUUGAAGAAAUCGACACUUUGGAGCACCAACAAAGAUAGACAUUCCUAAAUAAUUGAAAGACAAACAACCAUGACUACAAGAAAGAAUAUUUUGAAUUUUGGUGACAAAUCUUGGAGAAUUAUCCAUGGUGAAGAAACUACUUUUAGAAUUAUUAAUAUAUUGACUAGAAAAAUCACCAUAUGUUUUAAGAAAAGUAUUCAAAUUUCGAAGAGACUUAAUAUCCCCAAAAAAAAUAAAAAAUCUUAGUAAGUUUUAUUUUCCACUCCAAUGUUUAGUUUUAUUUAUUUAUUUAUUUAUUUUGGUUGUAUGAAUUAAAUAUUUUUUUCUUAGACUUAUAGUUGGUUUUAUCAAUAUUUAAAUAAAUGUUCAAAAUAUUAUGAAAAUGAUGAAUUAAAUAUCCAAUAAAUUUUACUGAUUUAUUUAAUUUAAAAGAAUUUAUAAAAAUAUUAAUGUUAAUGUAGUAAAACUAUUAAAUUAUUAUUUAUUAUAUAUUAUUAAUAUUAAUGAUAAUGUAGUAAAAAUAUUUAUUAAUUAUAUUUAUUAUGAAAUUUUAGUUAAUAAAUUAAAUAAAAGUAGUGAUAUGUGUUGGCUUAGCCGAGCUAUAGACGCUGCUGGGAAUGUGUUGGCUUGGCCGACAUAAGUUUUAUGUCAGGUUUUACGUUGUUUGCAUCGGUAUGAGCCGACACAAACUUAUUAAUAAAUUUCAACUUCGUCUCCGUGCUUUCACUUUCCCCCAAAAUAAAAAUUGAAAACCUAGUUUUUUCUCUACGUAGCUCCCUCCUUCCAUCUAUCGCUUCCUCUCUCUGUCGCUACCUGCCUUCGCCGCUCUCUCCCUUCACUUCCUUACUUUGUCGCUCACUCUCUGCGACAUGUUCUCCUCUCUCGUCACUUCCAUCUUUCUCUUCUCUUCAUUUCUUCUUGUAUUUUUGUUUUAUUUCAGCUCCAUCUUCCUAGUGCAUAGGUCGUCGCAAGCUUCCUCUUCGUGCGCGUAUUGUCUCAAGCAAAGCUUGACGAAGUUCCGACAAAGCUUCAGUUUAUACGUACUUUGAUUUUGGUACUUUGAUUUUGGAUUACCAAGUAACUAAUUCGAUACCAAUUUAGAAACUAAUUUAUAAAUUUUUAUUAAUAAUAGAAAAUAUUUUAAAUACCAAUAAUUUUUUACUUUAUAAAAUAAUAUCUAAUUAGCCAAUAUAGUAACUAUAAUUAUUUUUUAUCUAUAAAAUUAAUUUUUAUUUAGUAUACUUACCAAAAACAUAUAAACUAUUCAUUUAGAGGACAACACUUUUAUAACUUGCCAUAAUUGUUAGCUCCAAGAUCAUUUAACUUUUUCUUUCUUAUAUUUAUCAUCAGAUUCCUCCUUUACUAUCCACGUCCAAUUUUGUUUGAGCAACCAAAAGAAUUAUUGAAUAAAAUAGAGUAAAAUUUAUUAAAAAUAAAUAAAAAGUAUUAACAUAAAAUGUCACUGCUAAGUGCAAAUUUGUUAUAACACACUGUCAAUAAUUUUUUUUUUCUUUGACAUGUGACUUCCAAUCCUUUUUUCUUUGCUUCUACACAAUUGUAUUUUCUCAAUAUUGUCUUAAUCUCUAGAUUCCAUAAUAAUAAAUUAGUCCCAUUAAACUUCUCUGUCUCAUAAUUUUUUCCAUGACUUUAAAACCGGUAAUAAAUAGUAUUGUCGAACUAAUACAUUAUAUAAGUUUAAAAGAAAAAGACGUGGAUCACUAAUAUAUACACUUAAAUACCUAUUUUUCUUCUUCUUUUAUUAGAUGCACUUUCACAUUACCACAUUCAUAAUUAAGCCCUAAUAUGGUAGACUUAUCUUCUCACAUGUUAGAGAUUAAAAGAAUGUGAGAUUUGUUCUGGCUAAGAUUUGAGAAAAAUAACUCACAUGUUAGAGAUUAAAAGAACUUGAGAUUUGUUUUGGCUAAAAUUUGAGAAAAAUAAUAAACUUGAUAAAAGAUAUAUAGAAUAGAGAAUACAUGAUAUUAAUAGCAUACUUUUUAUUUAUUUAUAAAGAUAAAAACAUUUUUUUAAACAUAUUUUUCUAUUUCAAUUUUAUUGAAAAGUUUAAAUUCGUUACAUAAACAUUAAUUAAGGUAAAAUUAAUAUACUUUUGUUUAUAAAAGAUAAACAAGUUUUUUAAACAUAUUUUUUCUAUAUGAAUUUUAUUGAAAAUUUAAAUUCGUUAGAUAAACAUUAAUUAAGACAAUUUUUUUUUAUAUUUUUUCUCGAUUUUUAAUAAAUUUUAUUUUAAAAAAGAGAAUGAGUUAAAAAGAUUUGAUUGUCAUUAUUUUCCCUGCAGCAGAGGACUCACCGUUCACACCAUAACAGUGACAUUAGAGUGUUCUUUCCAUUUACAUGUCCCUUCGCACUGUGGCAGCGUUCAUGGGUCCUUCAACUUCUUCAAUCAAACACACUUUGCUAUGUAACUGUUACUCUCCAAGUCACUGAAAUCUAGUUCACUCUUUACCCUCCUCUUCUGACUGUUUCAAAACGAAAAAAAAUCGAAAAAAAAAUUAAGGAAAACCCAAAAUUUCAGCCCUGUUCUUGUUCCUCGUCUUCAACAUUUUUCAACCGAAGCAUUUACGGUCUCACUCUCAUGCUUCGGUUUCUCGCAACUGGAUCAAAUAUUUCUCAUCCUUUUCCACACACAGCAGUUAUAAAAGCUCUGCGAGUGUUCACAUCCACCACCUGUUCGAGCAUUUGCGUCACCCAAACCAAGGUUGAAGUUGAAGAUGAUAAAGGCAAAUGGAGUGAUGCUACUGAACUUUUGAGAAAAUGGGGUUGCAGUGAUGAUGAUUUGGUGAGAAUAUUCUCGCGCUGUCCCUCGUUGCGCAAUGCUGAUCCCACGCAGGUCCAAUCUAAACUGUGCCUGCUUAGUGAUUUGGGCUUGCGUGCUUCUGAACUUGUGAAGAUUGUCAAUUGUAGACCACGGUUUUUCCAGUCUCGGAUUAACUCUUAUUUAGAAGAGAGGAUUGGACAUCUCACAUCAUUGUUUGAGUCCAGGGAAGUGCUUCAGAAGGCCAUUGUAAGGAACCCUUCAUUGCUGCUAUCGGAUGGUCGCUAUAAUGUUAAGGCCACAGUUGAGCUCUAUGAGAAGUUGGGUGUUAAGAAAGGGGACUUGGUUCAGAUGCUGCUUUUGCGGCCCACGGUUAUUUCAAGGACUUCCUUUGAUGCUGAGAAGCUGGAAUAUUUAAGCAGGACUGGGCUUACUGUGGAUUCAAAGAUGUAUAAAUAUGUGGUGACUUUAAUUGGAAUCUCUCGCGUGGAAACUAUCCGGGAGAAGGUGGCCAAUUUCGAAAAGUUUGGGUUUUCUGAAGAGGAGAUAUUUGGUCUUGUGGGGAGGUCUCCUAAUGUUUUGACAUUGUCGACAGACAAGGUUCAGAGGAACAUGACUUUCAUUUUGGGCACGAUGAAGCUUGAUGCUAAGAUGGUUCUAAAGCAGCCGUAUCUAUUGUAUGCCAAUGUGGAUACUGUUUUGAAGCCAAGAGUUCUACUAGCAUUGAAGAUUCAAGAUAUGGAUUCAAAGUGGCAGAUCAUAGGACCAACGAUAGUUAGUGUACUUAGGAUGCAAGAGACGAGAUUUUUGGACUUGUUUGUCAAAUGCCAUGGGGAGGAUGUUGCCAAUGAAUUGAUGGAUUUCUAUAAAAGGACAAAAGAGGUUAAGAGAUUAGGAGAGUCAUCAAAGAAGUGCAGUAGGAGAGGAUUCCCUUUCUGAAAUCUGAACUACUUAUAUGCUAUAAAGUGAUUUAGAGCUGAGAUCCAUAUCCACUUUUUUGGUUAUCUUGUUAUUGGAAAUUAUUUUUGUGAAAUUUACUAUGCUUAUUUCUCUCUAUUUGAUUUUUAAUGAAGAUUUUUCCUAUCUAGAACAAUUUUGUAAUACAGGUGAGCGGCAAAGCUUCAAAAUCAAGAAAUAAUGUAGGUAAUUGAUUUGCGUAUACUAUGUUUUAAAGAGUAACCUUACAGAUAUAUUAUUGAUCCUCAGUGCCCUCAUUUUUCAUCAGGGUUCGGCCUUGGCCCUAAACAACAUUCCUGAUUUUUAGUUUAGAACUUUAGAUUAAUUUUCACAUCAAAAUAGCUUUCCCAGCUAGGAACUCACUGUGACUUUUCAAUUACAAUCUGUAAACUAUUUUCACUUAAAAUAAGUUUAUCGAAACAUUAAAAUUUUCAGAGAAUUUGCUUUCAAUCCUUGACAAAUACCAUUAAAAAGAUAUCAAGAAGGACAAUAACAUUGCAGUAAAAACAAUUUUGUUUCCCCCCCUGUUUUCAACAUCUACUUCAACAAUAAAUUUCUGUUGCUUGAUACUUCUGUCUGUUUUGUGCUGCUAUCUGUUAACUUCUAAUGCUUUCUAUUCAAAUUGAAUUUCAGGUAAAAUUUUGGUUGCUGUAAAGGAACUGAAAUAUGUCAUUAACUUUGUUAUUAUUGGCUGUUGUAUUCAUUUUAUGACUACAUUAAGUGAAAACUAAUUAUCUCUCUUAAUUUACCACAGAUAAAACAAUUAUGUUUUUAGUUCACUUCAGUUCCGAAUAUCCCCAAUUAAAACUAAAAGAAAAUUUGAUGGUUGAAAAAAAGACUUCGAGCAAUCAAAUGAAAAAAAAAAUACAUUCCUUAAUCUACAUUCAUUUUCUCUUGGAAAAGGCAAUGACAGAAGAAUGUUUUUAAUUAUCUAAACAUGAAAUAUUACGUAAAAAAUAUAUAGAUAGUAGAAAUGUGAAAGCUCAAAGAAUCAACCUUCUGCUACUACUGCACUCGUUGCUUGCUUGCUUGCUUCUAAUUUCUAAGCCCUUACACUCUAUGCAUGACACUGUUGUAUGAUGAAGAGGAGAGUAGGCUCAAUGACUCAAAAUGAAGAGUAUAUGUCCAAUAUAUAGAGCUCCAAUCCAAAAUGCAUGUACAUUAUGAGAUAAUUGAAUUAAAUCUUUAUUAAAAGUUGGACCAUAUUCAUUAAAAAUACUAAGAUAUAUCUAUUAAACCCUAAACAUAUGAUAUGAUUAUUUAUUAAAUAAAGUUUAUUUAAAUCAAAUUAAUCACACAAAACACAAAAUCCCUCACAUUAACAUCUACUAUUCACAAAUUAAUUUGACAUUACACUUACUUUCUAAUAAUCAAUAUAACAUUAAGUUAUAAAGUUCCCGGAUCAAUUUGUAUUUCUUUUACAAGUAAAUCAUAUUUUUUUUAUAAAUUAUUAAUUACAAAUUUCGGUUUAGGUAUGAAAUGUAUCAUUUAUCAUCAAGGGAAAGAGACAUAUUUGAGUUUGACUAUCUCAUCAUCGAAAUAAAUAUUCAUCUUCAAUUUUAUCCUUAUACUUAAUGGGUAUGAAACUUUUGUUUGAACUUGACUAUCUCAUUUUGAAGUAAAUAUUCAACCUUAUUUCUGUCCUCAUACUCAACGGCAUAAAUUUUUUAUCUCAUGGCCAUCUCCAUUGAGAAUGGGUAUACUCGUACUAUUUUAAAUAUUAAUUAAAUAUUUUUUUAUAACAAAUAAAAAUCGUAACAAAAGAAUCAUAAUAUUAUCAAGUAUUUAAUGUUAAAAGAAUACACAAUUUCUUUCUCUCUAAUGUCAAAUAUAAAGAAUAGAAAUUAUAACUACAUAACUGCAUAAAUAACAAAUGAGAGUAUCAAAUAAAAAUUUGAUAAAAGUUAAAUAAUUACAUAAAAGAGUAAAACUAAUCAAAUAUAUGACCUAUAAAUAAGUUACAAAACUAAGGACCAAUUAAAAGUUAAUAUAAAUUAUUUAGAUUACUUAAUAAAUUAAAGAUAUUUUAGUAAUUUAAAAUAGAAAUGAGUAUGGAAACAAGAUAUGUAUUGGGACUAGUAUGAGAUAUGACGAAUAUGCACAUACCAAUAUGCAUUCUCAUACUUAAUUAAAAAAUCAAAUAUUACUUAUACUCCUACUUCACUGAUACGAAAAUUUCUCAUAAAAAAUGUGACAUAUUCAAUCAAUAUCCGUAGAUGAAUUCAUUUGCCUAGCUAAUCCUAAAAGUUACCCAGAGCCAAUUUCUUAAUGAUUUGAAGAAAAAUACAAUUUAUCAUCUCCUAUAAUACGUGAAAAUGAAAUGGGUUAAUUACAUAUUAUUUCAGAAAUUAAUUAUUUAAAUAUUUAGUGAAACAAUAAUUAUAGGUAUAAUUCUUUUGCAAUUAGUUGUAGUAUUUAUCGAAAUCAAUACCUAAGCGAGCUGAGUUUGACUGGCGAACAUCUACCCUAAACAGGUAGUUUGGAAGCAACUUUUAAUCAUGCAAUUUUUAUAGUUUAAUCCUUCAGAUUUUUAAUGUUUUAUAGUUUAUUAAUUAUAUGUUUAGUUCUAGAAUCUUAUAUGAGGCACAUUUCCUUUGUUCUUCUUUUUAUGGCAUUAUAAUCUCUAUAAGCAUGUAAGACAAACACGUGUUGUGCAUAUGAAAGUUGAAUAAGAGAGAGAUUUUGUUUUUUUUUUCAUUCCGACUCAGUUUUCUCAGUGUUUAUUUUUCUUCCUCUGUUUUCUCAGUAAAUCUUCUUCUUUAGUCAUGAAAAUCGUUAUGGUAAUAGAGCGGACAUGUGUCACUCUGAUAAAUUUUUUUUUUCAUUAGUACAAAAUAUCAAAAUUACGAUCCUAUAUUCAAGGCGUUUUUAUGGUCAGAUUCAAAACAAAAUAACAUUUUUUAAAUUAACUUCCGGUAAGAGGGUGGUUAUUUGGUAUAGCAGCAUUCUUAAACAAAGCGCUUUGUUUAAGAAUGUGACUAUAUCAAAUAGUCACCCUCUAUACCAUUUUUUUACUCUAAUACUUCCUUUCUCUGACGCUUCAUUUUCUCUUCUCUUUUACUCUGGUGCUUCCUCUCGUCUUCCUCGAGCCUGCAUUGUCUUUUUCGUGCCAUUAGUAAGUUUGUUUUGAGCUCUCUACUUCUUCUUCACCCUUAGUUUUUGUAUUUUCUUCAUUUCUCUUAUUUGUUACUUUUCUGUCAUUGCUCGAAGGCCACCACUGUUUCAUUGCCACGCUGGUGUUUGAGUUUAAACUGUGCCCUAUUUGCUCCGUCGCUGCUUGUGCUGCCGCUAUUGCCGUUGUCGUGCCGCUCUUUACCACCAUCGUUACCUUCACGCACAAGGUUGGUGGUGUUUUAUUUUUUUUUUUAAUUUUUUCAAUUUCUUUAAUGUUAUUAAUUUGUUUACUUUUUUUUAUUAUAAUUUUUAUUUUUUUUAGGUUAAAAUAUAAUUAUUAAAUUAUUUGACGGUAGAUAGAUUUAUUUUAUUUAAUAUUUAAAAUUAAUUUAAUAAUUUUUAAUUUGAUAUUUAGUAUGUAUUAUAAUUUGUAUUUAUUAUUUAAUUUAUAUAAUGUUAGUUGUUAGAUUAUAAUAGAAUUAUCGUGUUGGUAUUGAGUUCGAGGAUGUUCGACCUUCGACAAUUGAUACGUUUUGGUAUUGAGUCUGAAAGUGUUUGAUCCUCAGCAAUUGAUACGUGCUGGUAUUGAGUCCGAAGGUGUUUCACCCUCGGCAAACAUGAGAUUUCACACUCAUUAGUAAACACCUGAAUGACUAUUAUAGAAUAUAAUGGAUCGAAAUUGGAUUAAUUAUGUUUGCAUAAGCGAUGAGUACAAAAGAGGAGUAGAAGAAGUUAUACAAUUUACACUACAUAACGCGAAUAAUAGUGGUCAUGAUGGAGCAAAGAUUAGGUGUCCGUGCGUUAACUGUUUGAAUGGAAGGAUACUGGAUGUUAAGAAAAUCAGGGAUCACCUUCUAUGUGAUGGGUUUCUUCGAUCUUAUACAACUUGGACAUGGCGUGGUGAAUCAUUAAAUUUACAAUGGAGUCUCUGCAUCGCUUGACAUACUUCCAUAUUCAUGCACUUCUGCAAAAGACUCAGCUCCCACAUCACGAAUCAUGUCCUCCAAUAGAUCAUCAUCUACUUCACCAUGUACUGCAUCAUUCAUGGUGGACCCCACAUAUUCUUCAUAGUUCACAACCUGUUUUACUAGUUAUGUACAACUUACCUCCUGGAUUGUGCAUGAAGCAAAAAUACAUGGUGUUGUCUAUGAUGAUAUCUGAUUCGUAAAAACCAGGAAAUGUUAUAGAUGUUUAUCUAAGUCCCCUAAUUGAAGAUUUACUUUAUGUUAAAUUAUUAUUGAUUAUGCUUUAACUAAUAACUUGCAGGUUUUGCAUGGAGUUUCUAUCAAUGAUGGGAAUGAAGAUGUGUAUGGAUUCUUAGAUCCCUCAUAUACUAAUCCCAUUGGAACAAAGAAAAGUGAAACUCAAUCAUACGCAUCACUAACACCCUGGAAAAAGAGGGAAAACAAAUUUAUUUAUGCUCUUAUAUUAAUGAGUAAGUUUAAUUAUAAGUCAUCAAUUAUUACUAUUUCAUGUUUUAAAUAUUUACUAACUCUUUUCAUGGAUGAUAUAAGGGUCAUUGGCAGUUACUUGUCUUAUUCACGGUUGAUAAAACUGUUGUGUGGUUCUGUUCCCUACACAAGAAGCCAUCCACACAUAUGAAGAAUAUGAUUGAUAAGUAAGUACACCAUAAACUUAACUCCGUAUGUUACUAAUUAAGCAUCUACUAACGCAAUUUUUUGUAUUAAUGAGUUCAUGGCGUGAAUAUAACAUCCUAAAAGGUCAAUCAAAUUCAAAUUUUCAAAAUCUGAAGUGGAUGACACUAAAGGUUUGUAAUUUUUGUCUUUCUCUUUUUAUUGUUUAUCAAUAUUAACUUUUACUUUUUAUUGGAUUAUAGUGUAAUUGACAACCAGGAAGCUAUGAGUGUGGCUAUUGUGUUAUGCAAUGGAUGGUUAACAUUGUAAGACUAGGCCUUAAAAGUGAUUGGGAUCAGGUAACAUAUGAUGGUAAAUUAUUUUUAUAACUAUUUAACAUAUAUGUAUCUUAACACUAAUUUACGUGAACCUUAUUUUGUAAUGCAGUUCUUCACGGAUGAGCAACCAAUGUCUUCAGCCGCCAUAUAGUAUGUGAGACAUUCUUGGUCCACAUAUUUUCUAAAUUUUUAUAACUCUAGGAUAGCUAAUGAAUAGUGUAGGAAUUAGAUAGAUAGAUAUGAAUAUAGGUAAAGAUAUAUUAUUAGUGUUUGUAAUACAUUUUUAUCAAUAUAUAUAAAUUGAAUCUAUGAAUUUAUGUAUUUGUCUGGCUAGAUUAUAAUUGAACAGGUUAAUUUAAAUGAGAAUUAGCAUUAAACAAAAUGUACUAAAAAAAGAACCAUAUACAACGACGAAUAUUUACCAUAGCCGCAUUCUUAUAUGCAGCACAAAGAUUUGUACACCUCCCUUUUAUAAAUCAUUCUAAAGCAUAUAAGAAGGCGACUAUUUACCAUAGCCGUCCUUAUAAACCUGAAUUUAAAAAGAUGACUAGAAAGUCACCGUUUUACAAUGAAAAUAGCCGCCCUCUUUAAACCUUUAUGCAUCAGUGUCUUGUCUUUCUCUUCUUGCAUUUCUUAUUUUCUUUGUUCACCCUCACCAUGUUUAGUGAGGACCCCUCACUGAAUUCGACGAACCCUUACUAUCUUCACACUGGAGAGAAUUCAGGAAUGGUACUGGUCACACUGCAACUUGGUAGCAAUUAUCACCAUUAGAGUCGAGCAAUGAAAAUGGAACUACUCUCAAAGAAAAACUCAAGUUCAUCAUUGGGGAGAUUCCAGAACCCACAUAAGAGUCAACAAUAUGAAGCAUGGGAGCGUUGUAACGUGAUCGUGAUUUUCUUGGAUAACACGAAGCUUGACAUCGCAGAUAACGCAAAUCACAAUUUACAUCGACAACAUAAAAGAUUUAUGGGAAGACUUGUGGGAAAGAUUCUCCAAAAGUAAUCACUUCCGCAUCUCAAAUCUCCUUCAAGAAAUGAAUUUGAUUAACCAAGGAGAAAGAAGCAUCUUAGACUAUUAUAAUGAUUCCAAGAUUUUGAGGGAGGAGCUGCAUUCUCUCGGACCUAUAGCCGUUUGUGUUUGUAGCGUGAAAUGCGAAUGCAAAUUAUCCAAAAUCAUUAUUGAGUACACAUAAUCAAAAAGAGUAAUGUAAACCUAUAAUAAUGUGAAAACCCAGAUUCUUCUUAUGGAGCCUUUGCAUGAUAUAAACAAAGUCUUCUCUCUCUCACUUUACAACAAGAAAGUCAAGAAAGGCACUUCAAUGAGACAAAAACCAUGGAGUCAAAGAUCUUGAUAAACAACACAAGUCAAUCCAACCAAAACACAACUCAAUUCCACCAAAUGCACUACAACAAAAAUGUUGAUGGAUGGAAAGGAACUGGAAGAGGCAGAGGAAAGAAUUUUGGGAAGCAAUGCUCAUAUUGCAACAAGAUGAAUCAUACUGCAGAUAAAUGCUACUCCAAACAUGGACAUCCUCCCUAGAUAAAGCAGAGAAUUAGCCAUGAUGUAAAUGUUGUUGAAAGCUUAGAAGAUUAGAUCAAUGAAAGGAGUUCACCUCAAAAUACGUCCUUAAAUGAUUAUGCUUUAUCUACUGAACAAUUGCAAAAAAUAGUUGAUAUCCUUCAAAUGAAUAAUGACAAAGGAAAAACGAAUAAUGAUAUGACGGAUCAACCACAUGAGAAAGGUAAAACUCAUAAAAAAUCUUGGAUUCUUGAUACCGGGACAACUAAUCAUGUUGCUCGUUAUAUUUUCCUUUUUCUAAGUCAUUAUGAAAUAAAACCUAUGAGGGUGAGGCUUCCAAAUAAUGCUUAAAUCAUUGUUAGACAUUGAUAAAUGCCAUAACUUAGUAAGAUUUAUGCAAAAAAAGCUAUCACUUAUGGAUUUAAUUGUUAAUAAAGUUAUAAUUCGACCUUAAUUUGAGAAAUUUGAAUCUAAUAACAUAUUUUUGAUUAUGAUAUGAAUAAGAACUAUUUAUUCUCAAUUUUGUGCUAAUUUCAGGAAUCUAAGAGAAGAUGAAGACAAAGGGCUAGAGUAAGAAUAGAAAAGUUAGAGAUGAGGAGAAAAGACAAAGCUGAGCACCCAAGACUCGCUUAGACUUGCCCAACGAGAUCACUGCAAAGGAAAACUUGCCCUCUGGACCAAACUCGCCCAAGCGAGAUCACUCUAGAAGCAAACUUGCUCUUUGGACUCAACUCGAACAGAACUCAAUCAGACUCACCCAAGCAAGAACGCUAUAGAGGCAAACUUGCUCUUUGGGCCAAACUCGCCAAAGACUCGCCCUGACUCACCCAAUACUCACCCAGGACUCGCUUAGGCUCGCUUGAGCGAGUUUGUUCUAGUGAAGUUGGUUUUUAUUUUCUCUAAACUCGCUUGAGCAAGUAAUAUUUUGCUUGAGCGAUAUGUCACUUAACCUACACCCAAUUAGGUUAAAUAAGGGUGUGAGGCAGAGGAAAAGGGAUACCAGGAUGAAAAUCAGAGAUAGAAAACCCUAAAGGAGGUAGUCGUCAAUGAUAAAUGCUCUGGAUCUUCUUUUCUUACUUUCAAUGCUUGUAAUGGCCACCAUGAGAGGCUAGUUCUUCCCUUUGGGUUUGAGAGUAAUCUGUUCAAACUCUGAUAUAUUGAGGUGAUAUUUAUUUUAAUAUUUCUUUCUUGAUUGAUAUUGGUAUUAUCAUUUUAUUCUCAAACCUUGAAUUUUUAUUCAUGAUUAUGAUUCUUGGAUUUGACUGUAAAGUACUUCUGAGGAUCUGACCUAAAUGAUAAUGCUUGGCAUAUUUGAAUGCUAGCAAUAUAUUUGAAAUGUUAAUUUCUCUAUAACAUCUGCUUUUAAUGAUAAGAAUGUUUUUCUAAAUAUGUGAGGAAUCAAUAUUUAGGAGACAAUCUUAAUAAUUUUAUAUGCGAGGAAUCGAUAUAAAUGACUUUAUAUGUGCACCAAUGUCAAUUACGUUAGAAUAUUGUAUGCUUUUGUUCAUCCAAAAUACAAAAGAGUGAGAAAGAUUAACCCCGUUUCCAGUUUUCUCAAUUGAAUUAUUUUAAUCAUUUACGAUGUUUUAAGUUAAUUUCUCACGUAACUUUAUAAUGCAAAUGACUUUUCAAUCAAACUUUUGCACAUCUUUUAAUAUUUAGUGAAUAUUGUACAUUGAGAUUUUAAAAGAAUUGUUCCUUGUGGAUUCGAUAUCUGUCCUUAGGAACAAUUUAUUUCUUUUGACUAAGUCACCAGACAUGCAGAGACUGUGAUCUUAACUUAAAGAUUAAUCAUACAUAGAGUUUUGUACAUUCCUAAGUUUUCUUUAAAUAUUCUAUCAGUCCAAAAACUUACCACUUCACUAAACUAUAAUUUUUGUUUCUCAUGAUGAUGAGUGUCAGAUUCAAGAAGCACUUACAUCUAAGACGAUUGGACAAGCUAAGCUUCUUGUAGAACUCUACAAUCUCAACUUCUCAACAGAAAGAAGUGCAAUUCUCUUCACUCAAACAAAAGACUAUUUUCAAUGCGACAAAAGCCUUGAUGUAUGGCAUUGUAGGCUAUGGCAUCCUUCGAGUAAGGUGUUAGAAUGCAUGAAUAAAACUUAUCCCAAUAUACAUUUUGAUAAACAUUUGUGCUCCUUGUCAUUUUUCUAAAGAACAUAGAUUACCGUUUCUUAUAUGCAAAAGCACUUCUGAUAACCCUUUUGAUCUUGAGCAUAUUGAUAUUUGGGAACCCUUUGGUGUUCCAUCUAUACAUGGGCAUAUAUACUUUCUUACUGUUGUUGAUGAUCAUACUAGAUUCACUUGGAUAUAUCUGAUGAGAAGUAAAAAUGAAACCAAAAAUCUUUUAUGUAGUUUUGUUGUUUUAGUUAAAAAUAUCAAAGCAUAAGAAAUGAUAACAAACAAGAGUUUUAUUGGAAAGACUUAUAUGAAAAAUAUGAAAUUAUUCACCAAACAACAUGCUUUGAAAUACCUCAACAAAACUUUGUGGUUGAACAAAAACAUCAACACAUCUUGAAUGUGACUAGAUGUCUCAUGUUUAAAUCCAAACACUCUCAAGUUUCCUUGUAAUAUGUUGUGGUGAUUUUUUCUAUUUCAUUAACAAAAUUCCUUCACUGGUCAUUUUGAAUAAAAGCCCGUAUGAAAAAAAUUAUUCCACUGUGCCUAACCUUUAUAAUCUCAUAAUUUUUGGAUGUUUGUGUUUUGCUUCUACUUUAGAAAUGGAAGGAACAAACUUGAUCCUAGAGCCAAAAAGUGCAUAUUUAUGGGAUUCAAGGCAGGGUGAAAAGGAUACACUGUCAUUGACACACAAACCAGAGAAAUUUGUAUCUUCAGAAAUGUUCUUUUCUAUGAGCGAACCUUCUACCAAGAGAGUAACAAGAACGAGCAUAUAUGAAGUCAGUUAUGAUCAAGACUUCCUUGAAUGCAUAUAUGAAGUUCCACAAAACAGAUAGGACUAAUUCCAAUGAAGAAGAAACUGAAGAAUCAAGUGAAACUGGAAAUCCUAGAAGAUCUAUAAGAUCACGCAAAGCUCCUGCAUACCUUGAAAGUCAACUUCUUUGUCUUUACAAACUGAACCACACACUUAUGAGGAUGCAAUUCAAUAUAAUGAAUAUAGAGUAGCCAUAGACAAUGAGAUCAAAGCCCUUGAACAAGACUUGGAAUUUAGUUGAUCUUCCAACAGACAAAACACCCAUUAGUGCAAGUGUGUAUACAAAAUCAAGAGAAGAGCAGAUGGCAACAUCGAGAAAUACAAAGCAUGCCAGUGGCAAAAUGUUACAUACAACGGGAAGGCAUUGAUUCUACUAAUACCUACUCGCCCGUGGCAAAGUCAACUACGAUUCGCAUGAUCCUUGUUGUUGUCGUUAUCAAAGACUGGUAUCUAGAACAACUUGACAUAGACAAUGCUUUCCUACAUGGAGCCUCUCUGAAGAAGUUUAUAUGGAGGUUUUCCCUAGAGUCAUCAAUGAAAAACCAAGCCAGUCGACAGUGGUAUGAGAAGCUUACUUCAUAUAUUUUGACUAUAGGUUUUAUCCAAUCAUUAGUUGAUAGUUCUUUGUUUAUUAAGAAAACUAAAAAUUCUUUUGUUGCCUUGUUAUUAUACGUGGACGUGGAUGAUAUAAUUUUAGUUAAGGAUAAUAUAUAUGAAAUAAUAUCUGUCAAUAAAUCCCUGAAUUCUGUCCUCAAAAUCAAGGACCUCAGAAAGCUAAAAUAAUUCCUCGAUCUAGAGAUUGCUCGAACAAAGAAAGGGAUUCACAUCUUCCAAAAGAAGUAUGCUCUCGAAACUCUUGAAGAUACAGGAAUGCUGGGUGCUAAGCUUGCGUCUAAUCCCAUGCAGAAAAAAGCUGAGAACAUGUUCGAUCAAGAAGCUGAUGUGCAUGAUCCUUCAAGUUUUAGAAGAGUUACUGGGCGGCUUUUAUAUCUGGUAAACACUAGAUGUGAUGUAUGUUUUGCAGUGCAAUUCGUCAAUCAAUUCAUACAAAGGAAAACCAUCCAUCAUCAUCAUCAUCAUGUUGUUCAACGUAUAUUACAGUACAUAAAAGUUGCACCUGCACAAGGUUUGUCUUACUCUAGAAUAAAAAGCCUGUAGUGAUUCUGACUGGCGUCUUGUUCUAUAACACGACACUCCACAACUGGAUUUUGCAUCUUUCUGGAAGAAUCAUUGGUUUCAUGGAAAAGUAAAAAACAAAGUACAGUCUCAAGGUCAUCCUCAAAAGUUAAAUAUCGUGCCUUAGCCUCUACAUCUUGUGAACUACAAUGGUUAACUUUCUUGUUAAAAGAUCUCCACACCAUCAUCCCCAACAUAACAUGUCUCUAUUGUGACUCACAAUCUGCUAGACAUAUUGCUCUUAAUAAUAACUUUUAUGAACGGUCCAAACAUAUUGACAACUGUCAUGUCGUUCGAGACUCAAAACAAAAUCUUUUUUACCUUUUCUCUAUUUGCUCUUUAGAACAACCAGCUGAUGUUCUAAACCGCUUGAUCGAGAAGUUUUACAGAAAUUCAUCACCUAGCUUGGAGUACUCUGUAUUCACACUCCACCUUGAUAGGAGGGUUUUACAGUUUAUUAAUUAUAUACUUAGUUCUAUAGAAUAUUAUCUGAAACCUAAUUAUAUCUGAAACCCAUUUUCUUUUUUCUUCUUUUUAUGGCUCUAUGUAAGCAUGUAAGACCAACACAUGUUGUGCAUAUGAAAGUUGAAUCAUAGAGAAGUUUUUUCAUUCUGGGUGUGUUUUCUUCUUCCUCUGUUUUCUCUAUUAUUUUCAAGCAAUUUCAAAUCAAAAUAUUUCUUCUUUUGUAAUUUAGAGGCUCAAUGGUUAUUCUUUUUUUUUUAAUUUGAAAAUAAUUUAAGCUGCAUAUUAAGUAGUUUAAUCAUUAUUAAAUAAGAAGUGUGGGUCUUACAUAUUAUAAAAGACAUAUAAGAGUAGUGUGCAAGGCAAAGGUGGUUAGCACUAAGGAUCAUCAUCAUCAUCUCUCAGUGUUUUCUGCAUUAUUGCUUUCUCUUCUAACCGUUGACCUCAACUCCUUUGAUGGCAUCCGCGUCUUCUUCUUCUUCUUCGUUUUUCUCAAAAUCCAGAAAUCGAGAGGAAGUGUUCAUCCAAUUUUUUGGAGAAGACAUCCGUAAGAAUUUCAUUUCUCAUCUCAGUUCUGCCCUUUUACAGGCUGGAGUAAAACCUUCCUUCCUUGCCGAGGGAAUGAUGCCGAGAAUACUUUUGUCAUCAAUUGAAAGCUUUCAGAUUGGAAUAGUUGUUUUCGCCAAAGCAUACAGUGAAUCUUCUCGGUGUGUUCAAGAGCUUGUGAAAAUCGUUGAAUGUCACGAGACUCACGGCCUAAUGGUUAUGCCCGUGUUUUAUGAAAUUGACCCAUCCGAUGUAAGACAUCAGAAGCCUUAUAUUCCAAAAACGGCAAUUACACAAAACAAUUUUUCAGGAAAACACCAGACCAUUUGGCCCCUGAGGUGGAGACGUGCACUCACCAAAGCUGCAAAUUUGCCUACUUGGUGGGAUGGCAGCAAACACAGGUAAACCAAUCCAUACUUUGGAAACUUUUUCUUAAAACAUUUUAAGCAUAGAAAAUAAAAAAAAAUUUCUACACAAUUAUUUUUAAUAAAUACAUAAAAAAUUAUCUGAACAAAUUUUCUAUACUAUUUGGCGCUCAUUUAUUUGACAUUUGUGUCUUUUGUAUUUAUUGAACGGGAAGGAAUGAUGCUGAACUAGUAGAGGAAAUUGUUAAGUUUGUUCUCGCUAAACUUGUGCACCUUGAACACCCCUUGUCUAUAACUAAAUUUCCUGUUGGAUUAGAACCCCAUGUGGAAAAAGUGAUGGGAUUGUUUGAAAAUCAACCCACCAAAGUUUGUAUUAUAGGGAUAUCAGGAAUGGGAGGAUCGGGUAAAACUACCGUAGCCAAAGCCAUCUACAAUCAAAUUCCUCAUACAUUUGGUGAUAAAAGUUUCAUUCAAGAUAUUAGACAAGUUUGUGAAACAGAUGGCAUAGGCCUUGUUCAUUUACAAGAACAACUUCUAUCAGAUGUCCUAAAAGCAAAUGUGAAGAUAGAGAGUGGUAGGAUGGGAAAAACUAUGAUCGAGAACAGACUUUCUGAAAAAAAGUUAUUCAUUGUGCUUGACGAUGUGAAUGAGAUAGACCAAUCGAAACACCUAUGUGGAAAUGGUAAAUGGUUUGGUCAAGGAAGUAUAAUAAUCAUUACAACUAGAGAUUUAGACCUGCUUUGUCAACUUAAUGUUGAUUAUGUUUAUGAGAUGGAUAAAAUGGACCAAACUGACUCCCUUGAACUUUUUAGUUGGCAUGCUUUUAGAGAAGCAAAACCAAGGGAAGACUUCAAUGAACUUGCAAGAGAUGCAGUUGCUUAUUGUGGUGGACUACCACUAGCUCUUGAAGUCCUUGGUUCUUAUUUAUGUAAAAGGUCAGAGAAUGAAUGGAGAAGUGUAUUGUCGAAACUAAAAGUAAUUCCCAAUACUCAAGUUCAGAACAAACUAAGAAUAAGCUUUGACGGUUUACGCGAUGACAUGGAAAAGGAUAUAUUUCUAGAUGUAUGUUGUUUCUUUAUUGGUAAGGAGAGAGGCUAUGUCACAGAGAUACUAAAUGGGUGUGGACUACAUGCUGAUAUUGGAAUAACAAUUCUCAUAGAGCGUGGUCUUAUAAAAAUUGAAAAGAACAAUAAACUUGGAAUGCAUCAUUUGCUCCGGGAUAUGGGACGAGAGAUUGUGCGCCAAAGUUCAACAAUGCAACCUGGGAAGCGCAGUCGAUUGUGGCUUUCCAAGGAUGUAAUUGAUGUAUUGACAAAGAAUACUGUAAGUACAUUCUUCAUAUAACAUUUUGAAACUUCAAACUGUUUUCCUUUAUGUUUCCUUUUCUAGUGAGCUAACAAUAGUGAUUUCCUAAUUUGUUUAUUUUCUCUUAUCAUUACAGGGGACAGAAGCUAUUGAGGGAUUGUCUCUGAACUGUCGGUCAACGAGCAAAGAUUUCUUCGAAGCUUAUGCUUUUGACAAAAUGAAGAGGUUGAGAUUCUUGCAACUUGAUCAUGUACAACUCACUGGAGAUUAUGGAUAUCUUUCUAAGCAACUGAGAUGGAUCUAUUGGCAAGGAUUUCCAUUAAAGUACAUACCUAACAACUUCUAUUUGGAAGGUGCAAUUGUGAUGGAUUUCCAACACAGUAAUCUUAGACUAUUGUGGGAAGAACCCAAGGUAUAUAUUAAAUCCAAUUUUCUUUUCAGACUCGUAGGGUAAUUAAAAUUUUAAGAAUUGCCUCUUAUCACGGUUUCCUUUAUUUUGUAAAAAUACUAUAUUUUUUUGUAGGUUUUGCCGUUGCUAAAAAUCCUCAAUCUUAGUCAUUCCAAGAACUUGAUAGAAACCCCUGACUUUUCAAAAUUACCAAGUCUUGAAAAGCUCAUUCUCAAGCAUUGUCCAAGUUUGCGCAAGGUACACCAAUCCAUUGGAGAUCUCCACAAUCUUCUACUUAUAAAUCUGAAAGGUUGUACAAACCUAAGCAAUCUCCCAAGUGAGACAUAUAAGUUGAAAUCUUUGAAAACUCUCAUCCUAUCAGGUUGUCUGAAGAUUGACAUCUUUAAAGAAGAUAUAUUGCUCAUGGAAUCCCUGACAACUCUAAUUUCUGAAAAUAUUGCUGUGAAACAAGUUCCCAUUUCAGUAGUAAGCUCAAAAAGCAUUGGAUAUAUACUUCUAGACGGAAAUAAAGGAUUGUCACUUACUGUUUUUCGUUCUAUCAUUUGGUCUUGGAUGUCACAUACUAUUAAUCCCCUGUCUCGUAUUCGUCCGUUUCGUGGCAUUUCAUCAUCUCUAGUUUCCAUGAAUAUCAAGAAUAAUGAUUUGGGGGAUCUAGCACCAAUCCUAAGCAGCAUUUUAAAUCUGCGUAACGUUUUGGUGCAAUGUGUCACGGAGAAUGAAACAGCGACACAAGUAAUAACAAUUUUGGAGGAAGUUCGUGGUGUAAGUUUGAGUACAUUAAAAAUAAGACCAUCUACACCAGAAAUUUCAAAGCAUCCCUUAAGACCAUAUUGGAUUGAACUUGGAAGUUAUCAAGAAGAAGUCUUCAAUACUCUCCGCAAGAGCAUAUUUGAGGUUCCUUCUCUUUUUCUCAUUAUCUACUUACUUUUAUUAUUCAUUUUAGCUGUUAAUUUUAAGACCAUGAAACAUUCCCGUAAAAAUAAUUCAAAGUAACUUCAAUCCUAACAUUCCUUUAGCACCUUCCCCUUCUAUAACCACCUGGCUUUAUUUAAAAAAUACCUUUUUCUAAUACUCAACAAGGCGAGUGACGAUGCUAAGCACUAGGAAGUUGAUUUCCAUUUUGGGCUUGCAUUGCUUGCUUCAUACUGGUCAUAUUCUCAUAGAUCAUAAAAAAUUAUUUAUGCGUUGAAAGCACAUUAUUAUACACAACAAAACUAUUAAAGCAAAUUUGUCUAGAUAUGUUGGAAAUUUUAUAUCAAAUAGAGGUAUGACCAAAUUAUGGUAUAUAAGUAAAUUCAAAACUUCUAUUACAAGUUGUUAUUAUAAAAUUGAGUUAAGCCUGUUGGGCCCAUAGGACCAUCUGCUAUUAUAUUUAGUGUCAUGUUUGAAAUAUGCAGUCAGUGAGUUUGUUGGAAAUUUCAUAUUAGUGAGAGAUAUGAUUAAAUUGUAAUAUAUAAGUAGAUAGAAGUUUUUCUAAGAUUGAAUUGGGUCUGAAUCCACCUUUUAAGAGAAAUAAUUACGGGAACUAUGUUCUAAUUUAUUCAAUAUGUAGUUAUUCUCUUAAAUUGUUUGUUUUGUACUUUGAAAUGAUAAAAUGAUUGAAGAUGUCCAUAUGAACAGAACCAAUACAAAAUGACUAAGCUAUUUUUCUCAUUCUACAGGGAUUGGAAACCAGUGAGUCUUGUGAUGUUUUUCUCCCCAGUGACAAUUAUCCUUAUUGGUUGGCUUAUAUGUCUGAGGAAGACUCAGUCUUUUUCACUGUGCCUGAAAAUUUUAACAUUGAUGGAAUGAUUUUGUGUGUUGUGUAUUUAUCAACCCUUGAAAACACAACAACUGAAUGUCUUAUUAGUGUCUUAAUGGUUAAUUACACAAAGUGCACAAUCCAGUUACUCAAGGGAGACCCGACAAUUUCCUUUAAUGAUGUAGAUUGGCAGGGCUUGAUAUCACAUUUGGUAUGUGGAGACAAGGUGGGGAUUUUUGUUAUUUUUGCAGAUGGAUUUGUAGUCGAGAAGACAGCUGUCUAUCUAAUGUGUGAUGGAUCAAUUGACAAGGAAUGAUACGAAGGUAAAAACGAAUAAUGAUCUGGAAAAAGUAAGAGUGGGAGGUCCCGUCGGACAAAUAGACGACAAAUAAUUAGUUAGAGGUGGGGAACCGAUGCCCUAGAGAUCCAUAUGUGGGACUACGUAGGAGUGAAAGGUAAAGAAAAUGAGAUCUUACAGAGUAUUGGCCAAAUUAAGAUAUAAUUGAGGAGAGUGAAGGCUUCUGGUCAAGAUUGUACUCAUCCUCUCUUAUUGGCAGUUUCAUCCUUUUCCUUAACAUAUUCUGUUUCUUUAUACUCAAUAUGGUCAUUUAAGAAUAUAACUUCCUUUCUUAUUGUAUGAAAUCCACUUUUAUUUAUAACAAAGUACAAAUAGUUUAUUUUCAUGGGUGAGAACAGCUAGCAUCUGGGCUCGCCAGAUAGCAAAGCUGAUUUUACCAUCAAAUUUCUCAAUAUCCAAUUUUGACAUUAUUGAACAACAGAUCCUGGUUGAAUUAUCGAAAAGCUCUGAUGCCAAUUUGUAGGGAUAUUGUGUGCGGAAGCGUAAUUAUUUAGAAAUAGAAGUUUUCAGCCAAGUUGUUGUUCCUGUAGGGAUAUUGUGUGCGGAAGCGUGGAAAACCCCGUUAAAUAGAGGUAAAGAACCACCGGCGAGAGAGCCAAAACUUCCACUAUAAUGGUACUGGGAGUACAAUAAAUUCCUCUCAGGCUAAUAGAUAAAUAGCCCCAAAACAAAUUCUCUCUAUAUGGGUUAAACACUUACAUCCAAAAGCAGAAAUAGAGAGUAUGGAAAAGAGAGAGGAAGCAAGUGUGCGUAUGUUGUGUCUUACAUAUAUAUAGUGGUUCUAGGAGACAACAAUAAUAAAUACAAUUAAUGGUAAUUAACCUCCCAUUGAUUGCAAUUGAUUGCGGUAAUUAACCUCUCAUUGAUUGCAAUUGAUUGUAGCAAUUAACCUCCCUCCCUUUAAUAACAAUUAAUUGUCAACGGUAAGUCAUAACCCACAAAUCUCCACCUUGACUUGCCUUUGACUGGAACACUCUCUCGCCAUGAAGCCUUGAUUAAGUAUGGAUAAUCAGUAGUAAGCUCAAAAAGCAUUGGAUAUAUACAUCUACACGGAAAUAAAGGAUUAUCAUUUGCUGUUUUACGUUCUAUCAUUUCGUCUUGGAUGUCACAUACUGUUGAUCCCCUGUCUCGUAUUCGUCCGUUUCGUGGCAUUUCAUCAUCUGAAGUUUUCAUGAAUAUCAAGAAUAAUAAUUUGGGUGAUCUAGCACCAAUCGUUAGCAGCAUUUUAAAUCUGCGUAAUGUUUCGGUGCAAUGUGUCACGGAGUGUCAAACAUCGGAACAAUUAAGAACAAUUUUGGAGGAAGUUCGUGUUGUAAGUUUGACUACAUUGAAAAUAAGACCAUCUACACCAGAAAUUUCAAAGCAUCCCUCAAGACCAUAUUGGAUUGGACUUGGAAGUUAUCAAGAAGAAGUCUUCGAUACUCUCCGCAAGAGCACAUUUGAGGUUCCUUCUCUUUUUCUCUUUGUCUACUUACUUUUACUGUUCAUUUUAGCUGUUAAUUUUAAGACCAUGAAACAUUCCCGUAAAAAAAAUUCAAAGUAACUUCAAUCCUAACAUUCUUUUAGCACCUUCCCCUUCUAUAACCACCUUGCUUUAUUUAAAAAAUACCUUUUUCUAAUUCUCAACAAGCCGAGUGAUGAUGCUAAGCACUAGGAAGUUGAUUUCCAUUUUGGGCUUGCAAUGCUUGCUUCAUACUGGUUACAUUCUCAAAGAUCAUAAAUAAUUAUUUAUGUGUUGAAAGAUCUGUAUGUAAACAUAAUGGGCUGAUUUAUACACAACAAAACUAUUAAACCAAAUUUAUCGUUGAAAAUCUUAUAUAAAAUAGAGGUAUGACAAAAUUAUAGUAUAUAAGUAAAUUCAAAACUUAUAUUACAAGUUGAUAUUAUAAGAUUGAGUUAAGUCUGCUGGACUUGCUAUCAUAUAAUUAUCGAAUCAUCUAUAAAUAUUCAGCUUUAUACUUGAGAUAAGUGGUCAUCGAUGUAAAUGAGUGUGUUGGAAAUCUCAUAUUGAUUAGAAAUAUGAUUAAAUUGUAAUAUAUAAGUAGAUAUAAGUUUGAAUUGAGUUCCUUCUAAGAGAACUAAUUACGGGAGCUAUGUUCUAAUUUAUUCAAGUUAUUUUCUUAAAUUGUUUGUUUGUACUUUGAAAUGAUAAAAUGAUUGAAGAAGUCCAUAUGAACAGAACCAAUACAAAAUGACUAAGCUAUUUUUCUCCUGCUACAGGGAUUGGAAACCAGCGAGUCUUGUGAUGUUUUUCUCCCUAGUGACAACUAUCCUUAUUGGUCGGCUUAUAUGGCUGAGGGAGACUCAGUCUGUUUCACUGUGCCUGAAAAUUUUAACUUUGAGGGAAUGAUUUUGUGUGCUAUGUAUUUAUCAACCCUUGAAAAGACAACAACUGAAUGUCUUACUAGUGUCUUAAUGGUUAAUUACACAAAGUGCACAAUCCAGUUAUUCAGAGGAGACACAAUAAUUUCCUUUAAUGAUGUAGAUUGGCAGGGCUUGAUAUCACAUUUGGUAUGUGGAGACAAGGUGGGGAUUUUUGUUAUUUUUGCUGAUGGAUUUGUAGUCCAGAAGACAGCUGUCUAUCUAAUGCGUGAUAGAUCAAUUGACAAGGAAAUGGAAAUGGGUGUAACGAGUCUCAAUCAUAUAUUGGAACGACUGAAUUAUUGACAACCCUAUUUAUUUUAAUAUUUUUUUAUAUCAUUUUAUUAUAAUUUUAUUUUUUAUUAUAUAUAUUUAUAUUUAAAUUAAUUACAUUAAAAAUUAUAAUUGUAAUUUUUAAACCUGUCAAAAUAUCAUUUUUAAAACGAAUAAUGAUCUGAAAAAAGUAAAAGUGGGAGGUCACGUCGGACAAAUAGAUGACAAAGAUUUAAGUGACGUGUACUUAGUGUACUCAUCUUAAAUUAAUGUAAUGGUGUUAAGUGACGUGUACUUAGUGUACUCAUCUUAAAUUAAUGUAAUGGUGUUAAGUGACGUGUACUAUUUUAAAUUUAAAUUAAUGUAAUGGUGUUAAAUGAUAUUAACUCAUUUUAUAUAGAAUUUGAAAAUUGAUAACUUUAAAAAUUGUACGAUUACAUUAAAAAAAUUAUAAAUAUUAAGAUAACAAAUUAUAUUUAAAAAAAAUUAAUCUCAUUGUUAAAAAUUCCAUAAUAUUUCCAUUAACAUUAAUGGAUAAAUAUGUAUGGGACACAUCUCGUCAUCCUUUUACAAAUAUUUUUGUGGAUAUUUGUAAAAUUUAUUUAUUCUUUAUCAUAUAUCAUUUUUAGAGAGUAGUGAGGAGACUUUAAUAUUUUAAAGUAGUAAGGAGAGUUCAAUCUAAUUUCAUAUUUGAUGUAAAAAAAAUUAUAAUUUAUCAUGUAUUAAUCUAAUCCAAUAAAGUGAAAGUUAUAUUAAUGAUUGAAUUUAUAUGACGAAAUUUAUUUUAGGAUUAACAAAGUAUGAACUUCACAAAACUUUGGUAUAUUUUAAAAUUGAGUUUGUAUUAAUUUUUUUAUCUAUUAAGUACUUGAAAUUUUAUAUUUUUCAUCUUGAAUUUAUGUUUUUUAAUUUUUUUUAUUAAUUAGAUGACUUAAUUAUUAUAUCUCCGACAUGAUUGCUAUCUUAUCCCAUCAUUUUGCUUUUUAUGAGUUAAGAAAUCUGAGAUUUUGUGAUUAAUAUAAAAUGAUAUUGAUUUAACGUAGAACACCAAGUAAUUUUUAUGUUUUAUUUUAUGAAAAACAUUUUAGAUAACGAAUGGUGACACUGAUUAUUACAGUACUGAUGAUAUGAAAAUCAUAGAGAAGUUUGACUACUUCAUUCGUCUUAUAUUAAACAUAAAAGUUCACAUUUUUAACAUUAUACUAAUCAAGAUGAAAGACAAAAUAAUAAUCAUAUCCUUUAAUUAAUGAAAAAAAUUAAAUAAUAGAAACUUAAUGAAAAAAUAUAAAAAUCAUCCGGACUUAAUAGACAAAAUUGUUUUGUAAAAAUCUUGAGAAGUUAAUAACAACUUUUUGUAGGAACUCAGUUAAAAUACUCAAAUUUAUGAGAAAUUUGAAAUUUAAUUAAAAAUUUAUGAGAAAUUUGAAAUUUAAUUAAAAAUUUAUUUUAAAGUUAUUUAUUUAAAUAUUUAAUUAAAAAUUAACAAUUUAAGUAUUUUUUUUCCAUGGCAAAGGAUGUAAGUAUUUAUUGAAAUAUAUAUUAAGACACUAGUUGAGCUGGAAGAGGGAGUCAUCUUGUUUUCCAGUUCAUUAAACUUUAAAUAUUUUAGUAAGCCUCAAAACUAAUUUUAUUUAAGUGAAUUAUUAACCAUAAGGUUUUAAAAUUAUAAUAAUUCUUCGUUUCACUUUGGAAAAAAUGUAUUUAAAAAUUUCAAAAUAAUUUAAGUUUUCCUAAAUCAAAAAGUUGGGUAAAAAUUAUGUAAGGGUAAGGGUGGUAGAACUAUCAUUUCUCUCUGUAUUCUGAAUUAUUGCUUUCUCUCCAAAGCGUUGACCCUAAUUUCAUUGAUGGAAACGGAAUCGUCUUCGCCAUCAUCCAAAUCCGAAUGGAAAUACGACGUGUUCAUCAAUUUCAGGGGAGUAGACACCCGCCGGAAGUUCGUUUCUCAUCUCCAUUCUGCUCUCUCAAAAGCUGGAGUCAAAACGUUCCUUGACGAGGAGAAUCUGCUGAAGGGAAUGGAGCAGCAAGAACUAUUGCGAGCAAUACAAGUGUCUCAGAUAGCAAUAGUUGUUUUCUCCAAAAGAUACGCUGAAUCUAGUUGGUGUCUUGAUGAGCUUGAAAAAAUCUUUGAAUGUCGCCAAACUUGUUGCCAAAAAGUUUUACCUGUAUUUUACUAUGUUCAACCAUCCGAGGUACGAGAGCAGACGGGUGAUUUUGGAGAUGUGUUGAGAGCAGCUGCAGAAAAUAGGUAUGAAGAUACGUUGUUGAGGUGGAGCCUUACACUCACCAAAGCUGCAAAUUUGGCGGGGUGGGAUGUCAGGAAAAGCAGGUAAAUCAACCAUUUAGAAUUUAUAUGGAGAAAACUUCCUAACAAUUAUUUUAAUUUUAAAAAUAAACUAAAUUUAAUUUAUAAUAAGUUAAAAAUCAGAUUUAAUAAAAAGUAAUUUCAAUUAAUUAGUUUAAGGUUUAAUUAAAGGUGUAGAUCUGCUAUUUCUGGCUUGAUCUAAUUUGAAGAUUUUUUCCCCAAAUAUGAGUCUUGACCUAGUUUCUGGUACUAGUUUGAAUUCUUUUAAUAAUACUUCGUUUAUGUGAUGAGAUGAUAGUUGAAAUUUAGGAUGCAGUCUAACUCAGAUGUUAGUUUUCUAUAUCUAAUUAAAACCUUUCAUUAAAAAAAUUAAGGCUUAAUUUAUAUACACAGCAAGCUACUUUUAUUUUUUUAUAAUUUUCUUAAUGAAACAUAUAUUUGAACUUCUUAUGAUUUAAUUUGGUAAUAAGUGGCAUUCUGUUUUAUCUCAAAUUAUUAUUGCACUUGAAGGUCUGAAGCUGAGCUAGUGGGUGACAUUGUUAAAGACGUUAUUAACAAACUUGAUUACAAUGUCUUGUCUAUCACGGAAUAUCCUGUUGGAUUAGAUCAUCGAGUGCAAGAAGUGAUUAGAUUUAUUGAAAGAACCAAAAAUUCUUGUAGGAUAGGGAUAUGGGGAAUGGGAGGAUCUGGUAAAACUACCAUUGCUAAAGCCAUCUACAAUAAACUUCAUCGUUUAUUCGACAAUAAAAGUUGCAUUGAAGAUAUUAGAGAAGUUUGUCAAACAGAGAGAAGAGGGCUCGUUCGUUUGCAGGAAAAACUUCUUUCAGAUGUCCUGAAAGCAAAGGUGGAGAUUCAAAGCGUUGGAAUCGGACAAAGUAUGAUUGACAACCGAUUUAUUGGAAAAAGGGCGCUUAUUGUUCUUGAUGAUGUGAAUGAGUUUGACCAACUAGAAGCUCUAUGUGGAAAUACUCAGUGGAUUGGUGAAGCAAGUGUAAUAAUCAUUACAACUAGCGAUCUGCAUCUGCUGAAGAGAUUUGAAGUUGAUUAUGUUUAUGAAAUGAAGGAAAUGGAAGCAAAUGAGUCACUUGAGCUUUUUAGUUGGCAUGCUUUCAGAGAAGCAAAACCAAGAGAAGAUUUCAAUGAACUUGCAAAAAAAGCAGUUGAUUAUUGUGGAGGACUACCACUAGCUCUUGAAGUCCUUGGUUCUUAUUUGAGAAAGAGGACAGUGACUGAGUGGAGAAGUGUGUUGUCAAAGCUAAAAAUAAGUCUCAAUGCCCAAGUCCAAGCGAAACUAAGAAUAAGCUUUGAGAAUUUAUUGGAUCAAAUGGAAAAGGAUAUAUUUCUUGAUGUGUGUUGUGUCUUUAUAGGUAAGGACAGAGGCUGUGUGACCGAGGUACUAAACGGCUGUGGACUAUAUGCUGAUAUUGGAAUAACAGUCCUCUUAGAGCGUAGCCUCAUAAAAGUCGAAAAGAACAACAAACUCAUAAUGCAUCCUUUGUUACGAGACAUGGGAAGAGAGAUUAUUCGUGAAGGUUCAAGAAAAGAACCUGGGAAGUGCAGUAGAUUGUGGUUUCAAGAGGAUGUACGUGAUGUAUUGACAAAUAGUACUGUAAGUACAUUAUUUACAUACAUUUUUAAACUUGAAAGAGUUUGCCUAAACAUGUGAGCUAACAAUAGUGUUUUCUCAAUUAUUCUCUGGUUUUUUCAUCGCAGGGGACAGAUGCUGUUGAGGGAUUGGCUCUGAAAUUGAAUUUAACCAACAGAGAAUGCUUUAAAGCAGAUACUUUUGAGGAAAUGAGGAGUUUGAGACUGUUGCAACUUCAUCAUGUAGAACUCACGGGAGAUUAUGGCUAUCUUUCUAAGCAAUUGAGAUGGAUCUAUUGGCAAGGGUUUCCUUCAACAUACAUACCUAACAACUUCUAUCUGGGAGAUGCAAUUGCAAUUAAUUUGAAACACAGUAAUCUUAGACAAGUAUGGAAAGAACCCAAGGUAUGUAGUACAUGCAAUUUUCUCUUAAACUAAGGUUAAUUAAAAUUGUAACUGUUGUCACUUAAAAUUAUUUCCGUUUUUAUUUUUUUUCCUUAAUUUUUCUAAAUAUUAUCUUUUUGUAGGCUUUACACAUGUUAAAGUUCCUCAAUCUUAGUCAUUCCAAGAACUUGACAGAAACCCCUGACUUUUCUGGACUACCAAAUCUUGAAAAGCUCGUUCUCAAAUAUUGUCCAAGUUUGUGCUGUGUACACAAAUCCAUUGGAGAUCUCAGUAAUAUUGUGUUGAUAAAUUUGAAGGAGUGUACAAGCCUAAGCAAUCUUCCGAGAGAGAUAUAUAAGUUGAAAUCUUUGAAAACUCUCAUCCUAUCUGGUUGUUCGAAGAUUGACAAAUUCGAAGAAGAUAUAGGGCAGAUGGAAUCCUUGACAACUCUAAUUGCUGAAAAUGCUGUUGUGAAACAAGUGCCCUUUUCAAUAGUAAGCUCAAAAAGCAUUGGAUUUCUAUUCCUACGUGGGAAUGAAGGAUUGUCGCAUGAUAUUUUACGUCCUAUUAUUUGGUCCUUGAUGUCACCGACAAUGAAUCCCCUGUCUCGUAUUCUUCCGUUAUGUGGCAUAUCAGCAUCUCUAGAUUCAAUGAAUAUGCAGAAUAUUGAUUUGGGUGACCUAGCACCGAUCCUUACCAACCUUUUAAAUCUUCGAAGUGUUUUGGUGCAAUGUGACACGGAGUUUCAAAUAACUAAAGUAAGAAAGUUUUUGAACGACGUACAUGGGAUACAUUUCACUGAGUUAGAAAUAGCACCAGGUACAUUAGAAACUUCAGACAAUUCCUUGAGAUCUUAUUUGAUUGGAAUGGGAAGCUACCGAGAAGAAGACUUCAAUACUCUUAACAAGAGCAUAUCUAAGGUUCCUUCCUUUUCUAUUUGUAUGCUUACCUUCGCUAUUACUUUUAGAUAUUAAUUAAGAGAACAUGAAAAAAUCAUAAGUAUCUAAAGAAAACUUCAAUGCUUAACAAGAUACUAACUUGUUGGAGAUCUCACAUCAAUUAUAAAGAUAAGAACAUUUCAUAGUAUAUAAGUGAGUACAAAUUUUAUCUUAUAAGCCGGUUUUAUGAGGUUGAAUUAGGUUUAAAGUCCAGUUUAUAAUAUGAUAUCAAAGUCAUUUAAAGUCAUAGUGAGAGUUUGUUGGUCGGUAUUAAAUACUUUAUAAGGUUGAAUUCAGCUUAAAGUCCACUUCUUAUUAUAAUUGAAGUACAUUUGAAUAACACAAUUGCAUUAAUGACUAAUUAAGCUAUUCUGCUAAUAAUGCUGCAGGAAUUGGGAACUGGUGGAUCUUGUAAUGUUUUUCUGCCAAGAGACAAUCAUCCUUUUUGGAUGGCCCAUAUGGGCGAGGAACAUUCAGUGCAUUUCACUGUGCCUCAGGAUUGGGACAGGAUGGGAAUGGUUUUGUGUGUUGUGUAUUUAUCAACACCUGAAACCGUGGCAACUGACUGUCUUAUUAGUGUCUUAAUGGUUAAUUACACAAAGUGUACCAUACAUAUAUACAAGCGAGACACAGUAAUUUCCUUUAAUGAUGCAGAUUGGCAGAGCAUAAUAUCUCAUUUGGGAGCUGGAGACAAGGUGGAGAUUUUUCUGUCUUUCAGGAAUGAAUUGGUGAUGAAAAGGGGAAUUGUCUAUCUCACGAAUUAUGAAUUCAUUGACAUGGAAAUGAAAGCUGUUAGUAAACCACCUGUUAUGGAGAUUUAUAGUUUGAAGAGGAAUCUUAAGGGUCAAGAAAGCAGCCGGAAGAGAAAAUGGUAACAGAGUAUUAGAGACAAAGAUUUAUUUAUAAUGACACUUAUAAAUUAUAAUAAUCAGUAAUUAUCCGUUGAUUCUUUACCAAAUAAAUUGUUUAUGGUAGGCAAGGUAUACACAACCUAUAUAAUGCAUUUUAAUGGUUUGUUGAAUUUCUAAAUCAUCUCUUCACAUAAAAAACUUGACAUUUUGAAUAAGAGAUUAAAAAAAUUGAAUUAGACCUAAACUCACUUAUCAUCAAAACUUAUCUUAAUGUAAUUUAUAAGAUUUAUCAUUCAACCAUCUACAUAUAUCUAGUUUCAUAUUUAUAUGUCCAACCUCAACAUAAAGAUAUCUGUCCAAGACUUCACCAUGGGAUAAAUAUAUGACUAAAUUGUAUUAGAUAAAUAGAAAUUCACUUUGUAACAACAAAAAUGAUUAUGUGGAGAAAUAUCUGACAUCUGAUCUGAAGCUUAUUUUUGGGAAUAAUAUAUAGUUUGACACUAUAACCAAUUGCUUAAUCAUAAAUGUAAUACAAUGUCUGAGAUAAUUGAACAAAGAAGCCCUUGCAGUUUUGCUAACCCAGUGCUCACAACUGAACUCUAAGAAGGUGUUGAAAGUUGAUUUUGCAUUCCAUGGCUAGAUUUUCCCUCCACAAAAUUCCCCCGACACCCUUUUCCGUUUUAAAAAAUUUCAAAAAGAUAUCCUGGCAAAUAUAUUAUAGUCUCGAAUUUAUAUAUGAUUCAUUUAAUAACUCUUUAUAAUAUUGAAUAAUUAAGUCAAUAACAACUUCCACAAAUAUUAAAUAACCUUUUUAAAUAUUUAGAGUCAUAAAAAUAAUUUUUAGCAUAAUAGUAAGCUGUCGUGAUUGCCUUAUUUUAAAAUAGUAUUAAUAUGUUGAUAAGUAUCUUAAAAGCAUUGAUUAAACAAACAUUCAUGAUUGUAUUUUUUUACUAGAUAAGUGAAAGCGAAGUCCGUGAUAGAAGUACAAUCCCUUGGACGAGUUGUGCAAGGAGUAAAGUGUUUUCACUUUAUGUCAAAGUUUUUUAAAUCAAUAAAUUAUUAAUUAAAUAAAGAAACAUGGAACAAAGAUAGUUAUUAUCUCAAGUAUUGAAUUAAGUUUUAUUUGCAAAAGGUUGUCUUAACGUCAAGUUGAGAGUUUUAAUUAAGAAUAGUAUAAUGAAGAGAAUUAAGAAUGGUUGGGAAAAUCAAGCUUUUGAAGGAAAUGAUAUAUGAAAAAUAAAAGAAAAACUGAAAUAUUUAAAAAAGAGUAUUAAUACUUGGAAUAAGGAGGUGUUUGGCUCACUGCACACAAAAUUAAUUGAUCUUGACCAAAUGAUCAACCGCUUAGACACAAAAGACGAGCAAGGUGGAUUAAAUGAGGAUGAAAGAAAAAGAAGGAAUUUAUUUGCUGAUCUGAAAUGUUUAAUAGGAAGAAAUCAAGAAUUAAAUAACUAUAAGAAGGAGAUUUAAAUUGACAAUUUUUUCAUAACAUUAUAAAGUGGAGGUCAAAUAAAAACAUAUUUAAUGGGGUGUUUGUAGGGAAUGAGUGGUGUGAGGAACUAUCAAGGGUCAGGUGGAACUAAGGUUCUAUAGAGAAAGAUUCACGGGCUCAAGAGAUAAUUGUUGUUAGAUAAUGUUUCUUUUCAAAAAAAUUAGCAGUGAUGAUAGGUUUUGAUAAAGGCAUCUAUGGAAGAAGUGAAACAGAUAGUGUGAGACUAUGAUAAUAAUAAAUACCCCGAACCAGAUGCAUUUAAUUUUAACUUUUUAAAGAAUUUUGGAAGAUUGUAAAUACAUAAUUAUAUAAUUAUAUAAAGUUGUAUGUUGUUUUUAUAAAUGGGGAGAUGACCAAAAGGAUGUAAUGUCUCUUUCAUCACAAUUAUCCCCAAAAUUGCUAACCCGGUGAGAUUAGAGGACUUUAGACUAAUCUCCUUAGUUGGCAGUUUUUACAAAAUUAUAGCAAAAUUUUUAGCUAGAAGACUACAGAAAAUCAUGCAUAUAAUCAUUGAUCAUAAACAAUCGACUUUAAUUCAAGGAAAGGGUAUCCUUUAUAGUAAUUGUGGAAAAUGAAGUUAUGAAGGAGGUAAGAAAAAAGAAGAGUAAGUGUAUCAUUGUUAAGGAUGACUUUGAGAAAGCUUACGACUCUGUGGACUGGAAUUUUCUAUUUUAUAUGUUACAGAGGAUGAGGUUUGGAAACACAUGGAUUAAAUGGACCAAGAGUUACUUAGAAUCAUCAUCUAUAUCCAUACUUGUUAAUGGUAGUCCUUCUGAGCAAUUCCAACCUACAAAGGGUCUAAGGCAGGGUGACCCUCUAGCACCAUCUCUAUUUCUAAUGCUGGCCGAAGGAUUGGCUAGAGUCAUGAGAGUGUCCCAACAAAAAAGACUCUAUGAUGGGAUCAAAGUGGGAAAUGAUUAGAUUGAUGUUAGUAUGUUACAGUUUGUUGAUGAUAGUAUUUUUUUGUGAGGAUAAUGUGAAAAACAUCACAACAAUUAAAUGUACUAUGAGAUGUUUUGAACUUGUGUCUAGGUUGAAGGUGACCUUUAGAAAAAUUAAAAUUGCAGGCAUAGGUGUACAAAGAAAAAUGUUUAUUUGACACUCAUACUCCACCCUACACCCCAAUAAAUAUUAAUAUUGUUAAUCAUUUAUAAAAAUUUAUAUUUUUUUUAAAAAUUUUGAAACAUUUUCUAUUCUACUUAUAUUUUCAUUGAGAAGGUUUUUGCUUUUUUCUAAUUUUUUUUAUUAUAAAUAUUAAUAUUUAUUGUGGAUGUAGGAUGGAGUAAGGGUGUCAAAAUAUCAUUACUCGUGUACAAAACACUGAAAUUCUAAGAGACUUUGUGAUUUUAAAUUGUAAUCAAAUGCAAGUUCCUUUAAAAUAUCUAGGGAUUCAUGUGGGUGAUAAUAAUAGGGAAAAAGUGUUUUGGAAUGACAUGAUCUUAGAAAUUAAAAGUAAGCUUACUAAUUGGAAAGGAAAACAUUUAUCUUUUGCUCGAAGAGUUAUUUUGAUAAAAUAUGUCAUCUUUGUUGUCCCUCUAUAUUACCUGUCUCUAUUCAAAAUGCCCACAACAAUUGGGAAAUUAAUCACAAGAUUACAAAGAGAUCUUUUUAUGGGGAUGGGGAAGCGAUAGAAAGAAAAUAGCUUGGACCAAAUGGGAAUUCCUAUGUCAAUCCAAAUCGGAUGGAGGACUAGGAAUUAAGGAUGUAAACCUUUUUAAUAUGAAUCUUCUUGGGAAAUGGAAAUGGAGACUUAGUUGUGAAAAGUCAGGACUUUGGAAAUAGGUACUGGAAUCUAAAUAUGGUUCUUGGAGAGGGUUGGAUGAUAGUGUUGUGUCAAAUACUGAAUGUUAUUGGUGGAGAGAUAUCAAGAAGGUGUGUGAAGGAAACUCAAAUUCCUAUGUUUGAUAAUAAAAGAAGGUGGAAGGUAGGUGCAGGGAGUAAUAUUCUACUUUUGGCAGAUUGUUGGGUAGGAAUGACUCUUAAAAAUAGAUAUCCCAGACUCUUUUCAAAUUUAGUACUUAAAGAGGGAUCUAUAGAUAAAUAUGGGGUAUGACAUGAAAACUAGUGGGUAUGGCAAAUAGAAUGGAGAAGAGACUGGUUUUUAUUGGAAACUGAAAUUAUAAAUGCCUUUAUGGAUGAAUUGAAGAUUGUUAAAAUAGAUGCUUGUAGAAAUGAUGAGUGGAUGUGGCUAGGUGAUAUAUCAAAUUCUUUUACUGUUAACUAUGCUUAUAAAAUUCUUUUGCACCAAAAUAUUUUGCAGCCACAUUUAUUCUCUGCAUUUAAUUUUGAUUAUUUUAGGAGUCUAAAAGCUCUUCCAUCAACACAUUAUUGCAAAAUCGCAACCUAUGAUAAUUUAAUACAUAGAGGAAUUUAGGCUGGAGGGUGUUGGAUAUCUUGAAGAUCCUACUCAACUUUUAUGCUUGAUGAAUAAGUGUUUGAUGAAGAAAAUAAGCUUGGAGAUGUAUAAGUAUGGAUGCUCUCAUAGGGAGUGUGUUUUAUUGUCUCAGCUCCAUAUCACAUAGCCGUGGUAAUGAUCUCAAGCACAAGGGCUUUUUAAAAGAUGUUUAAAAACUAUUACAGGUCUUUUUUAAAAUCUGUUCAAGCUUUUCCAAAUUGCUUGUACUGCACUAAAAUUUUCAAUUUGUUUUUUAGUGAAACAAUUGAUUUAAUCUUACUGCACCAAAAUUGUUUUGGUUUUUCAAAAAUUUGUUUUGUUUCCAAAAUUCAGUUUUUUUCCCACAUACUCAAAGGUUGGUUAUGUUUCCAUCAAGUGCAUUUUCAAAAUAUAAUCUGUUCUUUAAGCUUUUAAUCAACUAUUUUUUAACAGUUUUUUAAACUGUUUUGGGAAAUUUGUUAUGAUUUGAGUCCUAUAGAAGGAUUUUAUCACAAAACAAAUCAUCCCUUGCAAUACAAAUUGUUUACUGUUAUCAAGAGUUUUUUUUAGGUUCUCAAGUGAGUUUAGUUUUUAGAAAGUUUUUUUUGAAAUUUUUUUGAAGUUCUUGUGCUAUUUUUCACAUUGGCUUGAGAUUAGAAGUUUCAUCAAAGUGCUGCAACUGUGGAGAUCCAAUUUGAGUCUCUAAAGUCUACAUACACGGUGUUUUCUUUCCUAAAAUCAUUUUCUCUAUAAAGGUGUAUUCAUUUGCUUCUUGAUAGAGUUUCUUGAAGUAGGAAGUUGCUGAAAUAGUGUUUUUCAUAUUGUAGUUUUUUGUUCUUGAAGGGUUCAAGAACUGGUCUUUUGUAGUUUUGUGAAAAAGAUUAAUUGUGUCUUAGUGGAAUCCAUCUUAGUGUGAGAUGGGACUGAAUGUAGCUCAAUAUUGAGUGAACCAGUAUAAAUGCUUGUGUGUUAUUCUUCUUUCAUAAUCACUGCUUCUAAAAUUGAAAAAUCUGUAGAACUGUAAUAAAUUGAAUAUGUUCCUUUGAAAUUGAACCUAAUGUUUUACUGCCGUAUUGAUUUGGACUAUAUUCUGUUUUCAAGAUUCUGAAACGAAUUUAAUCAAACUUAAAAAUUGUAAGGCUCCCUUGAUCUUUCACAGGUUCAUACUUAAAUUAAAGUCAUUAAUAAACAAUCUUGGAAUUGUUUUUAAAUCUCAUCAUAUUAAAUAUGGUUUUAAAAUGGAAUUCUGAAAAAAAAUGUUUUACUAUUUUUAAUAGACUGUUAUUGAAAGCUGAUUUGAAUCUUGGUUAACAAUUUAAAAAUCAAGCCUCUUAUCAAAACACAAUGUUGUAGAACUUAUUUGAAUCUAGUUUUUUUUUUUUUAUAGAAAACUAUCUUUUUAAUACAAUGUGAAGCUUCUGAAAGAUUCAAAUUAAAUCUGUUAAAGAUUAACUCUCUGUUAUGGCUUAAACUAUUUCUGCUAAUGUAAAGUCACUGUGAAAUUAGAAUAUGUUGUUUUAAAUUCUAAUAUGUUAUUUUUAUGUGAUUGCACUUUGUUAAACAAUUUUGAAUCUAUUAUCUGUUGAAAUAAUCUAUUCUUUAUUGUCAAGUCUUGCUUAAAGAUUGCAUUUGCGAAAAUUAUCCUAAGUAUAAUUCACCCCCCUCUUGAAUUUAGACUCCCAUAAAUUCAACGGAGGGGGGAUGUGUGUUAUGUGUGGGUAUGAGUUUGAAACUGUAAAUCAUAUUUUCUUCACAUGUAAAGUGACUUCUAAAGUGUGGUAUAUGUCUGAUGUUUGGGGAUAUAGAGUUUUUGUACAUUGUGAUAAUGCUAUUCAACCCUUUGAAUAAAUAAGUUUUACUGAUCUAAACUACUUAAGAAAUUGUAUUUGGAAAUGUAUAUGGAUUGCCAUUAUUUGGAGAAUUUGGAACCAUAGGAAUAGGAUAAUUUUAAUAAUGCAAUGGUGGAUCCUUUUGAAAUUUUUGCUAUGGCCCAAGUAAAGGCGUGGACAUGGGUAACUUAUAAACUCCCAACAUCAAAUUUCUCUUAUUCUGAUUGGUGUAUUAAUGUAUAUGAAUGUUUAAAAUUACAACAUUGAUGACUGAUGAUUUUUCUCUGCUUUUUCUCUGGUUUUUGUUUUGGAUGAGAGGACUUUCCUUUGGGUACAACUAUAGCCACAAGUGAUGCGUGAGAAACUACAGUAGAUAACAAGGAAGCAAAUUUUUCCUUUGAGUACCAUGCUUUAUAUCCUGGAAUUGGACAAAGUUGAUGGGUUUUUUGAUAGAUGUAGCUUGAUAUAUAUGUACCGAUGUCUUGUUAAGAGGUUUAAGCUUACCAGAUUUAUAUGUACAAAAUAUGACCAUGUUUUAGCCAUUUUUCUCUAGAAACCUCACCUCUCUAGCUUUGAGGAUUUUUGUACAUGAGUUAGAGUAUUCUGAGUAUUCCCAUUUAUUAAUUUUUAUUGUUGAUUAAAAAAAGGAAGUGAAUUAAAAAUGAGUCACUUUGCUCAAUUUCUACUUCCAAUGCGAUUUAGACUUGCAAUGUGAGUUCAAUUGAUUUGGAGUGCGAAUUGAAGUGAAAUUUGAAUUUUCCUUGUGCCGUUAGAUUUUGUAGAGCUGGGUUUUGAUUUGUUUGUUUGAUUAUGUUUUUGUUUCGAUGUUGGGGUUUUUUAGGGUUAGAGUGUGGAAAUGUUUGAUUUGAUGUUUUGAUUGUUAUAUGUUGACUGAAGAUGAUUUUGUUUUUAAGGGUUUAACGUUUUUUUUUUCAUUUUGGGUUUACAGGGUUGUACUGUCGUGGGUUUGUUUAUUUUGAAAUGUGUUUGUGCUCUUUGAAUUUAGAAUUUUUGUAGUUUUGGUUUUUGAUUUGCAUUUUGCAGUUAUGGGUGUUUUAGGAUUUAGGGUUGUACAAUUGGUGAUAUGGUGUUUGUUUGUAUUUGUUAUUUAUUGUGUUUUUUUUACCGUGUGUUUGUUCACUUUUUAAAGUGUGCAAAGAUAAUGAUUUUUGUGUUGUUGUAGACUUGAACUGUGAUAUUCUUAUAUAUUUGGUUUUAGAACAAGGAAAGAGAACCCAAACUUUAUGCAUGACAGAAAAUUAAAAAGAAACAAUUUUUAUAAAUAACAACAAUAAAGCGGUUAAGUUUGGUUAAGACUUGUAGUAAAGUUUAGAAAACAAUUAAUGUUUUCUUAAUAAACAAUUGUCGAAUUAAUAAAUUUUUCAGGAUAUAUUGACAACUAAGGGAAGUGAAGAUGUUGAAGUGGUUAUGGAGCCAAAUGUUUGAUUGAAAACAUUAUUUCAUUUUGAAGGCACACAUGAUUAUAUAUUUGUUUUGUUAUAAGUUUAUAUAUUAAAUUUAUAUGUAUUUUAUAUGUAGGUGUUCAGGCAUUAUUGUAGGACAAAGUUUUUUGCUAUUGUCAACAAGAACUUAAGUGUUGAACAAAAGUCUUAUGUUCAGUCAACCCCGUUUGAAUGACUUAUGUUUUUGCGUAAGGAGGUAAAAUUGAGUUGUGGACUUUUAAGUUAAUAAUGUAGUAGUUGGUUGGAGAGGAAACAAGGUUUUGCAAUUAGGUGCGAAGUUUUCCCGUUCAUGUUGUUAAAUGUUUUUGUUUAGGUAUAGGUCUAAGAUUUGUGGAUAAAAAAAGUUAAUUUAACGAAAACAGGAAAUAAAUCUCGCAAUAGGAGAGUAUUUUUUAAUAAAGUGAUGUAAAUGUGGAGAUGAUUUUUGAUGAAAUGUUCAAGCAUCACAAUGAUGGUUGCGUCGAGAAAUUUUGUAGGUUGUACAUUUUGUAAGGAUUUUCGGAGUUUUUAUUGCUUAAUAGAAUUUGUUCAGUUCAUUUUAAGUUAUUUAGCGUUGUCGAUGAUGUAAGUCAACUGGGUAGGUAUAAUUAGAGGGGUUUAGUUUAUGAGUUUUUGUUUGAUAGUUUGUGUUUGGCUUCAAUGUGUAUGAGCAACGAAAGUAAUUCGUCAUCUAUCCAUGUGGGUGGUUCUGUGUACUUGUUGCAGGAAAUAUGAAAUAUUUUAACCUCAUUGGUAACAUAUUUGUGUUUUGUCAUUUGAAAAAUCAAUAUUUUUUUAAACCUAUCGUCAUUACAACCCUGCAUAAGACCUUAUGCUUCAUGUUUCUGAUGUGAUUUUGAUAUGAGAAAAAUGAAAGGUAACUAUGAUUUGUUAGGAUUCAAUGGAAAUUGAGAGAAAACACUUACUUGAGAAGAAAUUCCUUAAUAAAAUUGUCAUUUCAUUGUUACAUAUGUUUAUCUUAGAAAAUUGAUUAUAUUUAUAUCUUGCUACAUUUGGAAUAGGAAGCACCAUAAUUUUCUAAUUAUAUUUGUUGUUUAAUGAAUGAAGUUGUUUAGAGAAUUGAACCAGGGUUCGAUUUGUCAGGAUUUAGUUACUUUGCUUGAGGACAAGCAAGGUUCUAGGUUGGGGGAGUUGAUAAGCGUCAUUAUUUAGUAAUAUUUGAUACACAAAGGCUUGAGAUAUAUGGAUUUUAAUUGUGAUUAAGCUAUGACUCAACCCUAAUUUAAGAAGUUAUAAUUCAAUACUAUAUUUUUUGAGUUAUGUGAUUAAUGGAACUACUUAAUCCCAAUUUUAUGAUAUUUUCAAGAAUUUAAGAGAAGAUGGAGCAAAGGGUUAGAUGAUGAAUACAAAAGAGUUAGAAAAGAAAAGGAUUGGACAUUCAAGAUUCACCUAAAUUCUUUUAAGCAAGCCAAAUUCGCCCAAGCGAAAUUGUUCUAGAGACAAACUAACUCAUUGGUCUAAAUUCGCCUAAGUUCGCUCGUAUCUCGCUUGUGUCUCACCCGUAUCUCGCCAGGCUCGCUUGAGUGAUAUUGUUCUAGAGAAGAAGGCUUUUCUAUUUUAUUAUCUCGCUUGAGUGAGAUGUCACUUAAACCUAAGCCGAAAUAGGUUAAAUAAAGGUGUAGGGAAGACAAAAAAGGGAUGAAAGAUCCCUAGAGAGCAUCUAUCAAGGAGAAACGGUCUGAAUCUUCUUAUUUUGCUUUUCCACUAUCUUUUGGUGCAUGUAAUGGUUACCAUAAGUGUCUGGUUCCUUUCCUUUGGAAUUGAAUGUAAUCAUUUCAAACUCCUAUGUAUUAAGGUGAUAUUUAUCUAUAAUAUCAUGUUCUUAUUUGAUAUUGUUAUUUUCAUUUUAUGCUUAAAGCUUGAAUUUUUAUUCUUGAUUUAAAUCUUUGGAAGUGACUAGAAGUAUUUUUGAUGAUCUAACCUUAAUGAAAAUAGUUGAUGUGUUUUAAUACUAGGAAUAGAUUAUAAUAUAUAUCAAAUGUUUUGUAACAUCUUUUCUUAAUGAUAAGAAUGUUUCUAAAUAGUUGAGGAAUCAAUGUUUAGGAGAUAAUCUAAAUAAUUUCAUAUUUAAGAAAUCAAUGUGAAUGACUCUUUUUAUUGUAUUAAUAUCAAAUAAGUAAGAAUGUUGUAUGAUUUUAUUUACUAAAAUAUAAAUGAGUGAGAAAGAUUAAUUUCAAUACCAAUUUUAUCAAUCAAAUUCUCAUAAUAAUUUAUUUUGCUUUUUAUUUAAAUUACAAGCACAUUUUAUUCAAACAAUGUUCACAUAUCUUGAAUAAGUUCAUUGCACAUAUUUCAAUAUUUAGUGAGUUUUACACAUUAAAAUUUUAAGAGAACUAUUCCUUAUGGGUUCGAUGUAUGUCUUUUAAGACAAAUUAUUACUUCUGACUCAGUACACUUGCCGAGUUAGGCCAAUAAUACACUUCCUCAAAUCCUCACACACCACCUCCCUAAUCCAAACACACACUGAGAGAUCAUGAUCUUUAAUGCUACCCUCCAUUUCCUUACACACUACUCUUAUAUGUAAGACGUAAACUUCUUAUUUAAUAAUGAUUAAACUACUUAAUGUUCAACUUAAAUUAUUUUCCAUUUUUCCAUCAACCUCCUAAUUAAACAAAAAUAACCAUUGAGCCUGUAAAAUAAUUUGACGCAUUAAAAAUCUUAAGGACUAAACUAUAAAAAUUGUAUGACAAAUUCUCCCUACACCUCUAUAUCUUCCUCUUACACCUCUAUACUUUUUAAAAUCCAACAAUAUCCUUUUAAGUAUGUUGGAGAGUGUAGUGUCUUCUUUUUCAUUUUCAAGUGGUGAUAGUGGUUGCUUGUGGUGGCUGGUCGUUGAUGGUUAAGGUAAGUUUUCUGAUAUGUUUACUUGUGGUGGUUGUGUUUCAUUAUCUUAUAUUUUUACAUUUUUUCGGAAGCCACAAAACCCAAAAAAAAAAGAGUAAAGUAAAAAAAAUGGAAGUACAAAAGUAAAAAAAAAUAUUUCGCAAUGAGAAAAGUCAAAUACAACAAAUUUUCUUAACAACCCUUUUACACAUUUAAAUAAUAAAAUUGUUUCUCAAACAUUACGACCGAAAAAGAAUGAGAGUGAUACAUUGAAAAGAAUAUAUGCAUAAGAAAAAUAUGAAAUUGUGGAGGUGCAACUGAAAUUUUAAAAAAUAUAAAGUUAUAUUUUAAAAUUGACUUUUUAUAAUUAGUAUGAAAAUAAAGAGAAGAUGAAUAGAGAUGGUGGCAGAAUUUGCCUUAGUCUUAUCACACUCUAUAGAUGACUAUUAUCUUGCCCAGAGUUGAAUGCGGUUAUUAUUACCGGCGGUACACUAAAAAAUGGUGAAAUCCAAUCCUUUUCAUAAUUAAAACACUUAUCAGACUGCUUUUAUCUUGCACAAAUUUUGACGACUUAAUUAUAGCCAUACCUACUGCCAGCUUCAUCUUACUUUUAGUUUUACUAAGAAUAUUCUUGUUCUUUGUUCAUAUUUUAAAGUUCGUUUUUUUUUUUCAUUAAAUUCACAAGUUUCUUUCAAUACUUUCUUUAUAUUUGUUUUCUCUUUCCACGGUACCAAAUAAUAAAAUAUUCAAUUUUAUUCUGAUGUAUUUUUAUUUUCCCAUCAUAGUUCUUUCUAAUAGUAGCGAUUCACUAGAAGACUGAAGUAAGAAGUGGCUCUGGGUCGUCAUCUCUCAGUCUUUCUGCAUUAUUGCUUUCCCUUCUGGAACCGUUGACCUGAGUUUGUUUGAUGGAGUCCGCAUCUUCUGCGCCAUCGUUCGCAAAAUCGAAACACCAGCGGAUACACGACGUCUUCAUCAACUUCAGGGGAGAAGACACACGCAGGAAGUUCGUUUCUCAUCUUCACUAUGCCCUCUCAAAUGCUGGAGUCAACACCUUCUUUGACGAGGCCAAUCUUGUCAAGGGAAUGCAGCUUCAAGAACUCAUGCGAGCAGUGGAAGGAUCUCAGAUAGCGAUUGUGGUUUUCUCCCAAACCUACACUGAAUCAACUUGGUGUCUUGAUGAGCUUGAGCAAAUCAUCAAAUGCAACCAAACUCAAGGCCAGAGUGUUCUCCCUGUGUUUUACGAGAUUGACCCUUCCGACGUGCGUCAUCAGAAGGGUGAUUUUGGAAAAUCGUUGGAGGAAGCCGCGCAGAGAAGCUUUUCAGGAGAGCAACUGGAGCAGGCGUUGUCCAGGUGGAAGGGUGCGCUGAACAAAGCUGCGGGUAUCAGUGGUUGGGAUGUCAGAAAUUUCAGGUAAACCAAUGACUCCUUCAUGCUUUGUUUGAUUUGAGACUGAAUGAAGCAUAUUUUUAGUGACAAUUUUGUAAUUGCUGUUGUUGACCUUGAAGGAAUGAAGCUGAACUAGUGAAACAAAUUGUUAACCGCGUUCAGACAUUACUGGACUACGAAGUCUUGUCUAUUACAGAAUAUCCUGUUGGACUAGAAUCCCGUGCGCGAGAAGUGAUUGGACGCAUUGAAAAGCGUUCUACCCAAGUCUGCAUGAUAGGGAUUUGGGGUAUGGGGGGGUCGGGGAAAACUACCGUUGCCAAGGCCAUCUACAAUCAGAUUCAUCGUAGAUUCAUGGAUAAAAGUUUCAUUGAGAAUAUCAGAGAAACUUGUGAAAUGCAUGGUAGAGGGUAUGUACCUUUGCAAGAACAGCUUCUUUCAAAUAUCCUAAAAACAAAGGUGGAGAUACAUAGUGUUGGGAUGGGGACGACUAUGAUUGAGAAAAGACUUGCUGGAAAAACGGCACUCAUUGUACUUGAUGAUGUUGAUGAGUACAGCCAAUUAAAAGCUCUGUGUGGAAAUCGUAAAUGGAUUGGUCAAGGAAGUGUAAUAAUCGUUACAACUAGAGAUUUUGGCCUCCUUAAUAGACUAGAAGUUGAUUAUGUUUAUCAGAUGGAUAAAAUGGAUGAAAACGAGUCCCUUCAGCUUUUCAGUUUUCAUUGUUUUGGAGAUGCAAAACCAAGAGCAGACUUUAGUGAACUUGCCAGUAACGUUGCUGCUUAUUGUGGAGGACUACCUCUGGCUCUUGAAGUGCUCGGUUCUUAUUUAUUUGACAAGACGUCAACGAGAGUGUGGGAAAGUGUAUUGUCGAAACUAGAAAAAAUUCCCAAUGAUCAGGUUCAACGGAAAUUAAGAAUAAGCUUUGAUAGUUUAAGCAAUGACAUGGAGAAGGAUAUAUUUCUUGAUAUAUGUUGCUUCUUUAUUGGUAAAGACAGAGGCUAUGUCACGGAGAUACUAAAUGGUUGUGAACUAUAUGCUGAUGAUGGGAUACCAGCUCUCAUAGAACGUAGCCUCAUAAAAGUAGAAAAGAACAACAAACUUGGAAUGCAUCCUUUGCUACAAGAAAUGGGAAGAGAGAUAAUACGUGAAAACUCAAGAAAGGAACCUGGCAAGCACAGUCGAUUGUGGUUUCAAAAGGAUGUAGUUGAAGUAUUAACAAAGAAUGCUGUAAGUACAUUUUCUAUGGACGGUUUUCAUUUUCUUUUGCAAGUGUCUUCUUUUUCCAUGUGAAAUAUAUAAGUUGAGUUAGGCUCAACUGAGCCAACAAAAAAUACUUCUCAAUUUAUUUCCCUCUGCUCUUUUCAUCACAGGGGACAGAAGCUAUUGAGGGAUUGGUUUUGAAAUUGCAUUUAACCAGCAGAGAUUGUUUCGAAGCCGAUUCUUUCCAGAAAAUGGAGAGAUUGAGACUCUUGCAACUUCAUCAUGUACAACUUGCUGGAAAUUAUGGGUUCCUUUCUAAGCAACUGAGAUGGAUCUCUUGGCAAGGCUUUCCUUCAAGUUGUCUGCCAAUCAACUUUUGUAUGGAUGAUGUAAUUGCGAUUGAUUUAAAACACAGUCAUCUUCGAUUCGUCUGGAAACAAUCCCAGGUAUUUAUAACAUGCCUUUUUCUUGUAAAAUUUAUAGGUUGGUUCAAAUAGAAAUAGUACUUGUUUCCAUUUACUACUAAUUUAAUUUUUUUAUUUUAUUCUCUAAUAUUUAUCAAAAGAAAAAAAACUAUCUUGUUGUAGGUUUUGAGGUGGCUAAAAGUCCUUAAUCUCAGUCACUCCAUGUACUUGACAGAAACCCCUGUCUUUUCGAGAUUACCAAGUCUUGAGCAGCUCAUUCUCAAAGACUGUCCCAGUUUAUUAGAGAUAGAUAAAUCCAUUGGAGAUCUGUGUAAUAUUUUAUUGAUAAAUUUGAAGGAUUGUACAGGCCUAAGAAAUCUCCCUUGAAUGGCAUUGCUGGGAGGUCAAUCCUUUCAAUCUUCCAACAAUCGUGCAGGUAUGAGCGCUCAAAUUCAACCGACCGCGCCGAUCAGACAAUCANNNNNNNNNNNNNNNNNNNNNNNNNNNNNNNNNNNNNNNNNNNNNNNNNNNNNNNNNNNNNNNNNNNNNNNNNNNNNNNNNNNNNNNNNNNNNNNNNNNNUUUUAAACCAUGUGGUCGCAAUGAUAUUCUUAAUGUUGCUCUCGGACGACCUGAACACCCUGGACGUGUUCGUGUAGCUGGAUAUGGGGUUGGGAUUCGGUCAUACUUUGGACCUCCAUCACACAGCAAGGAACAAUUGUCCAAUGAACCUAGCCAAGAGUAUUUACUACAACUACGUGAGCAGUUAAAGGUUGAGGUAACUCAAGAGCUUAAAGAAAGCUUCAUGGAGGAGUUUAGUGCGCGAAUGGAAAUGGAGUUCAAAAAGCGGUUGGAGGGUUUAGGACACUCACAGCAACCACCUACUAUGGUAGAAGAUGAACCACCUCCGCCUCCUAUUAAGAAAGUCAGCACUAAAGGGAGUUGUUCGGUAGUUGAUCUAUCAGGGGAUGACUUUGGCUCAACUAGCCAAUGCGAAUUAUAUGUUGAGUGUAAUUCUUUGACCCGAUUUGUUGCCUUGGGUAAGUGUUAUGAAAGGGUCACAAUGUUACACAAUGUGCCUCUUCCUUCUAAUUUCAUGAAGGUCACGGUGGAGAAGGUCCUUUAUGGUGAUCUUGCAGUUCCUGUGCCGACAUCAGAGGUGACAAUUGUGGCAGAGGCAUUACAUACUUUCGUUGCCUGGCCUAGACAUCUCGUCAGACCUAUAGACUCUAUGGUAUAUAUUUGCACUAAUACUAAUACAAUUAUAUAUCAGAUAUAUUACAUUCUAACUAAUUUAAGUAUUUGUUUGUUUUUAAGAGUAGCAGGAACCUAAGACAAAUUUGUCUCUGGGAAAGAAGAAAAUAGUCUCCAUUGAUGAUCCUCUGGCGGCAUUGGUGGAAGUUGCUACAACUUUAGAUACAACCGUNNNNNNNNNNNNNNNNNNNNNNNNNNNNNNNNNNNNNNNNNNNNNNNNNNNNNNNNNNNNNNNNNNNNNNNNNNNNNNNNNNNNNNNNNNNNNNNNNNNNNNNNNNNNNNNNNNNNNNNNNNNNNNNNNNNNNNNNNNNNNNNNNNNNNNNNNNNNNNNNNNNNNNNNNNNNNNNNNNNNNNNNNNNNNNNNNNNNNNNNNNNNNNNNNNNNNNNNNNNNNNNNNNNNNNNNNNNNNNNNNNNNNNNNNNNNNNNNNNNNNNNNNNNNNNNNNNNNNNNNNNNNNNNNNNNNNNNNNNNNNNNNNNNNNNNNNNNNNNNNNNNNNNNNNNNNNNNNNNNNNNNNNNNNNNNNNNNNNNNNNNNNNNNNNNNNNNNNNNNNNNNNNNNNNNNNNNNNNNNNNNNNNNNNNNNNNNNNNNNNNNNNNNNNNNNNNNNNNNNNNNNNNNNNNNNNNNNNNNNNNNNNNNNNNNNNNNNNNNNNNNNNNNNNNNNNNNNNNNNNNNNNNNNNNNNNNNNNNNNNNNNNNNNNNNNNNNNNNNNNNNNNNNNNNNNNNNNNNNNNNNNNNNNNNNNNNNNNNNNNNNNNNNNNNNNNNNNNNNNNNNNNNNNNNNNNNNNNNNNNNNNNNNNNNNNNNNNNNNNNNNNNNNNNNNNNNNNNNNNNNNNNNNNNNNNNNNNNNNNNNNNNNNNNNNNNNNNNNNNNNNNNNNNNNNNNNNNNNNNNNNNNNNNNNNNNNNNNNNNNNNNNNNNNNNNNNNNNNNNNNNNNNNNNNNNNNNNNNNNNNNNNNNNNNNNNNNNNNGGCAACCUCAAAAUUAUGAGUGCGGUUAUUAUGUUAUGCAGUGGAUGUUGACUAUUUUGCAAGCUGAAAUUAAGAAAGGUUGGGAUAAGGUAAUACCUCAAUACAAUAAACACUUUAAAAUUUGAGAUUUAUUAUUCAUGCACUAAUUCAAAAUAUUUCAAAUGUCACAAUUGUUCAACGACCAACACCCGCUAGAUUUAGAAGCAUUGGAGUAUGUGAGAACAACAUGGUCAAAGUACUUUGUAACCAUGUAUAACACUUUAGAAUAGAUAAAUCAUUACAAUGACAAAUUUUUUCAUAUAUUACCAAACUUUUUUGUAUUAUGUUAUAAUUUGUUGUAUGUAAUUUUUAUAUUUAAAUUAUGAUUUGAAAUGUUUUUAUUUUCUGUAAUUGAAAACUUUAUGCAGGUUGUUUGAGAUUUUUAAAAAAAUCAAAUUUUUUAUUUUUUUAAUCAAUACAUAUAACGACAGUUCCACUUGGAACCGUCUUUAAAAAUCCUUAUUUACAACGACGGUUUAGGAACCGUCGUUAUAAGUCCAUACCUUUUAACGACGGUUCCCAGAACCGUCGUUAUAAGUUCAUACCUUUCAACGACGCCUAUAAUAACGACGGUUCUGGAACCGUCUUUAAAUGUUGAUUUUAACCGUCGUUAAUCUACCUUUUUGUACUAGUGUAAAUGGAUUUUAUAACAGUAACCUAUAACCACUAGUAAUUUAUAACCAAUUUAUGAUUGAUUUAUGCGUCUUAAAUAUAAUAUUAAAUGGACAAUUAUUGUCUGAUUUAUGCGACUUGAUUAUUAUAUUAAAUGAGCGGUUAUUAGUCUGAAUGUACUCGGUCGUAAUUGGAGGUAUGUACAUAAGUCCCCCAGUUCGGAAUUUGAGAAGAUGUACAGGUGGAUCAAUUUGAAGGAUGAACGAGUUUAGCUUGGACCAGUUUGGAUUUUGUUUUUAGCUAUGCUCGUGGUUGAACAUUUCGUUCUUGAUUGAACUUGCAUUAUUUUGAUUUGCUCUUGGUUGAGUGUCGUGCUCUUGGUUGAAAGUUUCUAGUUCUUGAUUGAAUUUGUAUUAUUUUGCUUUGAUCUUAGUUGAGCGAGUUAUUGUGCUCUUGGUUGAGCAUUGCUAGUUUUGUAUUGAACUUGUGAUUUUGCGCUCUUGGUUGAGCGUUGCUAGUUCUUUAUUGAAUUGUGACAAGAUUGUGUUCUGAGAAAGUGAUUUUAUUUUGCUGAGCUUGCCUCAUUAAAACCUUGCUUGGUAAAACCCUUCUUAGGGAAAAAAACUCGAGCUAAGGAAAAAGAGUACAAGUUCCCUCUUUUCAACUGUAAUACAUUUUUAAGUGGGUAUUGUUCCACAUUCUCGAAAUUAACUUUCCACUUAACUCUUUGAGCUUGUAUGCUCUGUUUUUCAAAGUAUCUACUACCCAAAAUGGGUCAUCCCAGUUGGGUGUCAGUUUUCCCUCUUCUCGACAUAUCCUUUCUUCCCCGACCUUUAUCCAUACAAGGUCUCCUUUUCGGAGUUCCCGAGCUUUGACACGGGAGUUAUACCGCUGAGUUGUUCUCCCCUUGGCGGCAUUCUCUCUUACCCAGGCAUCUUCCUUGAUCUCGUGGAUGAGGUCCAGGUCUGCCUUCAGGUUACCCGAGUUGUGCUCUUCCUCGAAGCUUUCGCUUCGCCUACCUCUACCAGAAUCAUCGCUUAUGCCCCGUAAGUGAGGCGAAAUGGAGUUUCUUCCAUGGAGGAUUGGGGAGUGCAGUGGUAUCCCCAUAGGAUGCCCGGGAUUUCUUCUGCCCAGAGGCCUUUAGCAAAACCUACCUUCUUUCUCAAUUCCCUGAGAAUCACCUUAUUGGCCACCUCCGCCUGAUCGUUGGUAUGUAAGAUGCUCAACCGACGUCACACAGUUUUUAUUCCCAACUGAGUUGGGAAGCCUUCAAACCCUUUGUAUAUACAUUGUCUUCUGUUAUCGUUGACUACUGAGUAUGAGAGGUCGUGCCUACAUAUGACAUUCUUCUAGAAGAAGUAUUGGACCUGUUAGGCAGUGAUCGUUGCUAGUGGUUCGGCCUCAAUCCAUUUGGUGAAGUAGUCUAUUGUUAUUAUCAGCAAUUUGACAUGGACUCUAGAUUGUGGAAAGGGUCUUAGAAUAUCCAUUCCACAAGUAGCAGAGGCCAUGAAGGGAUAAUAGAGUAUAAUUCCUCCGAGGGAAUGUCAUAUAUGUAUAUCCAUUCUAUCUCCGGAGUGUACUCCGCAAAUUCCUCGAUGCAACUCGGCAAGGACAUAGGUCGUCUGCUCUUCAUCUAGACAUUUCAACAGUGGUGCCGAGAAGGAUCUUCUAAAUAACUCACUAUUUUGUAAUGUAUAAAAUGACGCUUGCCUUCGGAUCCUCUUCGCCUCCCUCUUGUCCUCUGGUAGGUCUCCCUGCCCGAGGUAAUUCAUGAUCGGGGUCAUCCACCCUACCUUCCUGGUUGCAGUUGGAAUACCCCAUCAGAGUCCCAACUAGGAGAGUUUAAGGUUUCCUGAAUGAGGGUGCGAUGUUGUCCUGGUUUUCUUUUACUUGCCAAUUUUGAUAUAACGUCGGCCCGAUUGUUUUGCUCUCUUGGAAUAUGGGUCAUGACAAAAUCCUUGAAGUCGCUGAUGAGGGAGCUUGCCAAUUGAUGAUACUUUUGCAGUACGAGUUCUUUUGUCUCGUAGUCUCCCUUAAUUUUUCUUGUGAUCAACUCGGAGUCAGUCAUGCAAUUAACCUUCUUGACGCCCAACUCUCUUGCUAGCCUGAGGCCAGCUAUAAGGGUUUCAUACUCGGCUUGAUUGUUAGACGUUUCAAAUGUGAAACGAAUAGAUUGUUCCAACAUGAUUUCGUCUGAACCCUCCAAAAUAAUGCCCAUGCCACUCCCCUUUUUAUUCGAGGAGUCAUCAAUUUGGAGCUUCCAAGCAUUAUUAUUCAUCUUUAUCUUUGGUAACUCAGUCAAGAAAUCAACAAGGAACUGAGCUUUCACAGCCCCCGUGCUCGUAGCUUAGGACAAACUUGGAUAGUUCGACCGACCAGGUUGUCAUCGGACCUGCAAGCUCGGGCUUCCGUAAAAUUUGCAUGAUCAAGUAGUUAGCUCAGGCUUCUUGCAGAAAAAACCAAGGCCAAGAUUAGCCUCUCCACCACCUGGUAUCUUUCUUCCGUCGGCUGGAGGGUUCGACUAGUGAAGUACAUUGGUUUCUGAGUUUUGCCUACCUCGUGUACUAGGACGGAGUUGAUCACUACCUGGGAGAUCGAGAGAUAUAUAUACGAAGGAGUGUGUGGUGGUGGAUUGGUUAAGACUGGUAGGGAGACAAUGUCUUUUUUUAUGUUUGCAUAGGCUUGUUCGCAUGCCUCAUCCCACACGAAGGUUACGACUCUGCACCCUUCCCAUCACCUUUCUCAAGUGCUCGGGGUGAUCCCCCGCAGUUGCCGACUUAACAACAAUAUCAUCCACAUAUACCUCCAUGAUGUCUCCUAUGAGUUCCCCAAAGACCUGGUCCAUAAGGCAUUGAAACGUGGCUCCUGCGUUUUUUAGCCGAAAGGGCAUAACUCUGUAGUAGUUGGCCCUAUUCAUCAUGAAUGUCGUCUUCUCCUCGUCAGGCAGGUACAUCCUAAUCUGGUUAUACCCCGAGUAUGUGUCUAGGAAACUUAGGAGUUCGUACCCGACUGUAUUGUCAAUCAACUGAUCUAUGCAUGGGAGGGGGUAUGUAUCCUUGGGACAUGCCUUGUUUAGGUCAGAGUAGUCUACGCACAUUCGCCACUUACCACUGGCCUUCUUCACCAUAACCACAUUGGCUAGCCACGUGGUGUAGUUCACUUCUCUGAUAAAUUCAACCUGAAGUAAUUGAUUUACCUCAUGGUCUGUUGUCGCUCUUCUAUCUUCAUCCAAUCUCCUUUUCCUCUGUGAGAUCGCUUUUGCCUGCGAUAGAAUGGAAAGUUUGUGGUAGACAAAGUCGGGGUCAAUUCUGGGUAUGUUAGAGGUAUUCCUGGCAAAAAUAUCUGAGUUGGUUCUUAGCAUGCUUUAAGUCUCCUUUUUCAAUGAUGGGGCCACAGAGUGGCCAACUUUAGUGGUUUAUGUCGUGCAAGUGCCCAACUGUAAAUCAAUCAUGGGCUCAUCGAAAGAUGGUCAGUUUUCAUCAAACUCUGCCCUCAGAUCCAAGUCAAUUUCCCUUACCCCUGGCUCACAGGGUUUUUUUCACAAAAGGGGCAUGCCAUGGGAGAUUACCCUUCAUUUUGUUCGUUCAAUUUCUUUUUUUCCUCUGGAUAGGAUAGAUCUAUACUCGUACUUUCUUUACUCGGUUUGGUUACCGAGUAAGGUGUUACCCUUAGACUUUGGCCAUAGCAUUCUCUGGCCACUUUGGGCUCAGCCUUGAUGGUGAUAAUACCCCUCAUUUCAUCAAGGAACUUCAUGGCCAUGUGGGGUGUUGAUACUGCCGCCACCAACCGGUUCAAAGUCCUUUUGCCGAUGAUUAUUUUAUAAGAGGUAUCGGCAUCCACUAGGAUGUACCGCACAGUUAUAGACCGGUGUGCCUCCCUUGUUCCGAACGUGGUGAGGAGAUCUAUGUACCCCCCCACCCCUUGUGUUAACUCUUUCCCCAGCAAAGCCGAGUAAUGGAACGAGGUAGGCUUGGAUUUAGCCCUCCGAGAUGUUCAAUUUUUUGAACACUAACCAAAAUAAGACGUUGGUUGAGCUACCCUGAUCAAUCAAGAUUCGUUUUACCCUCCAAUUUGCUACGGUGGUCGUGAUCACCACAAGGUCAUCUUACUUAGGAUCCCAGGCCGACCGAUCUUCAUUCGUAAAGUGGAGAUCAGACUAGACACAGAGGUAUGAGGCUAACAGCAUUGACACUCCAAAGGUGUCUCUUUCUCGUCGAACUUGUAGGACCACUCCUGACAAAACCGCCAGCAAUGGUGUUAAUUUCACCAUGACUCCUGCUAACCACCGACUCAUCCUGGUUUCCAGGUCCUCGCUAGGAUUCUCCCAUAUCAUGCUAGCCUGUCUGUGCUCUACUUCAUUCUAGGGUUCCAGUUCGACCAGCUUGGUAAUAACUCUCUGCCUUACCACCUCGUUCCCGACCCGAUCUUCCUCGUCCUCUGCCCCGAUUAUUCUCGGACCAAGAGAUGAAACAGUUCAAGGCCCCUGACCUGAAAAGUUCCUUCAAGAGGUCUUCACCUUGAAGCAUUCUUCAAUGCUAUGCCCAGAAUUCUGGUGGUAGCUACAAUGUUUUGUUUGAUCUCCCCAAGGGUUGUUAGGGGUUGGGGAUGGUAGGCGUACCAACUCUAAGUUACAGGCCUCUUGUAGCACAAUCUCCCUCGAGGCAGUAAGGGAGUGUAAUUUUCAAAUCUCCCCUGCCUUCUUCUCUUGUGGCCCGGGAAAACUGCGGUAGUCGACGCCUUCACCGCCUUCUUCCUUGCAUUGGCAUUUUCCUCGAUGCUCAUGUAUUUCGCUGCUCUAGCCCGCAGCUGAUACAUGUCCUCGGGGGGUUCCGCAUAGAGGGUGUAUAAGAAUUUCCCAGUCAUAACCCUACUAGUAGUGCGUGCAUGGACACUACCGGGUGCAGAUUAGGUAUGUUUAGGGUAGCCCAAGCAAAUCGGGCCAUAAACUUCCUCAAGCUCUUUGUCUCUCCCUGCACAAUAUUAUGUAUGGAUGCUGAGGUGGUGGCCACAGGCUUGCAAUCCGCGAACCUAGCAAGGAACCUGCCACAAAAUGUGUCAAAGGAAUCUACCAAGUUCCUAAGUAGAGAAUAAUACCAUUUUAAGGCCACUCCUACCAGAGUGGUUGGAAACAGUCUACAAUGCACAUCCAUGUCUUCUGAGAACAAUUGGGCCUAGGUAAAAUAGGCCUUAACGUGUGUUUCUGGAUCUGAAGCACCCGAGUACUUUUCCAAGUUGGGCCAACUCCACCUCUGAGGCAGCUGGGCCUUCAUGACCUCACUCGUGAAAGGGUGAAAACCCCUUUAAGUUGGUCCUCAUAGUGCGGUUGAUCAACAGGUUGGGGUGUGUUCUGAAGGGCUGAUGUUCGUGCCCCCAGCCUGCCUAGUCCCUCCUUGCAUGGAACUUGGGGGAGUUUCAUUCCAAGAUGACCUAAAGAUGUUAGAGCAAGAUUUCGUCCUCUCCUGCCAAUCUAAGUUUUAUGGGGGAACCUUCUGGGACUCGGGGGUAUGCUCCGUGUGCCCCUACUUAUCCUAAGUAUUGUUGUAGUUCCUGCAAGUUAUCUAGUCUUGCAGUGCCAGCAACUUUGCCCUGUGUUAUUCCUUCGGGAUGUCAAAUCCUGCUCCAUCCUUUCUUGAAUUUGGUCCAAGGCGUCCUUCACAAUCCUUGGUAGGUCCACUACAUUGGUUGGAAGGGAGUUCUCAAUCGGCUGAUUUGCAUUUUUCUGUUGAGUACUCAUCUUGAGAGCGUGUGUCUAGAUGUUUAUAGUGGUCUUGGGAAAAGUUUUACCAGGUUCCACGGUGGGCACCAGAUGUUCCUACCGGAAAUGAACUCGAGGAGUACAACUUGGCGAGGACUGCGUGUUCCUCAGGGAACGAGCUUUCAGUUGGUCUCCGAUGAGAGAGGGAGGUUUACCUGCAAAAGACUAUUUGAUGCUUAAGUCUAUAGGAGAACAAAUAUGAUGAUGAAUCCUUAACAAAGAGCUAAGAGUAAGAGUAUAUAAUAGAGUUUAAUGUGUCCCUUUACUGAGAGCGACAUUGCUUAUUUAUAGGUCUUGUUGGACUCAGACCAUUAAGAAAAACAUUGAAUGGUCAUCACGUGAUAUAAAUGGAUUUUAUAACAAUAACCUAUAACCACUAGUAAUUUAUAACCAAUUUAUGAUCUGAUUUAUGUGUCUUAAAUAUAAUAUUAAACAGGAUAUUAUUGUCUGAUUUAUGUGUCUUAAAUAUAAUCUAAAACAGGCAGUUAUUGUCUGAUUUAUGUGCCCUAACUAUUAUCUUAAAUGAGAGGUUAUUGGUCUAAAUGUACCCGGUCGUAAUUGGGGUAUGUACAAAGUUAAAUCCUCAUUUUCUAAAAUAAAAUAGUUUUAUUUCUUAUAAAUCUUUGAUGCCAAUUUGAAAUCCAAAAUAAUUAAAAAUUAAUAUAUAUUUUCUAAGAAUAUAUUUCAUAAUGAAAAUUUGUUGAAGUCUUUCUUAUUAGAUAAAAAUAAUGUAAUACUUGCAUUUAGGGAUGACAAAUAAACUCGUCCUCGUAGGUAUUGCUUCAACUCGUCAUGAUUUUUUAUUUUGAUAAAAAAGUUAUGCACAUAUUUGUCUCAUCUUUAUCCCGGAUACCAUACCUGUCUCAAGUAUUAAAGAUCACAUGACAUUGUGUUUGGGUUGUAAUUUCUUAUUUUAGUCGUGUUAUAAGAACUUCUUUAGUUUUUAUUUGAUUCUUUGCUAAGUUAGAAAGCCUUUUAAAGGGCUUUAGAGCCCUUUAUAAUUUUUUAAUUAUGAUUUAAUAGAUUAAAAUGUGUUUAAAUCUAUUAAAAUAUUCUUAGAUUUGUUAAAAACAGUAAGGAAAAGCAUUUUAAUCCAUUAAAAUAAUUAUUUAAUUGAUUAAAAUUACCGAAACCUAAAAUUUGUUUAUUUCACUUUGUUUUGAUUUUGAUAGAUUAAAAUCACUUAAAUAUCAAUUUUAAAUUUGUUUAUUUCACUUUAUUUUAAUUGACUAAAAUCACUUAAAUAUCAAGUUUAAAUUUUGUUUUUAUGUUUUAAUCAAUUAAAACGAUUUUAUAAUAUAUUAAAAUCACUUAAAGUGAUUUAAACAAAUUAAAAUAUUGUUUUGACAUAUUAAAACCAUGUGAGCUUAUUUCUAAAAUUUGUCUUAACCGAUUAAAACUUAGAUGCCAAAUUUUCCAUUUCAAAACUAAGAGACACGAAAUCAAAAUCAAUAUUUCUUAAAAACACUUCGCCUACAAAGUGACUCUAAAAUGAGAUUAAAACACUUCUUAGAGUCUUUGUGUUUUAAUCUUUAACUGAAAUCAUUGGUUUAAGAAAUUUACAUUGUGAUUACUUUGUCUUUUUCUUCUUUGUUGUAUUAUAUCUUUGUGCAUGUGAUUUUGUUCCUUUUGUAUAUUGAACUUGACUAGGGUUAUCAAGAGUGUUGCUUGUAAUGCGAUUUCAAAGAUGGUAUAUCUUAUAGGGUUCAAGAUCGUGUUUUGUAUGUUGUAUUUUCUUGUUUUCUUGAGGGAUUAAUAAAAGGAUUGUCUAAUCAAGGUGAUUAGACAAUUAAAUGUAGCUCUUAUGACGUAGUGAAUUAAUAUAAAUUUCUUUCUCUCUCCCUCUCUCUCCAUAGUUUCGAAAUCAUAGAUUAAAACUGAAUCUAAACACUGUUAAUCAAUUAUUUUAGUUUUUAAUUAAUUAAAACCAUUAUUAGUUUAUUAAAUGACUAAAAUCUGUUCACAACUCUCUGGUUUAAUAUAUUAAAAUCUAACUAACUUGUUAUCUCUCUGGUAUCAUUGAUUAAAGAGUGAGAUAAUUUGUUAAAUCACUCAAACAAAAUUUUCUAACUUUAUGCUUUAAUUGAUUAAAUAAUUUUCUUCAACCUUUUUCAAAAUAUUUUAUAAACAUCUUAACUCAUUUUUAAAGUGUUGUAUGCUUUCAUUGUGAAUAUCUUGUAAGACUCAAACAACUUUAUAAUGAUAGUCAAGACACUUUAAAUACAUCUUCAUCUUCAAAGUUCAUCAUCAAAACACUAUUUCUUGGGACUUGAUCAUCUUCAAGCCUAACAAUAAAGAGCAAGUUCUUGAAAGAAGUUAUGAGUUUCAAAUUUGUUUUCAAGAAAAAUAUAGAAAACAAUUUGCCUUUUGUUGAAGGUGCAUCUAUCUAUAAACCACUUAUGUUUUGCGGGAUCAAUUAUUUGUUAUUGAAAGUAAGGAUGAAGGUCUUUAUUGAAUCUAUUAAUAGAAACAUUUAGGAUACUAUUGUAAUGGGUCUUUCAUUCCAAUACAUAAAGUUGAUGGUGUUUUUAUUGAAAAACCUUGGACUGAUUUUAUUGAUGUUGGAAAUUGUGAGGCACAAUAUCAUUAUAUGGCCAAGAACAUUAUAACAUCUUCACUUAACCUUGACGAAAUUUUAUGUGUUUCAUAGUUUAAUUUUGUCAAGGAAAUAUGGGACCCUUAUAAGUUACUCAUGGCACAAUUGAUGUUAAAAGAGGAAGAAAACUUUUUUUAUCCAAGAAUAUUAACUUUUCAUACAGCAACCAAGAGAGACAAUUCCAUAUGUGCAGAAAAAGUUAACCCAUAUCAUAAUUCAUCUUAUAGGACUUCAAAAAUAUUUUGGGAAUGAGAAGUUGAAUGUAAAAAUUAUGAAGUGUCUUGAUAGAUCUUCACAACCAAAAGUCACAACAAUUUAUAAAUCAAAGGAUUUGUCUACCAUAUCUUGUAUCAUUAUUUGGUAAGCUUAAACAACAUAAAUUGGAAAUUAUAGUAGGCUUGUUAAACAAGAACUGAGUGAUAGGAAAAAGAAAAAUAAAGUGAAAAAGACUCUAUGGAAGGAAAUGAUAGUCACCCUUGCUAUCUCCUAGAUUGAUUAAAAUCAACUAAGGAAGUAAGAAAGUGCUUUAGGUUUUCACUUUUGGUAAGUAAAGAAGAAAGGCAGAGGAAAAAUAAGAAAACAUUUUUUUAUAAAAUAAGUCUUUUUCUUUUUAUCGGGAGAAAAGAAUAAAUAGAGAUCACUUCAGGAGUGAUUCAACCCUUAUACAAACCAUUAGAUACAAAUUACUUCCAAAAAUCCAAACCCAUAAAGAAACUAACAACUAAUCCCAGAACACCAAGAAAAGUCACCAAACUGAAAAAUCCAAAGCAAACACCAAACAAAAGGAAAGCAACAAAGCUUAAAACCAAAAACAGAUCGCCUCAAGACCAACAACGUGCAAAAACAACAACCACAUAACACCCUUACUGUCAAAUCGAAAUCACCCCAACAACAAGAACCCACCAACCAAUAACUAACCAACAAAAUAAAUUGAAUAUAGACAUACUAGGGGGUCAAGACACCAAUCUGAAAACGAGAAGCAAGCUAAGGAAACUUUAGAAAUGACCCAAGACCAAGUCUUCAGUUGAGACAAAAAAAAAAAUCAGAGUGAUCCACCACACCGCCUUUGAAGAUGACUUUAUUCCUAUGGCACCAAAUCUUCCUUACCACAGCCAUCCACACACUUUCCAAAACUAAAUUAACAGAUUCAUAUGCAUUACAAAUAUUGAACUAUAGGAGAUGUGAGUAAGAAUCUUAAGGAGCAACUGACACCAACCUUAACCGUGCAAAGCAAAGAUUCCAAACAAGCCAAGAAAAUCUACACCCAAAAAAAAAAGUGGUUAGUAGACUCCUCUUUUAUCCCAAAAAAACAACAAAAAAUACUAUCAACCACAACUUUGUGUCUAGCCAAAUUAACUUUAGAAGCAAUCUUGUUUUCCAACACCCUCCAAGUUGUAACGUGGGUCGAGGGUAAAGCGUUAAUCCUCCAAAAGAAUUUGAACAUACGUGAGCUUUCCCUUUCCAUCUCUCCCCUUAAAAUACCAUAAGUUGAAUUAACCUAAAACUCAAGAGACUCACCAACGUGUCAAAUCCAACUGUCAUCGAAAGUCAAAAUCGGACUCGUACCUUGCACUACCUCAAGUAGUUGACAUACCUGAAGCUUCUCCCACUCAAAGAGGCCCCUUCUCCAAAUUAAAUUCUCCAACCAUACACUAUUAAUCCAAUCCCCACAAAGAUUCAACGAAAUAUCUUUAUCAACACUAAGGGAGUAAAGUCUAAAAAAUUUACUCUUCAGAGUAACAUUACCCACCCACCUGUCUUCCCAGAAAGAAAUAGUCUUCCCGUUACCAACUUCCCACUUAAGGCAGUCUUCAAAACUCCUACCCCACUCUUCCAACCUCCAAAACUCCUUCAAGUCCCUCAACUAGAGAGAUUCAUAGUUGUUCAUCUUAUGUUCUUUCAUAGAUCUCCAACCUCCAUGCUUAGACUCUAGAAUCUCCUUCCAUAAACCACCCUUAGUUGAACCAACUGCCAAAUCCAUUUUCCCAGCUAGGCCGUGUUAAGGACCUUAAUAUCAAUAGUACCAAGUCCUCUAACAUCACGAUACUCACACACUUUUCCCCAAGAAGUCAAGCAAUCUUCCUCCCAUCAGACCUCAAACCCCAAAGGAAGUCCCUCUGAAUUUUCACAAUCUUCUUUAACACAACUGAAUGUAUUUUGAAUAAGGGUAAGAAAAACAACGAAAAAAAAAAUAACGCUAAACCCUAAAGGAUCUAAAAAUAAGGCUACCAUUGUCUUUGCAUGGAAAAAAAUAUAUUUUCUCUACUUCUUAUUUAUAUAAGCACAAAAGAGUUUGAUAAGUUUAAACUAUCAUUCUUACGUGUCUUCAAUUCAACUAUAAUAAUCCAUUUCAAAUCAAACUUAAACUCAACAAAAUUCAAUCCUAACUAUUUAAAUUUAUGUCAUUUUGCACUUUUUCUAAAUCCAUAUAUCAUAUAAGUAAAUGUGCAAUUUCAAUUUACAAAUAUAAUAAAUCACACACCAAUAGAUACACGUACGAACUUAAAUCAUUUCAUAAUAUAUAUAUAUAUAUAUAUAUAUUAAUUGGCAAAAAAAACAAAUGAAAUAGUAUGAGGUAUUUCAGGGAUACCAAACCCUUAUACAGAGAACUGACUAAGAUACUCAUCUUCAAACAACCUGGCAACAAUUGGAUAACCAACAAGACACACUCAAAAGAUUGUACAUACCUAUCUCCUAGAUACUUUGACUGACUUCAUACAAGUCAAGGGCUCAAGACACCAAUCUGAAUACGAAAAAUUUACACCAUGCGCUUUAGACAAAACCCAUGACCAAGCCUUCAUUUAUGCCAUGGUAAAAAUUUCGAAAUGAUUUAACCUUCCACCUCUGAAGAUCCUCAUAUUCCUGUGAUACCACAAUUCUCCUACAACAGCUAUCCACACACCUCCCCAUAUCUGAUUAACACUUUCCUUAACCCCAUUCAACCUAAAACCUUCAUAAUGUUUCUUUGGCUCCUUAUGAUUCGUCACUGCCAUCCCUAUCCACUCGUAGCACUUAGCCCACAUGAGCCAGACAACUUUUCAAGUACAAAAAAGAUGGGACGUGGUUUCCUCCUCCUCCUGCACAGACAACACGUAAUAGUAGUCAUACCUAUCCCCCUUCUAACCAAGUUUGCUUUAGACGUUAUUUUGUCUUCCAGAACCUUCCAAGUUGUGAGAUGUGAAGACGGGUUUGCCUUCAUUCUUCAGGACUCCCCAAACAUCUCACUAUCCUGCCCCUGAACUCUUUGUUUGAGGAUAUUGUAUGCGGACUUGACCGUGAACGUUGUUGUCUCUUUACCUUUCCAAACCCAAGAAUCUUCCUUAUCCAUCACAAACCUCUUUUCCCCCAUCACUUGCAUCAGUUGUUGUUCUUGUUCCUGUUCCACUCAAAAAUAUUCCUCCUCCAUUUGAUCUUCAAAGUCCACUCUAAAUUCUGUGUCCUCUCCCCCGCCUAUCGAAUAGUCGAAACCUUAUUUGAACAGAUAGAGAAGAGUCUUGGGAAAGUGUCUUUGAGAUUCGAGUUGCCAGUCUAUCUGUCCUCCCAUAGCCUUAUCUCCUUCCCAUUCCCCACCUCCCAGGAAAAGGUAUCCUCAAAAUUUCCUUUCCACUCUUCAGAAGACCAAACCUCCUUCAAAUCCCUCCACCAAAGAGAAUGAGUGUUACUUUUCCUUUGGCUCCUAGGAUCCCUCCAUCCUCCGUAUUUUGAGUCCAGAACUUCUUUCCACAAACCCUUCUUUUCACUACCUAAACGCCAUAUCCAUUUUCCCAACAAGGUAACGUUGAAUCGCCUCAAGUCGAUCAUUAUGAGUCCUCCUUCCUCUUUUGACUCAUACACCUUCUUCCACGAUAUAUAGAUGUGUAUAUAUAUAUAUAUAUAUAUAUAUAUAUAUUCAUUUAUUGUUUUAGUAUUCAUACCUAGAAAUUAUAUGCUUACUCUUCCCACAAGUAACAUUUUUAUGAUUUGUUCUUAUGAAGUGACCUUCUAUAAAUAUUCCGCCAGAAAAUUGAAAUUGCCAUGCAAAUCAGUUCCAAAUUUUCUGGUGAUUAUUUAAUCCGUAAUUGUAAACGAAGAUGAUUUCUGGAAGUGCAAAGCAAAAGAGAAAAAAAUCAUGUUCUAACUGUUAAAAAUGAUAGUAGAUUUACGUCGUUAUUUCGCAUUUUGUUGCAUUGUUUAGUUAACAAAAGUAUUUGACAACUCAGAACAAAAAGCUAAAGCAACUAAGCUAUUAUAUAUAUUAUAUAACCUAAUACAAAUUGAAAUACAUUAAUGAUAGAAGCAUACCGAUAGUUGCAGCGUGUAUUCUAAGCUCCGAAUGAAGUCAACGGCGUCUUCAUCUAGCUACACCCACUGGAUCCAUGACGUGUUCUUGAAUUUCAGAGGAGACGACACGCGCGAGACUAUCGUGUCACAUCUCUACGCCGCACUCUCGAAUGCGGGGAUCAACACUUUCAUCGACGAUAACAUUUUGAAGGGAACGGUGUUGGGGGCAGAACUGGUGCGAACCAUACAAGGCUCUCAGAUAUCCAUCAUCGUUUUCUCCGAAAACUAUGCUUCUUCUAAUUGGUGUCUUAACGAACUGGUAGAAAUCAUGGAGUCUCGCAUAGCUUACGGCCAGAAGGCGGUGCCCUUGUUUUACCAUGUUGAUCCGUCGCAUGUUCGUAAUCAGGAGGGUGGUUUUGGACAACAGUUGGAAGCACUUGCACAAAAUUGUUUACCUCAAGGGUUGAACGAUGAGGUGUUAAUGAUAUGGAAAAAUUCACUCUGGGAGGCUGCAAAUCUUGCUGGUUGGCAUGCAGUGAAUUUCAGGUAUAUCUAAUCUAUGUUGUCUACUUAUUUUGGAUCUCUUCCAACCAUUUAAUGGCAUUUUGACAAAUUUUAUGUAAACACUUAGAAAAAAAAUUGGGUAAAUUGAAAAUGAUCUUUUUAGAGAAAAAUUAUGUAAAUUAAAUUAUGUUUAGCUUAUGAAAGAGUUCAUUUUAUUUUUUAUGUGUUUAUUGAGAGAAUUUUCUAAAAUGAUAGUUUUCUUUGCUUAGUUUUUUUUAUUCAUUCGAGAUUUUACAUUCUUUAAGUCAAAAUAUUCAAUUUAGGUAUGUUUUUAUCUCUUUUCUAUUUAUAUUAUUAAAGAAAUAAUAAUUAUCAAAUUAUACGUUAUUAUUGUAUGUAAUAUUGUAAGGGCAAUUAAUUUAAUAAUUAUAGAAUCUCAUGAUUAGUGGAUCCCUACCUAAUGUAAUUUGGAGAGAGAAAGUCUUCCUACACUAUAUAUAUUUCUUAUGCAUGAAAAUACAUGAAGUGAUGUAAAUAUACACAUAAAAGAAUAAAAAUUUCUUCUUUCUUCUUAUCAUUCUUACCAUCUUCUUACAUACCUUUUCUUAUAUGAUAUCAGAGCACCGAUCUUGGUGCUCUGACAGCCACUCCAUUUUUAUCCGCUAAAUAAGAGAUAAUGUCUGGCAAAAAGGCAGAUAGAAACCUCGUACAAGGUUUCACCGCCGAGCAAAUUCAGCAAUUGGCAAAGACUAUUUACUCACCCAACAAUAAUGGUAAAAGUGACAUGUUUGUUAGCGCUGCAAGUCUGCUUGUCCAUAACUCGUCUAUUAAUUCUGCUUUUACGAAAUCAUGGAUUUUGGAUAGCGGAGCAACCAAUCAUUUUACAUCUGAUUCACAAUUUUUCACACACACUUCAUCAUCAUUUAUUCCAAAUGUUAAUCUGCUCAUAGGCUCAACUGCGCUCAUCUCAUUGACGGGCAGAAUUAAAUUCAAUGACAAUAUCACUCUCAAAAUGUUCUUUCCUUCUUUUAAUUUAAAUCUCAUGUCCGUUAGUAAGAUAACCAGUUCACUAAAUUGUUGUGUCGUUUUUACUCCACGUGGUUGCGUUUUGCAGGACUUGGCUACGGGGAGGAUGAUUGGCUCGGGUAAACAACACGCAGGCUUAUACUACAUGUCCCCUCUUCCAAACCAAACCUAGCAUCUCUUAGAAUCAUUCAUUACUUUUACACAAAAACAAUUUCAGGCAUGUAUUAAAACCAUCCGCGUUGACAACGAAUUGAAAUUUAUUUCUACACGUAAUUUUUUUCUCAAAAAAGGUAUUGAAUGUCAACGCACUUGUGUUUACACUCCUCAACAAAAAUGGAGUAGUAGAAGACAUACAUAGACACAUUUUAAACAUAGCACGAGCCCUCAUAUUUCAGUCCCAUUUACCAUUAGAAUUUUGGGGAAUGUGUUUUAACUGCCACAUAUAUCAUUAAUCAUUUGCUAUAAAUCACCUUUUGAGAUGCUAUAUAAUCGUCCGCCUUCACUUUCUCACUUAAAAACUUUUGGUUGUCUCUGUUAUGCAACUGUUGUUUCACCUAAGCAAAAAUUUGAUCCGUGCGCUCGGCAGCUAUGUAGCACAGACACUGACUCGGAUACUGAUACGACACGAACACGGACACUGAUACGACACGGACACGAAGAUACCUAUAAUAUCUAAAAUGUAGGAAACGGAGACACGAAUCUAUAUAUUAUAUAAUUAUGAAUUAUAAAAAUUGACAAUAAAGAUUUAUGUGCACAAGUAUGUUCUAGAUUAUUUUUGGAACAGAAAGAUGUUUUUCAUGACUGGUUCAAAAGGAUUUGUUUCUUAUUUUUAUAAUCAUAAUAAAAAUUUAUACAAUAAGUUUGAGUUUUUAGAAAAUUAAUGUAUUUUUCCUUUUUAAAAUUGUGUUAGAACCGUACUAAAAUUGUCAGAAAUCCAACAAAUACUUUUUGAAUUGGACACUUCACGAAUACGUGUCCUACAAGUGUCAUACGAGUGUUAGUGUCCGAUAUGAGUAUCUGACACCGACACGCCAUUUAAGAUAAGUGUUUGAGCUUCAUAGCUCGACAGUGCAUUUUCAUUGGUUAUCCUCUCAAUCAAAAAGCAUACAAAUUAUUUGAUAUAGAUGCAGGCACUUUUUUUAUAAGUCAAGAUGUCAUCUUCCAUAAAAGUGUUUUCCCAUUCUGCCAAUAGUCACAGACGCAAUCCUCACUUCCAUUACAAGGUAUUUUGCCCACUAUUGACAUUGAGUUACCCAUUGCUAUCCAACAUUCACUUGAUCAACCUUCUUCUCUUACGAAUCACAAUGCACCUGAACCUCCAUCAAACCAACCUUCUUCUCUUACUCAUCACAAUGCACCUGAACCUCCAUCAAACCAACCUUCUUCUCCUACUCGUCAUAAUGCACCUGAACAUCCAGCAGACCAACCUUCUUCUCCCACGCCAAGAAGUCUAGCACCCAUCACCAAACCUUCUCCAACCGACCUUCUUGUUCGACGAUUCAGUCGCAUAUCAACCCCACUUUCCUGGCUUCAAGACUACGUAACGGGAUCCCAAUCCAAUCAUUAGACCACUGCCCAAGACCGGACGAAUGGAACCAAGUAUCCUAUGCAUCAUUUUCUUUCUAAUUCACGAUUUUCUUCUACACAUAGUGCAUAUCUUGCUAACAUCAUAGCCACCAAAGAACCUCACACUUAUGCUCAAGCUAUCCUUGAUCCAAAUUGGCAAAAAGCAAUGGACGAAAAGCUUUCCGCCUUGCAGCUAAAUCAAACGUGGACCUUGACACCGUUGCCCGCUGGGCAGAAACCCAUCAGAUGCAAAUGGGUCUAUAAAAUAAAGUACAACUCAGAUGAUAGCAUCGACAGAUAUAAGGCGCGCCUUGUUGCAAAGGGUACACUAAGGUGUCGACUAUUCUGAAACUUUUUGACCAACAGCAAAAUUAACAACUUUGAGGUAUCUCCUCACGAAAUUGGUUCACUCACCAGCUAGAUGUGCAAAAUGUCUUCUUACAUGGCACAUUGCAUGAAAUUAUUUACAUGGACUUGCCACCCGGACAUCAUCGACAGGGGAGAACUUUGUAUGUUGAGUCAACAAAUCUCUUUAUGGUCUCAAACAGGCAUCCCGGACAUGGUUUUCAACAUUUUCUCAUGUGAUUAAAUCUGUAGGAUUUCAACUGUCCAAGACAGACUAUUCUCUAUUCACAAGACAGAAUAACUCAUCAUUUACAACCCCUUUUGAUUUAUGUGGAGAUAUUCUUUUGAUAGGAAAUGAUUUGACAAAAAUUCAGACUGUCUAUUACAAUAAUUUCGCAUUAAAGAUUUUGGAGACUUAAAAUAUUUUCUAAGGACUGAAUUUUCCCGUUCCAAAGCUGGUAUUUACAUGUCACAAAGAAAAUAUGCGUUUGAUAUUUUGUAGGAAGUGCUCGUCCAGACACAUUUCCAAAGGAGUAAUACCUAAAACUCACACCAGACGAUGAGGAGUUAUUAAAGGAUCCAGUCAAAUAGUGACUCGUGGGACGAAUGAUAUACCUCACUGUUACUCGGCCUGACAUAGCAUUUUCGGUUCAGACCCUAAGUCAAUAUAUACAGGCUCCACGGAAACCUCAUUGUGAUGUCGCAAUUCGAAUCAUAAAGUGUAUCAAAGGAUUAUCGGGACCAGGAUUGCUAUUGCCAUCCGAGAACAAUCUGACAUUGACAACUUAUUGCGACUCAGACUAGGGAGAUUGUCAGAAAACUCGGAGAUCAACAUCUGGAUAUUGUAUUUUUCUUGGUUCUUCUAUUAUCUCAUGGAAGUCAAAAAAAAAUAGACAAACGUAUCAAGAUCAUUAGCGGAAGCAAAAUACCGCGCGAUGGCCAAUACUUGUUUUGAAAUAGUUUUGGUGGCGAUACCUGUUGCAGGAUUUAAAGGUGUCAUAUAACUUGUAGCUCAACUUGAGGGGAGUAUUGAGGAAAUGGUAAUUAUCAAAUUAUACGCAAUUAUUGUAUGCAAUAUUGUACGAUAUUAUACCUAAUUAUAUGCAAUUAAUUUAAUAAUUAUAGAAUAUCAUGAUUAGGUGAUCCUUCCUAAUUAGAUUGUAAUUUAGAAAAAAAAUGUCUCUUAUACAUGAAGUGAUAUACACAUAAGAGAAUUUCUUUCUUCUUAUCAUCUUCUUACAUACAUUUUUCUUAUAGAUACAAUUGAAUAGAUCUAAACAAUCCUUAGUGUCAUCAGGAAAUAAUUUAGUUAAUUAAAAAAAAUUGAAAAGAUUAAAAUAUACCAAAUUGACAAUUAGCCAAAAAAAAUAUAGCUAUUCUGAAAUUCAGUCACUAAAAUCGCAGCAAGAAAGAAAAGCAUGAACACCAGUAUCGCAUUUGUAUAAAGAAGACUAAAUUGCAAUUUAGCUUAAUAUUAUAUUAUCUUUUCCUAGUUUAUGCUUAUUCUGGUAUGCUUAUAACUAUUGAAGGAGUGAAGGUGAACUAGUGAAUCAAAUUGUUGAGGACAUUAUGGAAAAACUUGACUACGACUUAUUGUCAAUUCCUGAAUUCCCAGUUGGAUUAGAAUGGCGAGCGCAAGAAUUGAUUGAGUUCAUCAAUGGUCGAUCAGAAACAAGUUCUCUGUUGGGGAUCUGGGGAAUGGGUGGAUCGGGUAAAACAACCUUGGCCAAAGUAAUCUACAAUCAAAUUGGCAAGGGAUUCACCCGUAGAAAUUUCAUUGAAACGAAUAACAGAGGAUGUAUUGAUUUGCAAGAAAAACUUCUUUCAGAUGUCCUAAAAACAAGGGUCAAGAUACAUAGCAUUGCAAUGGGAAUAAGUUUGAUUGAGAACAGACUUUAUGGAGAAAAGGUUCUGAUUGUGCUUGAUGAUGUGACCGAGUUUAAACAGUUGAAAGCCCUAUUUGGAAAUCGCAAAUGGUUUGGUGAAGGAAGUGUGAUAAUUAUUUCAACCAGAGAUGUACGCCUACUAAAACUACUCAAAGUUGAUUAUGUUUAUACAAUGGAGGAAAUGGACGAAAAUGAGUCUCUUGAGCUUUUUAGUUGGCAUGCUUUUGGAAAAGCCAAACCAAGUGAAGACUUCAAUGAACUUGCAAGAAAUGUAGUUGCUUAUUGUGGAGGGCUACCACUAGCUCUUGAAGUCCUUGGCUCAUAUUUGAUUGAGAGGACAAAGAAAGAGUGGGAAAGUGUGUUGUCGAAACUGGAAACAAUUCCAGAUGAUCGAGUUCAACGGAUAUUAAGAAUAAGCUUUGAGGGUUUACGCAAUGACAUGGAAAAGGAUAUAUUUCUUGAUGUAUGUUGUUUCUUUAUUGGUAAAGACAGAGGCUAUGUGACAGAGAUACUAAAUGGCUGUGGACUAUGUGCUGAUAUUGGAAUAACAAUUCUCAUAGAACGUAGCCUCAUAAAAGUUGAAAGGAAUAACAAACUUGGAAUGCAUCCCUUGCUACGAGAAUUGGGAAGAGAGAUAAUCCGUGAAAGUUCAAGAAAGGAACCUGGGAAGCGCAGUCGAUUGUGGCUUAAUGAGGAUGCAGUGAAAGUAUUGACAGAGAAUACUGUGAGUAAUACUUCUUAUAUAUAGUUUUGGAAACUUGGUAGUGUUUGACUUUUCAUGUAUCACUUUCUGAAUGAGCUUACAAUAAAUAUUUCUAAAUUUACUUUUCUUUGCUCUUAUCAUCACAGGGAACAGAAGCUGUUGAGGGUUUGGCCCUGACACUGCAUUUGACCAGCAGAGAUUGCUUUGAAGCUUAUGCUUUUAAGGGAAUGAAGAGAUUGAGAUUACUGCAACUUGACCAUGUAAAACUAUCCGGAGACUAUGGGUAUCUUUCUAAGCAUCUGAGAUGGGUCUGUUGGCAUGGGUUUCCAUCAAAAUACAUACCCAACAAUUUUAGUCUGAAAGAUGUGAUUGCGAUUGAUUUAAGGCACAGUAAUAUUAGAAUUGUAUGGAAACAACCCCAGGUAUAAACCACAAGGUUAAUUCUAAUCGUAAUUUUCCACUAAGUGUUUGUUUGAUUUUUCAUUUUCUUCUCUAGUUUUAUAUCUUGUGUAGGUGUUAGGGUGGCUUAAAAUGAUCAAUCUUAGUCACUCCAAGUACUUGAUAGAAACCCCUGACUUUUCAAAACUACCAAAUCUUGAAAAGCUCGUUCUCAAAGAUUGUCCAAGUUUGUGUAAGGUACACCAAUCCAUUGGAGAUCUCCAUAAUCUUCUAUUGAUAAAUUUGAAGGACUGUAUAAGCCUGAGCAAUCUCCCAAUAGAGAUAUACAAGUUGAAAUCUGUGAGAACUCUCAUCCUAUCUGGUUGUUCGAAGAUUGACAAAUUGGAAGAAGAUAUAGCACAGAUGGAAUCCCUGACAACUCUACUUGCUGAUAAUACUGCUGUGAAACAAGUCCCCUUUUCAAUAGUAAGCUCCAAAAGCAUUGGAUAUAUAUCCUUAUGCGGAUUUGAAGGACUGGCACGAAAUGUUUUUCCUUCUAUCAUCCAGUCUUGGAUGUCACCAACAAUGAAUCCUCUCCUUUAUAUUAGUCUGUUUUCUGGCACAUCAUGUUCUCUGGUUUCCAUGAAUACACAAAAUAAUACUUUGGGUGAGCUUGUACCAAUUCUUAGAAGGCUUCCAGAUCUUCGAAGUGUUUUGGUGCAAUGUGAGACAGAGUUUCAACUGUCUAAACAUGUUAAAACAAUUAUGGUUGAAGAUGUUGUAAAUUUUACAGAAUUAGGAAUUUCAAGGCAUCACUUGAGGUCUUCUUUGAUUGGAGUUGGAAGUUACAAAGAAUUCUUCGAUAUUCUCAGCGAUAGGAUAUCUGAGGUUAAUUCCUUCUCUAGUUUUUACCUUUCUCUACUUUACCUUCACUGUUUAUUUUAGCUACUAAUUAAGAGAACUUGAAAUAAUCUUUAUGAUGUGUCUAAAAGAAAAUUCAAUAACCAUAUUCUAAUUUAAAAGUACAUGUUAAGCUGCAGCAAUUUAAUUUCCACUUUUUUCCACCCACACUUGUUUCGUGUUUGUUAGAUUCCCAUUGAACAUAAAAAAAAGUUGAAAGAUCUCUGAGACAUAAACAGAAAUGCAUUUAAAUUCAUAUUGAUCUGCUGUUAUAUAUACAGAACAAAACUAUUAACCAAAUUUAUUUGAAUUAGUUAUCAUUGCUGUGUUUCAAUUUAUGCAAUAAGUGGUCAAGGAUUCGAUCUCCAGGCUUGUGUGUAUAGAAAAAUAUUUGUUAAAAGAUGCUAGUCUGAUAAAUGAAUAUCUUUCAUUAUUUAAAAAACUUAGUCCUGAUUCUGUGAUGACAAAACGGAAGUUUGGGGAAGGAGAUGUAAUUUAGGUUCUUUUAACUCAAAACUCUAUAAAUUCUUAUAAAAAGAAAACUUAAUUUUCUUUCUAAAUUGGUGUAUUCAUGUUUUACAAAUACAUCCUUCUGUAGGGUUAAAUUAUGUGUCACUCUAGACAAUCAUAAUAAGUCUCUCUAAAUUCCACACUAAUACCUAAGUAGUCUUUAAAGUCCACUAAGAAUCUUUAAUGUCUAAUAGUAAGUAACUCCUACUAAUCUAGCCUUAAAUUCUCAGUAUAUGGGUCAUUAUUUUGCAUUAUGAGAACAAAAAUGGUUCAGCUUUCUCUUGUGGUUUUUAAUAUUCCUAUACGACAAUUCAACCUCUUAAUUAAAAAUAUAAUAAAAUUUACAAAGAAAAAAUGCAAAAUUAUACUGACACUCUUGAAAUCAUAACAGUUUGCCUCCCCGAAGUUAUACAAUUCACUUUAUUUUAUUAAAAAUGCUCAUUUUGUAAUUUUGGAAUGAUAAAAAAAUUAUUGUAGGGGUGACUAAGCUUGUUUUGUCAUGUUGCAGGGAUUGAAAACCAAUGAGGCUUGUGAAGUUUUACUUCCAGGUGACAAUGAUCCUUAUUGGUUGGCCCAUACAGGUGAGGGACAUUCAGUGUAUUUCACUGUGCCAGAGGACUGCAGCAUGAAGGGAAUGGCUUUGUGUAUUGUUUAUUUAUCAAACCCUGAAAUCACGGCAACCGAAAGUCUUACUAGUAUCUUAAUAGCUAAUUACACAAAGCGCACCCUGCAGAUACACAAGCAAGACACAGUGAUUUCCUUUAAUGAUGAAGAUUGGCAGGAGAUAAUAUCACAUUUGGGAGGUGGAGACAAUGUGGAGAUUUUUGUGACUUUUGGUCAUCACUUGGUGGUCAAGAAAACAGCUGUCUAUCUGAUGUAUGGUGAAUCAAAUGAUAUAGAAAUUGAGCCGCCUCAAUGCGAAUCGGAUGAUGUAGAAAUUGAGACGAGGCCUUGUGAAUCAAAUGGUUUGGAAAGUAAGCCGAAGCAUGGUGAAUCAAAGGAUAUCGGAAUUGUGUCCACGAACUGUGAAUCAAAUGAUAUCAAAAUUGAGCCCAAGCCUUGUGAAUCAAAUGUCUUGGAAAAGAAGUCUGAUGAUCCUAAGCCAAAUGGAAAUGCUUUCACUAGAUUAUUGAAGAAAUUUGCAAUGUGUGACUGGUAAGUCAUAUUCAUAUCCCUUUUAUGAGAACAAUUCAGAAUUGUGUUGUGGAAUUAAAUCCUAGUGUCCUUGAUUGUAUUUAAUUUCCUUCCAUCAUUUUAUUGUUUUUAUUUUGAGUAGCUUGUAGUUGGAAAAUUCACUUUAUUUUCCCUUGUUUCUCAGUCUAAGCUUAUGCCUCUUUGGUUGUCCUUGACCUGUUCAUUGUAUUUUCUUGGUGUUAUUUAUGAGAAUAUUUUUCGUGUAAAUUGAUUUUAAUACUCAACAAGCCAGUGGUCAUGCUCACCCACACGACUUCAUGAAUUGAUGUCCACUUUUUUCCUUCUACCUUUUUCUAGAAAGAAUGGGGUGAAGUAAAAGUUACCUUCAUUUUAUAAAUUGUCAAACUGAAUCUACCAAAAAAAUAAAAAAACUUCAUCUAUAGGGUCUUGAUUAAGAUUAUGUAUAUAACUAUGUACAUACACCCAUAUAAAUCCUAAUAUAAAUACUCAUGAAUGAACUUUACUACAUGUUUGACCUACAGACAUAAACUCAAAGAGAGUGAAUUAGAGAAUGUGGGACGCACAAACCUACAAAAACAUUAAUAUAAAAUUCAUAAAAAUAUAACACAAAUGUAUCAUAAAAUGAUGAAAUUUCCAAAGAAUAUGUGUCCCACUUUUUUAUAUACUUAUGAGAUUAUGUUUGUUCUUUUAUUGAUAAAAGUUCACCAAAAACAUCUAGAAAAUCAAGAAAUUUAAAUUUAAUGAGAUGUACCCUAUAGGUUACAAUGUUCUUGUUUAGUUGUUAGUUUGGCUGUGAUUUGACCACUCCCUAGCUUAACCAAUUAGAGAAAAUGGGAACAAUUACUUCAUGUAUGUAACUUCUUGUUGCACUCAAUUCAUAAAAAGUAUCUAAAAGAGCAUAAGGAUCUGAUCCUUUCUUGAAAACAAGUGCACUGAAACCAUAUUGAGAAUGCUAGUUUAAUUUCUGUUCCUCUUGCCUAUAGUGGAAUGACAAGUCUAGACGAAUGUCUUGGAUGUUCUCCUUGGAGAUUAAUUACUCUAUCAUCUCCUUGAUUUGCCUCCACCAUGGUCAACCAUGUCACUUAAUGUUCUCAUAGUAUGAGAUGCUUGUGAAUGUGAAAGAGAAGAAUCCUUGAUGCAAUCCUAUCUUGCAUUGCUAUGAUUCUUUUGUUUUGUAUUUUGAGGGUGCGGAAUUUGGUGGGAUUGGGUGGCUAAAAUGAGUAAAAGAAAUUGUGAAGUAUUGGUGUAUGGAGAAUGAUAAUAAAGCUUAAGAGAGGUUAGGCCAACUCCUAAGAGGUUCCUUGCUAAAACACUUAGAAAUAAGGCUAACAAAGAGUGAGCUAAGAGACUAUUCAAAGCUAAUUUACAAGGGGCCUAACACUUGUAUUUAUAGUGCUAUGGGUAGCCAAGGUGCAAACUUUAACCCUAAAAACUCACCACUCAUAGAAAGACAAAUGACUGUCUCUAAUUGGAGCAAAUCCUCUCAAAUUAGAGGUUGACAAGUGUCCUCCUCUAAUUGGAGAGAGUGCUCUCCAUUCCCAUGAAGACAAAUGUCCUUUUGGCAUUGGUGAGAAUUCUCUCCAUUAAGGAAAUGAUAUGUGGACCUUCAUACCUUCCUUGCCACUUCAUGAAGCACAAUUGUAACUCUAGCUAGACCCUUUUUUCUAUGAAAAUUGGCCCAAAUAUGGCCCAAGAAAAUGACCCAAAUAUUAUUAAUAUUAAUAAUAUUUUUAGUUAUUUUUUAAUUAAAUUUGAAAUAAUUUACACACGGAUUUUAUCCGUAUGUAAUAUUUUUAAUUAUUUUUUAAUUAAAUUUAAAAUAAGUACAUAUGAAUUUUAUCCGUAUGUAAUAGUUUUUUUAAUAUUAUAAAUAUUAAUAAUAUUUUUAGUUAUUUUUAAAUAAAUUUAAAAUAAGUUACAUACAGAUUUUAUUCAUACUAUUUAUAGUUAUUUUUUAAUUAAAUUUGAAAUAAGUUACAUACGAAUGUAACAGUUUUUUUUUAAUUAAAUUUUUAAUGUAUUACAUACGGACAUAAUCCGUAUGUAAUGCUUUUUAUUAUUUUUAAUUAAAUUUGAAAUAAAUACAUAUGGAUUAUAUCAUUAUGUAGUAAUUUAUAUUUUUUGAAUUAAAUUUUAAAUAUCUUACAUACGAAUUAGAAUCCGUAUGUAACAUUAAUUUUACAUACGAAUUUUUAUUGGUAUGUAAUUCGAAAUUUCCGUGUAGUCCCUGUACAAAGUUUAUAAAACUAGCUAAAAAUGGAAGAGCAGACAACAAUUAAUUUUCCUUGAGAUUAGAAUCUUUUGAGAUCCUUUUCUUGCUUCCAAUCUUUUUAGCCAAAUGUUUCGAGGUUGGAUGAGUUUUCAUCAAUGAGACUUGAAAACUAAUUUGCAUUUCUUGUUCACAGAGGCAGUAAAUUAUAAGUUCCCUUAUUCCUUAAAGUCAAACCAAGUUGAUUCCUUAAUCUUGGUUAUCAAUAAAUCUAAUCAUAAUAAUCAAUUCCUCGACUCAUGCAUUAAAAGAAUAACAAUGAUAGCUAAAUACAACUACUCUAUUCCCAACAGUUCAAAAUCUUUGGUUGAUUUAGUUUAUUUUAAAAAAAGAAAAUUUCCCAAUAAUAUUCAAGCUCUUGGAGAUCAAGUAAACGAAUUCCUAUAUUGUCAAACAUUAAGCUCAAAAUUAAAUCAAUUAAGAACAAAAUGUACUUGCAUAUGUAAAUCAAGGAAUCACAUAAAAGUUAUAAUGAGAUUCAAUCCCAAUAACAUAGGAUGUUAGCUACUCAUUAUGAGUAGGUUGAUUCAAUAAAUACAAUGAUAACCUACAACUAAGGAUAUUACAUUCUAAACUAACUUUAGUUCUCUUCCUCACCUGGACUAGUCCUUUCCUUUCUAUUUAUAUUGCAACAAAUUGGCCUCAAGUUUACUUCCCAUACUCAUGGGACCACCUUUCUUCAUUUUGAGGGCUUCCCAUGUUCUGAGUGCAACUAUGUCUUGUUAAGCAUAUUUUGAGCUCAAAUUGCACCCUUUUCUGUGGAAUAUGGUCGUUCUAUUAGAAUAGUGAUAAAUACCAUAAUUCAGUAACAUUUCAUACAAAUACAUAGGUACUUAUGAACUUUAUUUGAUAAAAUAGUUAUAAUUCAACCUCUAAAUUAGGAAUUUGAACACUUUUACAUAUUUUUGGAUUAUAAGAUGAAUAUGAACGAUUUAUUCCCAAAUUUGUGUUAAUUUCAGGAAUCUAGAAGAAAAUGGAGAAAAAAGGACUAAAGGAGAAUGAAAAAGUUAAAGACAAGAUGAAAAGACAAAGCUGGAACUUUGAAAACUCGCCCAAGUAAGAUCACUCCAGAGCAAAUCGCCCAAGGCUCGCUUUAGCGAGUUAAUUAACUCCAGUGAAGUUGGGAUUUUUCUCAUAAAACUCGCUUAAGUAAAGUAAUAACUUGCUUAAGUGAGAUGUCACUUAGCCCAAGCCCAAUUAGGUUAAAUCAAAUUCGUGACGCAUAACCCUAGACAUCAUUGGGAGGAUAUGGAUAGAUAGAAAAUCCUAGAGGAGGAAUCGUCAAGGAGAAACACUGAAUCUUCUUUUCUUGUUUUCCAUACUUGUAAUUGCCAAUAUGAGAGACUAAUUCUUUCCUUUGGUAUUGAGAAUAAUUUGUUCAAACUCUUAUGUAUUGAGGUGAUAUUUAAUUGUAAUAUUCAUUUCUUGAUUGAUGAUUGAUAUUAUCAUUUUAUUCUCAAAACUUGAGACUAUUAAUGAUUUUGAUCCUUAGAUUUGACUGGAAAGUACUUCUAAGUAUCUGACCUAAAUAAUAAUGCUUAACAUAUUUAUAUGUUAGGAAAACUCAAUUAAAUAAACUAAUUGAUUUACUAGUUCAAUUUAUUGUAAAAAGCACAAGAGCAAUUUUAUCAAAAUAUAAACUAGUUGUUUCGAGAAUUCAAUCAAUUGAUUUACAUGCAAAACACUGUAAAGUAGACCAUAUACCAGAUAUCAGAGUAAGAUAGAUAGAUAAUGCACAAAAGAUUUAUAUUGGUUCACUCUUAACCAAGAGCUACAUCCAAUCCUCAGCACACAACUGCAAAUUCACUAAAAACAAUUAAACAAGAUUACACGAGAACAACAAAAAGUGUUGAUUUUGAACCCCAAGAACAUGAAACACUCUUAACCACACACAAAAUUCAGAAACUCUAUCUGAAUCUGUUUACAACAUAAAACAAGGAGAAAAAAUAAAGUUCGAAUACACUUGGGUUCAAUACAAAUGAAGAACAAAAGAAUUGAUAACCUUAAAACCUUCUUCACAUCACAACAAUGAUCCAAGAUACAAAUGUAAUCUCCCCACUUUCCUUCACCACCCAAUGCAGUCAACCCAAUUCACAUCCAACAAACCUAUUCUCAAUCUCUCAGUGUAGCAAUUGUUGUUUUCACCCAAACCUAUUCUCAAUUUGCUUGGUGUCUUCAUCAACUUCAACAAAUAAUCAAAUGACACCAAACUUAUUUUCUUUUUCAGCAAAGAAUAAAAUUAAUCCCAACCCGUAUUAAAAAAGCAAGAUAUUUUCACCAUGAAUGGACAAAGGAUUCCCACAAAAAAGCCCCAAAAACCAAAAGAGUUGCUGCCAUAACAACACCUAUAAAAAACACUUACAGCAGAACAAAAAACUGCACCUAUAUUCCUAAAAAAAACAGCUACAUUCCUACAUAAAACAACACCCAAAGAAGCAUUUUACACUAGAAAAGGUUUUACCAACACCUCCAAGAUCAACAUCUGCGUGGUUCGGUUCAAUUGUUCCCAGCUCCUACAAAGUUACCAUUCAUCAUUAUUUAGUGUUUGUAACAAAAACAUGAUCUUGGGACCAUUCCAGUGAUAGAGAAAGUAACAUGGCAUCUUCCUUUAAACCUGAAUAUUCCUUCAAUUCUUACACUAAAUAGAGUCUCGUAACCUUGGCAACACCAACAUCAUCAAUCCUCCCCCAGCCAGCAACAAAACCAAACAUAAAAAAUCGGCCGCUGGACCUGUAUUCUCUGUAAGAAAUUAUGUAAAUUAAUUUCUAUAAAGUGACUCACAUGACUUAGAGUUUGGGCUUUGGGCCCAAAUAUGAUUUAAUAAUAAUAAUAGAAUAAAGGCCCAUUGGUUAAUGUGAGAAAUAUAUAUCUGAUGAUAUACCUAAUGGAAAACCUACAUCUGAUGGAGAUUGGGUACUAAAGGCUAUAGGGUUCUGUCUCUGCAAAUAAUAGUUGUCUCACGGUUAACCAUCACGAAAGUGUGUGACAAGUACGGAAUUGCUAAGAGAUAAUUUGGGAUAAGGAGAUAAAGUAACUACUCAAUUAGGAUCACUCAUGGAUCAAGGUAAGUGCCUAUUCCUUCUUCAUUAUAUGUUUAAUGUUUUGUGUGAGAAUCAUGAUAUGAUAAGAUCUAUUUGUGAACAUAAUUGUAUGUGUUCAAUUUACGUUUAUUCAUGUUUUGACUUACAUUCUCUUCAACGCAUGCACCUUUGUGAUUCCUUUACAUAGACUCAUCCAUCCUUCCUUCCAUCAAGAGUGGCUUCCCAUGGACUUUCCACACUCUUUCCCUCUGAAUCAAGAUUAGACAAAUUCUUUGGUCAUAUUAUCAUUUUUAUUAUACUUAUUAUUAUUAAGAUAAUUUAUACAUAUUAAUAUAAUUAUUAAUAAUAAUAAAAAAAUAAAUUAUAUUCAUAUUAUUAAUAUUAUUCAUAUUAUUAAUAUUAUUCAUAUUAUUAAUAUUAUUCCUAUUAUUAAUAUUUAUUAAUAUUAUAUUCAUAUUAUUCAUAUUAUUAAUAUUUAUUAAUAUUAUUCAUAUUAUUACUAAUAUUAUUCAUAUUAUUAAUAUUAUUACUAAUAUUAUUAAUAUUAUUACUAAUAUUAUUAAUAUUAUUACUAAUAUUAUUAAUAUUAUUACUAAUAUUAUUAAUAUUAUAUUCAUAUUAUUCAUAUUAUUAAUAUUAUAUUCAUAUUAUUAAUAUUGUUAAUAUUAUUAAUAAUUAUAAGUAUAAUAAUAAUAAUCAUAAUAAUACUAAAGAAUUUGCUUGGUGUGCAUCAUCUCUCAUAUCAAGCUCUUGUAUAACUUCUCCAUUUAUUUUUAACAAAGUUGUCAAACUCCUUAUCUUCCUGCCAAAUGUCAAGAAACCUGAAUGGUUUUGGUCCCCAAUCUGUCAUGUUUGAUUUUAACACCAAUGCACAGUGAUGAAAUAUUUGUCUAUCCAAGACAUAUUGUUUGCUGCCCGAUCAAUGUUGCAGCCAUUCAAAGGUGGUUAAAAACCUAUCAAGCCUGCUUUUAGCCUUGCCAUUAGGUCUAUACCAGGUAUAUUUCCUUUCAAUACAGGGUAUAUCAACCAUCUCCACACUAUCAAUGAAAUUAUUAAAACCUUGCAUUUCUCUCUUAUUAUCACUGGCUUGACUCAUCCCUCUUCGUUCCCCUUCACUUCUUAUAGAAUUGAAAUCCCCCAAUAUGCACCAUGAGUUACAAGGUUCCCUUUGUCUGAUUUCUUUUAAUUCCUCCCACAUUUACAAUUUCGUUUGAAGAUUACAUGAAGAAUACACAUUUGCAAUGACAACAGGAAUAUUACUGUCCCUAAAAAUCCCAAGAAACACUAUGAACCAUCUAUUAAUAAUAUGAUUAGAACACUGGAAAUUUUUUUUGUGCCAUAUUGUAAGAAUACCACCUGCUCCAUUAACUGGUUCACUGUAUAGAUAAUCUAUAUCAUUAUCCCCCAUAACUGACAACAAUUGUUUAAACUGACAUUUACCAUUUUCACUUCUUGCAAGCAUACCAUUAUGACACCUUCCUUCCUGAUGAUAUCUUUAAUAUAUCUCCACUUCACACGACUCCCGAAUCCUCUCAUAUUUAUAGAAAAGAUUCUCAUUGAUAACCCAUAUUUUUCCCCCCUUCCCUUAUUGCCGACAUGUUUUGGCCAUUUAUUAUAAAAUUUAGCCAUCUUAUGUACGUCUUCAGAAAGGUGAUUUUGAAAAAGCCUUCAAAGCAACUGCACACUAAACAUUUUCAGGACAACUGGAGCAUGGCAUGUCCAGAUGGAGCCACGCACUCACGAAAGUUGCAAAUUUCUUUGAAGGAGUGAUCUCGAACUAGUGGAAAAAAUUGUUAAGGGCGUUCUUAGUUUACCAGUCUUGUCUGCUACUAAAUUUCCAGUUGGAUUACAAUCCCGUGUGGAAGAUGUGAUUCGAACCAUCAAAAAUAAAUUCACCCAAUUUUUUACUAUAGCGAUAUGUGGAAUAGGAGGAUAGGGUAAAAUCACCCUUGCCAAAGUCAUUUACAAUCAAAUUCAUGGUACAUUAACAGAGAAAAGUUUUAUUGAAGAUAUUGCACAAGUUAGUCUAAUAAGAGGGCAUGCUCAUUCACAAGAACAUCUUCUUUCAGAUGUCAUAAAAGCAAAGGUGGAUAUACGAAGCAUUGAGAUGGUAAGAAGUAUGAUUUGGGAAAGACUUUAUGGGAAAAGGGUGCUCGUGGUCUUGACGAUGUGAAAGAGUUGGUCCAUUACACCUAUGGGUUAGUAGUUCAUGGUUCAGUGAAGGAACUAUAAUGAUCAUUACAACAAGAGAUGAAUUUUUUUUGGAUAAAUCCAAUGAACGCAAAUGAGUCCCUUGAGCUUCUUAGUUGGUACACUAAGAAUUUUUUUUGAAUAAAUCCAAUGAACGGAAAAUAUUUGUUACUUGAUGUAUGUUGUUUCUUUGUUGGUAAAAGUAGAUCCUGUCAUAGAGCGUAGCCUCAUAAAAGUUAAAAAACAACAACAAAUUUGGAAUGCAUUAUUUGCUAAGAGAAAUGGGAAGAGAAAUUAUUCGUGAAAUUUCAAGAAAUGAACCUACCUGGGAUUAACAGUCCAUUGUGGCUUCAACAAAACAUGCUCUGUCAGAGAAUACUGUAAGAACAUUCUUACUCCAUGGUUUUGAAAACUUUUUUUGGAUGUGUUUGCUUUCUCAUGAGCAAUAUAUUUGUUUUUCUUAGUUCUUUUCAUCACAGGGGACAACACUCAUUCAGAGAUUUCUUCGAACGUUAUCCUUUAAAGGUAAGAAACCCAUCAAGACUGCUGAAACUAGCUGGAGAUUCUGAGUACCAUUAUAAGAAACAGAGAUGGGUCAGUUUGCAAAGGUUUUUUUCAAAAUACCUACCUAACAACUUUUAUCUGCAUGAUGCAAUAGCGAUUGAUUUAAAUCACAGUCUUCUUCUAUUAGUCUGGAAAGAACCCCAGGUUUUUAUUACGUGCCAUUUUCUUUUAAAACUCAACUUAAAAUAAAAAUAAAAAUAGUAUUUGUUUCCACUAAUAACUAUUUUUUUCUUCAUUUUCAUUUCUAAUACUUCUUGAAGGUUUUGGCGUGUCUAAAAGUCCUGGAUUUAGUUACUCUAAGUACUUAGAAAAACCCCAGACAUUUCGAGACUACUAAGUCUUGAACAGCUCAUUCUCAACUAUUAUCAUGAAUUAUGCGAAGUACACCAAUCAAUUGGAUGUCUCUGCAAUCUUAUGCUGCUAAAUUUGAAGGACUAUACAAGUCUAAGCAAUCUCCCCAGAGAAAUAUGUAAGUUGAAAUCUUUGAAAACUCUCAUUCUUUCUGAUUGUUCGAAAAUUGACCUAUUGGAAAAGGAUACAGAACAAGUGCAAUCUUGAGAACUCUAAUUGCUGAAAAUACAGCUAUGAAACAAGUGCCAUUUUCAAUUGUAAGCUCAAAAGGAAUUGGAUACUUAUCCCUAAGUGGAUUUGAGGGAUCAUCACAUAAUCUUUUGCCUUCUGUCAUUCGGUCUCAGAUGUCGCCACCAAUGAAUCCCCUAUCUUAUAUUAAUUCCUUCAUGCACAUGAAGGAUAAUAGUUGGGAUGAUAUUGCACCAUUGCUUAACAGCCUUGCAAAUCUUCAAAGUGUUUUGGUGCAAUGUGACGCCGAGUUUCAACUAUCCGAGCAAGUAAAAACUAUGUUAGUCGAAUGUGGUGGAAACAUUACAGAAUCAGGAAUUUCAAAGCAGCAGGUCUUCUCUAACUGGUGUCGGAAGAUACAAAGAAUUCUUCUAUACGUGACUUGUACAUAAAUGAAAACUGUAAAGAAACUUAUAAAUGUAAAUGAAAAAGAAUUGAUAUAUUUAAAUAAAACAAAUAGGAUCAGUAUAAAUAACGAGAAAUGAAAUUAAACUUUGUUUAUUUAGUCUUAAAGGAGUGAGGCUACGGUGCUUCUCAUGUUGAAACAAAAACAGAGACUACAAAGCAGAUAGCAAGGCAAAACACAUAACAAAUCAUCGAACUGCAGCUAUCUUUAUUUCAUAAUGUAAUAUUUUUUACGAGAAUUUCUAAAAGCAAUAUUAUAUGCUAAAAAGGGAAAAGAAUUGAAAAAAGUAACAACCAGAAAGAGAAUAAAAUAAACAGCUCAAGUAAAGCCAAGGAAGCACAAUGUAUAGAAACAAGUAAGAUAAACAUGAAUUUCUUAUCUGUAAGUUAUACUCAAAGAAAAACAUGGAACGGAAGAGAAAAAAUAAAUUGCAAUAAAGGGACACAAGGAUUAAUUCCAUACCUCAAGGAUCCUGCUGUUCUCAAAGAAGAUAAAUGAGCUACUAGAGAAGUCAAAUUACAAAUUUCUUUAGAAAUCUAAUGAGAGAAUUUUUCUUUGGUGCAGGCUCCUUUUCUAAGUCAUUUAAUUCACUACAUAUUAGAUACAGUUGUGUUCUUGACUACCAAUCCAUGACCGAAAGUCACAAAAAUUUCCACCUUGUCUCCUGAUCCUAAAUUUGACUUUAUGUCAUGCCAAUCUUCAUCAUUAAAGGAAAUUAAAGUGCCAUGGUUGUGUAUCUGACAUGUGCACUUUGUGUAAUUAACAAUUAACACACUUCUAAGACAUUCAGUUUCCAGGCUUUCAGGGGUUGAUGAAUAAACGACACACAAAGCCAUUCCCUUCACCUCAUGAUCUCGAGGUAUUGUGAAAGAAACAGAAUGUCCCUCACCCAUAUGGGUCAAACAAUAAGGAUCAUUGUCACCUGGGAGAGAAACAUCACACGACUCACUGCUUUCAAAUACCUGUAUCAUGUCAUAAACAAGGGCAUGUUUAGUUAAACAAAAAUGUUAUACUUGAUUAAAAUGUAUCAUAUGUAGUUUCUACUAGAUAUUUCAUUAGGAUUAUUCUAUUUUCUCUCAAAUAAUAGCUAAAAUGAUGACAAAGGUAAUAAACAAAGGGAAAGUUAGAGAAGAACCUUAGGUAUUCUAUCGAUCACAGUAUUGAAGGAUUCUUUGUAUCUUCCAACACCAGUCAGAGAAGACCUGAGAUCAUGCUUUGUAUUCUUGAUUUUGUAAUAUUUGCACCAUAUUCGACCAGUAUAGUUUUUACUUUCUCGGAUAGUUGAAACUCGGCCUCACAUUGCACCAAAACACUUCGAAUAUUUGCAAGGCUGGCAAGUAAUGGUGCAAUAUCAUCCCAACUAUCAUCCUCCAUAUCCAUGUAGGAAUGAAUAUAAGAUAAGGGAUUCAUUUUUGGCGACAUCCGAGACAGAAUGAUAGAAGGAAACAGAUUAUGUGACAAUCCCUCACAUUCACGCAGGGAUAUAUAUCCAAUGCUUUUUGAGUAUGCAAUUGAAAAAGGCACUUGUUUCACAACUGUAUUUUCAGCAAUUAGUGUUAUCAAAGAUUCCAUUUGCAAUAUAUCUUUUUCCAAUAUGUCAAUUUUUGGACAACCACAAAGAAUUAGAGUUUUUAAAGAUUUCAACAUAUAUAUCUCACUCGGGAGAUUGCUUAGACCUGUACAGUCCUUCAAAUUUAGCACUAUAAGAUAGCAUAGACUUCCAAUAGAUUGGUGUACUUCGUGCAAUCUUGGACAAUCUUUGAGAAUGAGCUGCUGAAGACUUGGUAGUCUAGAAAAGUCGGGGUUUCUAUCAAGUACUUGGAGUGACUAAGAUUAAGGACUUUUAGCCACGUCAAAAGCUUCAUGAAGACAGUUUUCAAUAAAAUAUUAGAGAAGAAAAUGAGAAAACGAAAUAGUUAUAAGUGGAAACAAAUACUAACUUAAAAAGAAAAUGGUACGUAAUAAAAACCUGGGGUUCUUUCCAAACACAUCGAAGAAGACUGUGUUGUAAGUCAAUCGCUACUGCAUCAUGCAGAUAAAAGUUGUUAGGUAGGCAUUCUGAAGAAAACCCUUGCAAUUGGAUCCAUGUCAGUUUCUUAGAAAGAUACUCAGAAUCUCCAGCUAGUAUCAGCAAUCUUGAUGGGUCUCUAACCUCUAAAGGAUAAGGUUUGAAGAAAUCUCUUCUACUAAAAAACAUUUUCCCAGGCGAUCUCUGAAUGACAUUUGUCCCCUGUGAUGAUAAGAGUAAGAAACAAAUAUAUUCCACAUGAGAAAGCAACCACUUCCAAAAGAAGUUUAAAAACCAUAGAUUAAGAAUGUUCUUACAGUAUUCUCUGACAGUACAUAUUCAAACCACAGUUCACUGUUCUCAGAUUCCUUUCCUGAAAUUUGACGAAUAAUUUCUCUUCCCAUUUCUCGUAGGAACGGAUGCAUUUCUAAUUUGUUGUUCUUAUUAACUUGUAUGAGGUUACGCUCUAUGAGAAGUCUUAUUCCACUAUCGGCGGCGUCUAUUCCACAGCCCUUUAGGAUCUUCAUAACUUUGGCUCUGCCCUUGCCAACAAAAGAAGAACAUACAUCAAGGAAUAAAUCUUUUUCCAUUAUUUGAUUGCGUAAACCGUCGAAGCUUAGUCUCAAUAUAUGAUAAAAUUCAAGCUUGGGAAUUUUCUCUAAUUUUAAGAAUAUUGUAUUCCAUUCUUCUUUCGUCCUUUCAUAUAAAUAACUUCCAAUGACUUCAAGAGCUAGAGGUAGUCCUCCGCAAACAGUAACUAGUGUUUUUGCAAGGUCAUUGUAUUCUUUUUUUGGUUUUGCUUCUCUAAAUGCGUGCCAACUAAGAAGCUCAAGGGACUCGUUUGCGUUCAUUGGAUCUAUGCGAAAAACAGAAUCAACUAUACUCUGUAGGUCUUCGUCUCUUGUUGUAAUGAUUAUUACAGUUCCAGCACCGAACCAUCCACGAUUUUUCCUUAGGUCUAAUAAUGGAUAGUACUCAUGGAUCAUAUCGUCAAGUACAAUGAGCAUCCUUUUCAGAGAAAGUCUUUCCCGAAUCAUACUUCUUCCCAUCUCAACACUACUUAUCUCCACCUUUGUUUUUAGGACAUCCGAAAGAAGUUGUUCUUGUAAAUGGACAUGCCCUCUUGUUUGACUAACUCGUGUCAUAUCUUCAAAGAAACUUUUUUCCAUGAAUGUACCGUGAAUUUGAUUGUAGAUGGCUUUGGCAAGGGUGGUUUUACCCGAUCCUCCCUUUCCACAUAUCUCUAUUGUAACAUCUUGGGUGGAUUUUUUUUUUUAUGGUUCGAAUCACAUCUUCCACACGGGAUUGUAAUCCAACUGGAAAUUCAGUAGCAGACAAGACUGGUAAAUUAAGAACGGUCUUAACAAUUUUGUCCACUAGUUCAGCAUCACUCCUUCAAGGUCAAUAACAAUUAUAGAACAAGUCAUGUAUUACAAAAGUUGAAGUACAAGCUUAGUGAAUGAGUGAUUUACCUGUAAUUGCUCUCAUCCCAUCCAAAGAAAUUUGCAGCUUUGGUGAGUGCGUGGCUCCACCUAGACAUACCAUGCUCCACUUGUUCUGCUGAAAACGUUUGGUGUGCAGUUGCUUUGAAGGCUUCACCAAAAUCACCCAUUUGAAGACGUACAUCAGAUGGCUGAAUUUCGUAAUAAACUGGCAGAACAUGCCGGCAAUAAGUUUCGUGCCAUUUGAUGAUUUGUUGAAGCUGAUGAAGACACCAAGCAGACUGAGAAUAGGAUUUGGUGAAAACAACAAUGGCUACACGAGAGAGAUUGAGAAUAGGUUGUUGGAUGUGAAUUGGGUUGAGUGCAUUGGGGUGGUGAAGCAAAGUGGUGAAGCCAAAGGCAGAGAGGGCAGAAUCGAGGUGAGAAACAAAUUUUCUUUGGAUGUCUUCUCCAUUAAAGUUUAUGAGAACAUCGUACAUCUGCGGGAGUUUGGACGAUGAAGACUCCAAUUCCAUGGAAGAAAUUGAUGACGUCAUGAAGUGUUAGAAGAGAAAGCAAGCAAUAAUGGAACACAGUCAAAAAAAGAUUAUCUGUAGAGACACAAAACCAUUCAAAGUAGCCAAAGAUUAAUGCAUUUUUUUUUAGUCGUGGAAGCGCGUGAAUCGCAGCACCCAUUUUACUUUAGCCACUUAAGAAGUUCGACCAAUCCACUCUGAACCACUGAAAAAAUAUUACACUAAUAAGUAUAUUAUUGUUCUAAUUAUAUUCUGUUUUUUUUUUUUUUACUUUAGGCACGUAUCUCUUUAAAUAUUAAAAGAAUAAAAAAUAAAGUUUUUUUCCACUUUACCUUGAUGUAUUUACACUAGUCGGUCAGAUGACAUUCGAUACUGGUGUUAUAUGAUCGUUUGGCCUCGAUCGGUACAUUUGCCUCCCAAGCUCAAGGGAAAUCUUUCCAGAAGAGUCUAGAUGUGCUCAUUUUGUCCUUCGAGGUUGGAGGGAACAAGGCUAAACGUUUGUCUUUGCAAAUUCGACGUUGAUGGAACACUUUUCAUGAUGUUUCUUAAAAGUGAGAAUUGUAAUUGCCCCAUGUGAAUAGAUCUGACGGUUCUACUAUGUUUCAAGUCGGUACGGUUAGACCCAUUAGAUGUGAGUAGAUCUAACGAUUCUGAGGGGUACGACACUUCACGUUCCCGUGGUAGGACAUCAAUAAAUAGUUGUUCCCUUCAUGUGUGUAUCUUUGUUAAUUCUCUUUGACUCCAAAUACCAAGUUAUAUUCCGAGUAUUGAAUUGUGGAGAGGUGUUUUACACUCUAUUCAAAAGGUUAGUGAUUUCUUCUUCUGAGUCUUCGUAUUUGUCUUCCUCUUCAUCUGGGGGGAUUUGGUCGUGAAGGGGAACGACUUGAAACGGUUGUUUAGCCCAAGUGGGGCUAUUGACCUUGAUGGAAGAGGGCCCAAGCUCACCACACUAUGAAAGCCAAAAGACUAAGACUAGCUUCACAAAGGAGCGUCUAGCCUCUCAAAGGAGCGUCUAGUCUUCCAAAUGGAGCGUCUAGCUUCACAAGGGAGCGUCUAGCCAUGGCUACAUAAGGAGCAUCUAUGAAGAAGUCCUAGACCGUCUAGCUUCACACACACAUGAGCCAAGCUACGGUUUAGGAAAAGAAGGCUUUGUUGCAUAAAGGCCCAUUAGGGGUACUUAGUAGAUAGGAUAGUGUAGAAAGCACUUUGUGAAGGAAACAUUCUAGAAACUAGGUUAGUGUGGCCGGUCAUUGCACAUGGCACAUGGCUUAGGUUUUACAUUUAAUUUUUGUUUUCUUUUCAUUAGAAAGUAGCUUACCUUUUACGUCCAAGAUGGCCUAUAAAUAGGAAGGCUAUCUCAUUGUAUUUGACAAGUUUAAUUGAGUAUUGUUAUGCUGCCAAUUUUGUGCACUAGCUUUACUUCUCCUAGAAAUCUAGGCUAUAAACUUCAAUCCUUCACCUUUCUCCCUUGAGCUGGCCGAACCUCUCAAACCCAUACUCAUCAUGCACCUUCAAAGCCAACACAACUCCUAGGAGGGCUUUGUUUCACUCACCCAUUGCUUCCGCAUCACUUUCACUACUUUGAUUCAAGAAGAACACAUGAAAAUGCCAUCAGACCUUCUAGCCGAUUGCCUCGUCGGGUUGGUUACGACUAGGUAGAUCCUUGUGUAGUCGAGCAUAUCACAUAGUACCGGGGCUUAUCCUUGGUCGACUCCUUCGUGUCAAAAGUGUCUAUGUUAAAGUCGGACACACCUUUAAACUUUGUUACAACCGACUGCUGCAACACCUCUAAAAGUGUUUGUCAUGGUUGGAAGGGACGAGUCAAGAGUUUAUUUAUGUUUAUUCUUGUCUUUUUGCCGACCUCCUGAUAACUUUUGACGAGUUUACAAUGGAGGCCUUAGGAUUCUCAACGUGGUUCUGACCCAAUUUUAUUGUAAUUUGUGGGACGCAUUGCAAGCCUUUCGAUUUAUUUGUGAUUUAUUUAGACUGAAGUCGUCCCCUUAGUCUUUUCUCUUUUAUUACAACUUCCAUUCGGCCAAUCCCUUGGGCUGGUUUUCUUUAUCUAGUCGACGGGGCAAUAUUUUUUUUUGCCCCUUUUACCUCAUCUUACAAAACUUUAAAGGUAGAUUUUUUAAAUUAUUCAUUGAACCGGAAGGGAAGCCGUAUUCUUAUAUUGUUGAUGGAAAACUAAAAUUUCCAUUUUAUGGACUCGGUUUCCCAUUUGGUAUGAGUCUUGGUCGAGGUCAUCUAUGACUCCCCUAGACAAAGAAAUUUUCUACGUUUUUGAUUAACUACUGAAGAGUCUACCUAGAAGAUUCUUGUGGUGUAUUAAUUCUCACACCGUUGGGUGAAAUUUUCCGGUAUGUAGAAAUUUCUUUGAGUCUUAUUUUCCUAAGAUUUUUAAUUGUGCUAAAUUUAAUUUUUUUCAUAGGUAUCAUGGAUGAAACAAAUCCCAUGGCUGGCAACAUGAUUAAGCAGCUCUGUCAGCAGGCUACAUAUUAACAGAAGAGCUCACUUGAGCUUGUAGCCAGGGGUUCGGCCACCCUUGUGAUUGACUUACUUCCUUUGUCUAGCGGUGAAGGUAGAACAGAAAGGUCCCUCAAGAGGUUCUCUCGCCAGGCAUCAUCGGGUGUUGGUGCUAGUUCUUUCUCUCUAUUUUAGAGAGAAUCUUCAAGUUUCAAGGGGAGUGCAGGUUGCACUUACCCCUUUCGAGGAGGAGGUAAUGAACUAUCAGCGUCGAUCAAAUAUAUGAUAUCAGUUUGCAUCGAGAUGUUGAGCGGGUCCCUAGUUCUGACUAGGGUGAUCAGAACCGAGGUGCAAAAGUCCUCCUUUGCUACGACUAAAAACUUAAAGGCAGAGUUAACUGACUUAACCAGCUCAUUGGAGGCGAAUACCUCUUUGGAAGAGGAGUCUCAUCGGGCGAAGGCUGAGCUAGAAAAUGCCUGAUCAUAAACUUCGAUAGUUCAAUUGACCAUCCAAUCAUUCGUCAUACUAAGUCAAGUUUAGCCAUAAUUUUCAUGAUAGGGUAAUCCGAUCAUACAAUUAUCUUGUGAUUUUAAAUCCUUAUUUGUCGGGAGAUGAUUACGAGUGCCAAGGCGAUAUUUUCUAUCAUAUGAUAUCUAGUCUCGACACCAUGUAAGAUUCAAUUAAUGAAGUACAUUGGCCAUUUUUCUUUAUUUACAUCUUGGACAAGUGCAUCAUUGAUGGCUUCGUCUCAUACCAACAAAUACAUAAUGAUUUUUUGUUGGGGAUCCAACUUUUGUAUUACCGGGGGUGGUGCGAGGAAUGUUUUGAGUUGAAGAAAUAUUUCUUAACAUUUCGGAUUCCACUUGAACUUGGCGGCCUUCCAGUAGCUGGACGAUAGGUUUGGUUUUCUAUGGAUGUCUCGGGAUAAAUCUGGACAACGCCGUUAACCAAUCGAUCAGUUUGUGCCCCUCUUUUAUAUUUAGGGGCUUUUGAUUGCUCUGCAUUUUUUAGAUUGGCUUCAAUGCCACAUUCGACCCCGAAGACACAUUUUUCGAGGUCUACCCUCAUUUCAUGACUUCUCAAUGCUUUAAAGACUUCUUGCAAGUCCUCUACAUGUUGUACAUAGGAGUUGGAUUUGACACAAUGUCAUCUACACAUACCUCGAUAUUCUAACCUAGCAUCCCCUUGAAGAGUGGCCCCAUGGUUUUUCAAACCCAAUGACAUGACUUCAUAGUAGAAGUUAGCAUAGUCAAUCAUAAAGUUUUUUUUCCUUGUCCCUUCGAUGCAUUUGAAUCUGAUUAUACCCUAAAUACGCAUAUAAGAAACUUAACACAUGGUGGUCGGUCGCACCAUCUACCAAGCGAUCAAUGCUCGACAACGAGUAAGCUUCCUUUGGGCAAGCUUUGUUCAUGUCUAUAUAGUCCGUGCACAUCCUCCACUACCCAUUUUCCUUCUUCACCAUCACCACAUUGGCCAACCAAGUGGUGUACUGUAAUUCACAUAUGAACCGUGCAUUUAGCAACUUGUUGGUCUCGUCUUUCGCCACGUUACAUUUUUUUCACCCAUUUUCCUCCUUUUCUAGGAAACUAGUCGGGCUUCCUCGUACAUUAAUAACCCGUGUCUAAUGAUUUUAGGGCUCACCCUAGGCAUGUCCGAUGGAGUCCAGGAAAAGAUAUCAUUAUUCUUUACCAGUGUUCGACUUAAGAUGUUAACAUCUUUUGCGGACAACAACAUUCGUACGUAAGUGGAGUGUUCAACAUCUCGAAAUGGGACAACCUUGAUGUCUUCCCUUGGUUCCAAUAGAACAUCAUUCAUCUGGGGAUCAAGGUCCACAAAGGUGAUUGUAUGCUCCCUCCUUAGAGCAUGGGUUCAGAGUCCAUCCUCCAUUUGUUGGUUCUACCUUUAUGCUAGUUGCAUAACACUUCCUUACCACCUUCUAGUACAUAUGCACCAUGGUCGAUGGGAACUUCUUGGCUAAAUGCUAAAACUAUAGAUCCAUAAUGGUUGAGAGAUGGUCUUCCUAACAAUGUGUUAUAAGAGGUAUUGCUUAAAAUGGUAGAAAUCUUAUCUUGAUAGUCCGACUCAUAUUUUUUCCCUCCCCGAGCGUGAUGUAGAGGUUGAUGUAACCCCGUGUGUCCACCCACUCUCCAAAAAAUCCAAUGAUUUGGGCAUCGUACAACUGAAUUUUCGCCUCCGUUAUCCUCAUCUUUUUGAAUGUUUUCUAGUAGAGUAUAUCUACCAAACUCCCUUGAUCAACCAAUAUUUUCAUGAUUGCAAAGUUGUCGAUGUCCACUGUGAUGACCAUAGAGUCAUCCUGUCCUAGAUCAAUUGUUUUGAAAUUCUUAUCUGUGAAGGUGAUGGGAGGCAUCCUCGGUCGAGUUGUAGCAGAAGCCUAGUUCACAGGUUGCAUGACAAAAAGGUGUUUCUUCUGGCGAAGCUUGAACAUACUCUUCCGUGGAGCCACCUACUAUUGUGUUAAUGACUUCUUUGUUACUUCAUUAUGUUGAUUCGUCCCUUCUUAGAGGUUACUCAUCUAAUGACGUUGUUCUUAGGGAUAGAAAUGCAUGAUGGGCCAUGUGGGCCGGCCCGCAACCCGCUAGUGAAAAGUGCGAGGCGGACUCAGUAAUUCAAUCCGCCGACCCGUUUAAGCCCACCCCAUAAAAACCGCAACCCACACGGGCCAACAGCGGGGUUGGACGGGUUGUCCCGCUAAUCAACACAAAAAAAAGGCAAAGUUGAGCACUUAUGUCAAACACAUAUGUUUGAAUACAUUCAAAAUAUAGAAAGAGAAGUAUGCCAAUAAUGUUUUUUCAAAUUAGACUGAACUAGUUGAACCAUCAUUUCUUUCUCCUUAUUUAUUGUGGGAGUAAGAUCAUAUUUUAUUUUUUAAGAUGACCAUACUGGUUGAACCAUUAAUUUUAAUUAUAUGUUUAUUCUAUAUUUUCUCAUAGGAUCUUAAUUUGCAAAUUUGAUUGGAAUGGAUGAGGAAUGUACUAACAUGCAUUCAAUGUUAUUGAAAUGAAAGAAUAUUGAUGUUUUUGAAUUGACUAUAUUUAAUGUAGUGGUGUAGUUGUUUGAUGUUAGGGUAUGUUUUGAAAUAGAAGAAUAUUGAUGCUUGAUGUUUUAUAUCACUAACAAGCAUAGGUUCAACUUUUUAAUAAAUUAUAAUCGAUAUAUAUUCAAUUUUUUUAUAAUUAUUGAAUUUAUUAUUCAAUUUUUUAGUAGCAAUGCAAAAAGUAGCAAAUAUUUUGAUUGAAUUCUUUUAUAUUCAAUUUUUCAGUAACCAACAUUUUUAUUGAAUUUCCUUAAAAAAAAUAUUGUACACGGGCUGGCUCACAAACCCGCAGGUUGACCCUUUUGCGGGAUGGGGUAGAGAAACCAACCCGCGUUAACUACGCAAGGCGGGCCAACUUGGCCCACAUUUUGCGGACGAAACACGACAGGCCUAUGUGGGGCGGGCCAACCGCAUUGCCAUUCCUAGUUGUUUUGGUUGCCUUUCUUCAUGACUUUAUUUGGGAUCAUAAUCCCUAUGCCCUUUAUCUCUUUUUUAUGACUCUUCAAGAUGUUGGGGCGAAUGGUUUGAACUACAGUUGUCUUCUUAAAGGAAUCUGCGCAAGUGUCUGGCCUGGAUAAGUUUCUCAAUCUUGCUUUUUUCCCUUCCAAUUAUUCCCUUUCCUUUUUUCCUUUUCCUUAUUUGCCCCAAUCAUGGUCCGAACUUGAUUCCAUUAGUCUCGAAGUUCUUUGCAUGAACUUUGUUGCUCGUUGUCGCAAUUCAUCCAUAUUAGACACCGACUUCUUGCAUAGGUGGUUAACAAAAGGUGUUAGCCGCAAUGUCGUUAUCAUAUGGUGCAUAGCCACCUCUGGAAUUAGAUUCCGUAUAUUUAGUGAUCUAUAGCUAAACCUCUCCAUGAACACCCUAAGUGGUUCUCCUUUAUCUUGACGUACUUUCACGAGUGUUAUGGAGGUUAGGUGAUGUGGUUGACUGGUUGCGCACUACAUCCCAAACUUGGACGUUAAGGUUUCAAAGUAAUCGAUGGAAUAUGGAGGAAGCGUUGUUAACCAGCUAGGGGCUCCUCCCUUGAGUGAUGUAGUGAACACUCGACAUAAGAAUGAAUCUUCGAAUGUAAACAAACUCAUAUCAGUAGUGUAGAUGUCCAUAUAUUCGCCCGGAUAUGUGGUUCUGUUCUACUGAUCCACAUUCAGUCCCUUCUAGGAAGAAGGUAGUUGCCUCCUUGAUCUCAUCAGUAAAAGGAUGUCUCCUAGGUUCACCCAUAGUGUCAAACGUGUGAACAGAUUUGUUUAAUAGUGUGAGCGAUAACAUACUUAAAGUUCUUCUCUACCUUUCCCUUUGUUUAUUACCUUCACUAUUAUUUUAGCUAUUAUUUGAGACAACAUAAAAUAAUCCUAAUCAAGUAUCUAGUAAAAACUACAAUACUGAACUUUUAGCACCCUUCGUUUCUAUAGCCUCACGACUUCAUAUCUAAAAGUAUCUGAUUUUAAUAAUUAACCAACCAAGUCAUUGUGCUUAUACUCUGUAGCAGAUUGAUGAUUGUUUUAUUCCCAAUGAUCGGAGAAAUAUACAUUAUGAGAGAAAAAAACAGAAAUGAAUUCUAAAUCCCUAAAGAAAUGAUGGUGAUAUAUACACAACAAAACUAUUAACAAGAUUUGUUUUAACCACGUAUAGCAUUUGUUUUAACAAGAUUUGUAGUUGGGAAUAUGGAGGAAGCGUUGUUAACCAGCUAGGGGCUCCUCCCUUGAGUGAUGUAGUGAACACUCGACAUAAGAAUGAAUCUUCGAAUGUAAACAAACUCAUAUCAGUAGUGUAGAUGUCCAUAUAUUCGCCCGGAUAUGUGGUUCUGUUCUACUGAUCCACAUUCAGUCCCUUCUAGGAAGAAGGUAGUUGCCUCCUUGAUCUCAUCAGUAAAAGGAUGUCUCCUAGGUUCACCCAUAGUGUCAAACGUGUGAACAAAUUGAUUGAGUUGUGACUCACCGUUUUGGCUUUUUUUCCUAGUUGGACGGGUCGUGGUUGACGAUUCCUCUGGGCUUUCCUUUUGUUGAGUACCCUCAGUCUCACUUGGUUGCUUCUCAGUUGACCUAUAUGUGACCAACUACUGCUUCUUCUCUUCGUUAUCCCUUUGGAGGACACGUAUCUCCUCCUCAUUCUUUUGUCUUAUCUCCACCAUCUCCUUUUGUGGAGAUAGAAGCAAUACCAUAUGCUCAGCUUCAAUCAUCCGCUCGUUAGUCAUGUUUCUUGUUGAUACCAUUUGCUUCUGUUACUUGUGCUACUCUCCCAGUCCCAUGGUAAACGCCAAUUGUACUUGUAAGGGGCUAAGACAGUACCUACUACCGACUGGACAACUGAUUCCUCUCCCUCGACCGCACUUUCCUUUCCGUCUUCUCACGUUUGGGCUCUGGCUCUGGGUGGGAGUGCACCUAGAAAAGGUUCUCCGAUGCUAAAAUGAAUAUUCAGGAUUUAGGUGCUAUUAAUGGUGUAAUAGUGAUGUAUCUUUGCUUUGUCUAAUGUGCUUAUUUAUACCGUUGUAAGAGACUCUAUCAUUGAUGGGUCGUAUUUAAUGUAUAAUCAUAAAGAUAGAAUUACCUGAUUUAUCACGUAUUCCUUUUUACCUUGAUGUUUUUACACUAGCCGGUUGUACGACAUUCGAUACCGAGUGUUUUAGGGUCGUCCAACCUCGACUGAUACAGGUUUGAUCCAUCAAGAAGAGGUACAAGUCAGGACCCUAAAUAUAAUCUUGUGGAUAUUCAAAUGAGUUCAAGAUACCAACCAUUUGAUCCAUUUAUUUUGGAACACAAUGUCUGACAAGUGUAUUAUGUCCUAUAUCCAACAUUUCGAGUAGACAAACAUGGUAGGUGUAUUGCAAUUAAAACAAAACCUAAGGUCACGUUGACUCAAAUGACAUGGAAGAAAACGUUCCUUACCAAGUAGAUCAAAUGUCACAUGCCAAUAAAGUCAUUAGAGUGGAAGGUAUAUUUUGAUUACAGAGGAAGAAGAGAAAGCAAGAAGUUGAUGAUGAUGAUGAUUGCGGAGGAGUAAGAAACAGGGUAAAAUAAAUGCUUGCGGCUAUUAUUAGAUGAUAUACAGGCAUCGUCUAUGACUUAUAUAUAUAUAUAUAUAUAUAUAUAUAUUAAAUUAUAUUUUUAAAUUAUACAUAAAACAAAUAGAAUCAGUGUAAAUAACGAGAAAUGAAAUCAAACUUUCUUUAAUUUAAUCUUUAAAUAAAGGGAUGAGGCUACGGUGCUUCUUAUGUUGAAACAAAAACAGAGGGUACAUAGCAUAUAGCAAGGCGAAACACAUAACAAAUUAUCGAACCGCAGCUACCUUUAUUUCAUAAUGCAAUAUUUUUUACGAGAAUUCCUGAAUGCAAUAUUAUAUGUUAAAAGGGAAAAGAAUUGACAAAAGUAACAACGAGAAAGCAAAUCCAAUAAACAGCUAGAGUAAAGGCAAGGAAGCACAAUGUGAGAAAUGAGAAACAGGGUAAAAUAAAUAUGAAUCUCGUAACUAUGAGCUCUACUCAAAAGAAAAACAAGGAAAGGAUCAGAACAAAUAAAUUGCAAUAAGGACACAAUGAUUAAUUCCAGAAGUCACAUUACAAUUUUCUUUAUAAAUCUAAUAAAGGAAUUUUUCUUUGGCACAAGCUCCUUUUCUAAGUCAUUUGAUUCACUACAUAUUAGAUAGACAGCUGUGUUCUUGACGACCAAUCCAUGACCAAAACUCACAAAAAUCUCCACCUUGUCUUCUGAUCCUAAAUUUGACAUUAUGCCAGGCCAAUCAUCAUCAUUAAAGGAAAUUAGUGUGCCAUGGUUGUGUAUCUGGCAUGUGCACUUCGUGUAAUUAACAAUUAAGACAGUACUAAGUUCAGGUUCAAUGAUUUCGGAGGUUGAUAAAUAAACCACACACAAAGCCAUUCCCUUCACGACACGAUCUUGUGGCACAGUGAAAGAAACAGAAUGUCCAUCACCCAUAUGGGCCAACCAAUAAGGAUCAUUGUCACCUGGGAGAGAAACAUCACAUGACUCACUGCUUCCAAAUACCUGUAUCAUGUCAUAAACAAGGGCAUGUUUGGUGAAACAAAAAUGCUAUACGUGAUUAAAACAAAUAUUGUUAAUAGUUUUGUUGUGUAUAUAUCACCAUCAUUUCUUUAGGGAUUUAGAAUUCAUUUCUGUUUCUUUCUCUCAUAGUGUAUAUUUCUCCGAUCAUUGGGAAUAAAACAAUCAUCAAUCUGCUACAGAGUAUAAGCACAAUGACUUGGUUGGUUAAUUAUUAAAAUCAGAUACUUUUAGAUAUGAAGUCGUGAGGCUAUAGAAACGAAGGGUGCUAAAAGUUUAGUAUUGUAGUUUUUACUAGAUACUUGAUUAGGAUUAUUUCAUGUUGUCUCAAAUAAUAACUAAAAUAAUGGUUAAGGUAAUAAACAAAGGGAAAGCUAGAGAAGAACUUUAAAGUAUGUUAUCGCUCACACUAUUGAAGAAUUUUUUGUAUCUUCCGACACCAGUGAGAGAAGACCUGAAAUCAUGCUUUGAAAUUCCUGAUUCGGUAAUAUUUCCACCAUAUUCUGCCAGUAUGGUUUUUACUUGCUCAGAUAGUUGAAACUCCGAGUCACAUUGCACCAAAAUACUCCGAAGAUUUGCAAGGCUCUUGAGCAAUGGUGCAAUAUCAUCCCAACUAUUAUCCUCCAUAUCCAUGAACGAAUUAAUAUAAGAUAGGGGAUUAAUUGUUGGCGGCAUCCGAGACCGAACUAUAGAAGGAAAAAGAUUAUGUGAUAAUCCCUCAGAUCGAGGUAGGGAUAAAUAUCCAAUGCUUUUUGAGCAUACAAUUGUAAAUGGCAGUUGUUUCACAGCAGUAUUUUCAGCGAUUAGAAUUCUCAAGGAUUCCAUUUGCACCAUAUCUUUUUCUAAUAUGUCAAUUUUUGAACAACCAGAAAGGAUGAGAGUUUUCAAAGAUUUCAAGUUACAUAUCUGUACGGGGAGAUUGCAUAGACUUGUACAGUCCUUCAAAUUUAGCAGCAUAAGAUUGCAGAGAUAUCCAAUAGAAGGGUGUACUUUGCGUAAUCUUGGGCAAUCUUUGAGAAUGAGCUGUUCAAGACUUGGUAGUCCGGAGAAGUCAGGGGUUUCUAUCAAGUACUUGGAGUGACUAAGAUUCAGGACUUUUAGAUACGCCAAAACCUUCAAGAAGAGUAUUAUAAAGAAAAUGAAAAAAUAAAAUAGUUAUAUGUGAAAACAAAUACUAUUUCUAUUUUAAGCAUGAGUUUUAAAAGAAAAUGGUACGUAAUAAAAACCUUGGGUUCUUUCCAGACGAACCGAAGAAAACUGUGUUUUAAAUCAAUCACUAUUGCAUCAUGCACAUAAAAGUCGUCAGGAAGGUAUUCCGAAGAAAACCCUUGCAAACUGAUCCAUCUCAGUUUCAGCGGUUCUCUUACCUCUACAGGAUAUUUUCUUGUGAGAGACAAUCUCUCAAUGACUUUUCUCUCCUGUGAUCAAAAGAGAUAAGAAAAACAAAUACAUUGCAAAUGACAAAGCAACCACUUCCAAAAGAAGUUUCAAAACCAUGGAGUAAGAAUGUUCUUACAGUAUUCUCUGACAGUGCAUGUUUUCCAUCGCUAUCAAGCCGCAGUGGACUGCUCUUCCCAUGUUCAAGAAUAAUUUCUCUUCUCAUUUCUCGUAGCAAAUUAUGCAUUCCAAAUUUGUUGUUUUUUUUAAUUUGUAUGAGGCUACGCUCUAUGAGAACUCUUAUUCCACUAUCAGCGUCUAUUCCACAGCCAUUUAGGAUCUUCGUAACAUAGCCUCUGUCUUUAUCAACAAAGAAACGACCUACAUCAAGAAAUAAAUCUUUUUCCAUUUGAUUACCUAAACGGUCGUAACUUAUUUUCAAUAUCUGCGGGACUUCAUGCGAGGGAAUAUUGUCUAAUCUCAACAAUACUCUAUUCCAUUCUUCUCUCGUCCUUUCAUACAAAUAACUUCCAAUGACUUCAAGAGCUAGAGGUAGUCCUCCACAAUAAGAAACUACUUUUUUUGCAAAGAAUUGGUAUUGUUCUUUUGGUUUUGCUUCUCUAAAUGCGUGCCAACUAAGAAGCUCAAGGGACUCAUUGGAAUUCAUUAGAUUUAUCUCAAAAACAGAAUCAGCAUGAUGUAACCUAGGUAGAUCUUCAUCCCUUGUUGUAAUGAUCAUUACACUUCCUUCACCGAACCAUGGACUGAUUUCCCAUAGGUCUAAUGGAUCAUACUUUUUCACAUCGUCAAGUACAACGAGCACCCUUUUCCCAUAAAGUCUUUCCCAAAUCAUACUUCUUCCCAUCUCAGCGCUACUUAUCUUCACCUUCGUUUUUAGGACAUCUGAAAGAAGUUGUUCUUGUAAAUGAACAAGCCCUCUUGUUUGACUAACUUCUGCAAUAUCUUCAAUGAAACUUUUCUUCGUGAAUGUACCAUGAAUUUGAUUAUAGAUGGCUUUGGCAAGGGUGGUUUUACCCGAUCCUCCCAUUCCACAUAUCACUAUCGUAAAAACUUGGGUGGAUUUUUUUUUUAUGGUUCGAAUCACAUCUUCCACACGGGAAUGUAAUCCAACUGGAAAUUUAGUAGCGGAUAAGACUGGUAAACUAAGAACGCUCUUAACAAUUUUUUCCACUAGUUCAGCAUCAUUCCUUCAAUACAAGAAGUCAUUUUUUAACAAAAUUGAAUCACAAGCUUAAAAUAUGGUUGAUUGAGUCAGUGAUUUACCUGUGAUUUCUCUCAUCCCAUCCAAAGAAAUUUGCAGCUUUGGUGAGUGCGUGGCUCCACCUGGACAUGCCAUGCUCCAGUUGUUGUCCUGAGAAUGUUUGUUCUGCAGUUGCUUUGAAGGCUUUUCCAAAAUCACCCUUUUGAAGACGUACAUCAGAUGGCUCAAUUUCGUAAUAAACAGGCAGAACGUGUCGGCAAUAAGUUUGGUGCCAUUUAAUGAUUUGUUGGAGUUGAUGAAGACACCAAGAAGAUUGAGAAUAGGAUUUGGUGAAAACAACAAUUGCUACAUGAGAGAGAUUGAGAAUAGGUUGUUGGAUGUGAAUUGGGUUGAGUGCAUUGGGGUGGUGAAGGAAAGUGGUGAAGCCAACAGCAGAGAGGGCAGAAUCGAGAUGAGAAACAAAUCUCCUUUGGAUGUCUUCUCCAUUAAAGUUGAUGAGCACAUCGUACAUCCGUGGAAGUUUGGAUGUUGAAGAAGCCAAUGCCAUGGAAGGAAUUGAUGAAGUCAAGAAGUGUUAGAAUAGAAUCAAUGAUCAAACACCCGUUAUGACCCGCACUGGGAAAAGAAUUGAAUUAGUGGUAGAAUGAAGAAUCAAAGAGAUUGAAGAUUGGAGAAUAUAUAACAGUAAAAGGUAAUGCAUGAUAGAGAAUUAGAUGCCUCAGUGAUUGAACGAAUCUGCGUAAGAAUAACGCUUAAUAGGGCAAAGAUUUUACUGCAAUGUGUGCAUCUAUAUAUAUAACUUUGGCAUGUGAACAUCUAACCAGGCAAACCACACCCAAGGAAGUAAGGAAGGCUGGUUAGUAUGUUGGCGGAAGUAAGGGGUGCAGGAAGGUAUAUGUCUUUUCUGCUGCAGUCACAUUCUGUAUUAGAAGGCACCAAUGCUGUCUUAUGUAUUUUUGCUGCAUAAUUGAUGCAGAAACGCUACAGUUCUGGUGCAUAAACGGUGCAAAUUUGUGGAGCCUAGACUUUGGUGUUUCUUGUCUAGCAGCUGUUUUGGCUUAGCUCUUUAGGUGCAGAUUUAUGCCUCUUGUUUUGUAGGAACACAAUUUAGCUUUAAGAUACAAUUGUGUUAUGUUAAUGCAAUUACCAAAGAAGCUUAGGCCUUUGUGCUUGUUAAUUCUUUGGAUUGUAUUUGUAAAGAUGAGUUUUUUUAAUAAGGAUUGAGAAGUGUCUCUUUUUAAUUUAUAUAGUUCUUCCUGAUAAAAAAAUAAUGAAGCAACACAGUCAAAUAGAUAAGUAGCCAGAGAUUAAUAUUAUUUCUAUAGUAUUGGAAGCGCGUUAAGACCAUUGAAGAACCCUUUUUACUUUAACAUUUAAGAAAUUAGACCAACACCCACUUUGAACUACAGAUAACACAAUUAAACUAAUAAGUAUGAAUAUCUUUCUAAUUAUAUAUUUUUUUAAUUUACAUUAAGUUUACUUUUAAUUUCAAAAACAUUAUAUGAUCUCUCGCAUUUUAUGUUAGGCACGUAUCUCGUUAAAUUUUAAAAGAAUAAAAUUAAAACAUUUUGGGUUCUGCAAAGAUCUCGAUUGGUGAUCUCAACCAUGUGUUAAUUUUUUCUUUAUUACUUUUUUCAUCAUAAUUAUUAUUAAUUAGAAACAAACUACUGUGGGAGGGAGUCAAACCAAAGUCUCUUUUGAACUCAAGAAGCUUCGAUCAUUAUACCAUAUAAAUUUUGUUGUCAUAUUAUAAUUAUUAUUACACUAAUUAUGAUUAUACUUGUUAUUAUAAUUAUCAAUAUUAUCAAUACUAACAUUAUUAAUAUGAUUUAUAUUACUUAUAUUUUUAUAUUAAUAAUGUUAUAAUAUUAUGAAUACUUACCAAUAUCAAUCCGUAGAUAAUAUUGAUGACUAUUUUACGGCAAGUGUACCAUAUCAUAAGUAAUAAUUUGUCUCUAAAGAUGGAUAUUGAACUCAUAAAGAAUAGUUGAAUUCUCAAGUAUAAUAUUCACUAAAUAUAAGAUAAUUUGUAAAAGUUUGAUGGAAAGUUGUUUGUAUUAUGAAUUUGCAAGAAAUUAAAUAAAGCAAAGUAAAAUAUUUGUAUGAGUCAAUUGAAAAAAUUGGGAUUGGGGUUCAUCCUUCUCACUCUUUAGUAUUUUUUAAAAGACUAUAAUAUUUAGUCUUGAUUGGUAUUAAUGCAUAUAUAAAAAUAAUUCAUAUCGAUUCCGUGCAUACAAAAUUAUUAAGAGAGUCUCCUAAAUAUUGAUUCUUCGCAUAUUUAUAAAAACUUCUUAUCAUUAUGGAUAGAUGUUAUAAAACAAUUAACAUUUCAAAUCUAUUCCUAGCACAAAAAUAUGUUAAUCACUAUCAUUUAGGUCAGAUGCUUAGUACUUUCUAAUCAAAUCUAGGAAUCAAAAUCAUGAAUAAUUCAAGCUUUGAGGAUAAAAUAAUAAUAACAAUCAUCAAUCAACAACUGAAAUAUUAUAGAUAAAUAUCAUCUCAAUACAUAAGAGUUUGAACAAAUUGCUCUCAAUCCCAAAGAGAAAAAUUAGUCACUUAUGUUAUCCAUUACAAGCGUGGAAAAAAAAAGAAAAGAAAAUCUAGGAUGUUUCUCCUAGACGGUUGUCUCCUCUAGGGUUGCCUAUCUCUCUUUAUUCUCUAAAUGAUGUAUAGGGUUAUGUUGAAGAUGGUUACUGCCCCUUCAAGAUUGUGUUUGAUGAAGGCUUAUAUGUAGUGUUUGAUGAAGACUUAUAUGUACAUUUCAUUUGUUUUUUGCUUUGCUUUAAGUAUGUCUUAGGUAGUGCUUAGAGGUUGUCUAAGAGUGGGCUUUUUGCUGAGUAACUCACCUCAUAACCACUGGCCAUGUGAUAAGAACAAGCAUAAGUUUUCUUAAACUGUUUUUCACAUGUUUUACAAAAAACACGUUUACUGCAUAAAAAUAAAUCUGUUCUUUUCUAAAUAAACAGAUUCAUUUUUUACACUGAUGCCUUGGCUUUGUCUUGUGAAAAUUAGAUUUUGUGCAUCAGGUAUUUUGACUAAGUCGUCUACCUUUCAAAACGACUGAGUUUUAAAUGGUUAAACUUUCUCUGUUUUCGUUUUGAAAAAUAAAUCUGUUCAUCUGUAAAUGAAUAGAUUCUUUUUGUCUCUGGUGCCAUGUCAAGCUUAAACGUUUUCAGUUUUAUCUCUGCACCAGAAUGGUUGACUAAGUCUCCUCACUUAACAGAUUCUCUAACUGCUUUUUGAAAAUAAAUCUGUUCAUUUUAUUUUCUAUCUGUUCAUUUUAUAACAGCUUUAACUGUUUUUCAAAUAUCUGUUAUAAGUUGGUUCUCUAUAAAAUGCAAACUUGUUUUCUGAGUUCAUUAUCAAUUCAUCAAUUCAUACAUUUGCAAAAACAAGUUUUGACAACAGAGAGUUAAGUGUUUACAAAGGAUUAGCAUUUGUUCUUCAAAGAUUUCGAAAAUCACAAAGUGCUUGUUCUUGGUUUGGUUCCAAAAGCUUGGUGUGAGGUGCANNNNNNNNNNNNNNNNNNNNNNNNNNNNNNNNNNNNNNNNNNNNNNNNNNNNNNNNNNNNNNNNNNNNNNNNNNNNNNNNNNNNNNNNNNNNNNNNNNNNNNNNNNNNNNNNNNNNNNNNNNNNNNNNNNNNNNNNNNNNNNNNNNNNNNNNNNNNNNNNNNNNNNNNNNNNNNNNNNNNNNNNNNNNNNNNNNNNNNNNNNNNNNNNNNNNNNNNNNNNNNNNNNNNNNNNNNNNNNNNNNNNNNNNNNNNNNNNNNNNNNNNNNNNNNNNNNNNNNNNNNNNNNNNNNNNNNNNNNNNNNNNNNNNNNNNNNNNNAAAUAAAUCUGUUCAAUUGAAAUAAAUCUGUUCUUUCUGGGCACUGUGCAUACUGUUCUUGAUUUCUGAAAAAGUUGUUUGAAUCUGAUAAGAACAUAUACAAUCUGCUAAAAGCCAUUGGAACACAGUGACUGUGAUAGGCUGCUCAAGAAACUGUCAAAGCUAUUAAUUGAACCUUAAACAAAUUGCUGAAAGUUGAAGCUUGCUGUUCUGUGAUUAAUUGUUCUUAAUUUCUGGAAAAUUGCUUGACAUAAAGAAGAACACUCAUAGUCUGUUAAAAGCCACUGGAACAGGUUGUUUGCAAAGGUCACUCAAUCAAUUAGCAUGCUAUCAAUUGAACCUUAAUCACUUGCUUGAAAUUGAAGUGUGCUGGUUUGUGUUUUACUGUUUUUUAAUCUGAUAACUGUGUGUGUGCAUCUGGAAAAUCUAUCUGCAUAGUCUAGUGAUUAACCUUGCUGUAUUAAAAGCGUUUCAAACAAAAACAGUGCUGAAAUAAAUCUGUUCAUUUUCACAUAAAUCGAUUUAUUUUCUGUAAAACUGGGUUAAACACUGUUUCUGCGAGAAAGUUUUAAAAGGUUAAUUCACCCCCCCUCUUGAACUUUGGCACUAUUAAACCCUACAGGUUAUACCUCACACCUUCUCUUUAACCUAGUUGGGCUUGGGCUAAGUGACAUCUCACCGAAGCGAGUUAUUACUUGCUUGAGCGAGUUCCUUUAGAGUGAUUUUUCCUUGGCGAGUUUGGGCGAGUUUUGAGCGAGUUUCCAAUGUUUUAACUUUUUCUUUUCAUCUUGUCCAUUCUCCUUUAACCCUUUCAUAUCCAUUUUACCAUAGAAUCCUGAAAUCUAUACAUAAUACAAGUAGAACGCACAAAAAAAAUGAAAAAGAUUUUAUAUACCACAAAUAGAAACUUGAGGUAACAUGCGUGGCCCACUAAAACACUCCACAUAGUGUUUUUUAAGCCUUUUCCUUCUCCUUUCUCAUCCCCACUUUGCGUUGUCCUCUCUCAUCCUCACUCUUUUGUUUUCCUCUCUCAUUCGCACUUUGAAACACUCUCUGAAACCUUAAUCUAUCAAUUUUUUUUCACAAGUUUGGCAACUGUGCACAUCUCGUAUACUAAAGAUGUUUUUUUCUAAUACUCCAUUAAACAUCUAUUUCAUUAAUUGGCUUGUACUUUUGAUAUUUGAAAUGGCAAUGGCGAUGGUAUUUCACUAUAUAUAGGGUGUUGUCUUCAACCAUUCAUUCAUUCAUUUCAUUUUUUUUCUUUUCAUUCUCCAAGGACUUGGUUACAGAAGCAUUACCACGUAAUCUUUGAACACCAUGCCUGUUACAAAUUUUUCUGUAUGGUGUUAUUAUGUUCCAGUAAUUUGUUCUCUAUUUUUCGUUUUUUUAUUCCCUUUCGCAAGACUCAAUGGUGUUUUCACUACAAGAAAAAAUGGUUUUAACCGAGGUUUAUUUUUACAUUAUCUAGGGUUAAAACCUUUACUAAGUCAUUUACCCAAGAUUGCAAAUUCCCCACUAAACCAUCCCAGGGAACGUGUUCCUCGAGGUUUUUUUUAAACCUCAGGAAAAUCCUUUCAGUACCCCUGUUAAUUACCAUGGGUUAACCUUCGUAAAAUACCAUGGGUUUCAAAACCUCUGUAAAAUACUAUGGGUAUCAAAAUAUUUGCAUGGGUUUAAAAACCUCUGUAAAAUACCAUGGUUUCAAUAACCACCGUAUAAUACCAUGAGCUUCAAAAUUUAUGUAAAAUGACUUGCCGUUUGAAAUAUCCUUCAACCCCAUUUCCACUAUCUCUAACGAUCCUUCUAACUUCUCUCUUCCACUGUAGACACAUUGCUCUCUGGCACAGACUCAAUGGCCGCUGACAACAGUCCUAGCUAGGAAUCACAAUUCAACCACACGUAUGUCUAUUAUAUCUAAGGAGAAGAAAUACUAAAUAAGUCACUUUCUUAUUCUCACUCCAAUAUUGCUUCUUCCAUCACCUUAUUACUGCCCCAACUUAGGUCACAAGCCCUGUUACCUAGCUCGACAACAACUGAUGUUUAUCACUACUUUAUAUAUCCUAAAUAAUUGGACUAUCUGUCAGAUGUGGGCUUUGGCUAAAGAUUGCAAGAACAUAUUGUGAAGAUAAAUUAACUUUAUUACUUCUCACUUUCACAGUGAAUUAAUUAUUAUAUGCAUUUUAAAUUAAGGCCUUAAUUUAAAAUAUUUCAAAAUUAUGAAAAAUUAAAUAUUAACAACUAUAACUAAAACUAGAACUGCACAUAAAAAUAUAUGUACAUCAAAAGCUAAAACAAAAUAAGUCAUGUUUUUUGAAGUAUGAGCUCGUAACAAAAGAAACUAGGAAUUAUAUAAACCAACUAUCAUAAAUGAUAAGAAAUAUUCAAAUAAUGUUGAACUACUUAUUAUCCAAUGUUAUUUUACUGAGAUUUUAGAAUAAACCUUGGAACUUAACGGAAGUGAAAAAAACCUCUGUUAAUAAAAUCAAUUCCCAGGGUUAUAUUAACCUUCGCUAUAUAACCUUCAUUAAAACCCUUUUUCUUGUAGUGUUUAAACCGUGUUUUCGUUUUUCCUCCGCACCUAAUGGUGUAAAACUGCAAUACGUUAUUAGUGUAAUAUUUGUCAUUUUUGGAGAUUUAUUUUGAUUUUCUCAUCUAAUUUCUGUUCAGUUUGUAAUCCAUAUUUUAACUCCAAUUUUGUAUGUUAUUCUUUGAGAUUUAUAUUGUUUGCAUCUGAUAUAGUGACUUAUUGAUCUCAAUUUUAUCACUUGGUAUUCGAGUUUUUUAAGGUCAUUUGUUCAUCUCAUUUUUGUUGAGUUUGUAUUCCAAUUGUUAACUCCAUUUUUUGAUCUUAUUGUUUGGAGAUGUAUUUUGGUUGCAUCUAUUACUCUGAUUUGAAGAUGAACCUUGCAUUUAGCAGCUUGUUGGUCUCGUCUUUCUCUGCAUUAUGUUUUUUCACCCAUUUUCCUUUUUUUAGGCAACUAGUCAGGCUUCCUCGUACACCGAUAACCUGUGUCUAAUGCCUUCGGGGCUCACCCCGGGCAUGUUCGAUGCGGUCCAGACAAGAAAUCAGUAUUCUUUACUAGUGUUUGGCUUAAAUGCUAACAUCUUUUGUAGACAACGAUGUUCCCAUCUUAGUGGAGUGUUCGACAUAUUGUAAUGGGACAACUUUGAUGUCUUCUGCUGGUUCAAAGCGAACGUCAUUCAUCCGGGGAUCAAGGUUCACAGAGGCGACAAUAUGCUCCCUCCUUGGAGCAAUGGGUUUGAAACUGUUUUCCAUUUGUUGGUUCUACCUUUAAGCUAGCCGCAUAACGCUCACUUACCACCUUCUAGUCCACAUGCACCAUGAUGAUAUCUCCAGAGGUCAAUGGGAACUUCAUGGUCAAAUGUGGUGUUGAAACUAUGGCUCCCUAAUGGUUGAGAGAUGGUCUUCCUAACAAUAUGUUAUAGAAGGUAUUGACUUGAACUAUACUUAUCUUGAGAUUCUUUCCCUCCCCGUACGUAGUGUAGAGAUCGGUGUAACCUCGUGUGUCCACCCAUUCUCCAUAAAAUCCCCUGAUUUUGGCAUCAUACAACUUGAUUUAUGCCUCUGUUAUCCUCAUCUUUUUUAAUGUUUUCUAGUAGAGUAUGUUUUCUAUUUUGGAAGGUCCCAGAAUAGAGAGAUAUUCUCGCUCAAGCGAGAAUGCUCCAAGACUGUUUCAGAAAUCGACGUCUUUCUCGCUCAAGCAAGAAUUCCUCGCUCGAGCGCAAAUGCAUCAGACAGAUUGGGCCUUUUUUAUGUUUUAUCACUUAGCCCAUCAGCGUGACACAGGAAGUUACCUAAUCCUAGUAAAUUAGGUUAAAUAGGGGGGCUAGAGGCACAACCCUUGUGUACCAAAUUGAGAGGAAAACACCAUAGAGUGAAUUGUAACCCAAUUGAGAGAAUGGAAGGUGCUAGAAGUAUGCAUGGCUAAUUCUACCCUUUGGGAUUGGGAGUAAUCUGCUUGAACUCUUAUGUAUUGAGGUGAUAUUUAUAUUAUAAUAUUCAGUUCUUUAUUGAUUAUUGGUAUUAUUGUUUUGUUUCUAAAUUUUUGUGACAAAUUGAGAAUCUUAAAUCUGACCGGAAAGUAUUUUUAGGUUUAUGACCUAAAAAAUAAUACUUAACAUAUUUGAGUGCUAGGAAUAGACUUGAAAUGUUAAUUUCCAUUAACAUCUAUGCUUGAUUCUAAGUUGUUCUUAUGCGAGGGAUCGAUAGUUAGGGAACAUUCUUAAGGAUUUUAUAUGCGAGGAAUCGAUAUAAAUGACUUUUAUACGAGCAUGAAUUUCAAUCAAAGAACUUAGUAUUAACAUGCUAAUCAAUAAAAUACAUGAGAGUGAGAGAGAUGAAACCUAAUCCCUAUUUUUCCAACUUAAAGCAACUAAUUCUUUGUCUUUUUUCGUAUUGAUCAUUGCCAACACAAUCACUUCAACACUUUUUUUAAUUGUUCUGUUUUAUAUUUAGCGAUUAUUGUACUCGAUAAUUCAUUGUUCCUUGUGGGAUCGAUAUCCAUCCUUAAGGACAAUUAUUAUUUCUAACAACGCAGUGCACUUGCCGUAGAAAGUCAACACUGCCCCCUUGAUCUAAUUAGAAAAAGGGUGUCUCCUAGGUCAAUCCAUAAUUUCAGACAUGUGAAUAGAUUGAUUGAGUUGCGACUCACUGUUCUGGCUUUUGUUCCUAGUCAAACGGGUCGUGGUUGACGGUUCCUCUGGUUUCUCCUUUUGUUGAGUACCUUCAGUCUCACUUGGUUGCUUCUCAUUUGAGUUACCUACGACCAACUGCCGCUUCAUCUCUUCGUUCUCCCUUUGGAAGAUUAUCUCGGCCAUCUCCCUUUUUAAGGGAUAAAAGCAAGACCACCUACUCAGCUUCAGUCAUCCUCUCGUUAGUCAUGUUUCUUAUUGACACCAUUUGCUUUUGUGACUUAUACUACUCUCUCGGCCCCACAGUAGGCGCCGUUUGUAUUUGUAAGGGGCUAAGACUGUACCUGCUAACGAAUGGACAACUGAUUCCUAUCGCUCGGUCACGCUCUCAUUCCUUUCCUUCUUCUCACGUUUGGGCUUUGGCUCUUGGCGAGAGUGCACUUGCAAAAGGUUCUCCGACUCUCAAGUGAGUAAUCGGUACUUAGGUGCUAUUAAUGUUGUAAUAGUAAAGUAUAUUUGCUUUGUCUAAUGUGCUUAUUUAUAUAAAUGUAAUGGACUCUAUCAAUGAUAGGUUGUAUCUAAUGUUUAUAAUCAUAAAAAUGAAAUUACCUGAUUUAUGAUGUAUUCCUUUUUACCUUGGUGUAUUUACAUUAGUCGGUUGGACGGCAUUUGAUAUCGGGUGUUAUAGGAUCGUCCAACCUCGACCGAUACAGGUUUGAUCCAUCAAGAAGAGAUACAGAAGUGGACCCUAAAUAUAAUAUUAUGGAUACUGAAAUGAGUUCAAGAUACCAACCAUAUGAUCCAUUUAUUUUGGCACACAAUGUCUGGCAAGUGUACUAUGUCCUAUAUCCAGCAUUUUGAGUAAACAAACAUGGUUGGUGUAUUACAAUUAAAACAAAGCCUAAAAGUCGCAUUGACUCAAACUACAUGAAGGAGAACGUUAUAAAUGUAAGAAAAAGUAAAUGAAAUAUUUUUAAAUAACGAGAAAUGAAAUCAAACUUUGUUUAAUUUAGUCUUAAAUAAAGGGAUGAAGCUAUGGUGCUUCUUAUGCUGAAACAAAAACAGAGACUGCAUAGCAUAUAGCAAGGCAAAUACAUAACAAAUUAUCGAACCACAGCUGUCUUUAUUUCAUAAUGCAAUAUUUUUUACGAGAAUUUCUGAAUGAAAUAUUAUAUGCUAAAAGGGAAAAGAAUUGACAAAAGUAACAACGAGAAAGCAAAUCCAAUAAACAGCUCCAGUAAAGCCAAGGAAGCACAAUGUGAUAAAUAAGAAACAGGGUAAAAUAAAUAUGAAUCUCGUAACUAUGAGCUCUACCCAAAGAAAAACAAGGAAAGGAUCAGAAAAAACGAAUUGCAAUAAGGACACCAGGAUUCAUUCCAUAACUCAAGGGAUCCGGCUGUUCUCACAUUACAAUUUUCUUUAUAAAUGUAAUAAAGGAAUUUUUCUUUGGCACAGGCUCCUUUUCUAAGUCAUUUGAUUCACUACAUAUUAGAUAGACAGCUGUUUUCUUGACUACCAAUCCAUUACCAAAACUCACAAAAAUCUCCACCUUGUCUUCUGAUCCUAAAUUUGACAUUAUGCCAGGCCAAUCAUCAUCAUUAAAGGAAAUUAGUGUGCCAUGGUUGUGUAUCUGGCAUGUGCACUUCGUGUAAUUAACAAUUAAGACAGUACUAAGUUCAGGUUCAAUGAUUUCGGAGGUUGAUAAAUAAACCACACACAAAGCCAUUCCCUUCACCACACGAUCUUGAGGCACAGUGAAAGAAACAGAAUGUCCCUCACCCAUAUGGGCCAACCAAUAAGGAUCAUUGUCACCUGGGAGAUAAGCAUCACAUAACUCACUGCUUGCAAAUACCUGUAUCAUGUGAUAAACAAGGACAUCUUUAGUUAAACAAAAAUGUUAUACAUGAUUAAAACAGAUCUGGUUAAUAGUUUUGUUGUGUAUAUAUCACUAUCAUGUCUUUAGGGUUUUAGAAUUCCUUUCUGGUUUUUGUCUCUCUUAGUUUAUAUUUCUACGAUCAUUGGGAAUAAAGCAAUCAUGAAGCUAGUAAAGCAAGAAAUGGAAAUCAAUUUGGUAGUACUUAGUAUAAGCCUAAUCACUUGGUUAGUUGAUUAUUAAAAUAAGAUACUUUUACAUGAUAGUGAAGGGAAGAUAGCUAAAAGUUCAGUAUUUUAGUUUUUACUCUAUACUUGAUUAGGAUUAUUUUCUGUUCUCUCAAAUAAUACCUAAAAUGAUGUUGAAGGUAAUACAAAAGGGAAAGCUAGAGAAGAACCUUAGGUAUGCUAUUUCGCACAGUAUUGAAGAAUUCAUUGUAUCUUCCAACACCAGUCAGAGAAUACCUGAGGUGAUGCUUUGAAGGUACUGAUUCUAUAAUAUUUUCACCAUAUUCAACCAGUACGGUUUUUAAUUGCUCAGAUAGUUGAAACUCGGCGUCACAUUGCACCAAAACACUUCGAAGAUUUGCGAGGCUGCUAAGCAAGGGUGCAAUAUCAUCCCAACUAUUAUCUUCCAUAUGCAUGAAGGAAUGAAUAUAAGAUAGGGGAUUCAUUGUUGGUGACAUCCGAGACCGAAUGAUAGACGGAAAAAGAUUAUGUGACAAUACCUCACACCCACUCAAGGAUAUAUAUCCAAUGCUUUUUGGGCUUACAAUUGUAAAAGGCAAUUGUUUCAUAAAUCUAUUUUCAGCAAUUAUAGUUAUGAAGGAUUUUAUUAGCACUAUAUCUUUUUCCAUUAAGGCAAUCAUCGAACAACCAGAUAGAAUCAGAGUUUUUAAGCAUUUCAGCUUAUAUAUCUCUCUGGGAAGAUUGCUUAGACUUGUACAAUCCUUCAAAUUUAGCAGUAUAAGAUUGCAGAGACAUGCAAUAGAAGAGUGUAUUUCACGCAAUCUUGGACAAUCUUUGAGAAUGAGCUGUUCAAGACUUGGUAGUCUCGAAAAGUCAGGGGUUUCUAUCAAGUGCUUGGAGUGACUAAGAUUAAGGACUUUUAGCCACGUCAAAACCUUCAAGAAAAAAGUUUUUGAUAAAAUAUUAGUGAAGAAAAUGAAAAAACGAAAUAGUUAUAAUUGGAAACAAAUAAUAAUUUUAAAAUAAAAUGACAAGUAAUAAAAACCUGGGGUUCUUUCCAAACGAAUCGAAGAAGACUGUGUUUUAAAUCAAUCACUGUUGCAUCAUGCAGAUAAAAGUCGUUAGGUAGGUAUUCUGAAGAAAACCCUCGCAAACUGAUCCAUCUCAAUUUCGCAGAAAGGUAUUCUGAAUCUGCAACCAGUUUCUGAAGUCUUGAUGAGUCUCUUACACCUACAAGAGGAGAAUCACUUCUGGAAGACCAUCCCUAAAUGAAUCUUGUCCCCGGUGAUGAAAAGAGCUAAGAGAAACAAAUAUAUUCCACAUAAGAAAGCAACCACUUCCAAAAGAAGUUUCAAAACCAUAGAUUAAGAAUGUUCUUACAGUUGCAUGCUUCAUAUCCUCAUCAAUAAUUUCACCAAUAAUAUUUCUUCCCAUUUCUCGUAGCAACGGAUGCAUUCCUAAUUUGUUGUUCUUAUUAACUCGUAUGAGACUACGCUCAAUCAAAACUCUUAUUCCACUAUCAGCGUCUAUUCCACAGCCGUUUAGGAUCUUCGUAACACAGGCUCUGCCUUUACCAACAAAGGAACAACAUAGAUCAAGGAAUAAAUCUUUUUCCAUUUGAUUGCAUAAACCGUCAAAGCUUAUUUUCAAUAUCUGAUCAAAUUUAAUAAACUCGGGAAUUUUCUUUAGUUUUAAGAGUACUCUAUUCCAUUCUUUUUUCGUCCUUUGAUAUAAAUAACUUCCAAUGACUUCAAGAGCUAGAGGUAGUCCUCCACAAUAAGCAACUACUCUUUCUGCGAGGAAAAGAUAAUCUUCUUUUGGUUUUGCUUCUCUAAAUGCGUGCCAACUAAGAAGCUCAAGGGACUCAUCUGUGUUCAUUAUUAGCUCUACCUGAAAAACAGAAUCAGUUCGAUAUAGCAUCGGUAGGUUUUUAGAUGCUGUUGUAAUGAUUAUUACACUUCCUCCUCUGAACCAAUGACUGCAUUUCCAUAGUAAUGUCGCAUGAAACGUAGGCAUAUCGUCAAGUACAAUGAGCACCCUUUUCCCAGAAAGUCUUUCCCGAAUCAUACGCCUUCCCAUCUCAAAGGUACCUAUCUCUACCUUUGCUUUUAGGACAUCUGAAAGGAUUUGUUCUAGUAAACCAAGAUUCCCUCUUAUUCUGCUAACUUGUCCAAUAUCUUCAAUGAAACUUUUCUCCGUGAAUGUACCGUGAAUUUGAUGGUAGAUAGCUGUAGCAAGGGUGGUUUUACCAGAUCCUUCCUCUCCACAUAUAGCUAUCCAACAAACUUCCGUGGAUUUAUUUUUGAUAGCUCGAAUCAGAUCCUCCAUGUGCGAUUGUAAGCCAACUGGAAAUUUAGUGGCAGACAAUAGUGGUAAAUUAAGAACGGUCUUAACAAUUUUGUCCACUAGUUCAGCAUCACUCCUUCAAGUUCAAUAGCAAUUAUGGAAUAAGUCAUGUCAUGUAUUACCAAAAUUAAAUGAGAAGCUUAAAAAUUAUGGUCACUGAGUGAGUGAUUUACCUGUAAUUGCUCUCAUCCCAUCCAAAGAAAUUUGCAGCUUUGGUGAGUGCGUGGCUCCAUUUGGACAUGGCAUGUUCCAGUUGUUGUCCUGAAAAUGUUUGGUGUGCAGUUUCUUUGAAGGCUUUUCCAAAAUCACCCUUCUGAAGACGUACAUCAGAUGGCUCAAUUUCGUAAUAAACUGGCAGAACAUUUCGACAAUAAGUUUCUUGCCAUCUAAUGAUUUGUUGAAGCUGUUGAAGACACCAAGCAGAUUGAGAAUAGGUUUUGGUGAAAACAACAAUUGCUACACGAGAGAGAUUGAGAAUAGGUUGUUCGAUGUGAAUUGGGUUGAGUGCAUUAGGGUGGUGAAGGAAAGUGGUGAAGCCAACAGUAGAGAGGACAGAAUCUAGAUGAGAGACAAAUUUCCUUUGGAUGUCUUCUCCAUUGAAGUUGAUGAGCACAUCAUACAUCGGUGAGAUUUUGGAUGUUGAAGAGGCCAAUUUCAUGGAAGGAAUUGAUGAAGUCAUGAACUGUUAGCAGAAGAGAAAUCAAUGAUGCAACACAGUCAAAUAAUAUGCAUAGACAUAACCGUUAAGGACCCCAAAGAUGAAUAAUACAUUUUUUUUAGUCAAAUAAUAUCACAGAACCCCUUUUACUUUAGCCUUUUAAAAAGUUAGACCAACGCACGCCAACUUUGAAUCACUGAAAAAAUAAAUAAUAUACUAAUUCCUAUGAAAUUUUCUCCAAUAUAUUCCUUUUUUUUUAUAUUAUGCGUCCAUUUUUUUAAGUUUUAAAAUAUAACACAAGCAUCUUUGUUUACAUUACCCAUUCACCUCGUUAACAUAAAUCAUUGUAACAAAAUAAAAGAAGUAUAAAUUAAUAUAAUUUGAAAAAAAUUACGACAGGUCAUUUUUUAUAAACAAGUAAAGGAAUUGUGUGUCUCUUUAUUAAAAUAUAAGAUUUAUUAAAAAUAUUAGUUAAAUGAAUGUCUGUUCGAAAAUUACAGAACUUAUAGUGUCAUUUUAUUAGAAAAAAUGUUUUAAUAUUAGAGGAAAUGUUCGCCUAUAACUUGGGAAAAAAAUACAUGUAAUUUUCUCUUUUAUUUACAAUACAGAUUGUAAAAAAAUAAUGAAAGUGAUAAAUUUAAUAUAAUUGUAUUUAUUACACUUUUUACACUAUAAAAUUGUAUCCUUAUAUCCUUAGUGAAAAAUCCAUUCUUGAUACCACUCUCUUCACCUUAAAAGCCAUUUCUCGCAUAUGAGGAGGGUUUCAAAAGUAUUUCAUUUUAAUCCAAACAACUUAAAUUGGGUCUCCAAACAUGGAAUAGGGUAAGUACUUUCUUGGAAACCUCAUACACACUCAUGUAAAGUAAGUCAAUUAAGUCAACUUUUUUUAUGUUGAACUCCUACGUAAAAAAAUAUGGUAAUAUUUUCGUAAAUAUUUCAAACAUGUUCAUGUUCAGAUGUUCUAGGGUCUCGUGUAAAUAUUCGUAUAUUUACGUCAGACUCUUAACUGUCUGACAUAAAGUUGUUUAAAUAAGAACACAAUGCAUCUUCUUCCUUGCAUUUUGAACGCACAUGAAUCCCUCUUCUUCUCUGGCGAAGGCGACUACAACGCGAGUCUACAUGUGGUCCAUCACAACCAAACACACAUGUUUUUUCCUCUAUUUUUUCCUUUGUUUAGUGUGUUACGCAACUUUAUCUUGUUGACGGUUUUGAUCAAGGUGUAGCAACUGUUUUCUCAUCUGCUGAACCUGCAGCAGGUCCAGUUUUCUUAGGACCGAGCCAGGUGCCUGAGAAGUUGCUGUAUUGCUUUGUGGUGUAGAGUGUAGAGCGUUAGUGGCUUGCUUGGUGGUCCCUAGAGUGCAGGUAGCAAGUUAUGCCUCUAUGUAGUAGUAGGUUUUGUUUGUUGGUUUGAACCUGGUUUUGGGAUUCUAAGGGCAGGGAAGGCUCCUUACAUAGCUUUUUUGGAACUAAGUGGUGUGUCUCUUAAUCUGCAAGUGGUGUGUCUCUUAAUCUGCAUAUAUUUGUAGGUAGCUUUAUUAGGAGUUCUUUGUAUACGGGUUAAGACACUCUUAAAGUGUUAUUUUUUAAUUAAUUCAUUGCUGAUAAAAAAAAUGACACGAGUCUGCACUUGUUGUUGGUCAUCUCUAAUUUCUACUUCCGUCUUUAUAUCUCAUUUGUGGCAGCAGACGUUUCUCUAUUGCAUUGGAGCAUUUGUGGUGAAUAUUUGUCAUUAAUGUUAGUUCUUUACAUUUUCAUUUUACUAUUGAAAUUGAAACUCUGGUUGUUUUUAGGAUCUCAAUCAUGAUAAUAUAUGAAUGUUUCCAUUAGAUUGUUGUUGGCUAUCGUUGAUAUUGAAAUUUUUGUUAAAUUAAAUGUGUUAUUUAGUUGUUUAAAUUUCAAAUCUUGAAAUUAAUGUUUGUGUAAUUUUGAAUAUUAUAAGAUGUUUAAAAUUGUAUUUUACACUUUAGAAAUAGUCAAAAUUAUAAGGACUAAUUAUAGAAAAUUUAUAACAUGUUUUGUAAUUAUAAGGAAAAAUGUAAUUUAGAUUGAUUGCAAAAGUAAGAUAUGCAUUGUAGUAUGUUUGAGUGAUAUAUUUUGUUUUUGUUGUAAUCAGCAUACACAAUAAAUAAAAAUAGUUCAUAAGUUAGAUUGUUUCAACUGCUUCAAAUGUUAUGAGUUACACGAAGGGUGCUACUCUUCCAUGAAUUGCCCAUCAACCACGGUCUUGCCCAGACCAAGCUUAGAGAAGUCCAUCUCAUGAUAAACACCUGAGGCUUGUGCAACAGCGUCCUCAAAGCCCACAGGAUAGUACGUAGCGUCGUUGGUGAAGGCCUCUUUCUCUUUAGCCACCUCCUCAUUUUUCCGCGUCAGUUCAUCUCCUUGAGCCUCUCCACCUCAGCCAAGAGCUUUGCUCUCUCCUCAAAUAAGCCUAAGGCCUCCUUGGAUUUCUCAGUCAGGAGGGCCUCUGCUUCCUGUUGCCUAGUGUUUUGACUGUUGGAGUUCCUCUUGGAGUUUCGCCGUCUCUUGUUGAAGUUCUCCUUAAAGGUUCUCCACUCAUUGAUGGAGCUUAGCAGCCUCCUGAGACUUCUUGUCAGCUGAUCCUCUCCAAUCUUUCAGCUUAGUGACAACCAAACAGCUUGCAACAAGAGCUUGCCUCAGUUGUCUCAUGGUCUCUUAAACAACACGGUCCUCCUCGAGGCGUAUAAGAUUCUCCUUCGCCUUGUUGGGCAGGAGAGCCUUCUCGAGAAAGGAGGGGACGUCCAGGCCUUGGUCCCAUAUCCCCUCUUCUUGGAAGCUCGUGCCCUUAUCUUCUCGCACCACUAUCAUGUCGCGUGGCGGGGUUGGGCUUGGCGGAGGGGCAUGGUUGGAAGGAGCGCACCCAUUUGAUUCGGAGUGCUCGGUAGGAGCAGCUGUUGUUUUCCUUCUCCUUUUGAAGAUUGGCCUAGAGAAGGUCUCCUCGUUGUCCUCAGUAAAGGUUGGAACUAUUAUAGCAGGAGCUUUAAGUAAGAGAUUUUGGGGCGCCUGGGCAGCCGCCCUCAUGCUCUUGGCCCUCUCUGCCAGAUCCUUCUUGUCAAUCCGGGCCAACAUGCUAUCUACGAAAGAGGGUAAGAGUAAAUUAGCAACAAUAUUAAAGUUAACACCAUCAAGAGUAGAGAAUGAAAAGUACUGAUGUAAGCUUAGCCCCCUCUGCGGAGAACUCUUUGCUUAUGAGAGUGGCAGUGUCGAAGACCACCUUUAAGCUUGAGAGGAACUGACAGACCUCCAGGUCACACUGGGGCAUGUCUUCCAGGUGUCGAACACCUUGGAAGCGUGACUUUUUGGUCCAAUACAGAGGAAACCCAUCCAGGAGAGUUUGAUCCCUCUUAUUGCAUCGUACCUUCAAGAAUUUGCCUUUAAAUCCCUUAUAGGAUUGUUGGAAAAGCGAUAGCAAUGCUCUCUCAACCACCCCAUUGAAAGAGACCCAGAGUUGGCAGCGUAGGUGUUUGGCCUCAAAGAAAUACAUAAAGACUUCCACAGAUGGUAAAAGGCCAAACUGCGUGCAAAGAAUGGAGAAACCCCAAACAAAAGCCCAACUAUUUGGAUGUAUCUAGGCAAGGGAAACAUUGAUCUCGGUAAGGAGCACUUUCUCAAAGUUGAACAGGGGAAGGCGAAGAAGGAUUCUUUUGAAUAAGGUGGCAUAGAAGUAGCAAAAGGGACCCUCAGGGUCCGAUGACUCUUCACAACAUAUGGGUUCAUCUUCUCUACAUGGGACUAACCUAAGGGCUAUAUCGUUUUCUCUGCCAAAAUGGAACUUAUUUUGGCACUUGUUUUUCCUAAGGGCCACUAUUUGGUCACGAGAGGUAUAUAUGGAAACUUCUUCUAAUAGGUUCUAGGGUGCCCAGGGGUAUAGAGCUUUGUAAUCCAUUGCAAGAGUAUCUAAAAAUACAAACACAAGCAAAUACAAACACACAUUCAGGCAAGGCAAACCACAUGCAACGAUGCCUUUUAGAUUCAAGCAAAGCAAUAUAACUAGUAGAAAUAGUGAUAAGCAUAAGCAGGAAAGAAUAAAUUCAGAACAGACCCAAAUUAGGCAAUAUGAUCGUAACAAAUGUUUCAAACAGAUAAUGAUGCAAAUACAGAGUAAUGAUUUGAACGAAAGGAAGUACCUUGUUUCAGGGAGCGAUUAAGGACGAGGAAGUUUCCUAGGUUUGUGAAGGAGACGUAGUGAAAAUGAGAAAGGCGUGAAGGGUUUGCAACCAAUAGGGAAAUGAAACAGUGAAUGGUAGGAGGGUUUUGAAAUGGCAAGUGACAACACCUUUCCAUCGUUGAUGAGGAUGCCAAGUGUGCGUCUAGGAUUAGGUGUGUGGUGGGAUGUCACCUCAGAAAUGCUUCGUGCGCUGUGCCACACCUGUCCGUUGCGAGACUGACACGUAAACCGCCAGAGCACGCGAAUAGUCUCUUUGCUUAGGCAAGCUCAGCUCAAGCCUGGAGGCCUUAUGUACUGGACAAAGCGCUCGAGGCUCAGUACUUUGUGGUCAGAUCUUGGUGCAUGACACAGGCAGGUCAACUCGGUUGUUGGGCCAGUAAAGUGGGCCAUGUGAUUGGGCCAUGUUUAGUUGGUAAACCCGUUGGGGCAUAAUUUAAUAUUUUAUACAGCCACUAAUAAAGGGUAUUUUUGAACCUAGGGGUACAUGUAGUACAUGUGAUGCCUAAAUCAAGUAAGUGUUUCUUUUAACUUAAGUAUGUAUGUUCUAGGGCACAUAGUAGUUAAGUUGCAUACAUGACAAAAGAUAACGUUGCACCAUGAGUAAGGUUUCCACCUAAGAGAAAUAUUCCCUUGAUGUUGGUGCAUGAGUUGGUGCCCUGCUAGCAGGUGAUUGUUCUGUUAUUAUUUUAUGCACUUCUUAGAGAUAAGAUUUCCUUCUAUUGCAGUACCUUGAGAGGGCGCCCCUAAACAGAAUGUUUUCCUAGUGAUUACGCUUUUAGUUGAGAUUAGAUUCUUGUGAGAGAAAAAUGUUACAAAAGAUAAGCUAUAAAAGGAGCUUGAGACCCCAAGUAAAGGUACGUUGUUUCUAAGACUAAAACUGAAUACUUCUUAAAUUUGAGUAAGCCCUUUACUGACUUGAUCGUCGGAGUUUAAUCAACAGGUAGGAUUCUCUUUAUUUCAAUGGAGUCGUGUUCCAGUAUAACACGACGUAGAACAAAUUCCAGAAGAGACAGACCCGAGCUAGAGCUUGUCACCAGAGUCAACCGACGACAAAGUCAACUAGCAAGAACAAUAAGCUUCGACGAUUUACGUAAUCAAAUAGAAAAAGAUUUAUUCCUUGAUGUGUUUUGUUUCUUUGAUGGUAAAAGCAGAGCCUAUGUUACCAAGAUCCUAAAUGGUUGUGGAGUAGACCCUGAUAGUUGAAUAAGAGUUUUCAUAAAGCGUAACCUCAUAAAAGUGAAAGAAAACAAAAAAUUUGGAAUGCAUCAUUUACGACGAGAAAUGGGAAGAGAAAUUAUUCGUGAAAUUUCAAGAAAGGAAUCUGGAAAGAAAAGUCGACUGAGACUGGAUGAGGAUCUAAAACAUGCAUUGUCAUAUAGUACUGUAAGAACAUUCUUAAUUUAUAGUUUUGAAACUUCUUUUGGAAGUGGUUGAUUUCUCAUGUGCAAUACAAUUGUUUUUCUUAGCUCUUUUCAUCACCGGAUAAAAAAGUCAUUCAGAGAUUGCCCACCGAAAGACAUUUCUUUGAACGUAAUCCUUUAGAAAGAGACCCAUCAGGACUGCUAACACUUUUUGCAGAUUUUGAGGACCAUUCUAAGAAACGGAAAUGGAUCAGUUUGCAAGGGUUUCCUUCAGAAUACCUACCUAACGACUUUUAUGUGCAUGAUGCAAUAGCCAUUGAUUUAUAAUACUCUCUUCUUCGAUUUGUUAACAGAUUUAACCAAUUUUGUUAUGUUUUCAAAAAAUCAAUCGAUUGAAAGUGUGAAUCAAUCGAUGAAAAUGGCUUUGAUUGUGAGGUCAACCAAUUUCAAGUUUUUCAAAUGCUUUCCAAAACUACCAAGUGUAAAACAACCGAUUGAAACGACAAAUCAACAAGUUGUUUUUUCACUUGCUUUGAAAAACACUUCUUCUUUAUAGAUCAUGAUUGAUUUAGUUUUGGAUCAAGUUAAGAGUGGAUUGAAAAAUUCUAAUCUACCCAAAACCCAUGCCCACAAGCAACAACCUAGUCCUCAAGCAAACUUCAUAGAUUUGGAGACAUCAAAGCUUCAUGUUCAACAAUCUCCCCCUAUUUGAUGAAGAGAAAUCCUUGGUUUUCUUGGGAUGUUCUGUUUGAGUUUGACAAUAUCUGCUAAACACAAAAUUUUCAAAUACAAGAGGUAAUCCCUUCCAGAUUUCAUCAACACCAAAGAACCAUUUUUCACUUAGUGAUUUCCAUAAGGGAAACAAAAUCAGUGUGAAAAGAUAGUUAAAGAGAGGUGCAAAUCAGAAUUUUAUGCAACAGAGGUUUAUGCAGUAGUUUUAAUCAAAGUAAGCAACAUAUAAACCAAGUUAAAACAAAAUUUAAGCACACAAUACAAACAUACAAACCACAAAAACUUCUCCCCCUAUUUUUCUUCACAAAUAGACUUAAAGGAGAGAUAAAAAUAACACUUAAAAUAGAGUUUGUAAGUCAAGAAUUCCUAACUCAUUUCUGAGAAAGAAAAACUUGUCCUUUGACAAAAGUUUAGUAAAAAAAAUCUUCCAAUUGCCUUUCCGUUGCACUGAACUUCACCUCACAGUCUCCAUUACUCACAUGAUCUCUAAUGAAAUUGUGUCAGAUCUCAAUAUGUUUUGUCCUAGAGUGCUGAACUUGAUUUUUUGUGAGAUUGAUGGCACUUGUGUUGUCACAUAGUAGGGGUACUUUGCUGACUUUUAAUCUAAAGUCUUCAAGCUGUUGUUUAAUCCACAAAAUCUGAGCACAACAGAUUCCUACAACAAUGUAUGUGAUGAAAAUAUAUUUAUUAACCCACAAUAGCAUUAAUCAUAGAUUAUUGGACUAUAAUAAUAAAUAAAUCCAUUUUUUUAAUUAAUAUUAAUAUAAUUGGGUUUAUUUGGGCCUUAACUAUUAUCUUUGGUAAUUUUGUGUUUUUAGGGUAAAUGAUCUAAAGCAUCUACCUUUAUGAAUGGGCCAAACAUGCAAAAGUCCAAGUUGCUUCUUUGAAUCAAAACAGAAAACAAAUUCUGAGGAGAAGAAAGAGAAAAUAAAAGCUACAAGAUCCCAGAAACAGAAUUGGAAGCAAAUCUUCUGCAAUAAUAAAAAGAAUUAUGGAAAGUGGAAAUUGUUUACAAAAUCUAAACUGCAAUAUUUUCCCAAGAUCCUUGGAGCAGAAAAGCCUAUAAAAGAACACAAGCAUCAAGGAGAAAAGAGAGAGUUUCAUAGGGUUUUCUUAGUUUAUUUUCUUCUUAGUAAUUCUUUUGUUUUGCCUCCGCAUGGAAGGCUAAACCUUUUUGGUUGAUUCCUUUGUAAUUUCCCAUUGAGUUAUGAGGUUUUGUUCAAUAAAAGUUUCGAUUUUUAAUUCUCUAUAGCAGUUGUUUUUAUUGUCUAAUNNNNNNNNNNNNNNNNNNNNNNNNNNNNNNNNNNNNNNNNNNNNNNNNNNNNNNNNNNNNNNNNNNNNNNNNNNNNNNNNNNNNNNNNNNNNNNNNNNNNGGAAAACUAGAUUUUGUGAGAGGUUGUACUUGAACGCAUGAUUGAGAGUCUUCCUUGUCUUAAACUUUGGUUUCUUAGUUAGUUCACAUCGUUCUAAUUAAUUUCAUGGGCGCAUGAUUCAAGAGAGAGGAGGUAAGCAUUCCCAUGGAGUAUACGCAUGGAACAAAGUGAGUAUUGAUUAAACCAGUAGACGCAUGUUUUACUGGUGAGUUUCAGUUGAAUUAGAUUGGCGCAUGUUCAAUCUGGUUUAACUCUGUUGGAGGAUUGAGAAAAGAUUAAUCUUUAGAGAACCUGUGAAGAAUUCAAUGGUGGAAGAACUUAGGGAUCAAUUUCUUUUUAUUUUCUAUUUCAAUCUCUUUUAUAUUUUCUGCAUAACUAUCUUAACCCCCUUUUUAUUAUUAUUGUUAUUACUAACUUUUCAUUACUUGUAGAUAGAUUUUGAAUUCGGUUAACUGAAUCACUAUUGGAUUCGUUGGGAGACGACUUGGGGUCAUCUGACCACAAUUAUACUAUCAUCUCUCUAGUGUUAGACAAGUCUACGCUAGAUUCAUAUUAAUUUGACAGCAAAACGGCAGCUAUCAGUAUGUUACUUAAGUAGUGAAGAGUGUUACGCAGGCUUGCUUCUUGCUAUGCCAAGAGAUAAGGCUGGAGCCAAGACAAGUUCCACUUGUGCUUUUCCUAUCUAGUUUGCAUCCUGCAAAAUUCGAAUCAGAGUAUCCAACUAAAUGUACAGGAGAAUGAGAGGGAUACCAUAACUGAUAAGUGCCAAUGUGUAGUUUUUAUGAUUGAGAAAAUUGAACACUUUGGAACUUAAUUGUUGCUUAAUGUAAGAAAAUUACCCUAAUCUGAGAAUUAUUGAAUCUGAUUAUAUAUUUUUGAACCAAGAAACAAAUGAAGAAAUUUAAUCUCAAUUUUUGUGUAAAUUGCAGAUGAAUAUGAAGCAUUGAAAGAAUUAUUCAAGCUGGCUUUGAAAGAAAAAAAAAAGUAAAAACUUAAUUGGAUCACAAGAAGAUUUAGCUCAAGCUAGAGGAUUUAGCUCAAGCUAAAACUAUCCAGAAUUGAUUAAAGGUGCAGUAGAAUUCUAGCCCAGGCUAGAAUUGCUAGCUCAAGCUAAAACUGUCCAGAGCUGAUUAAAGGUGCAGUACUGAUCUAGCUCAGGCUAGAAUCGCUAGCUCAAGCUAAAAAUGCACCGAAAGAUCUAGCUCAAGCUAAAACGGGCUAGCUUGAGCUAAAAUUGAUUAUAUAAAUUCUGAAACAUAACUCAAAACGAGCGGUGGAAAACAGAUUAGGUUUUUUAGAAAGAGACUAGUGAGAGAAAGAGAAGAAACCUCUGUUCUUAGGAAAAGAACUUGCUCAAAUAAGCCCUUCUUAUGCAAUCCAGAUCAAGAAUGAAGAUUGGAGGAGCUGUCAUGAGUGGCUAAGUUCUUUCUAACUUGGGAUUGAAUGUAAUUUAUCUUGAUCAAAUGUAUUCUUGGUGAUAUAUAUAUAAAAUUCUCUUUUCUACUUGUUCUUGGUAUUUUCGUUUUAUGCUUAUUGCUUGAUUCUGUCUGAUCAAUAAAGUCUUGAUUUUGAUCCUUAAAUUUAACUGGAAAGUACCUUUAAGGAUCUGAAAUAAACGAAAAUACUUGAUAACUUGUAAUGCUAGGAAUAGAUUCCAGGUUAUUGAUUGCAUUAUAAUUCUGUUCCUAAAGCUGGAUGAUUUGUUAAAUAUCUGAGGAAUCAGUGUUUGAGAAAUUAUCUUAUGAAUUUCAUCUGUGAGGAAUCAAGAUGAAUGACUUUAAAUUAAGCAUCAAGAAUAAAUAGUUUUGAGUAUUAUAUAUUGUAUUAUUCAAAAUACAGAUGAUUGAGAUAAACGCAAUUCAAUCCCAAGUAUCUUUCUCUAUAUUUGAUAAGUUGGUUUUGUUACAUCCAGAAUCAAACCCUAAAUCUUUGAGUUCUUGUGAAAUCUUUAAUUUGGUUAUGAACAAAGUCUCAAAAUUAUUUUCUAUACUUAAUGAGUUUUAAAACAGAACAUCUUAAUUAGAAUUGUUCCCUGUGGGUUCGACAUUCGUACUUUAAAGAGUACUAUAUUACAGUUGAUUCGGUACACUUGCCGAGAAAGAUCAACAAGUUUUGGCGCCGUUGCCGGGGAACAAUUUCUUUUAAGAAUUUCUGAAGUAUAACUCAUUGAGUAUUGUGAAUAUUCUGUUUUCUUUGUGAAUAUACAUUGGUUUAUAUCUUAUUCUUUUAUCCUGUGCUAAUCCUUGCUUAAGUUGUCUUAGAUACAUGUUAUUGAGAGGACAGGUUCCUGAAGAUCAAUUGGAAUUUGAUCCAGAAAUUGAGAAGACAGCUAGAAAAAAUCAGACAAGAAGAGAAAAGAAAAGAAGAAGCAAGGACAAGCAAAAGGAGAAUCUUCCANNNNNNNNNNNNNNNNNNNNNNNNNNNNNNNNNNNNNNNNNNNNNNNNNNNNNNNNNNNNNNNNNNNNNNNNNNNNNNNNNNNNNNNNNNNNNNNNNNNNNNNNNNNNNNNNNNNNNNNNNNNNNNNNNNNNCCACCAAAUCAUUAGAAAUGAAGCCAGCUUUUCUUAGCUUAAUCAGCACUCAUCAAUUCACUGGAAUGGAUCAUGAAGACCCUUAUACUCAUCUAUCCACAUUCUAUGAGUUGGUUGGGACCAUGGGCUUCGAGGAAAAUGAUAUUGAAUCUGUUUAUCUGCGUCUAUUUCCUUUCUCACUUGCAGGCAAAGCAAAAGAAUGGUUAAAGUCGCAUCCAAACCAGAGUCUAAGUAGCUGGAAUGAUGUAGAAGAGAAAUUCCUACACAGAUUCUUCCCACUCUCUCGGUAUAUCAAGGCUAAGUUUGAUAUCUCUAUAUUCGGGCAAGGGCCAGAAGAACCUUUUUGUGAAGCUUGGGAACGCUUUAAAGUGAUGUUAAGAAGAUGUCCUAAUCAUGGCUUUGGGGAUAUUGCUCAGUUGAACAUAUUCCACAAUGGUUUGAGGCCUGAUACUAAAAUGAUCNNNNNNNNNNNNNNNNNNNNNNNNNNNNNNNNNNNNNNNNNNNNNNNNNNNNNNNNNNNNNNNNNNNNNNNNNNNNNNNNNNNNNNNNNNNNNNNNNNNNNNNNNNNNNNNNNNNNNNNNNNNNNNNNNAUCUUAGUACUUUAGAUGCAAUUUUAGCACAAAACAAGAUUUUGACUCAGCAAAUUGAGGCAUUAACCAAGCAAAUGUCAAAACUGCCUCAACAAUUACAUGCAGUAAAUUCUCCUUCAAUUCAGAAUCAAGCUUUGAAGUGUGAUUUUUGUGGGGGAGAUCAUCUCAAUGGCCAAUGCUCUUACCAAAAUCCAUCAGAGGAAGAGGUUCACUAUAUGAAUAAUCAAGGAAGGCAAGGUGGCUUUGCAUAUAAUUAUCCAAAUAACAUGACUCAAGGAUGGAGGAACAAUCCAAAUCAAGGAUUUGGGUGGAAGCAAGAGGCUGGAUCAUCCAACAGACAAGCUCCAAUUCCUUAUCAACAGUAACCACAUUAUCCUUCCAUUCAUGAGAGAACAUAAAAAUUGGAAGAUACUUUUGAGAAGUUCAUGCAAGCCUCUCUAUUCAAUCAAAAAAAUACUGAAGCAUCAAUAAGGAAUUUAGAAACACAGGUGGGGCAGUUGGCUAAACAGUUAGCUGAUAAUCAAGGAAGUCAAUUUUCAGCCAAUACACAAACCAAUCCCAAGGAGCAUUGCAAUUCUAUCACUACCAGAAGUGGGAUAGUUAUAGGAAAAGGAAUUGGGAAAAACUUAGUUGUUGGGGAGGAGGUUUUAAAAGAUAAAGAGAGUGAAAAAGAAUAGAUUGAGUGUGAGGGAGAAGAAAGAAGAAAUAAGGAAGAUGUUGUAGAUAUUGAUGAGAAAAUAGAAAAAAAUGAAAAACAAGAGAGGAGUGUUCCUAUAAAAGAUGUACCUUAUCCACAUGCUCCUACAAAGAAAUGCAAAGAAAGGCAAUUUGCAAGAUUUAUGAAUAUUCUCAAAAGAUUGCAAAUUAACAUUCCUUUUACUGAAGUUUUAAAGCAGAUGCCUACAUAUGCUAAAUUCAUGAAGGAAUUAUUGACAAAGAAAAGAAAGUUCAAUGACCAGGAAAUAGUUGAAUUGGAAGCUGGAUGCAGUGCUAUAAUCCAAAAAUCAUUACCACAGAAAUCCAGAGAUCCUGGGAGUUUCACUUUGCCAGUUACCAUAGGAAAUCUAACUGUUAGAAAGGCAUUAUUGGAUCUUGGAGCUAGUAUUAAUUUGAUGCCUUUAUCAAUGCUGAAGAAAAUUGGAGAUGUAGAAGUGAAACCAGCAAGAAUGACUUUGCAGUUGGCUGAUAGAUCAAUCAAAUAUCCACAUGGAAUAGUUGAAGAUUUAUUGGUAAAGGUAGAUAAAUUUCUAUUCCCAGUAGAUUUUGUUGUAAUGGAUAUUGAAGAAGAUGUUGAAGUACCUUUGAUAUUGGGAAGACCAUUCAUGAAAACUGCCAAAGUUAUAAUUGAUGUAAACAAAGGAAAAUUGAAGGUUUGUGUUCUAGAUGACAAAGUAAGCUUUAAUGUUUUUGAAGCAAAGAAAUAUUCAAAUGAUCAUAAAGAGUGUUUCAGAGUGGAUAUGAAUGUUGUUGAACCUUCAAUGAUGUUAAUCAGGCGUCAAGCUAUAUGACGUUAAACGAGCGCUUGCUGGGAGGCAACCCAGUGUUUUGUUCUGAAAUGUGUCUUUAAUUUUUGUUUUGAAAUGUGUCUUUAAUUUUUGUUUUGAUUUAGUAGUAUGUUUUAAUAUUUGAUGUCUUUAAAACCAGUUUGAUAUGUGAAAUGGUCAUGUAGGUUUGAAAUGUUAGGUGAAAUGAAUGGAUGGAAGAAGGCUUAGAAAGGUUUGAAACUUUUGGCAAAGACAAAAUGAAAAUUUUCAAGAAAAUUUCAUUGCAGGGUAAUUUUAGCUUAAGCUAGAACUUUUAGCCUAAGCUAGUUAUGCAGAAAAAGAAGAAAAAAAUUUGUUAUGCAGCUUUCGCUUAAGCUAAAAUGAGCUAGCUUGAGCUAGAAAACUCUGUUGCUCUCUGCCAAAUUUUAGCUUAAGCUAAAAAGAGCUAGCUUGAGCUAGAAAACUUUGUUGCUCUCUGCCAAACUUUAGCUUAAGCUAAAACGAGCUAGCUUGAGCUAGAGCAAAUUUGUUGCUCUCUGCCCAAUUUUAGCCUGAGCUAAGAAGCUCUAGCCUAAGCUAGUGAGAUUUCUAAAAAAAAAAAAAAAAAACUGCAGCAUUUUAUAAAAAUCACAUUUUGAAAACCCUGCAACCUAACUCAAUUUCAGAAGCACCCUCUGUUCUAAAAAAAUCCCAAAGCUUCCAACUACAUAAUCAUUCUCAAACAAACAUUUCAUCUACAUUGCCAUUAUCAAGGUAAGUAAUUACUCAUCUCCAUAAUCAUUUUCAUUGUCAUUUCCAUUUCACAGUCCAGACAUGCGUGUUUCUAUUUCCAUUUCACAGUUUCGUUUUUUAAAUUGAAAGAUUCAAUCUUUUUGAAAUUUCAAUGUCUUGAUGUAAAAUAGGAUUGUGGAAUGGGAUAAUCAAAGUUAAGUACGGUUUCCAUGGAUUAAAUACCAAAACAAAAAUUACUCAUUCAAUGUCAUUCUACAUCAUGCAUACCAAGUGUUUGUUAAAAUGUCAAUCAAAUAGAACACUUUGGUUUGAGAAAUGUUUAUUCUUACAUAUGCAGAAAAAUGAGUCACACCAAAUCCACAACUGGUAUUAAAUAAUCCGUCGUUGACACGCACUGAAUUUCAUGAUUAGCUAUCUUGGCCUAGGGACAUGCACAGUUUUUCAGGGGAGGCAAGAGAAUUUGGAGUUGGGACUAGAGUUGAAGGUACACCAGAAAUGGCAGCUGGACCAUCUGGAGCAGCAGAAGAUGAAGAUCCAAACCAAGUUCAGAAUGAUGAUGUUGGCACGGAGCGGAACAAAGUCAUAAAAGGAGAUUGAUACUUCUCAUGCACAAUGAACAGAAAACUGGUUUUAUCUUUUUGUUUAACUUUACUUUCAGUUUAAUUUAGUAAGUUGACUUUAGUAGUUUGGUUUCAUAAUUCUUACUUUAGAUUUUGUUGAUGACAAGCUUAAGUUAGUAUAAUGGUUGAUGUUUGCAUAUUUUGUGAAGUGAAAUCUUGUAUAUAGAUAGAUGAUGGUAUAAUUUUUUGGAAAAAGAAAUCAAACCAUAGUUCUAAAUUAGAACAACCAAAUGGAUUGAUCAGGGACUUAAUUUGAAAAAGAAUUUGUGGUUGGAACCAUCACUCAAAUUGAGAAAGGAUAUUAAUGUGUAAAAGUUGGAACAAGGUAAAUAGUUGAAAGCAAUGACUGAAAACAAAUGAGGAAUUGAAAUUAGCCAACCAAGUGAGAGUGUGAAACCUUUAAACAGUUUGAGAGACUUUCAGUAGUGAAGAGUUAAUUGAGGUUGCCUAAUUUUCUAGUCAAUUUGCAUCACAAAAUCAAAUAUGGAGAUGAUUGAGGCAUGUUUAAUAGAGUGGAGGUGAGAAAACUCAGAACCAAACAGCUAACCUUUGCAAUAUAUGAUGAAAUGUGCAGAAAAAUAACCCUUUUUGAGCCAAAUUUGUUUUAUUGCACCCUAGCUUCUGAUAUACAUAUAUUGUCCUACCUUGUGGUAUGCUAACAAAAGGAGAGCAUAGGUGCAAUUCAAAUUUCUAUAAUUAAAAGAAUUGGGUUUGGUGUGGCUGUUGGGAUUUUGAGAAUGAAAAAAAAAAGAAAAAGAAAAAAAAAGGAAAUGACAAAAUUAUCCAAAUUCUCAUUCUCUUUUCUAAAAAAAAAAAGAAAAAAAAAGAGAAAAAGAAAAACAAAGGGGAUUACAAGAAUAUAAAAAUAAGCAAUGUGAAUGAAUCUUAUGGAAGGGAUAAUGGAUAACACAAUUAGAAAGUGAAUUGCAAAUAUGCUAAUCUUUUGUUAACUGUGCAUUUUGUUAUCCUGGAAAAACCAAAUUUUCUUUAUAACCCAGCCUCAUUACAACCUGAAAAGACCUCAAGCUCUAUGUUUGUGAAAGUGUUUGUAAUCAACUGGAAAUGAAGGGCAACCUUAAAUUAACUUGGAAUUCAGUGAAAAAAAGAGGGAAAACACUCACCAGUGAGGAAUGAAGAGAGAAAUUCUUUAGUUUGAUUCUCAAUGAAGAGUAACAAUUGUUUACCUUGGAAAUUGAAUACAUUCUUAUCCUGUCUUGGUUUGAAUUGAUAGGAAACACCAUAAUUUUUUGUUGAAUUAUCUUGUGCUCUUUCCAUGAAGUUGUUCUGAUAUUAAACUAUAGAUUUGAUUUCUAAGGAUUUUGGGGAAGAAUGAAUUCAUAUUUUUUGGGAUUCAAUUACUUUGCUUGAGGACAAGUAAGAUUCUAGGUUAGGGGGAAUUUGAUAAGUGCCAAUGUGUAGUUUUUAUGAUUGAGAAAAUUGAACACUUUGGAACUUAAUUGUUGCUUAAUGUAAGAAAAUUACCCUAAUCUGAGAAUUAUUGAAUCUGAUUAUAUAUUUUUUGAACCAAGAAACAAAUGAAGAAAUUUAAUCUCAAUUUUAGUGUAAAUUGCAGAUGAAUAUGAAGCAUUGAAAGAAUUAUUCAAGCUGGCUUUGAAAGAAAAAAAAAUGUAAAAACUUAAUUGGAUCACAAGAAGAUUUAGCUCAAGCUAGAGGAUUUAGCUCAAGCUAAAAUUGUCCAGAAUUGAUUAAAGGUGCAGUAGAAUUCUAGCCCAGGCUAGAAUUGCUAGCUCAAGCUAAAACUGUCCAGAGCUGAUUAAAGGUGCAGUACUGAUCUAGCUCAGGCUAGAAUCGCUAGCUCAAGCUAAAAAUGCACCGAAAGAUCUAGCUCAAGCUAAAACGGGCUAGCUUGAGCUAAAGUUGAUUAUAUAAAUUCUAAAACAUAACUCAAAACGAGCGGUGGAAAACAGAUUAGGUUUUUUAGAAAGAGACUAGUGAGAGAAAGAGAAGAAACCUCUGUUCUUAGGAAAAGAACUUGCUCAGAUCAGCCCUUCUUAUGCAAUCCAGAUCAAGAAUGAAGAUUGGAGGAGCUGUCAUGAGUGGCUAAGUUCUUUCUAACUUGGGAUUGAAUGUAAUUUAUCUUGAUCAAAUGUAUUCUUGGUGAUAUAUAUAUAAAAUUCUCUUUUCUACUUGUUCUUGGUAUUUUCGUUUUAUGCUUAUUGCUUGAUUCUGUCUGAUCAAUAGAGUCUUGAUUUUGAUCCUUAAAUUUAACUGGAAAGUACCUUUAAGGAUCUGAAAUAAACGAAAAUACUUGAUAACUUGUAAUGCUAGGAAUAGAUUCCAGGUUAUUGAUUGCAUUAUAAUUCUGUUCCUAAAGCUGGAUGAUUUGUUAAAUAUCUGAGGAAUCAGUGUUUGAGAAAUUAUCUUAUGAAUUUCAUCUGUGAGGAAUCAAGAUGAAUGACUUUAAAUUAAGCAUCAAGAAUAAAUAGUUUUGAGUAUUAUAUAUUGUAUUAUUCAAAAUACAGAUGAUUGAGAUAAACGCAAUUCAAUCCCAAGUAUCUUUCUCUAUAUUUGAUAAGUUGGUUUUGUUACAUCCAAAAUCAAACCCUAAAUCUUUGAGUUCUUGUGAAAUCUUUAAUUUGGUUAUGAACAAAGUCUCAAAAUUAUUUUCUAUACUUAAUGAGUUUUAAAACAGAACAUCUUAAUUAGAAUUGUUCUCUGUGGGUUCGACAUUCGUACUUUAAAGAGUACUAUAUUACAGUUGAUUCGGUACACUUGCCGAGAAAGAUCAACAAUAACCCAAUAGUGGAUAUGCCUUUUAGAUACUUCAUAAUUCUUUUGGCAGCUUUAAGGUGUGAUUCUUUCGGAUUGGACUGAAAUCUAGCACAAAGGCAUACUGCAAACAUAAUAUCUGGUAUGCUGACUGUAAGGUAGAGCAAAGAGCCAAUAAAAUCCCUAUAUUUGGAUUGAUCUACUACAAUUCCAACUGCAUCAGCAUCCAUGUAGCAGCUUGUGGACAUUGGUGUAGUUGCCUCUUUACACUGCUCCAUUUCAAACUUUUUGAGGAUUUCCUUGCAAUACUUGGAUUGACUUAGAAAGAUGCCAUCCUUUGAUUAUUGGACCUGCAGUCCCAAGAAAAAGGACAACUCUCCCAUCAUUGACAUUUCAAGUUCUCCUUGCAUAGCUGUCACAAAUUCUUUACAGAAGUUAUCAUUAAUAGCACCAAAAAUAAUGUCAUCAACAUAGACUAAAAUAAUGGAAGAAAUUUGAUUUUUUGAUAAAGAGAGUUUUGUCAACCUUCCCUCUUUCAUAGUCAUGAGACAAGAGGAAAUUACUUAACCUCUCAUACCAUUGCCUUGGAGCUUUCUUAAGACCAUAUACAAGACCUUUUUCAGCUUGUAUACAUGCUUGAGAUGUUGAUGACUCUACAAACCCGGGUGGUUGUGAGACAAAGACCUCUUCAUUGAUAACUUCGUUAAGGAAGGCACUCUUCACAUCCAUUUGUUACAAUUUGAACCCAUUCAUGCAAGCAAAGGCUAGCAGUAACCUUACAGCUUCCAAUCUGGCUACUAGUGCAAAGGUCUCGUCAUAGUUUAUCCCUUCUUCCUGAUUGUACCCUUUUGCAACAAGUCUUGCUUUGUUCCUUGUUACCACCCUGAUUCAUCUACCUUGUUUCUGAACACCCACUUUAUUCCAAUGAUGUUCAUCUGAUCUAUUUUGGGAACUAGGAGCCACACAUCAUUCCUGACAAAUUGGUUUAGCUCCUCAUGCAUAACAGCAGUCCAAUUCUCAUCCUUGAGAGCUUCAUCAACUUAUUUGGGUUCAACUUGAGAGAUGAAGGCCAUGCUGCAGUAGUUUGCUAUGGUUUUUCGUGUAGAAACUUCCUUAUGAAUUUGUCCAAUUAUGUUUUCCACAGAGAGGUCUCUUGGAAUCCUUCAUUCCUUGGGUAGCUCAUCCUAUUGCAGAAUAUCAAUCGGUUGUUUUUCUAGACAGGUUUCUAGAUUCUUUAGAAAGAUGUUCUGCUCAUCUUCUUUAGCACAAUUCCUCAAGAAACUUUGUUCUGUAGGGUUAGUUUCAUCAAAUACAACAUGUAUAGAUUCCUCUACAGUCAUGAGUAUUUUAUUAUAAACCCUAUAAUCAUGACUAGAUAAAGAGUAACCAAGAAAAAUAUCAUUGUCUGCUUUCUCAUCAAAUUUUCCAAGAUUUUCUUUACCAUUAUUCAAAAAUAUAACACUUACAUCCAAAUACCUUUAGAUUACCUAUAUUGGGUUCCUUCCAUUGAGCAUUUCAUAUGGAGUCUUCUUCAAGAUAGGCCUGAUGAGAACCCGGUUCAUCACAUAACAUGCAGUACUUACAACAUCUGCCCAAAAGUAUUUUGGCAAGGUUACAUCUGGUAGCCACAGCCUUAAUUGGUUGCUUCUCAAUUGAGCUAUAUGCGACCAAGUGCCGCUUCAUCUCUUUGUUCUCCCUUCGGAGGACAUGUAUCUCCUCCUCAUUCUUCUGCCUUAUCUCUGCCAUCUCCCUUUGUGGGGAUAGAAGCAAGACCAUCUGGUCGGCUUCAGUUAUCCUCUUGUAAGUCAUGUUUCGUGUUGAUAUCAUUUACUUCUAUGACUUCUGCUACUCUCUCGGUCCCACGGUAAACACCAAUUAUACUUGUAAAGGGCUAAGACAGUAUUUGCUACCUGUUUGACAACUAAUUCCUCCCCUCGGUCGUGCUUUACUUACUUUCCUUCUUCUUGCAUUCGGGUUUCGGCUCUUGACGGGAGUGCAUCUACAAAAGGUUCUUCGACGCUCAAGUGAGUAUUUAAUAUUUAGGUGUUAUUAAUGUUGUAAUAGUGAAGUACCUUUGCUUUGUCUAAUGUGCUUAUUUAUACCAUUGUAAUUGACUCUAUCAUUGAUGGGUCGUGUUUAUUGUGUAUAAUCAUAAAAAUGAAAUUACCUAAUAUAUCACGUAUUUCUUUUUAUCUUGAUGUAUUUACACUAGUCAGUCGUGCAACAUCUGAUACUUAGAGUUAUAGGAUCAUCCAACCUCGACCAAUACAUGUUUGAUCCAUCAAGAAGAGGUGCAAGUGUUGAACUUAAAUAUAAUAUUGUGGAUAUUCAAUGACUUCAAGAUACUAACCAUUUGAUCCAUUUAAUCUGGCAUAGAUAAGUGUACUAUGUCCUAUAUCCAACAUUUCAAGUAGACAAACAUGGUUGAUAUGUUGAAUUAAAACAAGCCUAAGGUCACAUUGACUCAAAGGUCACAUUGACUCAAAUGACAUGGAAGAGAACGUCCCUUACCAAGUAGAUCAAAUGUCACGUGCCAAUAAAAUCAUAAAAUCAUUGAAGUGGAAGGUAUAUUUGGAUUACAAAGGAAGAAGAGAAAACAAGAAGUUGAUGAUGAUGAUGAUGUGGAGGAGUAAGAAACAGGGUAAAGUAAAUGCAUGCGGCUAUUAAGACAGUAGCAUCGUCUAUGGCUUAUAUAUAUAUAUAUAUAUAUAUAUAUAACAAUGGCUUAUAUAUAUAUAUAUAUAUAUAACAAUGCUUGCGGCUCAUACAUACCCAUACAUGCAGUUCAUGUAACAAAACUUAUAAAUGUAAAUUGAAAAAAAAAUGAAAUACUUUUAAAUUAUACAUAAAACAAAUAGAAUCAGUGUAAAAAACGAGAAAUGAAAUCAAACUUUGUUUAAUUUAGUUUGAAAUAAAGGGAUGAGGCUACGGUGCUUCUUAUGUUGAAAUAAAAACAGAGUACAUAGCAUAUAGUAAGGCAAAACACAUAACAAAUUAUUGAACGGCAACUAUCUUUAUUUCAUAAGCAAUACGAGGAUUUCUGAAUGUAGUAUUAUAUGCUAAAAGGGAAAAGAAUUGACAAAAGUAACAACGAGAAAGCAAAUCCAAUAAACAGCUAAGUAAAGCCAAGCAAGCACAAUGUGAGAAAUGAUGAGAAACAGGGUAAAAUAAAUAUGAAUCUCUUUACUAUGAGCUCUACUCAAAAGAAAAACAAGGAAAGGAUCAGAAAAAAUGAAUUGCAACAAGGACACCAGGACUAAUUCCAUAACUCAAAGGAUCCGGCUGUUCUCACAUUACAAAUUUCUUUAUAAAUCUAGUAAAAGAAUUUUUCUUUGGCAUUGAUUCACUACAUAUUAGAUAGACAGAUGUGUUCUUGACUACCAAUCUAUUACCAAAACUCACAAAAAUCUCCACCUUGUCUCCUGAUCCUAAAUUUGACAUUAUGUCAGCCCAAUCUUCAUUAUUAAAGGAAAUUACCGUGCCAUGGUUGUGUAUCUGGCAUGUGAACUUCGUGUAAUUAACAAUUAAGACAGUACUAAGUUCAGGUUCAAUGAUUUCGGAGGUUGAUAAAUAAACAACACACAAAGCCAUUCCCUUCACCACACGAUCUUGAGGCACCGUGAAAGAAACAGAAUGUCCCUCACCCAUAUGGGCCAACCAAUAAGGAUCAUUGUCACCUGGGAGAGAAACAUCACAUGACUCACUGCUUUCAAAUACCUGUAUCAUGUGAUAAAAAAUGACAUGUUUAGUUAAACAAAAAUGUUAUACAUGAUUAAAACAUAUCUGGUUAAUUUGUGUAUAUAUCACUUUCAUUUCUUUAAGGAUUUAGAAUGCAUUUCUAUUUUUGUCUCUCUUAGUUUAUAUUUCUAUGAUCAUUGGGAAUAAAGCAAUCUUGAAGCUAGUAAAGCAAGAAAGUGGAAAUCAAUUUGGUAGUACUUAGUAUAAGCAUAAUCACUUGGUUAGUUGAUUAUAAAAAUAAGAUACUUUUAGAUGAAUUCGUGGGGCUAGCGAAGCGAAGGGUGCUAAAAGUUCAGUAUUGUAGUUUCUACAAGAUACUUAAUUAGGAUUAUUUUAUGUUCUCUCAAAUAAUAGCUAAAAUGAUGGUGAAGGUAAUAAACAAAGGGAAAGCGAGAGAAGAACCUUAGGUAUGAUAUCGCUCACAGUAUUGAAGAAUUCUUUGUAUCUUCCAACACCAGUCAGAGAAUACCUUACGUGAUGCUUUGAAAGAACUGAUUCUCUAACAUUUGCACCAUAUUCGGCCACUAUGGUUUUUACUUGCUCAGAUAGUUGAAACUCGGCGUCACAUUACACUGAAACGCUUCGAAGAUUUUCGAGGCUGCUAAGCAAUGGUGAUAUAUCAUCCCAAUUAUUAUCUUCCAUAUGCAUGAAGGAAUGAAUAUAAGAUACGGGAUUCAUUGUUGGCGACAUCCGAGACCGAAUGAUAAAAGGAAAAAGAUUAUGUGACAAUCCCUCUAAUCCACGUAGGGAUAUAUAUCCAAUGCUUUUGGGGCUUACAAUUGUAAAAGGCAGUUGUUUCAUAGCUGUAUUUUCAGCAAUUGUAGUCAUGAAGGAUUUCAUUCCCACUAUAUCUAUAUCCAUUAGGUCAAUCUUCGAACAACCAGAUAGAAUCAGAGUUUUUAAACAUUUCAGCUUAUAUAUCUCUCCAGGAAGAUUGCUUAGACUUGUACAGUCCUUCAAAUUUAGCAGUAUAAGAUUGGAGAGACAACCAAUAGAUUGGUGUACUUCGCGCAAUCUUGGACAAUCUUCGAGAAUGAGCUGUUCAAGACUUGGUAGUCCCGAAAAGUCAGGGGUUUCUAUCAAGUACUUGGAGUGACUAAGAUUAAGGACUUUCAGCCACGUCAAAACCUUCAAGAAUAUAGUUUUUGAUAAAAUAUUAGAGAAGAAAAUGAAAAAACGAAAUAGUUAUAACUGAAAACAAAUAAUAAUUUUAAAAGAAAAUGACAAGUAAUAAAAACCUGGGGUUCUUUCCAAACCAAUCGAAGAAAACUGUGUUUUAAAUCAAUCACUAUUGCAUCAUGCAAAUAAAAGUGGUUAGGUAGGUAUUCUGAAGAAAACCCUCGCAAACUGAUCCAUCUUAAUUUCGCAGAAAGGAACUUAGAAUCUGCAGCCAGUUUCAGAAGUCUUGAUGAGUCUCUUACACCUACAGGAGAAUCUCUUGUGGAAGGCCAACCCUGAAUGACUCUUGUCCCCGGUGAUGAAAAGAGCUAAGAGAAACAAAUAUAUUUCGCAUGAGAAAGCAACCACUUCCAAAAGAAGUUUCAAAACCAUAGAUUAAGAAUGUUCUUACAAUAGCAAGCUUCAUAUCCUCAUCAAUGAUUUCACCAAUAAUUUUUCUUCCCAUUUGUCGUAGUAACGAAUGCAUUCCUAAUUUGUUGUUCUUAUUAACUCGUAUGAGACUACGCUCUAUCAGAACUCUUAUUCCACUAUCAGCCUCUAUUCCACAGCCAUUUAGGAUCUUCGUAACAUAGGCUCUGCCUUUACCAACAAAGGAACAACAUAGAUCAAGGAAUAAAUCUUUUUCCAUUUGAUUGCAUAAACCGUCGAAGCUUAUUUUCAGUAUCUGAUCAAAUUUAAUAAGCUCGGGAAUUUUCUUUAGUUGUAAGAGUACUCUAUUCCAUUCUCGUUUCGUCCUUUCAUAUAAAUAACUUCCAAUGACUUCAAGAGCUAGAGGUAGUCCUCCACAAUAAGCAACUACUCUUUCUGCAAGGAAAAGAUAAUCUUCUUUUGGUUUUGCUUCUCUAAAUGCGUGCCAACUAAGAAGCUCAAGGGACUCAUCUGUGUUCAUUAGCUCUACCUGAAAAAUAGAAUCAGCUUGAGAUAUCAUCAGUAGGUUUUCAUGUGUUGUUGUAAUGAUUAUUACACUUCCUCCUCCAUACCAAUGACGGCAUUCCCAUAGUAAUGUGGCAUCAAACGGAGGCACAUCGUCAAGUACAAUGAGCACCCUUUUCCCAGAAAGUCUUUCCUCAAUCAUUCGUCUUCCCAUCUCAAAGCUAUCUAUCUCUACCUUCGUUUUUAGGACAUCUGAAAGGAUUUGUUCUAGUAAACGAAGACCCCCUUUUAUUCCGCUAAUUUGUCUAAUUUCUUCAAUGAAACUUUUCUCCGUGAAUGUACCAUGAAUUUGAUGGUAGAUGGCUUUAGCAAGGGUGAUUUUACCAGAUCCUCCCUGUCCACAUAUUGCUAUCCUACAAACUUCCGUGGAUUUAUUUUUGAUAGCUCGAGUAAGAUCCUCCAUGCGCGAUUGUAAUCCAACUGGAAAUUUAGUAGCAGACAAGACUGGUAAAUUAAGAACGGUCUUAACAAUUUUGUCCACCAGUUCAGCAUCACUCCUUCAAGUUCAAUAGCAAUCAUGGAAGAAGUCAAGUAGUACCAAAAUUAAAUGAGAAGCUGAAAACAUGGUGAUUGAGUGAGUGAUUUACCUGUAAUUGCUCUCAUCCCAUCCAAAGAAAUUUGCAGCUUUGGUGAGUGCGUGGCUCCAUUUGGACAUGGCAUGUGCCAGUUGUUGUCCUGAAAAUGUUUGGUGUGCAGUUGCUUUGAAGGCUUUUCCAAAAUCACCCAUCUGAAGACGCACAUCAGAUGGCUGAAUUUCGUAAUAAACGGGCAGAAGAUGUCGACAAUAAGUUUCUUGCCAUCUAAUGAUUUGUUGAAGCUGAUGAAGACACCAAGCAGAUUGAGAAUAGGUUUUGGUGAAAACAACAAUAGCUACACGAGAGAGAUUGAGAAUAGGUUGUUGGAUGUGCGUUUGGUUGAGUGCAUUGGGGUGGUGAAGGAAAGUGGUGAAGCCAACAGCAGAGAGGGCAGAAUCGAGAUGAGACACAAACUUCCUUUGGAUGUCUUCUCCACUAAAGUUGAUGAGUACAUCGUACAUCCGUGGGAGUUUGGAUGUUGAAGAGGCCAAUUCCAUGGAAGGAAUUGACGAGGUCAUGAACUUUUAGCAGAAGGGAAACCAAUAAUGCAACGCAGUCAAAUAUAUAUGUUUUAAUCAUAUUUGUUUUAUUUUUUAAUAUAUAUGUUUGCUGUGAGUGUGAUGUCAAAUAAUUUUAUUUUACAAUUUUUAUAGUCAAAUGAUAUCACAGAACCUCUUUUACUUUAGCCAUUUGUCCAACGCACGCAACUUUGAAUCACUGAAAAAAUAAAUAUUAUACUAAUACCUAUGAAAUUUUCUCCAAUAUAUUCCUUUUUUUUUUUAUAUUAUGCGUCCAUUUUUUAAGUUUUAAAAUAUAACAAAUGCAUCUUUGUUUACAUCACCCAUACACCUCGUUAACAUAAAUCAUUGUAACAGAAUAAAAAAAAAAGUAUAAAUAUAAUUUGAAAAAAUUUACGACAGGUCAUUUUUGAUAAACAAAGUAAAGGAAUUUAAUGUCUCUUUAUUAAAAUAUAAGAAUGUUAACGUCAUCAUUAAAAAUAUUAGUUAAGUGAAUGUCUUUUCUAAAAUUACAUUAUAGUGUCAUUUUAUUAUAAAUUAAAAAAAUGUUUUAAUGUUAGAGGAAAUAUGUGCCUAUAACUUCAAAAAAAAAAAAAUACAUGUAAUUUUCUCUUUUAUUUAAAAUACAGAUUGUAAAAAAAUGAAUGAAAGUGAUAAAUUUGAUAUAAUUUUAUUUAUUACCAAAGUGAUCAAAUCUUUAAGUUUUAUUUAAUUCCAGAUUACUGAUAAAUUUUAUUCCAAUUACCUAUAGAAUGGAUGCUAAAUUAUUUAUAUAUAUGGGUAAAUGGAAAUUCAUUAUUAUAGGGCAUUAUGGAUCACCCAAAGGUUGAUUAGUUGUCCUUAUAAUUAAUGGAUAUGACUGUUGGUAGUGAGUAUGUGUUAUUAGUUUUGCUUGUAUAUCCAAAGAUAACAAGUGUUUCUAGUUAAUGCAUACAUCUUGCCAAAUAAAGUUAAUACUAUUAGCAUCAUUAUGUUUUGUGUAUUAAUGAAUCUCUCAAAGGAGAACAUUAGUAUACAUAGAAUGCUUUCUGAAUCUGUAUAGAAUGUUUAGUUUAUGACUCAAAGUAUUAAUGUUAAGCAUGUGUGAUCAAGUAUUGUUCCUAUAUCUUUAUGCGAAUGAGCAUAACAAUUAAUAUUAAGUCUGCUCUUCCCAAAACUGAUGGUGCAAAAGAAUUUAUGAAAUUUGUGGAAGAGCGCUCCCAAACUACUGAUAAGUCUCUUGUUGGGNNNNNNNNNNNNNNNNNNNNNNNNNNNNNNNNNNNNNNNNNNNNNNNNNNNNNNNNNNNNNNNNNNNNNNNNNNNNNNNNNNNNNNNNNNNNNNNNNNNNNNNNNNNNNNNNNNNNNNNNNNNNNNNNNNNNNNNNNNNNNNNNNNNNNNNNNNNNNNNNNNNNNNNNNNNNNNNNNNNNNNNNNNNNNNNNNNNNNNNNNNNNNNNNNNNNNNNNNNNNNNNNNNNNNNNNNNNNNNNNNNNNNNNNNNNNNNNNNNNNNNNNNNNNNNNNNNNNNNNNNNNNNNNNNNNNNNNNNNNNNNNNNNNNNNNNNNNNNNNNNNNNNNNNNNNNNNNNNNNNNNNNNNNNNNNNNNNNNNNNNNNNNNNNNNNNNNNNNNNNNNNNNNNNNNCAGCUUCUUGAAAUUAUACACACUGAUAUAUGUGGACCUUUUGAUGCAAGUUCUUUCAAUAAAGAAAGGUAUUUUAUCACCUUCAUUGAUGAUUUUUCACGUUAUGGUUAUGUCUAUUUACUGCAUGAAAAAUCGCAAGCGGUGAAUGCCUUGAAAGUUUAUAUAAAUGAAGUGGAAAGGCAAUUAGACAGAAAGGUGAAAAUUGUCAGGUCAGAUAAAGGUGGUGAAUAUUAUGGAAAGUAUGAUGAAAGUGGACAACACCCUGGUCUGUUUGCUAAGUUCCUUGAGAGACGUGGUAUUUGUGCUCAAUACACAAUGUCUGGUACACCACAACAAAAUGGUGUUUCAGAAAGGCGUAAUCGAACCUUAAUGGAUAUGGUUAGGAGCAUGUUAAGGAAGUCAACUGUACCUGUUUCAUUGUGGAUGUAUGCUUUAAAACUGCCAUGUAUCUGUUGAACAGGGUUCCUAGUAAGGCAGUUCAAAAGACACCUUUUGGAUCAUGGACAGGAAGGAAACCCAGUUUGAGACACCUGCAUGUUUGGGGAUGUCAGGCAUAAGUUAAAAUAUACAAUCCGCAAGAGAAGAAAUUGGAUGCAAGAACAAUCAGUGGAUAUUUCAUUGGUUAUCCAGCAAAGUCAAAAGUGUUGGGUCUAUUAGUGUCUAAGUUCAAGAGGGGAGGGGUGAAUUGAGCUUAUAAAUUUUUUGCAAGAACACACAAUUUUCAGUAUUCCAGAGGCAAAAAGAACAGAUUGUUUUUAUAUGAAACAGAUUGAUUCUACAGAGCAGUCUUGGCACAGUUUGAAUUUGUUCAAUGUAAAAUUGUGAUUAACAGAGAAUUAUGACAGAAUCAGAUCAGCUUAAUAUUGUGAGGAUGAAAGCUAUGCUUAGGAACCACACAAAAUUACUCAACACACGAUUUUAAGACAAAUGAUUCUUUCUCAGAUUUAAUGAAUGGGCAGUUUAUUCACAAAUCACUUAAUCCAUCAUAUACAACAACCUUAUUUAUGAUCAGAGAACUUUAACAAACCAGGAAGAACAGUUUUCACUUAAACCUAGAAUUAACAGAUUCAAUUUCAAGAGAACAGAUUUAGUUCUUGACAGAAUUCAGUAAAACCAGAAACGAGUGCAGGGAUGAGAAGAAAAGGCACACAAGUUUUUAUACUGGUUCACUCACACAGAGCUACAUUCAGUCUCACCUUACCCCAAGGUGGAAUUCACUAAAAACAGUACCAAUUACUUACAAACACAGCAGUUCUUGAACCCUACAAGAACAACACAGUCAAUGCUGAAAAACCCUAUUUCAGCACACGUUGCACUCCAAGAAACCCUAUCAAGAAGUGACUAACACUUACACCUUUACAAACAAGAAUAAAGGAAAGAUUACACCUGAAAAGAAGAUGCAAGAACUCAAAACCAGUAGUUCAAUUUGCUGCAGAACUGCACCAGCACCUUCACCAAGAUCAAAGGUUUCCUAGAACAAGCACACUUGAAAAUCUCUUUGGAAAACCUUUUGAAAAUCUUUCAAUCCUUCUCCUCACAUGGAAAAUGUUUGAUCUCUGUCAAAAACGUAAUUGCUCAGCUUACUUUCAUGUGAGAAAGCCUUUUCUUUAUAUAGAAAACAGUUUCUAACUUCUUUUCAAAAAAAAAACGGUUGAAAAGCAGUUAUGAAAACAACAGAUUCAUUUUUGAACUUAACAGAUUUAUUUUGUGAAAAACAGCCAACUCAGCUUAACUGAAAUAACUAACUAAGCCUUACCUGUGGUGCCCUAACAGAAUUUUAGAAAAGCCUUUUAACAGAGAAGAAAUAAACAGAUUUUUUCUCCAUGAAACAGAUUUAUUUUUGUACUGUUUUAAAAUCUUUUAAGAGCACUUUUUAAAAGCUUUUCAUAAACCUUUUAACAGAGAAGAAAUAAACCGAUUCUUUCUCUAUGAAACAGAUUUAUUUUUGUACUGUUUUAAAACUUUUAAGAGCACUUUCAAAAGCUUCUCUGAGCAGACGGCGACCGUAGAUGGCAAUGCUCCACAUGAUCGCCGGUCGGUGGUCAGCAUAGCUACUUGAAAAGACGGUGUAUGAUCGCCGGUCGGUGGUCAGCAUAGCUACUUGAAAAGGCGGUGCAUGAUCGCCGGUCGAUUUGAGGCAGAACACUUUCAAAAGCUUUUCAAAAACCAUUUAACCACAUCAUGUGCUUGAUCUAGGCUUGGUUAGGCAUCUAGGGUGGGUUAUAUAGCAAAAGGCAACCUUUACACAAUUACAAGCCUAAUUACAAACUAAUCUAAAAACCUAUUACAAUCUUCAAAGCACCCAAGCUAUUUUCUUCAUCAAACACACAUCAAGCCUUGGUAGGGAAGAAGCUUCCUCCAGCUUCAACAAAAAGGGUAUAUGUUUUACUGUCCUACCCAUAGCACAAGAAUUGUUGAAUCUGGAAAUGCAAGGUUCAUUGAAAAUGGUGAAACCAGUGGGAGUAAUACUUCACAAAAUGUGGAGAUUAAGGAAGUUAGAGUACAAGUUCCUUUAACUAGUACCUUUACUUCAAGUAUUGUUGUUCCUAAUGUAGUUGAGUCACUCAACGAUGAAGAAGAACAACAAAUUAAUGAUCAUGAAGAAAACAAUGAACCUGUAGUAGAACAACCACAAGAAAUAGUAUUAAGAAGAUCUCAAAGAGAAAGAAAGUCUGCUGUUUCGAAUGAUUAUGUGGUUUAUCAACAAGAGUCAGAAAAUGACUUAAGUAUUGAUAAUGAUGUAUGGGACCUUAUAGAAUUGCCAGAAGGAUGCAAGAGAGUCGGGUGUAAAUGGGUCUUUAAGACUAAACGUGACUCUCAUGGCAAUAUCGAACGUUACAAGGUCCGACUUGUUGCCAAAGGUUUUACUCAAAAGGAUGGCAUUGAUUAUAAGGAGACAUUUUCACCUGUUUCUAAGAAAGAUUCCUUUUGAAUUAUCAUGGCAUUAGUAGCUCAUUAUGAUCUUGAGUUGCAUCAGAUGGAUGUCAAAACUGCUUUUCUGAAUGGGGAUUUAGAAGAGGAUGUUUAUAUGGACCAACCAGUGGGGUUUAUUGAAGAAGGAAAGGAACACAUGGUGUGUAAACUUAAGAAAUCAAUAUACGGGCUUAAACAGGCUUCUAGGCAAUGGUAUCUUAAGUUCAAUGAUACUAUUGUGUCCUUUGGGUUUAAGGAAAACAUCGUUGAUCGGUGUAUAUAUCUGAAGGUCAGUGGGAGCAAGUUUACAUUCUUGAUUCUGUAUGUUGAUGAUAUCUUGCUUGCAACUAAUGAUCUUGGUCUAUUAAGUGAGACUAAGAAGUUUCUCUCUAAUAACUUUGAGAUGAAAGAUAUGGGUGAGGCAUACUAUGUGAUAGGAAUUGAAAUAUUCCGUGACAGAUCACAAGGACUGUUAGGUUUGUCUCAGAAAGCAUAUAUUAAAGUUUUAGAGAGAUUCAGAAUGGAUAAAUGUUCGACAUCUCCUGUUCCAAUAUAGAAAGGAGACAAAUUUAGUCUCAUGCAAUGUCCAAAGAAUGACUUGGAACGGAAACAGAUGGAGAAUAUACCUUAUGCAUCUAUUGUUGGGAGUUUAAUGUAUGCUCAAACUUGUACACGACCAGAUAUUAGUUUUGUAGUUGGUAUGCUUGGUAGAUACCAGAGUAAUCCAGGAUUGGAUCAUUGGAAAGCUGCAAAGAAAGUUUUAAGAUACUUGCAAGGAACGAAGGAUCACAUGCUUACUUAUAAAAGAUCUGAUCAACUUGAGGUGAUUGGAUAUACAGAUUCAGAUUUUGCUGGCUGUGUGGAUACACGAAAGUCUACAUUUCGUUAUGUGUAUCUUUUAGCCGGAGGAGCGAUUUCAUGGAAAAGUGCGAAGCAGUCAGUCAUCGCUGCGUCCACUAUGGAGGCUGAAUUUGUGGCAUGCUUUGAGGCCACAGUUCAGGCUAAUUGGUUGCGGAAUUUUAUUUCAGGACUUGAAAUUGUUGACAGUAUUGCCGUGCCCAUAAUGGAUCUAUUGUGAUAACUCCGCAGCAGUCUUCUUUUCUAAAAACGACAAGUAUUCCAAAGGUGCUAAACAUAUGGAAUUGAAAUACUUUGCCGUUAAAGAAGAAGUUCAGAAACAUAAAGUGUCAAUAGAACAUAUUAGCACUGAUCUUAUGAUUGCUGACCCUUUAACAAAAGGGUUACCGCCCAAAACAUUUACUGGUCAUGUUGUAAAUAUGGGCAUUAUGUCUACUAGUGAAUUAUGAAUGUUGUUAAUGCUUAUUUGACACUCUGAGCUCAUUGAUAAAUAAAGUUUCUGAAAUUUAUGUUGUUUUCUACUUUAUGUAUAUGCAUGCAAAUUAUGUUAUUAUGGUGUCGAAAACAAAUUAUGUUGUUAUUGAUGACAAUGACAUUAUGUUUGAACCUAUUAUGAAUUUCUCACUAUAAAGUCAUAUUAAGGAGAAAGAAUGAUAUAGUAGUACAUGGAAGGAAAUGUGUUGAUUCAAAUGACAUGUAACCGCCAUGACUCUUAUUAUUUCUGUAUUCUUGAUUAUGAAUAAUGAUAGAACCAAUUUAUGUAAGGCCUUUUAAAUGCACAUUUAUGUCAUUAUUAAAUCAUGAAAGUAUUAUAACUCAUAUGAGUCAAGUGGGAGAAUGUAAGAAAUUAUGUAAAUUAAUUUCUAUAAAGUGACUCACAUGACUUAGAGUUUGGGUUUUGGGCCCAAAUAUGAUUUAAUAAUAAUAAUAGAAUAAAGGCUCAUUGGUUAAUGUGAGAAAUAUAUAUAUCUGAUGAUAUACCUAAUGGAAAACCUACAUCUGAUGGAGAUUGGGUACUAAAGGCUAUAGGGUUCUGUCUCUGCAAAUAAUAGUUGUCUCACUGUUAACCAUCACGAAAAUGCGUGACAAGUACGGAAUUGCUAAGAGAUAGAUUGGGAUAAAGGAGAUAAAGUAACUGCUCAAUUAGGAUCACUCAUGGAUCAAGGUAAGUGCCUAUUUCUUCUUCACUUUAUGUUUUGUGAGAAUCAUGAUAUGAUAAGAUCUAUAUGUGAACACAUUAUUGUAUUUGUUUAAUUUACGUUUAUUCAUGUUUUGACUUACAUGACUGUGUUGCAUUAUUGCUUUCUCUUCUAAACACUUCAUCAACUCAUCACUUCCUUCCAUGGAAUUGGCGUCUUCAUCAUCAAAACUGCAAGAAUGUACGAUGUGCUCAUAAACUUUAAUGGAGAAGACAUCCAAAGGAAAUUUGUUUCUCAUCUCGAUUCUGCCCUCUCUGCUGUUGGCUUCACCACUUUCCUUCACCACCCCAAUGCAGACAACCCAAUCCACAUCCAACAACCUAUUCUCAAUCUCUCUCGUGUAGCAAUUGUUGUUUUCACCAAAUCCUAUUCUCAAUCUGCUUGGUAUCUUAAUCAGCUUCAACAAAUCAUCAAAUGGCACCAAACUUAUUGCCGACAUGUUCUGCCCGUAUAUUACGAAAUUCAGCCAUCUGAAGUACGUUUUCAGGAGGGUGAUUUUGGAAAGGCCUUCAAAACAACUGCACACCAAACAUUCUCAGGACAACAACUGGAGCAUGGCAUGUCUAGGUGGAGCCACGCACUCACCAAAGCUGCAAAUUUAUUUGGAUGGGAUGAGAGCAAUUACAGGUAAAUCACUCACUCAAUCACCAUAUUUUAAGCUUCUCAUUUCAUUUUGGUAAUGCAUGAAAUGACUUCUUCCAUAAUUGCUAUUGAACUUGAUGGAGUGAUGCUGAACUAGUGGACACAAUUGUUAAGACCGUUCUUAAUUUACCAGUCGUGUCUGCUACUAAGUUUCCAGUCGGAUUACAAUCCAACGUGGAAGAUAUGAUUCGAACUAUCAAAAAUAAAUCCACGGAAGUUUGUAGGAUAAUGAUAUGCGGAGAGGGAGGAUCUGGUAAAACCACCAUUGCCAAAGCCAUCUACCAUCAAAUUCAUGGUACAUUCACGGAGAGAAGUUUCAUUGAAGAUAUUGAAGAAGUUAGCGGAAUAAGAGGGGAUCUUCAUUUACAAGAACAACUUCUUUCAGAUGUCCUAAAAAGAAAGGUGCAGAUAGAUAGCGUUGAGAUGGGAAGAAGUAUGAUUCGGGAAAGACUUUCUGGGAAAAGGGUGCUCAUUGUACUUGACGAUGCGACUGAGUUUUUUGCAUUAUUCGACCUACGGGAAUGCCAUCAUUGGUUCAGUGUAGGAAGUGUAAUAAUCAUUACAACGAAAGAUAAAAACCUACGGAGUAUGCAUGAUGUUGAUUCUGUUUUUCGCAUAGAUCCAAUGAAGGCAAAGGAGUCCCUUGAGCUUCUUAGUUGGCACGCAUUUAGAGAAGCAAAACCAAAAGAAGAAUAUCAUUUCCUUGCAGAAAGAGUAGUUGCUUAUUGUGGAGGACUACCUCUUGCUCUUGAAGUCAUUGGAAGUAGUUUAUUUGAAAAGACUAGAGAAGAAUGGAAUAGUGUGUUUAUUAAAUUAAUGACAACUUCCAUGCAUGGUAUUCUACAUCAAUUGAAAAUAGGCUUUGACUCUUUACGCAAUGAAAGGGAAAAAAAUGUAUUCCUUGAUGUAUGUUGUUUCUUUGUUGGUAAAGACAGAGCUUAUGUUACGAAUAUACUAAGUGGGUGUGGAGUACACGCUGAGAGUGCAAUAAGAGUUCUGAUAGAGCGUAGCCUCAUACAAGUUAAAAAGAACAACAAAUUGGGAAUACAUCCUUUGCUACGAGAAAUGGGAAGAAAAAUUAUUAGUGAAAUUUCAAGAAAGGAAUCUGUGAAGAGCAGUCGAUGGUUCAUUGAUAAGGAUGCGGAAUAUGUAUUGACAGAUAAUAUAGUAAGAAAUUCUCUAUAUAUGGUUUUGAAAGUUCUUUUGGAAGUGUUUGCUUCCUCAUGUGCAAAACAUUCAUUUGGUUUACUUUGCUUCUUUCAUCACAGGGGACAGAAGCCAUUGAGGGAUUCAUUGUGAAACUGCGUUCCGCCAGAAGAGAUUGGAUCGAAGCAUAUCCUUUAGAGAUAAGAGACAUAUCAAAACUGUUGCAACUCGUUGGGUAUCGUUGUAAGCUCAAAAUACAUUGGAUAUAUAUACCUACGUGGAUUUGAGGGAUCGUCACAUAAUCUUUUUCCUACUAUCAUUCGGUCUUGGAUGACACCAACAAUGAAUAUAAUUGUUGGGUUUUUAGAAUAUUUCAGAGGAAGAUAUUUUAUUAUCUUUGCUAACAAUUACAUUUAUAGUAACUGCAGUAACAAACUCUUAACUAAUUUUAUGAGCAGUUACCUAGAAAUAUUAAAUCAACAAUUAAAACAGAAUAACAAACCGUUAAAAAAUCAUAAUUUCCAACACUCCUCCUUGAUUUUUUGAACUGCAACUUCCAAUCUUCUGUCUUGAGAACUCAAACUUGUUGGUUGGAAGUGGCUUGGUAAACAAAUCUGCAAUUUUUAUUUUUUUCAUCCUCGCUUUGCUUAAUCUCCAUUCAACACCUUUUGAUUUGACAUAAGGUGCAGAUUCUAAAAGACUUUUGUCAAAGCCUAAGCUGAUAAGAUAACAUUUGUCUUCUUUUCCUUCCACAAUGAGACCUUUAGGUUGCUCAACAGAAAUUUUCUCUUCAAGAAAUCCAUUUAGGAAUGUUGACUUGACAUCCAUUUGAUGCACCUUUCUAUCUCGAAGUAUGUUAACAAGUUCCCGAGUUUUGUUCUUCUCACUCAUAUAUACCUCUUCCUCCAUUGCCUUUGGGCCGUUGAUAACUUUUUUGUGAUCAACAGGUUCUUUGUGAUCCGCAGCUUCUUUGUGAUCCACAGGUUCACAUAUUGCAACGUUAUAUCUAUGAUAUAUGUCAGAGAGUAAUCGAUUGCCUUUAAUUGGUGGAUCGUCUUCUAUUUCAGAUUUUUGCAUCUUGAGAAGUCCUUGAUUAGACGGCUCCUCCUGAAAUAGAUCUAAUGAGAAAUUUUUGCCUUUCAUUUGUACCUUGAACAAAUCUUGUCCUGUAGCAUCCUUGAUCGAACAGUGGUUAUCUUCAAAAAACACCUUGAAGCCUUUUUGCAGCAACUGACCAACACUCAAUAAAUUUUGGUCUAUGUUAGGUACAUAUAACACAUCAGUAAUAGUUUUAGUACCUGAAUGUGUUGUUACAACAAUGGUUCCUAUUCCUUUUACUGAAAUGUGACCCCCAUGGCCUAUCUUGACCUUUGAAAUUUUUGAAGGCUUCAACUCCUUGAAAUUUUUUUUGUCAUAAGUCAUGUGAUUUGUGCUUCCACUAUCAAUUAACCACGAUGCACUUGAAAUAUUGUUGGAGAAUCCCCCUCCACAUUUGCAAAUUGAGCAUCUACGUCUUUUUGCUCACUUUGGUUUACAUCUUGUUGCUCACUUUGGUUUCUACAAAUGACUGCUUCAUGCCCAAGUUGAUUGCACUUGUUGCACUUCGCAUCAGGUCUUCUCCAACACUUAAACGGUGGAUGACCUAACUUGUUGCAAUGCUUACAAGGAGGGUAAUUUCUCCUUUUGUUGUUAUUGUGUGCAACAACUUCUCCAUUUUCUUGCUGGUUCUGCUUGAUCUGACUACCUUUGUUUCUCCAACCACCUUUAUGGUUGGCUGUUAAGGCUCCUUCUAUUGCUCCAUCUUGUCUCAUAGCUCUUCUUUGUUCUUGUGCUUGUAAAGCAUUUCAUAGCUCUGCAAGAGAAAUCUUUGAUAGGUCCUUUGUGUUCUCUAUGGUUGUUAUGGUGGCUUCAAACCUCUCUGGAAUCGUUACAAGCAGUUUUUCCACAAUUCUUCAAUCUUUUAAGACAGAUCCAAGCAAUCUCACUUUGUUGGCAAUGCUUAGAAGUCAGUCAAAAUACUCUUUUACGGUUUCUGACUCCUCCAUUCUCUGCAGUUCAAACUCCCUGAUUAGAUUCAGCACUUGCAUUCCACAAAUCCUCUCAUCACCUUCAUAUUCGGCCUUGAGGUAAUCCCAGAUUUCUUUUGCUGACUUCAAUGACAUUAUCCUUGUGAAUACCAUAGGAGAUACAACUGCAAAUAGACAUGUUUUUGCCUUUGUACUUUUCAUCUUUUGUUCCUUCUGUGAUUUCAUUUGUGCCACAGUAGGGUUUUCUGGAAGAGACUGAAUUUCCUCUUCUGCAGCUUCCCAUAAAUCCAAUGCUUCUAGGUAGGUCUCCAUACGAACAACCCACAUUUGAUAAUUGUCUCCAUUAAAGACAGGUGGUGCCAUUGCUGAAAAAUUGAAACCUCCUUCCAUUGAUGCAAUCUACUAACCUCACUGAUCCCUCAAGAAGAUAACUCUGAUACCAAUUGUAGGUUUUUGAGAAUAAUUCAGAGGAAGAUAUUUUAUUAUCUUUGUGAACAAUUACAUUUAUAGUAACUGCAGUAACAAACUCUUAACUAAUUUUAUGAGCAGUUACCUAGAAAUAUUAAAUCAACAAUUAAAACAGAAUAACAAACAGUUAAAAAAACAGAUUUUUCAACAGAAUCCCCCAUCUUAUUUUCAUUCGUUUUGCACGGAUAUGGAGGAUAAUAAUUGGGAUUAUAUUGCGCCAUUGCUUAGCACGCUUGCAAAUCUUUGAAGUGUUUUGGUGCAAUGUAACUCUGAGUUUCAACUAUCUAACCUCUACAAAAACUUGUGAAAUUUCGCCCUAAUAUCUGAAAUUUUAUUCUGGGUUCAUAUUGCGCUGAAAAAAUUCACACAACUACUUUCAUAUGUUGUUUGCACCCAGGUAAGGAGGCACGUCCAUAAACAAAUCACAAAAAGAAGAUACGGGGGAGAAAAGCCAGGACGUUUUGUUUUCCGAAAACCAGUUUUGUUCACUCUCGGUCUGGGACUUAGUACGCCUUAUUCCUUAGGUAUUUUGUUUUGAAAUUUUUACCAGAUGUUCGUCACUGUAUCUACUGAGUUUUGGCUGAGAUUUGAGCCCCAGUUUCGUUUCACGAGACUGUCAAUAAAUUAUUUUUGAUCACUGCCAUGGCUAAGAGGAUGGUUCGGUUGUGUGUGAAACUGUUUGAUUUUUUCACGGGUGAAUACUCAUCCGUUUGACCUGGAAUUUGUUGCAUUUUGUCCCAAAUUCAGUGGAGAUUCUUACGUGAAGUUUCAGAAAAAACUAAUUCCGAGAAUUUUUCAGAAAUUUCGUGCAAACCAAGGCUAUCCUCUACCAAAACCUGUGAAAUUUCGCCCAAGUAUUUGAAAUUUUAUUGUGGGUCCGUAUUGCGCUGAAAAAAUUCACACAAGUACUUUCAAAUGUUGUUUGCACCCAGGCAAGGAGGCACAUCCAUAAAGAAUUCACAAAAGGAAUAUACGGGGGAGAAAAGCAAGGACGUUUUGUUUUAGGAAAACCAGUUUUGUUCACUCUCGGUUUAGGACUUACUACGCCUUAUUUUUUGAGUAUUUUGGUCUGAAAUUUUUACCAGACGUUCAUCACUGUGUCUACAGAGUUUUGGCUGAGAUUUGAGCGCCAGAUUCGUUCCACGAGACUAUCAAUAAACUUUUUAUUCAUCAGUGCCAGAGCUGAGAGGAAGGUUCGUGUGUGUGUGAAACUGUUUGAUUUUUUUCGUGGGUGAAUACUUAUCCGUGUGACCUGAAAUUUGUCGCAUUUUGUCCCAAAUUCAUCGGAGAUUCUUACGUGGAAUUUGAGGAGAAAACUAUUUCAAGACAAUUUUUCAGAAAUUUCGUGCAAACCAAGGUUAUGCUCUACCAAAACUUGUGAAAUUUUGCCCAAGUAUCUGAAAUUUUAUGGUGGGUCCGUAUUGCGCUGAAAAAAUUCACACAAGUAAUUUCAAAUGUUGUUUGCACCCAGGCAAGGAGGCACGUCCAUAAAGAAUUCACAAAAGGAAUAUAUGGGGGAGAAAAGCAAGGCCGUUUUGUUUUCGGAAAACCAGUUUUGUUCACUCUCGGUUUGGGACUUACUACGCCUUAUUCCUUGAGUAUUUUGGUUUGAAAUUUUUACCAGACGUUCGUCACUGUGUCUACUGAGUUUUGGCUGAGAUUUGAGCCCCAGAUUCGUCCCACGAGACUAUCAAUAAACUUUUUAUUCAUCAGUGCCAGAGCUGAGAGGAAGGUUCCUUUGUGUCUGAAACUGUUUGAUUUUUUUCGUUGGUGAAUACUCAUCCGUUUGACCUAGAAUUUGUUGCAUUUGAUCCCAAAUUCAGUGGAGAUUCUUACAUGAAAUUUCAGAAAAAACUAUUUUCGGAGAAUUUUUCAUAAAUUUUGUGUAAACCAAUGUUAUACUCUACCAAAACUUGUGAAAUUUCUUCCUAGUAUCUGAAAUUUUAUUCUGGGUCCGUACUGCGCUGAAAAAAUUCACACAAGUACUUUCAAAUGUUGUUUGCACCCAGGCAAGGAGGCACGUCCAUAAAGAAAUCACAAAAAGAAUAUACGGGGGAGAAAAGCUAGGAUGUUUUUGUUUUCGGAAAAUCAAUUUUGUUCACUCUCGGCCUGGGACUUACUACGCCUUACUCCUUGGGAAUUUUGGUCUGAAAUUUUUACUAGACGUUCUUCACUGUGUCUACUGAAUUUUGGCUGAGAUUUGAGCCCCAGAUUCGUCCCACGAGACUAUCAAUAAAUUUUUUAUUCAUCAGUGUCAGAGCCUAGAGGAAGUUUCGUGUGUGUGUGAAACUGUUUGAUUUUUAUCGUGGGUGAAUAAUCAUCCGUGUGACCUUAAAUUUGUCGCAUUUUGUCCCAAAUGCAUCGGAGAUUCUUACGUGGAAUUUCAGGAAAAAACUAUUUCGAGAGAAUUUUUCAGAAAUUUUGUGCAAACCAAGGCUAUCCUCUACCAAAACUUGUGAAAUUUCGCCAAAGUAUCUGAAAUUUUAUUCUGGGUCCGUAUUGUGCUGAAAACAUUCACACAAGUACUUUCAAAUGUUCUUUGCACCCAGGCAAGGAGGCACGUCCAUAAAGAAAUCACAAAAAGAAUAUACGGGGGAGAAAAGCCAGGACGUUUUGUUUUCGGAAAACCAGUUUUGUCACUCUUUGUUUGGGACUUACUACGCCUUAUCCCUUGGGUAUUUUGGUUUGAAAUUUUUACCAGACGUUCGUCACUGUGUCUACUGAGUUUUGGCUGAGAUUUGAGCCCCAGAUUCGUUUCACGAGACUGUCAAUAAAUUGUUUUUGAUCACUGCCAUGGCUAAGAGGAAGGUUCGUUUGUGUGUGAAACUGUUUGAUUUUUUUCAUGGGUGAAUGCUCAUCCUUCUGCUGUUGCUGUUUUAAUUCUGAUGUAAUCAAAACAAUAUCUUGUUUUAUCUCUUAUCUUUGUCUAUUUGUGAAGACAAAUAGGGGGAGAUAUAUGCUGUGUUUCUAGUUUGUUUUAAGUUUCUGUUUUUCAGUUGAUAAAACAGUUUGGAAUAUGUAAUAUAUCUCUGAUAUUAGAUGUUUUAAGCUUUAAACUGUUUAUCUGUAUGCUAACAAAAUAUCAGAAGUUCAAUGUAUUGCUCAAAGUUCUAUUGCAGGAACUGCUUCAUUUAAUCAGGUACAACACAAGCAUCAGGGAUUUGUCUUCAUCAAAUAGGGGGAGAUUGUUGAACCAAGUGGUGUUCAAUGUUUUGAAGAAUCCAAAUCCUUUGAAGGAUGUUGAAGCAUCUGCUUUGCUUGAUGUUGCUGUGCUGGUUUAAGCUUUGUUCUGGGGUAGUUUAUAUGUUGUAAUCAACCCUUCGAUUAAAUCUCAAGCAAUUAGCAUCUCAAUCUUUAUGAAAAUAAAAUGUUUUUCAAACUAAGUUGAAACAACCAAUUGUUUUGUCGAAACAACCGAUUGUUUAUACUUAGGUGUUUUGAGAAAGAUUGAAAACUGUUUUUGAAUGGUUGAAACUGUUAAGUACCAAAACAACCGAUUGAUUCGAGGAAGCAACCGAUUGUUUGUUUUGGAAUCAUAAUAGAAAAACUGUUUUGUGUUUGAUUGAGCUUUAAAUGCUUUAACUGUAUAUGCUCUAGUCAUUAAAUGCUUUGACCAAUCUUUUAAUGCAAUUUAAGAGUUUGUUAAGAUUUGAUAACAAACUACAUCUUUGAAUAUAUUAAGAAAAACAUAUUUGAGAAUUAAGAAUCUUUGACAAAGUUUUUCUAAAGAGUUUUUCAAAGAGUUGAGAUUGCUAAGAGUUUGUGAUUGAUCAAGGUGCUGGAAUAGGAUUCUACUUGUAUUGAUUUCAGAUAUUCAUUUGUAACAAGUGUAAUCUUUGUACUCUGUUUAACAAUUUGUUUUUGUGCUUGCUGAGAUUGGCUAUGUGUUCUUGAGGUGUUCAAGAUCAGCAAUCUUAGUGUUGGCCAAGGAGAGUGUGUUUCUUGAGGUGUUCAAGGUCAUUCUCUUGGUUGAUUGUGUAAGUGAUCAAGGUGUGGUUGCUUAGUGGAUAUCCUCAGGAUUUCUGGAAGACUGGAUGUAGCUCUGGUUUGGAGUGAACCAGUAUAAACAACUGUGUACAAUCUCUCUAUCCCUAACUCUUUAAAUUCAGUUUAUUUGUUGUUUGCUGGUAUAAACAGCCGAUUGUUUCUACGAAACAACCAAUUGUUUUUCUGGUACUACAACUUUUGCUUGCUGUUUUGGCUAACUGAAUUGCUGAAUCAAUUGGUUUCUAAGAUAAAUUCAUUCUAGUGUUUGAAGAUUUUGCGAAAACCCUUUUAAACUAUUCACCCCCCUCUAGUUUAAAGCCAUCUUUUCUAACAACUAUUUCGAGACAAUUUUUCAAAAAUUUUGUGCAAACCAAGACUAUCCUGAUGAGAAUCAAAUAAAGGAGGCUUUUAUUAUUGAAGGAAGAGGUCAUUCACCUACACAUUUGAAGUUCUUCCUUCUAGUCUUCUCAAAAUUAAAAGAAGAUAUAAAAUAAAGAGAGGAUCAAGCCUAAAGCCAAAGAAGUCUACAGGCUUUCAAGAAUAGGCUUCAUUUAAAUAUCUCUCUUUAUAGUUUCUUUUGUAUAAAAUUGUAGAUAAUAUAGAAAAGUGUUUAGGAAGGUGCUUAUAGGAAAACCAUAGAUACCUCUUUUGUAAAGCAUCUUUAGGCUUUAGUUUAGAAUUUUCUAGAAGGUGACUCUUCAUAAGUCACUAUAGGCGUUAGCUUAGGAGACUUUUGGGUAGCUUGUGGUACAAGCUUUGUAAGCUUCAUGACCAGCCCUUGCUCCUAUAAAAGGAGGGCUUAGGUCCUUCAUAAUGCAAAUUUGGAAUUUGUAGUAUCAAAACUCUCCCAAAUUGGUGAUUGAGUGUAGUGAGAACUUGUCUUCUCCUCUUCCUAGUCUCAUCUUGAGUGCCUUGGUUCUCUCAAGUGGCGGCAUUGCACACUUAUCUUGGAGCAUUCACACUUCAAGUGGUGUGUUCAUCAACCAAGAACUACAACCACAUAAGUCCUCUUUCUUCUCCAUCUUCUCAUUCCAUUUCCGUGCCUAUUUGAAUUCCUAAACAUGUCUUAGGUUCCUUUCUUGCUUUCUAUUCGGUGUUCUUGCUUAUUUUCAUGUUUCAAUCGGUUCAUCUUCUUUCUCCUUGGAUUUGUUCUGUCCAUUUCAGUUUUGAAGCAUUUUAAUCGGUUCAUUUCAUUUGUUAUGCAAUUUAAUCGGUUCAUUUGCAUUUCUACAUCUUUUAAUCGGUUCAAUUGACAAGAAAUGGAACUUCCAUGUGAGUUUGGGUUUUGGUACUAGUUUUGGUGAGUUCUUCAUUAUAGAACAUUGAUCCAAUUCUAUUAAAAGUUCCUAUUCAAUCUCCAACUCAAGUUGAUUCCAUAGAAUGUCAAAGAAUCAUCUCUUCUUUGCUAUUGGAUUCAUAUCAUAUCCUCUACCAAAACUUGUGAAAUUUUGCCCUAGUAUAUGAAAUUUUAUUCUGGGUCCGUAUUGCGUUGAAAAAAUUCACACAUGUACUUUCAGAUGUUGUUUGCACCCAGGUAAGGAGGAACGUCCAUAAACAAAUCACCAAAAGAAUAUAAAGGGGAGAAAAGCCAGGACGAUUUGUUUCCGGAAAACUAGUUUUCUUCACUCUCGGUCUGGACUUACUACGCCUUACUCCUAGGGUAUUUUGUGAUGCAAAUUUUACCAGACAUUCGUCACUUUGUCUACUGAGUUUUGGCUGAGAUUUGAGCCCCAUAUUCGUCCCACGAGACUGUCAAUAAAUUUUUUAUUCAUCACUGUCAGAGCUGAGAGUGAGGUUCGUUUGUGUGUGAAACUGUUUGAUUUCUUUCAUGGGUGAAUACUCAUCCGUUUGACCUGAAAUUUGUCGCGUUUAGUCCCAAAUUCAGUGGACAUUCUUACAUGGAAUUUCAGGAAAAAACUAUUUCAGGAGAAUUUUUCAGAAAUUUUGUGCAAACCCAGGCUAUCCUCUUCCAAAACUUUUGAAAUUUCACCCUAGUAUCUGAAAUUUUAUUCUAGGUCCGUAUUGCGCUGAAAAAAUUCACACAAGUACUUUCAAAUAUUGUUUGCACCCUGGCAAGGGGGCACAUCCAUAAACAAAUCACAAAAAUAAUAUAUACGGGGGAGAAAAGGCAGGACGUUUUGUUUUCGGAAAACCAGUUUUGUUCACUCUCGUUCUAGGACUUACUACGCCUUACUCCUUGAGUAUUUUUGGUCUGAAAUGUUUACCAGACGUUCGUCACUGUGUCUACUGUGUUUUGGCUGAGAUUUGAGCCCCAGAUUCGUCCCACGAGAGUGUCAAUAAACAUUUUAUUCAUCACUGCCAGGGCCAAGAGGAAGGUUCGUUUGUGUGUGAAACUGUUUGAUUUUUUUCGUGGGAGAAUACUCAUCUGUUUGACCUGAAAUUUGUCGUGUUUUGUCCCAAAUUCAGUGGAGAUUCUUACGUGGAAUUUCAGAAAAAGUCUAUUUUAGGAGAAUUUUUCAGAAAUUUUGUGCAAACCCAGGUUAUCCUCUUCCAGAACUUUUGAAAUUUCGCCCUAGUAUCUGAAAUUUUAUUUUAGGUCCGUAUUGCGCUGAAAAAAUUCACACAAGUACUUUCAUAUGUUGUUUGCACCCAGAUAAGCAGGCUUGUCCAUAAACAAAUCACAAAAAGAAGAUACGGGGGAGAAACGACAGGACGAUUUGUUUUCGGAAAACCAGUUUCGUUCACUCUCGGUUUUGGACUUACUACGCCUUACUCCUUGGGUAUUUUGGUCUGAAAUUUUUAUCAGACCUUCGUCACUGUUUCUACUGAGAUUUCAGCCCUAGAUUCGUCCCAAGAGACUGUCAAUAAAUUUUUAUUCAUCACUGUCAGGGCUGAGAGGAAGGUUCGUUUGUGUGCAAAACUGUUUGAUUUUUUUCAUGGGUGAAUACUCAUCCGUUUGAUCUGAAAUUUGUUGCAUUUUGUCCCAAAUUCUGUGGAGAUUCUUACGUGAGAUUUCAGAAAAAAUUAUUUCCGGAGAAUUUUUCAAAAAUUUUGUGUAAACCAAGGCUUUAUACUCUACCAAAACUUGUGAAAUUUCGCCCCAGUAUCUGAAAUUUUAUUUUGGGUCCGUAUUGCGCUGAAAAAAUUCACACAAGUACUUUCAUAUGUUGUUUGCACCCAGGUAAGGAGGAACGUCCAUAAACAAAUCACCAAAAGAAUAUAAAGGGGAGAAAAGUCAGGACGAUUUGUUUUCGGAAAACCAGUUUUGUUCACUCUCGGUCAGGGACUUACUACGCCUUACUCCUAGAGUAUUUUGUGAUGAAAAUUUUACCAGACGUUCGUCACUGUGUCUACUGCGUUUUGGAUGAGAUUUGAGCCCCAGAUUCGUCACAUGAAACUGUCAAUAAAUUUUUUAUUCAUCACUGUUAGGGCUGAGAGGAAGGUUCGUUUGUGUGUGAAACUUUUUGAUUUUUAUUAGGGAUGGCAAAGCGGGGCGGGCCGUGCGGGCCGGCCCGCGGCCCGCAGGUAAAAAACGCGGUGCGGGUUAACCUUUUCAACCCGCUAACCCGCAUUAGCACGCCCCGCAUUAGCCCGCAACCCGUGCGGGCUGGCCUGCAAACCCGCAAGAAAAAAAAAUUGGCACUUAGUAGCAGCAGGGCAACGUAAUUAGGUUUUCACAAAAUUUCAAAGAAAGAAACACAACACAAUCGCGCUCACAUCUCACAGGGGCUCAGUUGCUGCUCCCAAACGGUCCACACACAAACGCUUUCGGCAACACCGCUGCGACUCCGCUUGCUCACGCCGCUACUGCUCCAUUGCGUCGCCUCUGAUCACUUCCGCACUGCACCAUUGCUGCAGCUACUGCCGCCACUCCUUCUCCACCACACAAGGCAAGUUUUUUUCUACAAAUUAAUUGGAGAUUUAUGUUUAUGUUGUUUGAAAUUUUGAUAUAAAUUGGGGAUUUAUGUUUAUUUGAUUUGAAAUUUUGAUAUAAAUUGGGGAUUUAUGUUUAUUUGAUUUGAAGUUUUGAUAGAAAUUGGGGAUUUAUGUUUAUUUGAUUUGAAGUUUUGAUAUAAAUUGGGAAUUUGUGUUUAUUUGUUUUGAAUUUUUUAUGUAAAUUGGGGAUUUGUGUUUAUUUUGUUUGAAAUUUUGAUAUAAAUUGGGGAUUUGUGUUUAUUUGUUUUGAAUUUUUUAUGUAAAUUGGGGAUUUGUGUUUAUUUUUUUUGAAAUUUUGAUAUAAAUUGGGUAUUUGGGUUUAUCUGCAUAUAAAUUAGGGAUUCUAUAUUUUCCAACAGGAUCUUAAUUUGCAAAUUGAUUGUAAUGGAUGAAGAAUGUAACAUGCCUCUUUGUGACUUUGAAGAUGAUAAUACUGAGAAACAAUCUGAAACUGUUGAACCUGAAAAAAAGAAAAGGGAUAAGACUAGCACAUCUGAUUGUUGGAGGUAUUUUACUAGGAUUAAGGAGGGAAAGGAUGGAAAAGAAAGGGCAAAGUGCAAUAGCUGCAACAAAAUAUAUAUAACUUGCGGAAGAAAAUAUGGGACUUCUCAUUUAAAUCGUCAUAUUAUGAAAUGUGUUAAAAGAAAAUCUGAAGAUGUGGGUCAAAUGAUUUUGGAUAUGCAGGGAAAGUUGAAGGCAAAAAAAAUAGAUCAAGUUGUACAUCGGGAAUUGUUGUCUAAUCUAGUUAUUAGCCACAAUUUGCCUUACAAAUUUGUUGAGUAUCCCGAACUUAGGACUUGGAUAAACUACUUGUGUCCUGAUGCAAUUAUGAUUUCUAGAAACACUGUUAAGGCUGAUAUUGGGAGAAUGUAUAUGAAAGAAAAAAUAAUGCUUAAGGAAUUGAUUGCUUCCAUUCCUAGUAGGAUAUGCUUAACUUCUGAUUUAUAGACAUCUAUUAAUACUGAGGGUUUCAUAUCAUUGACUGCACAUUUUGUUGACCUGAAUUGGAAGUUAAAUACCAAGCUACUAAACUUUUGUCAUAUGCCUCCCCCUCACAUAGGUUUUGAGUUGUCUAAGAAAAUUAAUGAAUUUUUACAAGAUUGGGGACUAGAGAAAAAAAAAUAUUUUUUUCCCCUCUGACUUUGGAUAAAUGCUUCCUGCUAAUGUCCAAAAUACUUUAAAAAGGCAACUUAUUUUUCAAAAUGGUUUGAUAUGUGGUGGUGAAUUCUUUCAUGUUCGUUGUUGUGCACACAUAUUGAAUUUAAUUGUUCAAGAAGGAUUAAAGGUGCUUGGUGAUGCUUUGGACCAAAUUAGAAAUAGCAUCAAGUAUGUGAGGGGUUCGGAAAGUAGAAUGGUGAAAUUUAAACAAUGCCUUGAAAGGUUUAGUGAUAUUGAUGCAUCAUCUGGGUUGUGUCUUGAUGUCCCUACAAGAUGGAACUCCACAUAUUUGAUGAUUAAUAGUGCUCUUAAAUAUCAACGUGUUUUUGGAAGCUUGCAUUUGGUUGAUGAAUCUUAUAAAUAUUGCCCUACAGAGGAAGAGUGGGAGAGAGCUAGAAAAAUUUGUGAGUUCUUGUUACCCUUUUAUGAAAUCACUAACUUGAUUUGUGCUACAAGUUAUCCUACUUCCAACUUGUAUUUUUUACAAGUUCGGAGAAUUCAGCGUUUAUUGAUGGAAAAUGUGAAGGAUGAAGAUGUACUAAUUAAGAACAUGGCUAAAUUGAUGAUAGUAAAGUUUGAGAAAUAUUGGGAUGAAUAAAGCGUUGUACUUGCAUUUGGUGCAAUUUUAGACCCAAGGAUGAAGUUAGAAACAUUGGGAUUUUGCUUUGAAAAAAUUGAAUCACUUACUUGGGAACUAAAAUUGAAAAAGAUCAAGGAAAAAUUAUACAAACUUUUUGCUGAAUAUUCUACCAAAGGUUUCACAACAUCAUCAAGUGUUCAAAAGCAAAGGCAAGGACAAUCUUCAUUCUCAUCAUCUAUGUCUAAACCAAGUCUUUUUGAUGUAAGUUAUUUACUUUAAUAAUACUUAUUAAUGCACUUUAAUUCAUUUUUAAUUUUUUUACAGCAAUCCAUUAUACUGACUUAUUACAUCAUUAUAGGAAUUAAAAAUGCGCAAGCUUCAAGUAGCUAAUAAAGCUGGAAGGUCACAACUUGACACUUAUUUGGAUGAACCAACUUUGGAUUUUGACUAUUCAGAGGAGAUGGAUGGGUUAGAUUGGUGGAAAAAUAAUAGUCAACGUUUUUCUGAUCUUGCUUUAAUGGCUAGAGAUUUGUUGAGCAUCCCUAUAACCACAGUUGCAUCAGAAUCUGCAUUUAGCAUUGGUUCUCGAAUUCUUAACAAGUAUAGGAAUCGACUUUUGCCUGAAAACUUGGAAGCAAUCAUUUGUACUUCUAGUUGGAAGCAUGGAUUUUCUGAAGGUAAUUCGAUUAUUUUAUUUUAUUUUAUUUUUAUUGUUUUUUUUUAUCAGCAAUAAGGAUUGAAUAACAGGAACCACUUAAGGGGUGGUUCAACCCUAUACAUACCUAUAUAAUAUGAAUCAAAUCUCAGGUCUCCCAAACCAAUAAGAUGAGAGAGACAAAAAAAUCUACCACUAAAAACCCGUUCAAACCCGUACAAACCCGUACAAUCCCGUACAAACUCAAAACAAACCCAAUACAAACUCACUGCAACCAUAACAAGGGCCAAAAAGAACAACAACCCUUAUCCACCAACCCAAUAGCCCACAAAAACCAACAACCAUCGAAAUAGAGAUACCUAUCACCCUAAACUGGGUCAUGCCAAUUAAAUCGAUUUCAAACACGAUAAAGGAACAAGACACCAGUCAGAAAAGGAGAAGCAAACAGAGGGUAUUUUAGAAGUUACCCAUGACCAAACCUUCAAUUGAGCCAAAAGUUAUCUUAUUUUUAUGAAAAAUUAAUUAAUUAAUUGUCAUUGUUUUAAUAUAUGCAGAUGACGGGGAAGAUUAUAAUUAUGAAAAAAUGGAUGAAAGUUCUUCUAAGGUGGCAUCCAAUGUUAUUGAGAUGGAAGAAUGUCAAUAAUGUUUAUGUUUAAUGUUUUUGAAUUAAUGUUUAUGUUUAAUGUUUUGGAAUUAGGUAUUUUUAAUGUUUUGGAAGUGGAAGAAUAGUGAUAUUUGAUAUUUAUUUUAAUGUUUAAUGUUUUGACGUUUGACUAUAUUUGAAAAGGAAGGAAAAAAAAUUAGGUUUGAUAAUAAUAAAUAUAUAGGUUUAAUUUGACAAUUUUUUAAGAACAAAAUGUAAAAAAAAAAGAACGCGGGCUGGCCAGCAAACCCGCGGGCUGGCCAGCAAACCCGCGGGCCUGCUCUUAUGCGGGGCGGGUCGGGAAUUCUAGCCCGCAAUAACUUUGCAGGGCGGGAAACCCGUCCCGCAUUUUUGUGGGCCAAGCGCGGGGCGGGCCAAUGCGGGGCGGGCUGGCCCGCUUUGCCAUCCCUAAUUUUUAUCAUGGGUGAAUACUCAUUCGUCGCACGAGACUGUCAAUAAAUUUCUUAUUCAUCAAUGCCAAGGCUGAGUAUAUGGUUCGUUUGUGUGUGAAACUGUUUCAUUUUUUUCGUGGGUGAAUACUCAUCCGUGUGACCUGAAAUUUGUCGUGUUUUGCCCCAAAUUCAUCGGAGAUUCUUACGUGGAAUUUCAGGAAAAAACUAUUUCGGGAUAAUUUUUCAGAAAUUUUGUGCAAACCAAGGCUAUCCUCUACCAAAACUUGUGAAAUUUCGCCCAAUAUCUGAAAUUUUAUUGUAGGUCCAUAUUGCGCUGAAAAAAUUCACACAAGUACUUUCAAAUAUUGUUUGCACCCUGGCAAGGGGGCACAUCCAUAAACAAAUCACAAAAAUAAUAUAUACGGGGGAGAAAAGGCAGGACGUUUUGUUUUCAGAAAACCAAUUUUGUUCACUCUCGGUUUGGGACUUACUACGCCUUACUCCUUGGCUAUUUUUGUUUGAAAUUUUUACCAGACGUUUGUCACUGUGUUUACUGAGUUUUGGCUGAGAUUUGACCCCCAGAUUCGUUCCACGAGACUGUUAAUAAAUUUUUAUUCAUCACUGUCAAGGCUGAGAGGAAGGUUCGUUUGAGUGUGAAACUGUGUUGAUUUUUUUUAUGGGUGAAUACUCAUCCGUUUGACUUGAAAUUUGUAGCAUUUUGUCCGAAAUUCAGUGGAGAUUCUUACGUGAAAUUUCAGAAAAAAGUAUUUCCGGAGAAUUUUUCAGAAAUUUUGUGUAAAACAAGGUUAUACUCUACCAAAACUUGUGAAAUUUCUCCCUAGUAUCUGAAAUUUUAUUUUCGGUCCGUAUUGCGCUGAAAAAAUUCACACAAGUAUUUUCAUACGUUCGUCACUAUGUCUUCUGAGUUUUGGCUGAGAUUUGAGCCUCAGAUUCGUCCCAUGAGACUGUCAAUAAAUUUUUUAUUCAUCAGUGCCAGAGCCUAGAGGAAGGUUCGUGUGUCUGUGAAACUGUUUGAUUUUUAUCGUGGGUGAAUACUCAUCUGUGUGACCUUAAAUUUGUCGCGUUUUGUCCCAAAUUCAUCGGAGAUUCUUACGUGGAAUUUUAGGAAAAAACUAUUUCGGGAGAAUUUUUCUGAAAUUUUAAAAUUUCGCCCUAGGAUCUGAAAAUUUAUUCUAGGUCCGUAUUGCGCUGAAAAAAUUCAUACAAGUACUUUCAUAUGUUGUUUGCACCCAGAUAAGCAGGCACGUCCAUAAAUAAAUCACAAAAAGAAGAUACGGGGGAGAAACGCCAGGACGAUUUGUUUUCGGAAAACAAGUUUUGAUCACUCUCGGAUUUGGACUUACUACGCCUUACUCCUUGGGUAUUUUGGUCUGAAAUUUUUACCAGACGUUCGUCACUAUAUCUACUGGGUUUUGGCUGAGAUUUCAGCCCCAGAUUCGUCCCAAGAGACAGUCAAUAAAUUUUUUAUUCAUCAUUGCCAGGGCUGAGAGUAAGGUUCGUUUGUGUGUGAAACUGUGUCAUAUUUUUCGUGGGUGAAUACUCAUCCGUUAGACCUGAAAUUUGUCGCGUUUUGUCUCAAAUUCAGGGGAGAUUCUUAUGUGGAAUUUAAGGAAAAAACUAUUUCGGAAUAAUUUUUCAUAAAUUUUGUGCUAACAAAGACUAUCCUUUACAAAACUUGUGAAAUUUCGCCCUAGUAUCUGAAAUUUUAUUAUAGGUCCCUAUUGCGCUGAAAAAAUUCGCACAAGUACUUUUAUAUGUUGUUUGCACCUACGUAAGCAUGCACAUCUAUAAACAAAUCACAAAAAGAAGAUACGGGGGAGAAAAGCCAGGACGUUUUGUUUUCGGAAAACCAGUUUUGUUCACUCUCGGUCUGGGACUUACUACGCCUUACUCCUUGGGAAUUUUAGUCUGAAAUUUUUACCAGACGUUCGUCACUGUGUCUACUGAGUUUUUGCUAAAAUUUGAGCCCCAGAUUCGUCCCACGAACCUGUCAAUAAAUUUUUUAUUCAUCACUGUCAGCGUUGAGAGGAAGGUUCGUUUGUGUGUGAAACUGUUUGAUCUUUUUCGUGGGUGAAUACUCAUCCGUUUGGCCUGAAAUUUGUCACAUAGUGUUCCAAAUUCAGCGGAGAAUCUUAUGUGGAAUUUCAGGAAAAAACUAUUUCAGGAGAAUUUUUCAGAAAUUUUGUGCAAACCAAGGCUAUCAUCCUCUACCAAAACUUGUGAAAUUUCGCCAUAGUAUCUGAAAUUUUAUUCUGGGUCCGAAUUGCGAUGAAAAAAUUGACACAAGUACUUUCAUAUGUUGUUUGGACCCAGGCAAGGAGGCAUGUGCAUAAAGAAAUCACAAAAAGAAUAUACGGGGGAGAAAAUCCAUGACGUUUUGUUUUCGGGAAACCAGUUUUGUUCACUCUCGGUAUAGGACUACUAGGCCUUACACCUUGGGUAUUUUGGUCACAAAUUUUUACCAGACUUUUGUCACUGUGUCUACUGAGUUUUUGCUUAGAAUUGAACCCCAGAUUCGUCCCACGAGACUGUCAAUAAAUUUUUUAUUCAUAACUGCCAGAGCUGAGAGGAAGGUUCGUUUGUGUGUGAAAUUGUUUGAUUUUUUACGUGGGUGAAUAUUCAUCCGUUUGACCUGAAAUUUGUCGCGUUUUGUCCCAAAUUAUGUGGAGAUUCUUACGUGGAAUUUAAGGAAAAAACUCUUACGGGAGAUUUUUUUUCAUAAAUUUUGUGCAAACCAAGUCUAUCCUCUACCAAAACUUCUUAAAUUUCUCCCUAGUAUUUGAAAUUUUAUUCUAGGUCCGUAAUCCGCAGAAAAAAUUCACACAAGUACUUUCAUAUGUUGUUUGCACCCAGGUAAGGAGGCACGUCAAAAAACAAAUCACAAAAAGAAGAUAAUGGGAGAAAAGCCAGGACGUUUUGUUUUUGGAAAACUAGUUUUGUUCACUCUCGGUCUCAGACUUACUACGCCUUACUCCUUGGGUAUUUUAGUGUGAAAUUUUGACGAGAUGUUCGUCACUGUAUCUACUGAGUUUUGGCUGAGAUUUGAGCCUUAGAUUCAUCCUACGAGACUGUCAAUAAAAUAUUUAUUCAUCCCAGUCAGGGCUGAGAAGAAGGUUCGUUUGUGUGUGAAACUGUUUGAUUUUUUUCGUGGGUGAAUACUCAUCCGUUUGACCUGAAAUUUGUCGCCUUUUGUCCCAAAUUCAGUGGAUAUUCUUAUGUGGAAUUUCAGGAAAAAAAUAUUUCGGGAGAAUUUUUCAUAAAUUUUGUGCAAACCUCUACAUAUAAACUUGUGAAAUUACGCCCUAGUAUCUGAAAUUUUAUUUUGGGUCCGUAUUGCGCUGAAAAAAUACACACAAGUACUUUCAUAUGUUGUUUUCACCCAGGCAAGGAGGCACGUCCAUAAAGAAAUCACAAAAAGAAUAUACGGGGGAGAAUAGCCAGGACGUUUUGUUUUCGGGAAACUAGUUUUUUUCACUCUCGGUCUGGGACUUAUUAUGCCUUACACCUUCAGUAUUUUGGUCAUAAAUUUUUACCAGACGUUCGUCAAUGUGUCUACUGAGUUUUGGCUGAGAUUUGAGCCCCAGAUUUUUCUCACGAGACUGUUAAUAAAUUUUUUAUUCAUCACUGCCAGGGCUGAGAGGAAUGUUCGUUUGUGUGUCAAAUUGUUUGGCUUUUUUCGUGGGUGAAUAUUCAUCCGUUUGACCUUAAAUUUGUCGCGUUUUGUCCCAAAUUUAGUGGAGAUUCUUACGUGGAAUUUCAGGAAAAAAGUAUUUCGCGAGAAGUUUUCAGAAUUUUUGUGCAAUUUCGCCCUAGUAUAUGAAAUUUUAUUCUAGGUCCGUAUUGCACUGAAAAAAUUUACACAAGUACUUUCAUAUGUUGUUUGCACCCAGGUAAGGAGGCACGUCCAAAAAAAAAUCACGAAAAGAAGAUACUGGGGUGAAAAGCCAGGAUGUUUUUGUUUAGGAAAACCAGUUUUGUUCACUCUCGGUCUCGGACAUACUACGCCUUACUCCUUGGGUAUUUUGGUUUGAAAUUUUUACGAGAUGUUCGUCACUGUGUUUACUGAGUUUUGGCUGAGAUUUGAGCACCAGAUUCAUCCAACGGGACUUACAAUAAAUAUUUUAUUCAUCACUGUCAGGGCUGAGAGGAAGGUUUGUUUGUAUGUGAAACUAUUUGAUUUUUUUCUUGGGUGAAUACUCAUCCGUUUGACCUGAAAUUUGUCGCCUUUUGUCCCAAAUUCAGUGGAGAUUCUUCUGUGGAAUUUCAGGAAAAAACUAUUUCCAGAGUAUUUUUCAGAAAUUUUGUGCAAACCAAGGCUAUCCUCUAAAUUUCGCCCUGGUAUCUAAAAUUUUAUUCUGGGUCCGUAUUGCGCUGAAAAUAUUCACACAAGUACUUUCAUAUGUUGUUUGCACCCAGGUAAGGAGGCACGUCCAUAAACAAAUCACAAAAAGAAGAUAAAGGGGAGAAAAGCCAGGACGUUUUGUUUUCGGAAAACCAGUUUUGUUCACUCUCGGUCUGGGACUACUACGCCUUACACAUUGGGUAUUUUGGUCAGAAAUUUUUACCAGACGUUCUUCAUUGUGUCUAAUGAGUUUUGGCUGAGAUUUGAGCCCCAUAUUCGUCCCACGAGACUGUCAAUAAAUUUUUAUUCAUCACUGCCAGGACUAAGAGGAAGGAUCGUUUGUGUGUGAAACUGUUUGAUUUUUUCGUGGGUGAAUUUUUUCUGGAAACUCUAUGUUUUGUUUAAGUGAUCUUUAUUCUGCUGCUUUACUGCUGAUGUUUUGGGGUUUUAGCUGCUACUUUGUUUAAGCAAAACAUAAGUUUUGUUUUACUGCUCUAACCUCUCCCAUAUAUGUUGUACUUUGCUUAAACUUUGCUUUGCAGGAACUGCUUCAGAUUCAAUCAAGUCCAACACAAGCAACCAGGGAUUUGUCUUCAUCAAUUAGGGGGAGAUUGUUGAAUCAAGUGUGUUCAAGCUUUGAAGAAUCCAAAUCGUAGUGUUUGAUGUAAAGCUGGAGGUGCUCUUUGAUGUUGUUGUGCUUUAGAAUAGGAUCUGGGGUAGAUUAUAUUUGUAAUCCACUCUUUGUUGAAUAUAAAGCUUAAGUGUUUUCAAAUCUUUUAAGUUUAAAGUGUUUUUCAAACUAAGUGAAAAACAACUUGUUUAGUCGAAACAACCGAUUGUUUUAUACUUAGGUGUUUUUGAAAUUGUUGAAAACUGUUUUGGAUGGUUGACUUGCUGUCAAACCAAAACAACCGAUUGAUUCGCUAUUUCAACUGAUUGUUUGUUUGAAAUCCUAACAAAAAUAGUUUUGUUAGUUAAAUGAGCUUUAAUUGAUUUUAUAACUGAAUACGCUCCUGCUUUAAAUGUUUUAACCAAGAUUUGAAUACUAUAAAUAGUUCGUUAAUGUUUUAUAACAAACAAGAAGAAAGAAAAACAAAUUUGAGUUUUUCAAAGAGCUUUUCAAAGAUUUGAGUUUUCACUUUGAGCUUUGGUUAUUCAAGAGAGAAGUGGAAUAUGAUUACUCUAUAUUGAUUUCAGUUGAUUCUGUAACAGUGUAAUUCGUUCUAAAGAGUUGUGUGCUCUUGAGGUUGUUAACAUCAACAUUCUUGGUGUGUGUGCUGAGCCAAAGGAAGUGUGUUUCUUGAGGGGAUCAAGGUCACUUCUUUGGUGGUGUGUGUAUGUAAUCUGGAUUUGAUUACCUAGUGGAUUCCCCAGUGGUUUCUAGGAAACUGGAUGUAGCUCUUGGGUUAAGAGUGAACCAGUAUAAACUGUUUGUGCAUUUCUCUCUUCCUUAAACUCUUUAAUUUCAUUUUUUGUUAUUUUUACUGGUAUAUACAACCGAUUGUUUUUCUGGUGCUUUACUGGUUUGAGCUUUGUUCUUGGCAAACUGAGUUCCUAAAUCUGGUUUCUUGCAAAGAAUUUCAUUCUAUCUUAAAAAGUUUGCGUAAACCUCCUUUAAACCAUUCCCCCCCCCCCCUUCUAGUUUAAAGCCAUACAUUCUAACACAAGGGAAGUGGAGUGAGUGAGGCCAACAAAAGAUGUACCUGAAUGUGCAACAAAAGUCGUGGAACUAGGGUUCUGAUCCUCAUACCAUUUAAGAAAUUCAUUGAAAAUAGCAGGUUGGCCUGAGGUAUCAAUUAAAGUAUGGUCCAUAGUAGAAGGUUGCACAGGGGCAGUUUGUGCAACCGCAACAGAUUUAGGAGGACGACCAUGUAAGGAAUAACAUCUGUUAAUUUUGUGGCCAAGUUUGCCACAAUGGUCACACUUGUGACGCCCUUUGCCCGGCUUGUGAGGGCGAGGACGAUCAUUAUGCUGAGAGACUAAAGCAGAAGAAUCAUCAACAUGAGACGUUAUAUCAGUGGUGUGUUUACCUGGCACACACAAAAGGGUAGAACAAGUGUAAGUAAAAUUGGGCACAAUAGGAGAUCCCAAAAUUUGAUCACGAACAUGAUAAUAAUCAUUAGGAAGGCCAUGUAAACCCAAUAACAUGAAGAACUUGGAUCUUUGUUCUAGUUCUUGAGAAGGAGUGGGAGCAUGAGGUAAUAACUCAUUAAAAUCAUGAAGAAAAGCAUGAAGUUUACCCAGAUAUUAUGCCAUUGUACCAUCAAGACAUUUGGAAGCAACAAUUGUGAGAAGAUUUUGACACACACCAUAAAGACGUUGAGUAUCAUUGGUGUAUAAUAAUUUUGCUUGUUCCCAAACUUCUGAACAUGUCUCAUAGGUACGAAAUAUUUGCUUUAAAGAUGAGUGAAUGGUAGAUUUUAUAACAGUGCAUAAUUGAGCAUAAAUUUUCAACCAACGGGAAACCUCAUUUUCAGCAACAGUAGGAUGGGAAAGAUGAUCAACAUAACCUUGACUCUUAAGCCAUAAUUUAAUAUCUGAUGCCAAAGUGUCAUAAUUGGUUCCAUCCAAUUUGUCAAUGGAGAGAUGAACAUUGAUGUAAUUAGUAUAAAUAGAUGGAUUCGGCAUAAUGACUGCGAAAGAAGCCACAGUGGUAGCGGCAGCGGAAGAAGCCAUAGUGGCAGCGGAAGCGGAAGAAGCCAUAGAGGAUAAGGACAAAUCAAGUCACUUGUUAAUUGGCGACAACAACAAAGAUGAAGGCUCUGGCAGCGUCUCUGGCGGAGGCUCCGGUGAGAUUCUGGCGGCGACUCUAGUGAGAUUCUAGCGACAGCUCCGGCAAGGUUCUGGCGAGGUUCCAGUAGCGGCUCUAGCGAGGUUUCGACGGCGACUCCGGCGAGGCGGUGGGGCAGUGGCUGGAAAAUUCCAAUGAAUAGUGGGUUCACCAAAAAUUGAACCCUAACCCUAUGCUUUGAUACCAUAUUAAAGGAAAAGAAAGAAUAGGGUAAAUCCCUUGUGUAUAUUGAACACAUAGGGUUAUGUUUAUAUAAGAAAAGAAACAUAUGGGUUAAGCCCAUUACAUAAAUAUGAAAUAUCUAACAAUAUCUAUAAUAUAUAAUAAUAUCUAAUUAUAUCUAAUAAUAUGUAAUAAUACCUAACAAUAAUAAAAAUUUAUGCAAUAAGUUUGAGUUAUUAGAAAAUUAAUAUAUUUCUCCUUUUUAAAAUUGUCUUACAAUCGUGCUAGAAUUGUCAGAAAUCCAACAAAUAUUUUUUGAAUUGGACACUUCACCGAUACGUGUCCCACAAGUGUCGUACGAGUCUCAGUGUCCAAUACAGGUGUCUGACAUGGACACACCAUUUAAGAGGAGUGUUUGAGCCUUAUAGGACACAACAGCAAGUUUGGUCUCCCAAACCUUGCAUACUACUUACUUCCUUUCCUCAACGACAAAUUUCCCCACCUUUACUAUUGAGACGGAUUUAAGUCGACCUUUUCAUUGGUUUUGUAUCUGUACAGAUCAUCUUUUUGACUAUGUUGCAUUAUUGUUUCUCUUCUUCUAACACUUCAUCAACUCAUCAAUUUCUUCUGUGGAAUCGUCAUCUUCAUGAUCAAAUCUGCCAUGGAUGUACGAUGUGCUCAUCAACUUUAAUGGAGAAGACAUCCAAAAGAAAUUUGUUUCUCAUCUCGAUUCUGCCCUCUUUGAUGUUGGCUUUACCACUUUCCUUCACUACCCCAAUGCACUCAACACAACGCACAUCCAACAACCUAUUCUCAAUCUCUCUUGUGUAACAAUUAUUGUUUUCAGGAAAUCCUAUAUUCAAUCUGCUUGGUGUCUUCAUCAAUUUCAACAAAUCAUUAAAUGGCACAAAACUUAUAGUCUACAUUAUUAAGGAAAUAAUGAUUAUCAAAUUAUACGCAAUUAACUUGAUAAUGAUAGAAUCUCACGAUUAUUGGAUCACAAAAUCCCAUGAUUAGUGGACUACCACAUAUGGAGUGUUGUAAAUACACACAAGAAUAUAAGAAAUUACCAUUUUCUUAUAUGGUAUCAGAGCAUCGAUCUUGGUGCUUUAAUAACCUCUCCAUUUUUAUCCGCUAAAUAAGAGAUCAUGUCUGAUAAGGAAGACACAGUAACGCCGCCAAGUCGGCUGCCAUGGAACCAACCAAUCCCUACUAUCUUCAUCAUUCGUACAAACCUGGACACAUGUUGGUGUUGACCAAAUUGAACGACACCGAUUAUCAAUCCUGGAAGACAACAAUGAUGCACACACUCACAGCGAAGAAGAAACCUAUUUAUAGUAGAAACAAUAAGUAAGAAAUGAAUUGAGUUAAAAAGGAUCAAGACUUUGAAUCUUAUACCACACCUGUUAUAUAUGUUAUCAUAAUUAUUAUUAAUGUUAGAAAACAGUGGACGAAACUUGAAGCCAAUUUCCUUGAGUGACCAAAGAAGCUUUAACCACCACACCAGACCAGUUCUUUUUGUCAUAUUAUGAUUUUUAUUAUACUUAUUAUUAUUAUUAAUAUCAUUUAUAUUAUUAAUAUUAUUCAUAAUAUAACUAUUAUUAAUAUUAUGAAUAUCAUUUAUAUUAUUAAUAUUAUAAACAUUAUAAAUAUAAUUAGUAUUAAUAGUAUUAUUAAAUUUAUUAUUAUUAUUAUUAAUAUUAAUAUUAAUAUUAUCAUUAAUAUUAGUAUUGUUAUUAUUAAUAUAAAUAAAAAUAUUAAUAUCAAUAUUAUCAUUAAUAUCAAUAUUAUUAUUAUUACAAUUAUUAAAAAUAUUUUUUAUGUAAUACUUUAUAUUUGGAUACAUGUAAUAUUCCCGUUUCAUACGCUUCAUGCAACACCUAAUUUUAUUUUUAGUUUUUUAAUGGGCUGCAACACAUAUGGUGGAAUUAGAAAAAAGGUGUUAAAAUUCUAAUUGAAUUUAGAUGGAGAUAAUCAAUAUGAAAUAUUAUUAUUGAUACCAAUACUUAUGUUAUUUUUUCAUUUUUUUUAAUUUUAAUAUUAUAAAUUUUUCUUUAAUUAAAUUAAAAGAAUAAUUAAACUAAAAUUACUUUUUUAAUUUAUUUAUAACAACGUAAUACAUCUUAAAAUUAUUUCAAUUCCAUGUAACCUUCUUUUAUAUUUUCAUUUUUAAUUUUUUUUUUAUUUUAGUUAGAACUAUAUGAAUCUAAAUGCUAUGUAAAAAUCCGUAUGUAAUGCUCACUUUACAUAUGGAUCUGGAUCCGUAUGUAAAAAUCGAUAUGUAACACUUACUUUACAUAUGAAUCUGGAUCCGUAUGUAGCUAACUUUACAUACAAAUUUGGAUUUGUAUGUAAAAAUCGGUAUGUAACAAUUACUUUACAUACAAAUCUGGAUCCGUAUGUAAAAAUCCGUACGUAACGCUGAUAAGUGCCAAUGUGUAGUUUUUAUGAUUGAGAAAAUUGAACACUUUGGAACUUAAUUGUUGCUUAAUGUAAGAAAAUUACCCUAAUCUGAGAAUUAUUGAAUCUGAUUAUAUAUUUCUUGAACCAAGAAACAAAUGAAGAAAUUUAAUCUCAAUUUUUGUGUAAAUUGCAGAUGAAUAUGAAGCAUUGAAAGAAUGUAUUCAAGCUGGCAUUGAAAGAAGAAAAAGUAAAAACUGAAUUGGAUCACAAGAAGAUUUAGCUCAAGCUAGAGGAUUUAGCUCAAGCUAAAACUGUCCAGAGUUGAUUAAAGGUGCAGUACAAUUUUAGCCCAGGCUAGAAUUGCUAGCUCAAGCUAAAACUGUCCAGAGCUGAUUAAAGGUGCAGUACUGAUCUAGCUCAGGCUAGAAUCGCUAGCUCAAGCUAAAAAUGCACCGAAAGAUCUAGCUCAAGCUAAAACAGGCUAGCUUGAGCUAAAGUUGAUUAUAUAAAUUCUGAAACAUAACUCAAAACCAGCGGUGGAAAACAGAUUAGGUUUUUUAGAGAGAGACUAGUGAGAGAAAGGGAAGAAACCUCUGUUCUUAGGAGAAGAACUUGCUCAGAUCAGCCCUUCUUAUGCAAUCCAGAUCAAGAAUGAAGAUUGGAGGAGCUGUCAUGAGUGGCUAAGUUCUUUCUAACUUGGGAUUGAAUGUAAUUUAUCUUGAUCAAAUGUAUUCUUGGUGAUAUAUAUAUAAAAUUCUCUUUUCUACUUGUUCUUGGUAUUUUCGUUUUAUGCUUAUUGCUUGAUUCUUUCUAAUCAAUAGAGUCUUGAUUUUGAUCCUUAAAUUUAACUGGAAAGUACCUUUAAGGAUCUGAAAUAGACGAAAAUGCUUGAUAACUUGUAAUGCUAGGAAUAGAUUCCAGGUUAUUGAUUGCAUGAUAAUUCUGUUCCUAAAGCUGGAUGAUUUGUUAAAUAUGUGAGGAAUGAAUGUUUAAGAAAUUAUCUUAUGAAUUUUAUCUGUGAGGAAUCAAGAUGAAUGACUUUAAAUUAAGCAUCAAGAAUAAGUAGUUUUGAGUAUUAUAUAUUGUAUUAUUCAAAAUACAGAUGAUUGAGAUAAACACAAUUCAAUCCCAAGUAUCUUUCUCUAUAUUUGAUAAGUUAGUUUGGUAUUUGGUUGAAUCAAACCCUAAAUCUUUGAGUUCUUGUGAAAUCUUUAAUUUGGUUAUGAACAAAGUCUCAAAAUUAUUUUCUAUACUUAAUGAGUUUUAAAACAGAACAUCUUAAUUAGAAUUGUUCCCUGUGGGUUCGACAUUCGUACUUUAAAGAGUACUAUAUUACAGUUGAUUCGGUACACUUGCCGAAGAAAUAAUCAACAAACGCUCACUUUACAUACGAAUUAUCCGUAUGUAAAAAUCCAUAUGUAAUGUUCACUUUACAUACGGAUUCAGAUCCUUUUCAGUAUGUAAAUAACAGUUAUGUAGUGUUAUACCCUAUAUAAUGGCGCUGAAAUCCUUUUCAAUGAAUUAAAUUGUGACAGUUAUGACUGACACUAUUUACAUAUAAAAAUCGGCAUUUUAAACAAAGUGUUAAAUUGGCGGGUGUUGCGGAAGGUAGCUUAAGACUGCCACAUUAAACUUUGUGGUGGCCAAUCCUAUGAUGGUUUGGGAAACCAUCACACGCGUAUAUUGUGGUGUUUAUAAACGCUAGUUUAUACGAAAAUAAUUGUCGCAUUAUACACCUUUUUUUGUAGUGAUUGUUUUAAGAAAAAGAAGUAUAAUAAAAAUAAAUUUGCAAUUUAAUUAUGUGAAAAAUUAUUAAAAUAACAUUAGUAAGAGUUGUUUUAUGGGUGUAAAAUAAAAUUUCGGCAAUGUUUCAGGAGAUAUAUAUCAGAGAGAAGCAACCUGAUUUAAUCUGAACACAUUAAUACCAUGUUAGAAUAAGCUCGAGAAAACAAUUUUUUUUAUGAAGUUUAGGAGAGAUGAAUAUUCAUUUCAAAUAAGACAGAAAAAGGGAGAAUCAAAACAAAAUAUGUCUUUUUUUUUAUAUAACCAUGCCUAAAGCAGUGCAACAUAAAAGUAUGCAGCAGAGCAAAAUGCAAAAACAGAAUGAGUCAUCAAUAUAAUAUACAUGUGUACCUACAAAAUAUGUUUUUUUGUUUCUUUAUUUUAAUUUAAAAUAAUAAUUUAAUUGUUAAAAAGUAACUGUAAAAUUUUAUUGUUUUUAAUAUGUAAAGGAUAAAAUUGAAAAAUUAAAUGUAUAUGCAAAAGAGGAAAAUUCUAUUGUUAUAGACUAAUAUUAAUAAUAUUAUUAUUAAGUUAAUAUGAUGGCUAGCAUGGGUUUUUUUGAAAAAUGGGUCUAUUGGAUCAAAGAAUACCUCAAAUAUGUUGAAGAUGAAUGAAGCUUAGUCUCUACCUAGCCUUAGUGUGUUUGAUGUAGAAUUUAGCUAGUUUGCUUUGAAGGUUGCAAUGUGUCUUAGAUGAUCUUGUACUUUAGGUUUGUGUAUGUUCAAGGUUGCUUUUUGCUACAUGACCCAUCCUAGAUGCCAAAUCAAGGUAGUAAGAUCAAGCACAUGAUGUGGUUAAAUGGUUUUGGAAAAGUUUUUUAAAGUUUUCUUAAAAGGUUUGACUCAGUACAAAAAUAAAUUUGUUUACUUGAGAAACAAUGGGUUUAUUUUUGCUCUAUUGAAAGAUUUUUCGAAAUUCAGUUAGGGCACCAAAGUUAAAGCUCAGUCUGUUAUUUCAGUUAAGGUGAGUUGGCAGUUUUGUUAACAUUUAACCUGUUGUUUUUAGAAUAAAUCUGUUGUUUUUAAAACUGCUUUGAAACUGCUUUUUGAAAAGUGGUUAGAAACUGUUCUCUAUAAAAUAAAAUGCCCUUCUCACAUAAAGAGAGCUGAGCAAUCACAGUUUUAACAGAGAUAAAACACUUCUUGUGUGAGAAAGAGAAUUGAAAAGGUUUUGCAAAGGUUUUUUAGUAGGAAAAUAGAUGUGUGCUUGUUCUUGAAGAACCUUGUGCUGGAUGAAGGUGUUGGUACUGUCUUGAAGCAAAUAGAACAACUGGUAUAUGUUCUUGCAUCACUUUUCAAGUGUAAUCUUUCCGUUAUUCGUUCUUGUAAUAGGUGUAAGUGUUAGUCACUCUUGAUAAGAUUUCUUGGAGUGCAAGGUGUGCUGAAAUAGUGUUUUUCAGCCUUGUUUGUUGAAGUUCUUGUAGGGUUCAAGAACUGUUGUGUAUGCUGUAAUUGAUUGUAUCUGUUUUAGUGGAUUCCACCUUGGAGUAAGGUGAACUGGACGUAGCUCUUGAUGAGUGAACCAGUAUAAAAAUUCUCUUGUGUUUCUCUUCUCAUCCCUGCACUUAUUUAUGAGUUUUCACAUAAUUUGUCAAGAAAGGAAUCUGUUCUUUUAAAUCUAAAUUUGUUAACUCUAGACCUGAUAAAAUCUGUCAUUCUAACUUGUUAAUCAAUCUUCUAAACAUAAAUCAAGCUACUGUGUGAAUCUGUAAUAUGGCUAAAGUGUGAAUUGUUUUCCUUGACUGAACUGUGGCAUUUGUUCAUUCUCCUAGAUGCUUUGUGUUAAGUAAAAUUGAUUAAUCUUGUGAUAUAAUCUGCAAUUUGUAAGUUGUAAAAGUUAAUCAAUUUGUUUCUGCUAUUCUUGCUGGUUGAUCUAAAUCUUGUUGAUCAAGUUCUGUUUGUGCUAAAGUCAUUUGGAAAAUCAAUCUGUUUCAUUUAAAAUCAAUCUGUUCUUUUCAUCUCUGUCACACUGUAAAUCAGUUUCUUUUGCGAAAAUUUGAUAAGCUCAAUUCACCCCUCCCCUCUUGAACUUAGACGUUGUUUAACUCUAACAGAAUCUUCUUCUAUCUUUGUUUUAGUUAAUGAAAGUCCAUCUAAGUAAUUCAAACCGUCUAGAGGUCUAAGACAAGGGGAUCCAAUUGCACCGUUCUUAUUCAUAAUUGUGGCCGAAGGCCUAUCAAGUUUAUUAAAUCAAGGGCUACAAAGGAAGUGUUUUCUGAAUUAAAAGUCAGUGCAAAAAAUAUAGAGGUGAAAUUACUUCCUUUUGCAAAUGACACUUUGAUCAUGUGUAAAUCUAAUAUCCAAAAUAUUAGUGGUAUUAAAGGGAUCCUUAAAUGUUUUGAAAUUUGCUCAGGGCUUAGAAUAAACUUCUUUAAGAGAAAAAUUGGAGUUAUAGGAGUGGACAAAAAUGUGUUAGGAUCUUUCUUUGAGGUUCUCCAUUGCAACAUUAUGAAUAUUCCUUUUUUAUAUCUUAGUUUACCUAUUGGGGGAAAUUCUACUAAGGUUUCUUUUUGUGACCCAGUGCUUACAAAGGUUAAGAAGAGGCUAUCUAUGUGGAAAGGUAAAAAUCUAUCAUUUGCAGGUCGUGUGUGCUUCAUUCAUUUUGUGUUGAAUGCAACCCCUUGUAUUAUCUCUCUUUCUUCAAAGCUCCAUCAUCUAUAUGCAAAAAGAUUACAAAGUUACAACGUAAGUUCUUGUGGGGCUGGGAUAUUGAGGGAAGGAAAAUUGCUUGGAUUAAAUGGGAUAAUUUAUGUAAACCUAAAGCGAAAGGUGGGUUAGGCAUAAAGCAGAUAGACAUUUUCAACAAAGCUUUACUUGGCAAAUGGAAAUGGAGACUUGGGUCUCUUGAGAACUGUUUAUGGAAAGAUAUUCUUGCUUCUAAAUAUGGUUCUUGGAGAAAUUUAUCUGAAUCUAAAGUUUCAAAGCAUGCUUCAAGAUGGUGGUUCCAUUUAAACAAAGUGUGUGAGGAUGAGCAGGGCAUCAAUUGGUUUGAUUCUAAUAUGGAAUGGGCGGUUGGGUCUAGUGAAAAAGUUAAGUUGUGGGAAGAUGUUUGUGUUUAUAUUGUUUGGGUUUAUAACUGUCAAUUGAAAGCUAGAUUCCCAAGGUUGUUUAAUAACUCUCUCAUCAUAGAUAAUUCCUUGUGUCGCUUUGGUAAUUGGAACAGAGACAACUGGGUUGAGAAUUAAAGUGGAGAAGAGAGUGGUUUAAAUGGGAGAAGGUCCAAGUAGAUGAAUUUAUGACUAUGCUAGAAGGUCAGACCUUGAAAAUAGGUAAGGAGGAUAAAUGGUUAUGGAGAGACCCGCAAACCUGUAAGUACUCUGUCAAAUCUGCAUAUGCAUUCGUUUCUAAUCCUAUCCCAAGUGCAUCUAAGGAUAUGUAUAGGGUUAUGUGGGGCUUGUUAGUCUCACCAUCGGCCCAAUGUUUUGUUUGGAGAGCAUUGCAAAACAGGAUCACCAAAAAGCAAAAUCUGAUUAGAAGGUCGGUCCACCUUGCGGAUUCAUUAUGUGUUUUAUGUGGGAUCGAGGAGGAAAUGUCCUCACACCUUUUCUUAAGUUGUCAGAUUGCGAGCGUUGUUUGGAAUUGCUGUAGUAAAUGGAUUGGGGUUAGAUCUGUAAAUCAUUUUGCUCUGAAGGAACACUUUGAACAAUUUCAUUGCCCUUAGCUUAGCAAAGAAGGCAAUAAGUUGUGGAAAUGAGUGUGGGUAUCUAUCAUCUGGUGCAUUUGGAAACAUAGGAAUGAGAUUGUGUUUAACCAAGCAAAAGUGGAUGCGGGUGAAAUCUUUGGCCUGACCCAAAUGCAAUUGUGGGCUUGGUUAAAAAUACAAGACUUCAAUGACGCUUUUUUCUUUUUCCGACUGGGUCCAAUGUCCGAAUACUUGCAUUAAUAUAACAGUAAAACGUUGAUUUUGUGAGGAUAGAGAGGUUGUAUGUAUUGAUUGGUUUUUGUUCCUUUUUUAGGAUGUUUUGAGAGUAUGUAAUGUACCCUUAAAGUGUAUAAGGGUUGGAGCACCCCUUUGUGCUCCUUUUCUAUUAAUUUAUUUUUUUGCCAAUUAAAAAAAAAGUUUACAAAGGAUGUUAACCAUAUUAAUUAAUUCAAUUCGUCUGCCUAUAUAUUACGCAUAUCUAUAUGAGUACUUAAGAGUGAAAUAUUAAAUAAAUUUAUUUUCCCUUCCACUCAUUCUCUUUCUUAUUAAUAUAUUACUCUAUAAAUAGGUUGAUAUUUCUUAUGUAUAGUGUUCUUUGCACACACAUUCCAACUAAGAGUACCUCCUGAUAGAAGGCAUGAAGAUCUCAUCUACGCUUUGAAAAGAAAGAUUAUAUAAGAUAAUCUCCACUCGUGUAAGAAAGAAAAGUACAAUGUAUUUUUUUAGUUCUUGCAAAUAUAAUACUUUUGUUAUACAUGUCAAUUUUUAUUUUAAAUCCAACCACAUUAGUUUCAUGUUAUUAUCCCCAGUCACUUCAAAAAAAUUAACAGAAGCUAAAAACAACUUUUUAAAAGUACAGAACUAAGAUAAGAAUAAAAGUGCAUGGAUCAAAAAUAAAAAUAUAGUUAAGAGGGAAAAUAUUUAACCGUGACAAAGGUUUUAAAAAGAGGUGACAAGAUGCAUUAGAGAAGUAGAAUAAAACUUUCACUUAUUUUUUACGCCAUGAUUAAAUUAGUAAAUAAAAAAUUGAUUAAAUUGUUGAAAGUUAUAUAACUUUUAACGUUUUUCAUGAGUUUAGACAUGCUAAACUAGAAAUGUAGAAUUCAAAAUCAAUAUAAAUAAAAGAAAAAGAAAAUAUUUGCUUAAUGAUUUUAACAAAAUGACAUUGAAAUAAUGUUAUAAACUGAUUAUAGAUAAACUGAAUGUUUUUCUAAACUGUGUUUAUACCUACAUUAACCUGUUUUAGAUAUACAUGUGUAAUGUGAAAGAUGAUAAUGUUAUAAGCUUUUAAAACUUUAAGCGAUAUUUGCAUUAUCUCUUCCACGACCACUAAAAAAGUACUUUUAUUAUUGUGUCUGUAGAGAUCAUCUCUUUGACUGUGUUGCAUUAUUGCUUUCUCUUCUAAACACUUCAUCAACUCCUUCCAUGGAAUUGGCGUCUUCAUCAACCAAACUCUCAAAGAUGUACGACGUGCUCAUCAACUUCAAUGGAGAAGACAUCCAAAGGAAAUUUGUGUCUCAUCUCGAUUCUGCCCUCUCUGCUGUUGGCUUCACCACUUUCCUUCACCACCCCAAUGCACACAACCCAAUUCACUUCCAACAACCUAUUCUCAAUCUCUCUCGUGUAGCAAUUGUUGUUUUCACCACAACCUAUUCUCAAUCUGCUUGGUGUCUUCAUCAGCUUCAACAAAUCAUCAAAUGGCACCAAACUUAUUGCCGACAUGUUCUGCCUGUUUAUUACGAAAUCCAGUCAUCUGAUGUACGUCUUCAGAUGGGUGAUUUUGGAAAAGCCU